UCUGUUAAAAUCCUAUGAAUCAAUGAGAACCAAUAAUCAUACCAAUGCAAACAACAAGUGAUGAGGCUAUGCCCAAUUUUUUUAAUACACACAAAAAAGGUCAAAUACACAGCAAAUGCCAUUAAUCUGACAUCAUUCUUUGCUUUAUUUAAUUAUUUCUCCAUUAUGAAAAUGGUCUUACACUUAAGGCCUAGGUACUUGCCGCAGGUGGAGGUGGUAGAUUUAUUUCCGGAACACGAUAACCUGCAAAAUUUCAUUCUUCACAUCACAAUGAUGAACAUGAGAAGUUAUAUAAAGUGUAAAUAUAUAUAUUUGUGUGUGUUAUGUGUUUGUGCAUGCGCGUGCAAAUAUGAAAAUAUACCGACCUGCAUAGUGAGUGUCUGUGUGCAACCCAUUGCCGCAUACAUGUGUAGCCACGGCAAACUUGGCAAGACUGAGCAAAGUCAAUCCGUGUGCGGUGAACCGAUCACAGACGUAGUGGAUGUCUUUUGCAUCUCUUAUUGCAUUGCAACAUGCGCUAUGGAGUGGCGGGUACUGGUCACCAAGUUUCUUUUCGAUGUGUUGCCAACAGUCUCGCAUCACCCUUUUUUUUAUCAAGGAAGCAGUGAUCUAUGUCGUUGGGUGCUCGUGCACGGAGCGAACAAGAAGAGAGAGCCACAAGGACUAGGAAGCAUAACACUCUAGCUACUUUUGCGUUGUUCAUGUUCUAUGUUGUUUAGCACUAUUGGUAUGUGUUUAUGCACGACUUCUGUGCCACUCAGUCUCUAUAUAUAGUGGUCAUAGUGAAGUUUUUAGACUCCAUUCGCUCAUCAGUCGCUUAAUUGGACUCUUUUAACUAAGUGAGAGAUAUAUGACUUGGAUAUGUUAUAAUUUAAUGUUUGCACAUCUAGAUCUUGUAUAAAGUUGUUGGCAAUGGAUGUGGAUGCAACCUAUUAAUUAUUGGCAAUGGAGUAUGUGAUUUUGAACUCUUAACAAAUAUGUGUACAUAACUUGGGUAUGUUAAUAAUUAAUGUAGGGACAUGUGUGGUCCUUGUAGUAUCACAUCGAUGGCAAAGGAUACUUCUAAUUAAAUAUAGCUAGGUGCAUCCAUUUCUUGUAUCAAAUUGAUGGUAACGGAUAUGUAGAUAAGCCUAUUUAUUUGUCUAUCUAUCUCUAUCACUAUCUCUAUCUCCAUCUCUAUCUAUCUAUCUAUCUAUCUAUCUCCAUCUAUCUAUCUCUCUAUCUAUCUAUCUAUCUAUCUAUCUAUCUUUCUAUCUAUCUAUUUAUCUAUCUAUCUAUCUAUAUCUAUAUCUAUAUCUAUAUCUAUAUCUAUAUCUAUAUCUAUAUCUAUCUCCAUCUCUAUCUCUAUCUCUAUCUAUCUAUCUAUCUAUCUAUCUAUCUAUCUAUCUAUGUCUAUAUCUAUCUGAUACUAAUAACGGACUCCCUACAUAUUAAAACGUUAAUCCGUGAAAACAAGAAAUAGAAACCAGUGAUUUUAGCGGGCCUGAAUUACUAUGGUUACGAUCUAUUAAUAAAUCCCUUGGAUAUUUCAUAUGAAAAAUAGAACUUGGAUCUCAAUCAGGGAAAAAAGGAAAAGAUACGAUGCAAUCUAAACUACCGUUCAGAUUUGACACGGUAGCUAAGACAUCAUGCAAUUGUCAAAAUCAUGACCGUGUUUCUUUGUGACUAACCCAGAUACGACCUGACACUACAAAAAAAUACACUUCCAUGAUGAUACAUGUUUGUCACAGUAGGUCGCGUUUUUUGUCAUGUAUGUACAUCCAUGACGAUUUUAUGAAAGAAUCAAGAUAGUCAUACCUGUCCUGUCGUAGAAGUGUUCCAUGACAUUACCAAAAUUAUCAUCACGGAAGUGUCCACUUCCAUGACGAUAAAUCACGCGUCAUAGAAGUGCUUUCGUCAAGGGUGACCGACACGUGGCAUCCACCGUAACGGAACGCCGUUAAGCUAUCGAGUCGGGUUUUGGAUCCGAUAACCCGUUAACAUCCCGGACCAAUGGGGAUUUUCCACGUGUAAAAUCAUCAUUGGCUGGAGGAAACACGUGUCGGCUCACCGUUGGGACAGAUGUCAUCCGCUCAUUGGACCGAAGGCGCCUAUGAUACGGUGACACGUGGCACGGCUCAACAGAGGUCCAUUCCUGUAAAAAGGCCGGCCCGUUUGACUUAGUAAAAAGUUGGCGGGCCGGCCCAGGGAAAGCGUGUUAACGACCUGUUCGCAUAUAUCCCAUUUAUAGCCCGCUAACCCAGGGCCCAUUACACCCUAUCCGAAUUAGGCCCAAUAGUGUCGUCUGGGCCGUCCAAUAUGAUUCAGCCCGUUUUAACUUCUGGCCCAUGUGUGGCCCAUGAAUUCUUUCGGCCCAUAUGAGGACCUUUGUAAAUCUUGGCCCAUUAAUGGCCCGUGGUGAAACUGGCCCGUAAUGAAGAAUGUAUCACUUUAUACCCAUUAACGGCCCGUUAUUCCAUUGGGACGUUUCAAACCCAAGUUAUGAUUCGGCCUUCUCAGGGCCCAUUGAUUCUUGGGCUCAUUUGCAGCAUUCGGUUACAUACGGCCCGUUACUGUCAUUUUCUGCUUGUCGGCCAAAUUCAGUCCGUCAUUACAGUCGGCCCGUUUGCGGACCGUUAAUACGUUGGGCCGUUUUCAUGUCAAAAAACCCCGUUGGGCUGUUUUCAUAGAGUUAUCAAAUACGGCCUAUUAACGGCCCGGUAUAGUCCACGAAUAGUAUGGCCCAUGAUUGGCGAAAUGAUGAUAUGCCCCGUAGAAGGCCCAUGGAUCCUACGGCCCGUAUGAGGCCCAUGGAUAGUACGGCCCGUGGAAGGCCCAUGGAUCGUACGCCCCGUAGAAGGCCCAUGGACCCUACGGCUCGUAGAAGGCCCAUGGACCCUAAGGCCUAUAUAGAAGGCCGAUGGAUCCUAUGGCCCGUAUAGAAGGCCAAUUGAUCUUACGGCCGGACAAAGGCCCAUGGAUCAUAUGGCCUGCAGGAGGCCCAUGGUUACAACAGUCCGUGUGUUGCCAUGAUUAUUUUGGCCUAGUUACCAAAAAUAGGCUAUUGUGGCCACUAGAAAAAACAGAAAAAGAACUGCAGUGACUACAAGCAAACAACUAAACAAGACAAUAAGGAAAUAAAUAAGCAAGCAAUUAGCACUAGCGUAUUACCAUUAUUACACAUAUUACAUCCACUGGGCAUCAAAGUUCGCCACCAGUGCAAAUAUAGGGAACAAAGCAGCACAUUACAUACACUGGCCGUCAAAAUUGGCCACCAUGGCAAAUAAAUGAGACAGCAAAACAAGAGCAUAACCGAAACAACUUCAGAAGAGCUCAAGAAACGUUAUCUUGGGUAUCCACCAUGCUGGCAAUAAGUUUAGCAAGCUGAUUAGCUUUGUCCUGUUUGGCGCUAAAAUCCUCCAACGCUUGCUGUUGCACCAGAAAGUAUGCAUCUGAAUGCUCCAGGGACUUCCACAGUCCUUCCGCUUCUUGUCGCAGCACAGCUGAUCGAUGUCUUUCAGCUUGUAGUUGAGACUGAAGAAACCGAACUGGUCCAGACAGUGAGUUUGAAUAGCUUGUGCAAGCGGUAGUGUCCAGUAACUCGAACACUAAACCAAGACAGGACUUUGGGGUUGUCUCGCUGUCUUCAAGAAAGUCUUCCUUAGCUGUUUUAUCAGCUUUGUUGGAGACCAACAAGGAUGUGUCACUAUCCUGAACCUUAUCUACAUUACUUCCUUUACCAUUGAUUAAUAAGGCACUCUUCCCCAAUAUUCUGUCAGCAUUCUAAAAGAAGAAACAAGCAGACAUAUAACAAGUUCAGCAUGUACUAGUAUAUGAAACUCAUUUCGGUGAACCAGUUCAUCAGUAAGGUGGACAGGAUUAAACUACCAAGUCUUCUAUUGCAAAGUACUAGUACAUAAUAAAAACAUCAAACAAACAUAUAUCUAUGUCCUAUGGUCACUUCAUUGUCUUGCCAAAUCAAAAUAGAGACACGGUUCAAAUCAUAUCAGUUGAAGACAAAGCAGCAGUGAAAGAAUACAAAGCGUGGGAAACUACACGGCACAACAAGAUUUCAGAUGGGUACCACGGGUCUACAUGUACAACAAUACUAUUGGCUAUGUUGUGAUGCUAGUAAUGUGCACGAUAUGAAAGUCAACUGUAUACACAAUUGAAAUUGAAAUCAAUAGAGCUAUUAAUAAGAGCAAACCUGUUAAAGAAACAUGCAUGAACAUACCUGCUGUGCCAUUGGAGUUUCGAUUGGAUCCUUCAAUUUAAAAAUAAGUUUGUAUGAGUAAAUAUAGUGAUACAAGAGCAAUGCAAUCAUAGUUAAAAAAGGCGCGCCUAAGCGAGCGCUUAAGCGCGCCUAGGCUCUAGGCGCUGGCAAAACGCAUUGCGCAUAACUACACAUAAUCUAUGCAUAACUGCGCAUAAGCAUGCGCUUUCGUUAGUAAAGCGCAAGGCGGUGGCAAAACACACACUUAACGCCUAGCACUUUUUUGAACUAUGAUAGCAAUGGAAUCUUAAAUUAGAACAGUUGUUCUUUAGGUUUAGGCACUUGUUCUACAUGAACAGAGUACAGUAAGACGCAAGAAUAUAAUACUUAAAAAUAGAAAAUGAGCUCAUAGACCUUACCACAUUCUUGGUUCGGGACCAGCAUAGAACAAGGCAUUCCCAGUCAUCGUCCAGUAAAUGUGUCUCAGGAGAACGUAAGGGAAUUUGAUGAGUUUCUUUGCCGGUGAAGUAUGUCUUCUUCAGGUAAUUUCGAUACUGCCACCAAGCAUGCUUGAAGAUAGCAGAGGUAUUAACACAGGUUACCUCAUCCUAAGUUUCCAAAUAGGUCCUUCUCUAUAGACAAAAAUGGGAAAAUUUGCUGUAUUAUAACCAUCAUGGAGGUAGGAUGUAUGGGACGAAGCAAAGUAAUUGCCAUGAAUAACAUUACUUACACAUAACUCCUGGACAAACACCUGCAACUAUCAUUUUCCUUCAUCUUCAGUAUAAUAUUUCCAAGAUGGGAAGAUACGCACAAACGAUUUAACAACAUCAAAUGCGAUAGAUGCUAAACUAUGAUUAGCUGGUUGUGCUUCCUCCAUAGGAAUAGGCGUACUAACUGGUGGAGUUGGGGUUCGCCGUGAUAGUACUGGACCUUUGGGCACUGGAGCUGCCUUACUAACUGCUGUUGUUUGGGAGCUCUGUGGUGGAGAUGGUGUUGUGUCAACAGGAACUGGGUUACUAUCGGCUGGGGUUGGGGUUAGAUUGGGUGAAGCUGGUUCUCUGUCCAUCGCAGUAGGGGUACAAUCUGUGAGAGUUUGGGUUAUGUGUGGUAGGGCUGGUUCUUGUGCAUGUACAACCGGGGUGCUAUCUCCACCAAGAGGUAGCACUGUUUUAUUUGAAGACCAUGUUUUUAUUCCGCUAGAUACUGGCGUCACCCGCUCUAAUUCAAAUGGCUGAUAAAUAGGAAACAUAGUUGAAUGUACAGACAUUGUAUGAGAGACAGAUGCAAUAGAUAGUGUGGAAAAAAGAGGGCAUGAAAUAGUUGACAUGUAUAUUGCUUAAGUAAAACGGAUAGCAUGACAUAAUUUAACAUAUAUGAUGUCUAUCUAAACUGGAUAGCAGAGCAUAACAUAAUUCAAAGAUAUGAUGAAUAACUAAACAGGAUCGCAUGACAUAAUUCACCUACAUGUUAUCUAAGUAAUCAUGAUCGCAUCAUUUAAUUCACAUAUGUGAUUUAUAUGCUAAACAGAGGGCAUUCGAUAUGAUGUCUGAACUAAGAACAUGGUGUUGAAUAUUGUGUAUAUGAUGUCUAAACUAUGCAAUGCAAGACACUGUAUGCAUGAUAUGAGCAGUAUAACCGUGCCAAGUUAGAGCAUACACCUCAGUGUGGGAAUAGGACUGGUCAUCUGUCUCUGAAUCAAUCUCUGAGGAGCUAUCGGGACCCAACAAGAGAUCUGCUUCGACAGGUAGCACUGUCUGCUUUGAAGGCCUUGUUUUCACUCCAGAUUUUUCCAUCUCCCACCCAAAUGGCUGAUUCACAGGAAGAUUAGUUUAAUGUACAAACAUUGUCAACAAAUGGAAAUGUAAUGAAGAAAAGGAUGGGCAAGAUAUCAUUCAAAUAUAUGAUGCCUGGUUAAACAGGAUGGCAUUGCACAUUUCACAUAUAUUAUGGCUGGCUAAAAGACAUGAGACUGCAUAAUUCCCAUAUAUGAUAUAGAAACUAAACAGGUAGGCACUGCAAGGCAACAUAUGCAUGAUAUGACUAACAUCAUCAUGCCAAGGUAGAGCAAACACCUUGGGGGGUAAAUAGGAGUGGUCAGCGGCGUCUGAAUCCGCCUCAGAACAGAUAUCUUCCUCUAGAUUACAAUCUGGAGAGGGGUCGGGAGGGUUUGCCAUUGAACCCACCAUAGAGCGAUGUAUGCAUGACAUUGUAUUGCCGCGCAAAACUCUUCUCUUUUUCUCUACAUGUUCAGCAUGACUGUGUACAAUAUCUGACAUGCAUACGAAAAAAAAUAUGGUGAGAUUAUGUAAGGAGAGCAUGCAAAAAUUUACAGUGAUUGUAACAACCAGUGGAUCGACGUUUUUCCGUUGAACCAAAAUAGACCUAAUGGAUCGACGUGAAUGUUAGUAAUAAGUGAUGCAACAAGUGUACAACCUCUUUGCCGUAGCCGUGUCGACCUCAACAUCAUUUGGUUGGUCGCUGAAGCAGUUGAGGCAGAGGUGGCUGUCAGAGGUGUGGAGGAAGAUCUGAGGAAUCUGUAGACGGCGUCCAGGGCACUGCUUUGUUGUGAUAGAUCGUUGUGUCACUGGAGCAGCUCCGGUGAGCCGUAAGACGUCAAGGCUAAAGCAGCACAAGACAGACAUCGUCAAUCUCAAGUGGGAUUCUAAUGGCAUCUCCAAUAGAUGUUGUGAAAUGAAUGUAAAAUGAACAUCACCAAAAACCACCUGACUACAACAGAUGAGGUAAAAACUGUUGACUCUGAACUUAACUGUCGAAACUGAAAUUUACUGUGGAAUCUGAAUGCUACUGUCGAAACUGAAUGCAAUGGUAGCAGAGAGGCACUUGACAUGUAGUUUAGGGAGGGCCUAUAGUUCAUCUUCAACCUGCACCCCCCUGAGCCGCCAGCCNNNNNNNNNNGGUCGCUGAAGCAGUUGAGGCAGAGGUGGCUGUCGGAGGUGUGGAGGAAGAUCUGAGGAAUCUGUAGACGGCGUCCAGGGCACUGCUCUGUUGUGACGGAUCGUUCUGUCGUUGGAGCAGCUCCGGUGAGCCGUAAGACGUCAAGGCUGAAGCAGCACAAGACAGACAUCGUCAAUCUCAAGUGGGAUUCUAAUAGCAUCUCCAAUAGAUGAUGUAAAAUGGAUGUAAAAUUAACAUCACCAAAAACCACCUGACUACAACAGAUGAGGUAAAAACUGUUGACUCUGAACUUAACUAUCGAAACUGAAAUUUACUGUGGAAUCUGAAUGCUACUGUCGAAACUGAAUGCAAUGGUAGCAGAGAGGCACUUGACAUGUAGUUUAGGGAGGGCCUAUAGUUCAUCUUCAACCUGCACCCCCCUGAGCCGCCAGCCACCACCGGCCGAACCGCCAGCCCAGCGCCGCCUCGCCGCCCCGAAACAACUCGCCACCGNNNNNNNNNNNNNNNNNNNNNNNNNNNNNNNNNNNNNNNNNNNNNNNNNNNNNNNNNNNNNNNNNNNNNNNNNNNNNNNNNNNNNNNNNNNNNNNNNNNNNNNNNNNNNNNNNNNNNNNNNNNNNNNNNNNNNNNNNNNNNNNNNNNNNNNNNNNNNNNNNNNNNNNNNNNNNNNNNNNNNNNNNNNNNNNNNNNNNNNNNNNNNNNNNNNNNNNNNNNNNNNNNNNNNNNNNNNNNNNNNNNNNNNNNNNNNNNNNNNNNNNNNNNNNNNNNNNNNNNNNNNNNNNNNNNNNNNNNNNNNNNNNNNNNNNNNNAUAGUGGGGUACCUCUCCGACGAGCCCCCAUCCCCGAUGCGGGUGGUUCUUCCUUAACUCCGGCGAGCCCCCCAACCCCUGAAAAUCGACUGACCCAAAAGUCGAUUCAGUCGACUGAAGUGUGGCUUAAUCGGAGCAGAGCAGCAACACGAGCGAGGGGGAGAGCAGCAACGGCAGCUGUGCGAGCGAGCGAUCAAGCGAGAGCCAGAGCAGCAGUACCCCCCAUCGAUUUGAACUAGCGGCCCUUUCGGCUCAGGGUUAGAAGGGGGAUUUCGCUUGUCGGGAUUUGGCACCUGGAGGGAGUUUUCGCGCGCGUUGUAAUUUCAGGAUAGCAAGGCGCGGGUUGUGAAGGCACCAGUUUUGGGAGCACAAUAUCUGAAUUUUCGGGAUAUAACAAGACGCGGGUUGAAUUUUAGGGACAAGCCUAACGUGUAGUAAUAUUUUACUUGUACGUACCAAAUCAAUUCGCACUUCCCUCAACCAAAAAGAAAACAAAAAAAAUAAAACUAUUCACACCAUACAAAGAGAGAGUCUUGCCCCGUUUUACUAUACAAAUGCUAUUCAAAGCUACUCCCUCCUUCCAUCUAUAUAGGGCCUAAUGCGUUUUUCGAUGCUAACUUUGACCAAAUAUUAGAGCAAUGAUAUAUGACAUGCAACUUACACAAAGCACACCGUGAAAUUUGUUUAUGGAAGGUUCUUUCAAUGAUAUAAUUUUCACACUGUGCAUGUCAUGUACUAUUAAUCUUGUCAAUAGUCAAAGGCUGUCUUAAAAAAUCUCAUUACGUCCUAUAUAGAUGGAAGGAGGGAGUAUGAAUCCAUGUUAUGUCCGAUUAAAUUUUUUCGCUUGCUAUAUAAUGCAUGUAACCUACUCAUACCAACAUUUUAGUGCAUUCCAACUGUCUAUACUACCGCUGCAUUUCGAACUAAAUUUGAAUCCGUUUCUCUAUUUCAAUAAGAAUCUACAAUCAUGAUUGUUGCCAACUUAAACCAUCAUAGUUUCCUUGCUAUCCGCCAGAUAUAAAUCGGACGACCUAUAAUGCAGGAUGGCAGGCACACCAUCAUCAACAACUCCGUUUUUUAUAAGAGUAGAGAUAAAAUAUAUUAAAUGUAGUAUAACAUGUUCAUAAACACACCAUGUGUAACACCGUUAUAUAUAUUCACACAUGCGUCGGUUUAAAACACUAUGAUAAAUUCUUCAAAUAUCCGAAUUCGCUUUUUAUAAUGAAGUAUGUAUGAUCUCUAUUCUUCUUUUACACCCACGCAACCCUCUUAUCUUUGUAGCUAGCGCUAACUUUCUCUUGUGCAUGCACACGCCCGCAUCCCUCUCACCCUCCCUCAGCAUUCUCUAGCUCCAUCGCGCAAAUUCAUCUUUUCACUUUAGUCGUUCACCCAUGGUGUGUGUAUGCCCCCCAACUCCUUCUUUACAGCACACAUCGAUCGAUAUACCUCUCUAGCUAGGUGUUCCUAGCACAAACACAAGCUUCCCCUCUUCUCUUGUCACUAUCCAUGCCUCACUCCCACUACUCUUUUCAUCGUUCUCGUACUCGCACACUCCUCUCCCCUCGAUAUAGUAUGCCUCUCGUACCACCUCCUACAUGCAUCCCUCUCUCUCUAUCCUUCUUCUCGUGCCUCAUUUGCUUCUAACACACACAUGCAUGUAUACCGACCGAUCUCCCAACAUAUACCUAGAUUGACUUUAACUACCCACCACAUCGAUCGACGUACCUCACAAGUUAUGUCUCUCCUUUCUCUAACAAAGGGCGAUUGAUCUUCCUAUGUAGUUACAUAUGCUUACCACAGCCACAUCGUCCCCCCUCAUCAUUCGUGCAUGCCUCCUGACCCGUCUCUCACACGCACGUGCACAGACAACAAGCAGCCAUCUCCUCUCUUAUUGAUAUUGCGGGCGUGCCCUCCGUUUGUCUAGCAAGCCUAUCCCACCAUUUGUUAGAAGCAACUCCACUACCACCCCCUCCAACACUCUAGCUCUGUCUCUCUCCCAACCUUAUUCCUCUCCUGCACAUAUGCAUGGAUGCCGAUCGAUCUCCCUUAAUACAUGAGGCAGAUCGAUCUCCUUAAUACAUGAGGUAGGCGUCUCUCCUCCUCCACACAUAUACCAGCCAUUGUACCUCUAUAGUUAAUUGGGCCUCCCUCUUCCCCAACCACACACCGAUAGUCGAGUGUUGCAGGUAGGUAUCCAUGCCACAGACACAAACUGCACAUGUCCCCUCUCACGUUCCAGUAGGCCAUCCACUCUAUAUCUUUGACGUGGGCACACACAAAUUCGAUGGCACUCUUUAUCGAUCGCACGCGCACACACACACACAUCAUCCCUCUCUUUGAUUCUGUGAACACCUCAAGCCGAUGAUACCUCCACUCUCUUCUCGUGGAUCGCCCCCUCUAUAUAUAUGUUAUAUCCAGGACUCUAUUUCACACACAUUGCAUAUGUUACAUUUUUUGAUUGACCCCCCCCCCCAAAAAAACUCUCAAGAUCCCACACACUAUAUCUCUCUAGGUUUGUAUCUCUCUCACACAAUGCCACGUAGGUUGUGUGCGUAUACAAGAAGAGAAUAGGUGCACCAUGCACGUACUCACGCUUCGUGCCCAGCCACACCCGCGCGGGUACACGGUGGAGCUCAUUUCUUUACGAAAUGGCAGCCCACAUGCUAAUUUGAACGCCUGUAGCAGUUGUUUACCUAGGGAGGUCAUGUACCACGCGUGCACGAAAUAAAGUUUGACUUUACGCGUUGCCGCGUUAUUUUUAAAUAAAGUAAUAGCGCUCAAUGGCACAUACAUAGAAUAUAAAACUUUUUUUAUGGAGAAAAAGGUAGUCCGCUCACUAUAUACAAUGGAGCGUGCCUGCCUGGUUUGUCGCUGUUCAGAGUAUCUCACGCAAGGCUGCGGUGGCCUCUCUCUCUCUCUCACCGUUGGUCACUGAUACGGCCACAUCCCGUCCGUCGGGGGAAAGGGAGUGCAGUGGCCUCUCUCUCUCUCAUCGUUGGUCACUGAUCCGGCCGCAUCCCGUCCUCCGGGGAAAGGGAGAAAGUGCAUCGUUUCUCUGUUCGACGGUGCCGAGGCAGCUUGUCCCGAUCUGCGGUACACGCCGUUCUCUCUGACCAAGCUCCGGCGCGACAGGGCCUACGCCACCUGCUCGCAGAUUCCUGUUGGGGAACGUAGGAAUUUCAAAAUUUUCCUACGCACACGCAAGAUCAUGGUGAUGCAUAGCAACGAGAGGGGAGAGUAUUGUCCACGUACCCUCGUAGACCGUAAGCGGAAGCGUUAUGACAACGCGGUUGGUUGAUGUAGUCGUACGUCUUCACGAUCCGACCGAUCCAAGCACCGAACGUACGUCACCUCCGAGUCAGCACACGUUCAGCUCGAUGACGAUCCCCGGACUCCGAUCCAGCAAAGUGUCGGGGAUGAGUUCCGUCAGCACGAUGGCGUGGUGACGAUGAUGAUGUUCUACUGACGCAGGGCUUCGCCUAAGCACCACACGAUAUGACCGAGGUGGAAUAUGGUGGAGGGGGGCACCGCACACGGCUAAGGGAAGGAGAAGGAGAAGGAAGGAGAGGGAGGAAAAGGAGGAAAGGGGGGCCGGCCCCUUAGUCCAAUUCGGUUUGGGCUAGGGGGGCCGCGCGCCCUGCCUCCUCUCUUCCACCACUUGGCCCAUUAGGCCCAUUGCUUCUUCCUCGUAUUCCUGUAACUUCCCGGUACCCCCGAAAAUACCCGAAUCACUCGAAACCUUUCCGAAGUCCGAAUAUAGUCGUCCAAUAUAUCGAUCUUUACGCCUCGACCAUUUCGAGACUCCUCGUCAUGUCCCCGAUCUCAUCCGGGACUCCGAACUCCUUCGGUACAUCAAAACUCAUAAACUCAUAAUAUAACUGUCAUCGAAACCUUAAGCGUGCGGACCCUACGGGUUCGAGAACAAAGUAGACAUGACCGAAACACAUUUCCGGUCAAUAACCAAUAGCGGAAUCUGGAUGCUCAUAUUGGCUCCUACAUAUUCUAUGAAGAUCUUUAUCGGUCAAACCGCAUAACAACAUCCGUUGUUCCCUUUGUCAUCAGUAUGUUACUUGCCCGAGAUUCGAUCGUCGGUAUCCAAUACCUAGUUCAAUCUCGUUACCGGCAAGUCUCUUUACUCGUUACGUAAUGCAUCAUUCUGUAACUAACUCAUUAGCCACAUUGCUUGCAAGGCUUAUAGUGAUGUGCAUUACUGAGAGGGCCCAGAGAUACCUCUCCGACAAUCGGAGUGACAAAUCCUAAUCUCGAAAUACGCCAACCCAACAUGUACUUUCAGAGACACCUGUAGAGCUCCUUUAUAAUCACCCAGUUACGUUGUGACGUUUGGUAGCACACAAAGUGUUCCUCCGGUAAAUGGGAGUUGCAUAAUCUCAUAGUCAUAGGAACAUGUAUAUAUCAUGAAGAAAGCAAUAGCAACAUACUAAACGAUCAAGUGCUAAGCUAACGGAAUGAGUCAAGUCAAUCACAUCAUUCUCCUAAUGAUGUGAUCCCGUUAAUCAAAUGACAACUCUUUUGUCCAUGGCUAGGAAACUUAACCAUCUUUGAUUCACGAGCUAGUCAAGUAGAGGCAUACUAUUGACACUAUGUUUGUCUAUGUAUUCACACAUGUAUUAUGUUUCCGGUUAAUACAAUUCUAGCAUGAAUAAUAAACAUUUAUCAUGAAAUAAGGAAAUAAAUAAUAACUUUAUUAUUGCCUCUAGAGCAUAUUUCCUUCAGUCUCCCACUUGCACUAGAGUCAAUAAUCUAGUUCACAUCAGCAUGUGAUUCAACACCAAUAUUCACAUCUGUAUGUGAUUAGUACCCAUAGUUCACAUCGUCAUGUGAUCAACACCCAAAGGGUUUACUAGAGUCAAUAAUCUAGUUCACAUCGCUAUGUGAUUAACACCCAAAGAGUACUAAGGUAUGAUCAUGUUCUGCUUGUGAGAGAAAUUUGGUCAACGGGUCUGUUACAUACAGAGCCGUAUGUAUUUUGCGAAUAUUCUUAUGUCUUCAAUACUCUGCACGGAGCUACUAUAGCUAAUUGCUCCCACUUUCAAUAUGUAUCCAGAUUGAGACUUAGAGUCAUCUGGAUUAGUGUAAAAGUUUGCAUCGAUGUAACUCUUUAUGAUGAACUCUUUUAUCACCUCCAUAAUCGAGAAACAUCUCCUUAGUCCUCACUAAGGAUAUUCUUGACCGCUGUCUAGUGAUCUACUAUUACAUCAAAAUUGUAUCCUUUGCCAAACACAGAGCAAGGUAUACAAUAGGUCUGGUUCACAGCAUAGCAUACUUUAUAGAACCUAUGAUUGAGGCAUAGGGAAUGACUUUUUAUUCUCUUUCUAUUUUCUGCCAUGGUUGGGUCUUGAGUCUUACUCAAACUUCACACCUUGCAACACCGGCAAGAACUCCUUCAUUGACUGUUCCAUUUUGAACUAUUUCAAAAAAAAAUUAUCAAGGUAUGUACUCAUUGAAAAAUCUUAUCAAGCGUCUUGAUCUAUCUAUAUAGAUCUUGAUGCUCAAUGUGUAAGCAGCUUCACCGAGGUCUUGCUUUGAAAAACUCUUAUUCAAGUAUCCUUUCAUGCUAUCCAGAAUUUCUAUAUCAUUUCCAAUCAACAAUAUGUCAUCCACAUAUAAUAUUAGAAAUGCUACAGAGCUCCCACUCACUUUCUUGUAAAUACAGGCUUCUCAAAAAGUCUGUAUAAAACCAUAUGCUUUGAUCAACUCAUCAAAGCGUAUAUUCCAACUCCGAGAGGCUUGCACCAGUCCAUAAAUGGAUCACUGGAGCUUGCACACUUUGUUAGCACCUUUAGGAUUGACAAAACCUUCUGGUUGCAUCAUAUACAACUCUUCUUUAAUAAAUCCAUUAAGGAAUAUAGUUUUGACAUCCUUUUGCCAGAUUUCAUAAAAUGUGGCAAUUGCUAACAUGAUUUGGACAGACUUAAGCAUCGAUACGAGUGAGAAAAUCUCAUCGUAUUCAACACCUUGAACUUGUCGAAAACCUUUCAUAACAAGUUGAGCUUAGUAGAUAGUAACACUACUAUCAGUAUUCGUCUUCCUCUUGAAGAUCCAUUUAUUUAACAUGGCUUGCUGAUAAACGAGAAAGUCAAUCAAAGUCCAUACUUUGUUCUCAUAGAUGGAUCUCAUCUUAGAUUUUAUGGCCUCAAGCCAUUUCGUGGAAUCUGGGCUCAUCAUCGCUUCCUCAUAGUUUGUAGGUUCAUCAUGGUCUAGUAACAUGAUUUCUAGAAUAAGAUUACCGUACCACUCUGGUGCGGAUCUUAAUCUGGAAGAUCUACAAAGUUUGGUAGUAACUUGAUCUGAAGCUUCAUGAUCAUUAUCAUUAGCUUCCUCACUAAUUGGUGCAGGAAUCACUAGAACUGAUUUCUGUGAUGAACUACUUUCCAAUACGGGAGAAGGUACAAUUACCUUAUCAAGUUCUACUUUCCUCCCACUCACUUCUUUUGAGAGAAACUCCUUCUCUAGAAAGGAUCCAUUCUUAUCAACAAAGAUUUUGCUUUCGGAUCUGUGAUACAAGGUGUACCCAACAGUUUCCUUUGGGUAUUCUAUGAAGACGCACUUCUCCGAUUUGGGUUCUAGCUUAUCAUGUUGAAACUUUUUCACAUAAGCAUCGUAGCCCCAAACUUUAAGAAACGACAACUUUGGUUUCUUGCUAAAUCACAGUUCAUAAAACGUCGUUUCAAUGGAUUUUGAUGGUGCCCUAUUUAAGUCAAUGCAGUUGUCUCUAAUGCAUAACCCUAAAACGAUAGUGGUAAAUCGGUAAGAUACAUCAUAGAUCGCACCAUAUCCAAUAAAGUGUGGUUACGACAUUCGGACACACCAUUACGUUGUGGUGUUUCUUGUGGCGUGAGCUGUGAAACUAUUCCACAUUCUUUAUAUGAAGGCCAAACUUGUAACUCAAAUAUUCUCCUCCACGAUCAGAUCGUAGAAACUUUAUUUUUUGUUACGAUGAUUCUCCACUUCACUCUGAAAUUCUUUGAACUUUUCAAAUGUUUCAGACUUGUGUUUCAUUAAGUAGAUAUACCCAUAUCUGCUCAAAUCAUCUUGUGAAGGUCAGAAAAUAACGAUACUUGCCAUGAGCAUCAACACUCAAUGGAUCGCAUACAUCGGUAUGUAUUAUUUCCUAUAAGUCAGUAGCUCGUUCCAUUGUUCCGGAGAACGGAGUUUUAGUCAUCUUGCCCGAAAGUCACGGUUCGCAAGCAUCAAAUGAUUCAUAACCAAGUGAUUCCGAAAAUCCAUCUUUUAUGGAGUUUCUUCAUGCGCUUUACACCGAUAUGACCCAAACUGCAGUGCCACAAAUAAGUUGCACUAUCAUUAUUAACUUUGCAUCCUUUGGCAUCAAUAUUAUGAAUAUGUGUAUUACUACAAUCGAAAUCCAACAAACUAUUUUCAUUGGGUGUAUGACCAUCGAAGGUUUUAUUCAUGUAAACAGAACAACAAUUAUUCUUUGACUUUAAAUGAAUAACCGUAUCGCGAUAAACAUGAUCAAAUCAUAUUCAUGCUCAACGCAAACACCAAAUAACAUUUAUUUAGGUUUAACACUAAUCCAGAAAGUAUAGGGAGUGCGCGAUGAUGAUCAUAUCAAUCUUGGAACCACUUCCAAUACACAUCGUCACUUCACCCUCAACUAGUUUCUGUUUAUUCUAUAACUCCUGUUUCGAGUUACUGAUCUUAGCAACCGAACAAGUAUCAAAUACUCAGGGGUUACUAUAAACACUAGUAAGGCACACAUCAAUAAUUUGUAUAUCAAAUAUACCCUUGUUUAGUUUGCCAUCCUUCUUAUCCACCAAAUAUUCAGAGUAUUUCCGUUUCCAGUGACCAUUUCCUUUGAAGUGUAAGCACUCAGUUUUAGGCUUUGGUUCAGAUUUGGGCUUCUUCGUGGGAGUGACAACUUGCUUGUCAUUCUAGUUGAAGUUCCCUUUCUCUCCCUUUGCCCUUUUCUUGAAACUAGUGAUCUUGUCAACCAUCAACACUCAAUGCUCUUUCUUAAUUUCUACCUUCGUCGAUUUCAACAUCACGAAGAGCUUGGGAAUCGUUUUCGUCAUCCCUUGCAUACUAUAGUUCAUCACAAAGUUCUACUAACUUGGUGAUGGUGACUAGAGAAUUCUGUCAAUCACUAUCUUAUCUGGAAGAUUAACUCCCACUUGAUUCAAGCGAUUGUAGUACCCAGACAAUUUGAGCACAUGCUCACUAGUUGAGCGAUUCUCCUCCAUCUUUUAGCCAUAGAACUUGUUGGAGACUUCAUAUCUCUCAACUCGGGUAUUUGCCAAACGUUCAUAACGUCUGCAUCUGCUCCUGCAAUAGGUCUGUCACCUAGCGGUGCAUUAAAGACAUAAUUCUUCUGUGUAGCAAUGAGGAUAAACCUCAGAUCAUGGAUCCAAUCCGCAUCAUUGCUACUAACAUCUUUCAACACAAUUUUCUCUAGGAACAUAUCAAAAUAAACAUAUGAAAGCAACAACGCAAGCUAUCGAUAUACAACAUAAUUUGCAAAAUACUACCAGGACUAAGUUAAUGAUAAAUUUAAGUUCAAUUAAUCAUAUUACUUAAGAACUCCCACUUAGAUAGACAUCUCUCUAGUCAUCUAAGUGAUCACGUGAUCCAAAUCAACUAAACCAUGUCCAAUCGUCACGUGAGAUGGAGUAGUUUCAAUGGUGAACAUCACUAUGUUGAUCAUAUCUACUAUAUGAUUCACUUUCGACCUUUCGGUCUCCGUGAUCCGAGGCCAUAUCUGUUAUAUGCUAGGCUCGUCAAGUUUAACCUGAGUAUUCUGCGUGUGCAACUGUUUUUCACCCGUUGUAUUUGAACGUAGAGCCUAUCACACCCGAUCAUCACGUGGUGUCUCAGCACGAAGAACUUUCGCAACGGUGCAUAGUCAGGGAGAACACUUCUUGAUAAUUUUUAGUGAGAGAUCAUCUUAAAAUGCUACCAUCAAUCAAAGCAAGAUAAGAUGCAUAAAGGAUAAACAUCAGAUGCAAUCAAUAUAAGUGAUAUGAUAUGGCCAUCAUCAUCUUGUGCUUGUGAUCUCCAUCUGCGAAGCACCGUUGUGAUCACCAUCGUCACCGGCGCGACACCUUGAUCUCCAUCGUAGCAUCGUUGUCGUUUCGCCAUCUAUUGCUUCUACGACUAUCGCUACCGCUUAGUGAUAAAGUAAAGCAAUUACAGGGCGCUUGCAUUUCAUAGAAUAAAGCAACAACCAUAUGGCUCCUGCCAGUUGCCGAUAACUUGGUUACAAAACAUGAUCAUCUCAUACAAUAAAAUAUAGCAUCACGUCUUGACCGUAUCACAUCACAACAUGCCCUGCAAAAACAAGUUAGGCGUCCUCUACUUUGUUGUUGCAAAUUUUACGUGGCUGCUACGGGCUGAGCAAGAACCGUUCUUACCUACGCAUCAAAACCACAACGAUAGUUUCUCAAGUUGGUGGUGUUUUAACCUUCGCAAGGACCGGGCGUAGCCACACUCGGUUCAACUAAAGUGAGAGAGACAGACACCCGUCGGUCACCUUUAAGCAACGAGUGCUCGUAGCAGUGAAACCAGUCUCGCGUAAGCAUACGCGUAAUGUCGGUUCGGGCCGCUUCAUCUCACAAUACCGCUGAACCAAAGUAUGACAUGCUGGUAAGCAGUAUGACUUGUAUCGUCCACAACUCACUUGUGUUCUACUUGUGCAUAUAACAUCUACGCAUAAAACCUAGGCUCGGAUGCCACUGUUGGGGAACGUAGUAAUUUCAAAAUUUUCCUACGCACACGCAAGAUCAUGGUGAUGCAUAGCAAUGAGAGGGGAGAGUAUUGUCCAUGUACCCUUUUAGACCGUAAGCGGAAGCGUUAUGACAACGCGGUUGAUGUAGUCGUAUGUCUUCACGAUCCGACCGAUCCAAGCACCGAACGUACGGCACCUCCGAGUUCAGCACAUGUUCAGCUCGAUGACGAUCCCUGGACUCCGAUCCAGCAAAGUGUCGGGGAUAAGUUCCAUUAGCAUGACGGCGUGGUGACGAUCAUGAUGUUCUACCGACGCUGGGCUUCGCCUAAGCACCGCAACGAUAUGACCGAGGUGGAAUAUGGUGGAGGGGGGCACCGCACACGGCUAAGGAACGAUCACGAAGAUCAACUUGUGUGUCAUGGGGUGCCCCCCUGCCCCCGUAUAUAAAGGAGCAAGGGGGAGGGGGCGGCCGGCCAAAGGAUGGCGCGCCAGGGAGGAGUCCUACUCCCACCGGGAGUAGGACUCCCUCCUUUCCUAGUCCAACUAGGAGAGGGGAAGGAAGGGAAGGAGAAGGAGAAGGAAGGAGAGGGAGGAAAAGGAGGAAACGGGGGGCCGGCCCCUUAGUCCAAUUCGGUUUGGGCUAGGGGGGCCGCGCGCCCUGCCUCCUCUAUUCCACCACUUGGCCCAUUAGGCCCAUUGCUUCUUCCUCGUAUUCCCGUAACUUCCCGCUACGCCCAAAAAUAUCCGAAUCACUCGGAACCUUUCUGAAGUCCGAAUAUAGUCGUCCAAUAUAUCGAUCUUUACGUCUCGACCAUUUCAAGACUCCUCGUCAUGUCCCCGGUCUCAUCCGGGACUAUGAACUCCUUCGGUACAUCAAAACUCAUAAACUCAUAAUAUAACUGUCAUCGAAACCUUAAGCGUGCGGACCCUACGGGUUCGAGAACAAUGUAGACAUGACCGAAACACGUUUCCGGUCAAUAACCAAUAGCGGAACCUGGAUGCUCAUAUUGGCUCCUACAUAUUCUACGAAGAUCUUUAUCGGUCAAACUGCAUAACAACAUAGGUUGUUCCCUUUGUCAUCGGUAUGUUACUUGUCCGAGAUUCGAUGGUCGGUAUCCAAUACCUAGUUCAAUCUCGUUACCGGCAAGUCUCUUUACUCGUUAUGUAAUGCAUCAUUCCGUAACUAACUCAUUAGCCACAUUGCUUGCAAGGCUUAUAGUGAUGUGCAUUACCGAGAGGGCCCAGAGAUACCUCUCCGACAAUCAGAGUGACAAGUCCUAAUCUCGAAAUACGCCAACCCAACAUGUACCUUCGGAGACACCUGUAGAGAUCCUUUAUAAUCACCCAGUUACGUUGUGACGUUUGGUAGCACACAAAGUGUUCCUCCGGUAAACAGGAGUUGAAUAAUCUCAUAGUCAUAGUAACAUGUAUAAGUCAUGAAGAAAGCAAUAGCAACAUACUAAAUGAUCAAGUGCUAAGCUAACGGAAUGAGUCAAGUCAAUCACAUCAUUCUCCUAAUGAUGUGAUCCCGUUAAUCAAAUGACAACUCUUUUGUCCAUGGCUAGGAAACUUAACCAUCUUUGAUUCACGAGCUAGUCAAGUAGAGGCAUACUAGUGACACUAUGUUUGUCUAUGUAUUCACACAAGUAUUAUGUUUCCGGUUAAUACAAUUCUAGCAUGAAUAAUAAACAUUUAUCAUGAAAUAAGGAAAUAAAUAAUAACUUUAUUAUUUCCUCUAGGGCAUAUUUCCUUCAAUUCCGCCCGCCGCUGCUCACCUAGUUACAUCCCGACGACCUCCAGGUAUCCCCUCCGGCCUUGCUCCACUGCCCGUCUUCCAAGUCGCUGCAUGUGGAUCUUCCAUAGUUCAUUGCCCAAAACGUAGCUCGUCCGGCGUACUUUCCAUAUUGCAUUCUCGUCCUCACACCGUUUUAGACAAACACAACCGUGUUGUUAUCUUCCCUUAGGACAAGGAAUAUGCUUCUUUUUUGUCCUCGCAUGUGUCAUCAACUAUUAUUGGCCAGUAAUAGUUUCCUUUCUACCUCUUUUUUGCAAACAGGGCUAUCCAUUUCACCUCGUUGCUAUUGCGACCUUUUGGUGAACUACACAAAUCACUUUUUUCUUAAGAGUGUUUUGUGCAGUUGUACUAAAAUGUCACACGGGAAAUGUCUCUACAUUUCAGUCCGACUACACAAAGGGAGAUUGGUUUUGCUCUAUCCUCCUCAUCCAACUCCGAGCCUAAUCUGCUCCAACUAGUUAAUCUUAAGAGAGACUGCAAAGGUGACCGGCUUCUAUUUGUGUGUUUAUUGUUUCAUCAACAGUCCUCUAUUAUCGUAAUCACACUUAAUAUCUUUGGAACAGGGAUGCUCACACUUAAUAUCUUUGGAACAGGAAUUGCACAAAAUGAUCGGAAUGUUGCAUGCUCCAGAUAGCUACUUUUUUUCCCAACAUGCCUUGUUGAUUUAGACAGAGCUGGGGGGACGUUGCUGCCAAUGAAAGCAUGGACCAAUUUUAAUUUUAACACCUUCUCACAACUCUGUCUUCAGUUGUGAUGUAAUUAUUAGCUCUGAUCUGCUAAUAAUUGACAUGCAUUAGCAAGGAAGUUAGCUUUUUAUUGUUUCCGAAAGAGCAUCAAUGGCAAGACACGCGAAACAAAAGGUGAAAGCUCACACCAUUGUACAAUUUCAUGUCGCUGGAAAAUUAUUUGUAUAGUACGUCAAUUAUCUAAACAAAUGAUGGAAGCUUGAUAGCAUUGCCAGAAGCCUCUUCACCAUCCGGGUCCAUGUGCCAUGCACAAUAUUAUACUCAUUCGUUCCUAAAUAUUUGUCUUUUUACAAAUUUCAAACGGGCAUAUUUUAGAGUGUAGAUUCGCUCAUUUUGCUUCGUAUGUGUACUCCCUCUGUUCCUAAAUAUUCUAUUCGUCUUUCUAGAGAUUUCAACAAGUAACUACAUACGGAGCAAAAUGAGUGAAUCUACACUCUAAAAUAUGUCUAUAUACAUCCGUAUGUGCCAGUCCAUUUGAAAUCUCUAAAAAGACAAAUAUUUGAGUAGUCACUUGUUGAAAUCUCUAAAAAGACAAAUACUCCGGAGCAUAUAUAAGAACCGAGGGGGUAGUGCACAACCGCAUGGGAGACUCAUCUCGGUCAUUGCGCCGCAUUAAUAGUGAGUAAUGAGCAGUCAAAUCAUAAGCCCCACCUUUCCCAUUGUAAGUUGCUCUGAAGAAGCAACCAUCAAUACGCUCUUCUUUGAAUCCGCUCAUACGACUCCAUCCGUCACUGUUUACACAACGCGCUUCAGAAAAAAGAAAAAAAAUCUGUGGGACCAAGGCGACUAGCGAUCGGCCUGAAAAACAGCACUGGUAGUUAUAGCAUGGCGUCAAUUACUAGAGGGAAUAAUGCGUACACACAUGCAUGCAGUGCUUCCACCUAGGGUACACACAUGCAUGCACUUACUCCACUCCAUAGUACUCCCUCCAUUCCUAAAUGUUAGUCUUUUUAGAGAUCCAAAUGUACUACCACAUACCGAUGUAUAUAGACAUAUUUUCGAGUGUAGAUUCACUCAUUUUGCUCCGUAUGUAGUCACUAGUUGAAAUCUCUAUAAAGACUUAUAUUUAGGAACGGAGGGAGUAGUACAGAGUACAUGGAGAGAAAAUUGUGGACUUGAUUGCGGUUACCACGCCCUAAUUAAUUAAGCAUUAAAGCAAACGCGUCUAAAGUCUCUCUGGUGGUGGAAAUGCAUUGAGAGAAAUGCAUCAUAAUGAAGCACGCCUUGUAAACUGUGAUGGAGGGAGGAGUAGUAUGAACAUGCAAAACCAAGUACGCGUAUGGCCAGUCGGUCAACGCACCUCCUCUUGGCAUAUCACUGACAUGUGGGACAGGAGUGUGAGCAAACCGAUCUCAAUUGACAGCAAAGAGCCAACCCACCGUUCCUUGAGACAGACGAGGAUCGAGAACACACAGACGGGCACGCACGGAGGCCAAGAUAUAUUCGAGCAUGGCUGGUUGAUCGAUAUCAUUCCUUACAUGUUGGGCUGUCGUUUCCCGCCCUUCUCCGGAAUAAAUGUGUACUUUACAGAGAUAAAAAAAUAAGAGUACAGACGCUCCACCAUGCGGUUCUAGUAGUAGUACUACUCGUACUACUGCGCUUGGCUCUUCGCCUCUUCGUGAAGUCGAACAAUGACGGUACUCCGCAUGUUGGGUACUACAGCGUAUGCCUCUGACAAUCUGACACCGAAUGGACUGAUGCAUGUCCACCGAGGGUUGGUUGCAUUAGUCAAAAGGCGUAAGCGACCUUCACCUUGUCCUGCAAGCUUCUCCUCAUUCUACGAGUUGACGGGACACACCAAAAAGUAGUGCUAGUCCAUACUCCCUCCUUUCCGGUUAAUAUGGCUUAAUAUUUUUUGCGGGUAAAUGAGAGAGCUUUAUUCAUAUAUAAGCAUUCUUAGGACGAUCGGCCAAGACAAUGGUCACUAGGAAGCGAGGCACCUCGCAAAAAAAGAAGUAGGAAGCGAGGUGUUUCAUCAAGCCAGCUCUCGACCACAUUCAAAGUGCAGCAAGCACGGUUCGCACGAAGAUGCGCCGAAGGUUUGCUGACCUGUUUACAUGCUGAAUAACAAAAAAAGAGGAAAUAUUACCGAGCACUACUAUUUGUAACAGGAUAUGUGCCAGAAUUAAGCGAGAAUUGUGGCGAGUGUUCCAUGCAAUCAACUUCCAUUAUCACAUGCGAGAACCCUCGAAGAAAACCAAAUGUGUUGAAGAUUGCUUUAUCACAUUCUAAAAUUAUAAUAAGAGUGCAGACGCUCCUCCAUCUGGUUCCUAGUACUAGUAUAGUACGUACCUUUAUAGAGUAUAGUAGUAGUACUAGUACUAGUAAACUUUGCGCUUGGUUGUUCGCCUAUUCGGGAAGUCGAACAAUAAUAGCACUAGUAGUAUAGUGUAUGCUUCUGGCAAUCUGACACCCAAUUAACUGUUCAAUGUCCAUCGCCUGAGCGAGGGAGAGCUUGCAUUAGUCAAAAGUUUCUCCUUGUCCUGCAAGCCACCGCGAGCAAGCUUCUCCCGUCUCGCAACCUUCUCCUCGUUCGACAAGUUGACGGGACACAUCAAAGUAAUGCUAGUCCAUACUGCCUCAUCUCCGGUUAAUAUGGCUUAAUUUCAAACGAGAUAAAUACACUGUCUGUCACUAUAUAUUUGUAAAAAUAUGGUCAGUGGACUUCAUAAUACGCUAAUUGCGCUCAAUAUAUAUAUUUUCCGGUGUUUAUAUGGUCACUAGCUCACCCUGACUGAGUAUGUGUGUGCAUGCACGUGUAGGUUGAGCACUUAGCGUGACCGUGCGUGUUCUGUCGUGUGCUCGGACAUGCAUGCAUUAGGGCAUCGCGCGCGUUUUGCGUCCAUGUGUACGUGUGACUGUUGCAUACAUGUAGGGGGAGUACAUGUAGGGGCCACUAAGGAGCAGUCAAAUCACACAGUAAGUUAGUUGGAAGAAGCAACCAUCAUUUCACUCUUGAAUGACACGUAUGCAAUAUAAAAUGGUUGAUAUGGAGAGAAAAAGAAAACCACUAUAUAUAGACUAGCAGGAGACUAAGCUACAAGCCUGCUUGCUUAGGUUGCUCUCUUCACAAGCAUAGAACGACGGGCCUGAUCCUGCAGCUGGGGGAAGGGAACAAUGUUCUGCGUAGACACGGUCGACAUCGGCGAGGGAGAAAACCCAUAGUCGGUGUGUCCCAAUCGGGGGUCACCGCGGUAUGAGCUGAUGCCGCGUCCGAACCGCCCUUCUAGCUACAGCCCGACAUCCCAGGUAGUCCAUCUUCCUUUUGGAGCCGGCUUGCUCCACUGCCGUAGCUCCAUCUCCAUGUCGAUCUUUCUCUACUUCUACCGACUUCUACUUGUGAUGAUUUUAUGUCUCAUGAACUAGUGCCAGUACUAUUAUUCUAAUCACACUUCUUCAAUAUCUUUGCCAUCAGGGAUGCUCAGGUCAAUUUUAAUGGAACUGCACAAAAGCAUCAUAUGAUCCGAGGGUGCCAGCCAUCUUUCCUUCGAUAGGUUCUACUUGGCCAGGGAAUAAAAUCAUGUUUAGGGUUUAGGGUUUAAGUCGUAGUGAACCCAUCAGUAGUUUUUCUUUCGUACACGCUCUCACAACUUUUUUCUUUAGUUGUGAAGUAAAUAUUGGCUAUGAUCUGUGAAUCAUUGAGAUGCAUCAGCAUGUGUGUUAGUUUUCCUUUGUAUUUGAUGGAAUAUUGUAACGGGGCAACCUUGGAAUAGGAAUUGAAAUGGAGUGGAAAGUUUCCGUUUUUCUGGAGAAAAAAAUGGAAACGGAGAGAAACCAAUGUUUUGUUUCGUUGGAUCGCGCCAUCGAGCAAAACCAACGUUUAAAUCACGUCUAUCGUGUUCGUGUCUCACCCUCCUGCACGGCUCGACCCCACACGGUCGCUCGGCAUGCCACUCACCGCAAACCGAGUAUACGAUAACUUUCCCGCCUGCUUGUCGAUGGAUCGCGCCAUGGAGUACUAGCACUACUGGAAGAGAUUGACAAGUUGGGGGAGGACAGCUAGCUGUAGCACGGACUCCCAAGAACUUUUUACAUGCAUGUUGUAGCCGGCUAUUGUGACCUUUGAACACGGAGCAGCCGUGUGCACCCGGAAGCGGCGCGGCGACGGUCUCUCAGCCGGCGCUCCGCUUCAAUACCGGCGCCUGUGAGAGGUCGCGUCCGCUCUGGCCGGGCAUGAAUGCGGCACUGACCGUUUCGGGCGGGAAGCACGCGCGGGUGAUGAAGAGGGUUUGGAUUGGUCAGGACCGGCCGUGGCAGCGGUCCGGACGUGCGCAAACAAGAGAUGCUAUACAUUAAUAUUGCUGCGUAUAUAACUAACAACAUAAAUAAUCUUCCAGUUGGACAAAUAUGAUUGGAGAUGGAGAUGGAAAUGGAAUUUUACGUAAACACGGAUAUGCAUGUCUAUGUAUAUGUGUGUGUGCGCGACGACUCUCGCGACCUGGAAGCGGGGGUGUGUUUUUGAUCGAGUUUUCUUUCUUGGUAAGUUAGAAAAUCAGUUUGUCUAAUUCACAUCUAGAUGUUAUUUAAGGAUAUCACAUCUAAGCCCGCACAACUAUAUAAUGUAGCAACAAGAAAUAAAAAAAACUAGGACAAAAAAAUAGACCACAAACAGAGUGGACAUCAACUUAAAUAUGACAUAACUAUGUCACAUCUAGAUGUGUCCUAGACAGACCCUUAAAAAAUUGUCCGCCAGUUUUCGUUUCUUUUUUCCGGGAACGCGCGUAUUCUAUUUAAAACCACUGCUAUGGAGAGAUUUUUUUACUCCAUUAUAGCCUCUUGUUUGAUAGAGUUUCUCGCAUCUCGCUCUCUCACCCUCACCAUAUCAAAACAAGAUGAGAGUGUCCACUCUAUCUCUCUCCUCACCGGUUGUCACAAAUCCGGCUGAAUCCCGUCCGCUGCGGGAAAUGAGGAGGUGCAGCGUUGACGUUGUCGCCGUCGGCGACGGAGGAAGCCGAUGCGCACCGUCCUCUAGGAGCCGGCGCUGGCGCGCACGAAGAUCCUCCGCGCCCUUAUUCGCUGCCGUCGUGUGGGAAGAUCCCGCCCACCCACCUGAACGACAUCUCACCCACCUGAGGUAUAACUUCUUGUACUGGUCCAGCUCCCCAGUUCGCUGCGUGCGGGUUUUCUUCUAUGCGACUACUCCCCAGCUCCCCAUGCGUAGUAGCUAGGGUUCGUCGGCUGGUCCAACAUCACCUACUAGUACUAUUAUAGAGGAAAUGCCACUCGAAAAGUUGUCCUGAUUUAUGCCUCGGUGGAGGUAUACAUGUUGUUUCGACAAAAAAUACAUGGUGGUUGUGCGACCAUUGUCCAUAUGGUGGUAGUACUAUCACUGGUUAAAUGAAGAAAUGUUUUUUUCUCGGGUAUCCUGGUUUAGUUCCCAUCAAGAUAAUUAUGAUGCUUCUGUUUGUUGGUGUACUUUUCAUUAAUUCUUGUUGACAAUUGAGAUGUCAUUGCUAACCCUUUUUUAUAUUUUUGGAAACAGUGAUGCGUGUCUCCAUACCCGGGCAUGUCUUCCUCAAUUUUAGUGGAACUGCACAAAAUUGGAUGGCCAUUGUUGUUCCGCCUCACUGUCCUCUGCCACGUGGUUCUUCCUUCCUCGAGCUUGAUUACUGAGAAGAAACAGACCACAGUGAGGAUUUGUCGAACUUCAUAGGUGCCUCACCCAAACUUGAUGCCAAAUGGAUGAUGCAUCACCACGAUGACCUAUCGAUGCUCAUGGUUGCGCCUCAUGGUUGCCUUGGCUGGUGAAGCUGAUCGAUUUUCAAUGAAAAACAAGCUAUCUUCCAUCAGUGCACUUUGCUUGUUAGGCACAAAGAUGAUAUCCUUCGUUAGUUCCCCUUGGUUGCGUUGGAGACGCAGUCGUCUUUCACGUUGAUGCAAUUUUAUCACACAAUUGGCUAUGAACCAAAUGUUUCCUUGAAGAAGGAUCGACGUUGGUACUAAGAGCAUAAAUUUUGUAUUGAUUUCUAAGCCUUCUCACAACUUUGUCUCUAGCUCCCCUGAAAUUUUAUUUGUCCAGCUAUUAACUUUGAUUUAAAAAAUGGUGUGGACUAAAAGCCUGGAUGGACGUAGUAGCCCUCCAUUUUUAUUUACUGCGCAUAUUAGAUUUGACUGAAGUCAAACUUUGUAAUACUCUCAAACCUUUCCGAUAAUUAAAAUUAAAAUUCUUUAUUUGUACACACUCUCACACAUUUCCGAUAAUCUGGCGCAUGUGUGGUUGUUCACUUAAGGGAGGGUAGUGUACCACAUGUGAAAGACAGGAAGUGCGACCAGGACGCGUGGGUGUGGAUCGUUAGUUCAUCGGAAGUAGUACUAGUUUUCUUCACUGUACAAUAAAUAAAGAGUUUCGUUUCGUACUUACACAGUUUAAAACGAUUGUUAUGGAGUGAAUAAGAAAACCACUCCACUAUAUAUUAGUCCUAUACAUGAGAGUACUAUAUGGACGCACCUUCAUUGACUUAAUGCACCUGCCUUUGGGUUUAUGACAGGUGGGCCCAAAAUGUGGCUGGCUCACCUGUCAUACAGCCAAAAGCAGGUGCAGUGAAGGCACUGGAGCUCAGUCCGUGCUACAAUGGUAUAUAUAUAAGCGGGAGCCUCAGCGCUUGUUUGCUAGGGUUUGCACUCUCCACACGCUCGCCGCAUUAUAUAUAUGUUACACACUGGAGGCUCAGCGUUCAUUUGCUAGGGUUUGCUAUAUUCACAGUCUCUCACCCUCUCUUCAUCAGAUCUAAACAAGACUGCAUUGGCCUCUUGUCUCUCUCUCCCCCCUCACAGCUGCUAAAGGAGGCGUCCGUAUCCCGUCGCACCGGGAAGGGGAGGAGGUGCAGCCAUCACUCUAUCGCCUUCGGCGAGGGAGGCAAUCCACUGCCGGCUGCGUUGUUCUCUUUCACCCAGCGCCUGUGCAGGAGGGCCACCGACCCCUUCUUCCUCGCUGCCGUACGUAGUGUGGGCAGAUCCGGCCUCCCGCCGAACGCUUUGCCACAUCCCAACGACCCUGAGGUAUAAGUUUCUUUGAAACCGUCGUUGCUCUAGCUGCAUGUGGAUCUUUUUUGAUCUGUAGUCAAAUCUAGGUCUUGGUUCAAAGAGGAAAGAAAGGUGCAGUGGGUGGAGCAUGAAUCUAGGACGUGGUUCAAUGAGGAAAGGAGGUAGGAAAAGUAGUAUAGACUGGCUAUCUAGCCGCUUUGUUGGUCGAAAAGGGAAAAAGGGGGUAACCCAGUACACACAUCUGUAAGGAACCGAUCUCUUUUUUGAAAAGGGAAAGAAACUGGGGGGUCGGGUAGUUUGUGCAGGACUAGAUUUGCUACCCUCACAUAGGGAAAAUUUUCAAAGAGAACAAAUAUGGGACCAACACAGAUAUGCUGCUGGGCUACAUACUCUGCAUCACCCAUUUAUACGUGUGGAUGCACAUGGUGCUAGCAUGUCCCAUAUAGCUAUUUUGCUAUUGUUAAUCUAAGAAUGCCGCCGAAAAAUUGAAGCAAUGCCACUGUUAAAAGUAAAUUACAUUUUUUAACGAAUGUUGUUUCAAGAGAAUGUCUCUGUUAAUAUGAAUCAAUGCAACCGUUUUAUAAAUGCUACUAUCCUACUUUGUUUUCCAUCCAAGAUAAUUAGAUGCUUCUUUCUGUCACCGUUUAUUUCAUCCUUUAUCGGCAAGUAAUUGUUUCCUUUUUUGCCUCUGUUAAAACAGGGGUAUCGAUUCAACUUGUUGCUAUUGCGACAUUUUGCUUCGCUACUCGAAUUACUUAUGUUUUAAGAGUGUUUUGUGCAGUUCAACUUCAAUGUCACACCGAUGACUUUGCUUAAUUUUGGUGGAACUGCACAAAAGGAGAUCGAGAUUUGUUUCCAGUCUUCGUGGCGAGUUGUUUCAAAUCUUGGUCUCAACCACAUGAUGUACAGUGUGCUUUGAGAUGUUGUGCUACUGGUUUUGGUACUGUUUUAAAUAAAUGUUGACUUUAAGCUAUUGUAUUGCUGUCUUUUCCCAUUAACUAGUGAACAAAAAUGGGACCAACCCAGAAAUGAUGCUUGUUGCUUUGUUAUAACAAAUUCAGCAUCACCCCCUUUAUAAGCCAGUAAUUGAUGCCACUCUCAGAAUUAACUACUGAAUCUUAUUUCAAAACUGCAACACUUGUUAGGGAUUGGCGGGAUUACCAUUUUUGUGGUCGCAUGUUUCAUCCUCCUUUAUUAGCCAGUAAUUGAUUCCUUUUUUGCCUCUGUUUAAACAGGGAUAUCUAUUCAACUUGUUGCUAUUGCAACAUUUUUCUUCACUACGCGAAACACUUUGCUUGAUUUCAGUGCAACUUCACAAAACGAGAUUGGAUUUCCUAUUCGUGUUGGCAGAUUCGUAUUUUAUCUUGUCUGUCUCAUGAAAGGUUAGUAUAGGCCUUCAUCCAUAUGAUUAUGCAGUGUGCUUUGAGAUGUUGUCCUACUUGUAUUGGUACUGUUUUAAAUAAAUGUUGAAUUGAAGCUAUUGUAUUGCUCUCUUUUCCCAUCAAGUAGUGAACAAAAAUGGGACCAACCCAGACAUGAUGCUUGUUGCUUUGUUACAACAAACGCUACAUCACCCCCUUUAUAAGUAGAUGGAAGCACAUAAUGUUGUUGCGCCCACUCUCCCCUGGAACUGUUUAUGCUUUUCGUUAAUCUAAUGCCGCUGGUAAAAUUCAGCAAUGCCACUCUCAGAAUUAAUUAACUACUGAAUCUUAGUUCAAAACUGCAACACUUGUUAGGAAUGGUACUAUCCUACUUUGUAGUUCUUUCUACAUGUUUAACCAAGGUAUUGUUAAGAUAAUGUCUCUGUUAAAAUGAAUCAGUUUCAUUGUUUUAGGAAUGGUACUUUUCUGCUUUGUCAUUCUUUAUACGUGUUGAAACAAGGCAGUGUUAAGAUAAUGUCUCAGUCAAUAUGAAUGAAUCACACUGAUGGAGAAUUGCUACUCUCCUGCUUUGUUUCCCAUUAACAUAUAUAAAGUAGAUCAGUAGAUGUUUUUCUUCUGGGAGUACAAGUCAUCAACCGUUAUUUCUCAGUAAUUGUUUCCCUUAUACCUAUUGUUGCUUACAGGGAUAUCAAAAUUAAAACUUGGUUUUAUUCCGACUUUGAUUUUAGUUGAACUGCACAAAAGGAGCCAAUGUGUCCAAGGCAAACUGCUGAAUUACUGGGUCUAGUUGGUCGUUCCACUUUGUAGAAAGAAGCAGUCACUGUUUGCGCUACAUUACAUAAGGAAUGACCGAGAUGCUUUACAGAGUAUUAUUAGACACCGGUGACCUGACUAGUCUGCAUAGACCAUUGGCAAUUUAAUAACACGUGGAGUGCCCUAGGCAAAAAGUGCCCAAACAAGUACAAGAAGCUACGACAGGACUCGACGAUCAUAGGCAUUACAUAUUUUGAAUGGGAAAAGCUUGUCAAAGUUUAAUCAUUGAUGUUACCUAGAAGACAUUAGUUUAAUAUAUUGGAAUUGGAAAACCUUGUCAAAAUUUGCUCAUUGAUGUUAGCCAGAAGACAUGCAUUUGAUAUUUUUGAGUGGUACGCCCUUGCUGUGAGCAGCGUCGAGUGUUUUUUCCUAUUCCUGUGUUCAGUUUAGAAGUAAAUAGGUACUCUGCUGAGAUAUUCCUGUGUUAAGAAUUUGUUCUUAAUAUUGUCUAUGUAAUGCCAGGCAUUGUGUUUGAUUGCACAGUUGAGCUUGGAAUGUUAUGGCAUGCGGCAUCACGAGUUGUUCACCGUGCCUCCUGAGAAUAAUGCUUCAUAUUGUUUUGCAUGUCGAUCUAAUGCCAGUGAUUUGCUUGUUAAGAAGAUCAUCCUCUUCUGUUGUUUUCGUGCUUAAAAAGUUCAUCGUCUGAUGUUUCAUUCAUAGCCUAUACGACAAGUCGGGUAGGUUAGACGUGAAACCAUAUGAUCUUCCGACCAACUCAUGAUAUUAGGCCGUGAUUGGAUCGUCGUUUUCCAACCAAAACCGCUUGUAAAACUGACGCUUGUAAAUUAAAGCAGAUGGUCUUGGGCGAAGGCGCUUGGUUGGUCGAUUUGACUAGUAAAAUAUUCGAAGUACUUCACACACGAUAAAAACGCUGAACGAUACUCAGAGAUUGCUAAUCCAGCCGUUAGUUGUUAUUUCAGACUUGCCCAUCGAUGGCAUGAUACGCACGUCAUACAUGUAUCAUCUGGUAAUGUUAUCCAUAUACCAGUGCUCGUAAAAUAUACACUGGUCUCUCAAAUUACACGCAUAACCCGCCGGUUUUACUUACAGACCUCGGGCCCUCGGCUUCAUUAUGCCUGUAUUUUACGCGUUGUUUCCGGUGACAAGUAAAUUACACUUGUAUGUUAAUACAGGUUUGAAAUAAACCAGAGCUCCCAAGCGCGGCCUUACUGUUUCAUGCCGUCUCAGUUUCUUGAAGGUGCUCAUAGGUGUCCGAUAAUCCUAGCUUCCUGAAUGAGCAGCGGGCGCUAUAUCAGACCAUCCGUAGGGCCCGCGAGGCCCUCUCCGUUGUCCUUCGAGUUGUUGCGCUCGCCGUGGCACCGAGCAUUGUUAACAUCAUCAACGAACAUGAGGAUUCAGGAGAUGACUUUAUUUUGACUGGAUGACACUAGGGACCCACUAGGGCCAUAGCCGUACGUACGCAAGUGCCUCCUUAUUAUGUACAAAUAUAUUUUUUGCUUUCUCCUGGUUUCCUGACAUCAGGUCCCACACCAUUGUCAACCUAUGUAGUCAAUAUGAACGAGAGAAUUGCACAAGGUGCGGCUGACAGCUGGGACCAAGCUGCUCGAGCAGUAUUUGUGUUUUUUAGGCGUGAGCACUGUAGAGUUUUUCUUGGCGAUGAUUUUGUUGUUGUUCAGAGGAGAGUAGGGUAUUAACUGGACGGGCUGUGACCCGUCUAGCCCAGGCCAGAUAUCCAGCCCAUAUACUAAUCUUUUCAAGAUGAAAAUGGCUAGCCCAGCUAUACGUCUUUUUGAGGAAUACCCAGGCAAGGUCAACUUGUUAUUCUCUGCCCCGCUGGGCUGUAAAUCUUUCCUAGGAGGGAUGCAUUAGGCUUAACAGGAAAAUGGGCUUUAAAAAUAAUAAAUGGGAUGUAAUUAUAAAAACUGGGCAGUAACUAUAAAAAAAUUCACCAAACACGAAAUUAGUUUAUAAAAUAUUAUUUAUGCAUUUUGAAAAUCUUAAAUUUUCAUUGUUGCGCACGCAUUGUUUCAUUCAAUUUUUACGUAAUACAAAUUUAUAUUUAAUAUGACUAGAAAUUUCGGGAUAAAAAUAUUUCGGAUCCCAUCAAAAUGUGGGAAAUUUUAUUGAAUUCUGUCUUCAACGGUUGGUUGAAAUUAUUAAUCGUUCCUAGCUAGAAAAUAGGCUGUACUUUUAACAAACUGUAAAUGGGUUGUUGUAAAUUCCAUUAGAAUUCAAAAAUGGGUUGUACAUUCGUACAAAACGCAAAUGGGCUAUAAGUUCUCUUCCACACACUUGUGGGCCUACUAAGUGAUGCGUCCCCUAAAAAAAUAAGUUGACGCGUAUGCAAGGCUUUGUCAACUUAUUAUAGUCAACACAUGGUUCUAGCAGCAGUGGCUGUUGGAUGUCUAUCCAAUGGAUGUCGCGCUUCUUCUUCAAUCUCGAAUAUUCUUAGCAUCGGCCGCCCAAAAAAUGAUUCCUCCCCCUAACAUCUGGGGUGCACCGUUUCGGAGGCUGACCUGUGGGCCUACUUAGUUGGAGCGUACCAAGGGCUUUAUCAACUUAGUCAAUAUAAACGAUUCUAGCUUCAGUGACCGUACGAUGUCCAUCCAACGGCCGUAGUGCUUCUUCAACCUCUGGUCUUCUUGGUCCAGCCGCCCCAAGCAGCGCCAGUCGUGCCGCUUGAUCCUACCUCCCAUGGCCGGCUGUGCUGCCGCGGAGGCCUCACCGCCUCCAUACUACUCCCACCGCUGGCCAGGCCAUCCCUCCACUCACCCACACCCCCUGUUAUUCUACGGCGAUGGUAGCCUCACACCACAACCGAACCAGUGAACCCUCGUACUCCUCUUCGCGCGGGCUUCCAAUGCUGCGUCUGCCCCGGCUCCGCGUCGUCCCCUUCCUAGGCCUCGCUGUCGUCCACCGCCCUGGUGCUCUCGGUGUGGCGUGGUCAACGUGGUCAACGAUCGACUUCCAUCGGAAGAGUAUUGUACGUGGAGAGGCUGACAUCUGGGUCCACGGCGGCCGCAAGGAAGUGCCUCCUUAUUACGCGCAAAAUAAUUAUUCCUCCACCUGACAGCAGGGACCCACCGGACGAGCCACCUUAUUUCGUGAAAAAAACAUUUCCCCCUGACUGCUGGGACCCACCAGACGGGCCACCGUAUUUCGUGAAAAAAACGUUCCCCCCACUGUUAGCUCGGACCCACCGGAAGUGCCUCCUUAUUACGCAGAAAAAAAUGAAUACUCCCCCUGCUAGCUGGGACCCACCUUGGUGUGAGGCUGACUUGUGGGCCUACUAAGUUGACGGGGACGGAAGGCUUUGUCAACUUAGUCAAUAUGAACGAUUCUAGGUCAAGUGACCGUACGAUGUCCAUCCAACGGCCGUAGUGCUUCUUCAACCUCUGCUCUUCUUGCUCCAGCCGCCCAAAGCAGCGCCGGUCGUGCCGCCUGCUCCUGCCUCCCGUGGCUAGCUGUGCUGCCGCGUAGGCCUCAUCGCCCCCUACUAUUCCCACCGCUGGCCGGGCCCUGCGGCGACGGUAGCCUCACACCGCAGCAGAACGAGUGAACCCUCAUACUCCUCUCUGCGUGGGCAUCCACUGCCGCGUUUUCAUCGGCUCCGCGUCGUCCCCUUCCUAGGCCUCGCCGUCGUCCACCGCCCUGGUGCUCUUGGCGCGGCGUGCUCGACGUGGUGAAGGAAUGACUUCCAUCGGACGUGGACUGUACGUGGAGAGGCUGACAGCUGGGUCCACGGCUGCAGCAAGGAAGUGCCUCCUUAUUACGCGGAAAAUAAUGAUUCCUCCACCUGACAGCAGGGACCCACUAGACGGGCCACCGUAUUUCGCGAAAAAACGUUUCCCCCCUGACUGCUGGGACCCACCAGCUACACCUUCGCACGCAAGGAAGUGCGUCUGGCUAAAAAAAACAGUUCGCCCGCCUGACUGCUAGGACCCACCCGCUACAUCUUCGCACGCAAGGAAGUGUGUCCAGGCAAAAAAAACCCAAAACGAUUCGCCCCCCUGGCUGUUGGGACCCACCAGCUACAUCUUCGCAGGCAAGGAAGUGCCUGACAGUUGGGCCCACCUGGUCGAAGCGUACUUAGCGUUGUCAUUCUAGUCGCGAACAUGUACGUACAUAUAUACUGGUGGAUGUAGAGGCAAGCACGUGUCGUAGUAGAGGCGCGCACGUAGCAUGCACACGUAUGUACAGCGGCCAGGGUGCAAGAAAGAAAAUACGGCCACGUAUGUGUACAUACGGGCAGGGUCUCGAACGCCUACUCACGUAUACAUACGGCGAGGGCUCGUGUACAUGACUGCGUCAGAACAGAGAAACAACGUCAUCGUCGUGUUGAUGGGGAGGCAACGGAAUGCGUUGUGUUCAUGGGGAGGCAACGGAAUGCGUCAUUUUCAUGGAGAGGCAACGAAAUGCGUCGUAUUCAUCGGGAGACAACGGAAUGCGUGGGAGCCAACCAGCUGGGUCGGAAUGGAAUGCGUGGUCGUGUUCAUCAGGAGGGCUUGGACGGAACAGGCGAUGGAAAUGAAGGCUGGCAUACCGCAAAACGGAGGAAAUGGACCUCCUACGUUCGGAACGGGGGUCCUAUUGAUCGGGAGGGGUGUGUCGUACCGAAAAAUGGAGGAAACGGACCUCCUAUGGUCGAAACAGGGGUCCUGUUGAUCGGGAGGGGUGUGGCGUACCGCAAAACAGACGAAACGGACCUCCUACGGCCGAAGCGGGGGUCCUGUUCGUCAGGAGGGGUGUGGCGUACUGCAAAAUGGGACUCCAUGGGAUACUGUUCAUCUCCACCGUCGACCUCCUCCAGCCUCCACGGGUUACCGUCGACCUCCUCCAGCAUCCACGGGCUCCUGUUCAUCCAGCCUCCACCGUGCGCUACUCCACCGGCUACUGUUCAACCAACCCUCCAUGGGCACCCCUCCACCGUCUAUUGUUCAUCCAACCCUCCACAACACGAGGUCCUAUUCAACCACCCCUCCACGGGCACCCCUCCAUCGUCUACUAUUCAGCCAGCACUCCACCACACCAAGGGGUCAUGUUCAUCCAGAGGCAACGCCACCGGUCACUGUUCAUCCAACCCCCCCCUCCCCGCAACGCUCACUGUAAAUCCCAAAGGCAGCAUCGAUCGACUUCAGUUAGCAGCAGUAGCAAAGGAAUCGCUCGAUCAGGUUCAGUUAAUAGCCAUCGAUCGAUCCCUCGGGUUCAGUAACACGUAACCUGCGGUGCAAUCGCUCGGGUUCAGUUAGAGCCCAACGCCUCACUCGGGUUCAGUUAGAGCCAACGCCUCGCACACACGCGCGUACGUGUACGAGAGAAAUGCGCAUCGCUCAGCCCCCGACUUCCCAACGUAACCGGGAACUCCCCAAAAUUGUCCUCCCCCUCGCUUCUACCACUGUUUUUUCCGUCAUGGACGGCCCAAAGAAUGUCAUGGAGCUGGGUCUUCGGCCCGCCCAGGACGAAAAGCCAAUUUUCUGUCAUGAUUUUUUGUCAUAGAAGUAGGAGCCCACCACAUCUAUGAUGAUACCGGGUUUUGUCACAAUUAUCGUCAUAGAAGUGUCAUAUGUAUGACAGAAGAAAAAUUCGUUCGGCCCAAAAUGUCACGGAUGUGUCUUUUUUUUGUAGUGUGAUUUGUAUAUCUCCAGCCAAUUUGCAGUCCAUCGAUUAUUCCAUUGCCAUCUCAUGGCCUUGGCAUGGAGGAACUAUGCCACAUGAUAAAGCAGUCCUGAUGUAAUCUCUCUGGCCUUCUCAGCAUUCUCCAUGCCUGUUCCUAGCCAUGGAUAUCUGCCGGCACCAACCAGCACACAAACUGUAAGUAGAAAAAGACGAUCGAGGGUUAUGGUUAUAGGGAUUUAGACAUAGUUUUCUUAUGUUUUAGAUCCGCUGAGGAUGUUGUUACAGUGAUUGAACAUACGUCUGGCUACCUAUAUGCUCAACACAGGGUGGUGCAUAUUUGAUUCCAUCAAUAAUUUAACGCACUAACCGACAUUGAAUCUUUGUUUCUCUUUUGUUCUUUUUUACAUCCUUCGCUAGUUCUUGCAAUCUUCUAAAUAAGUCACAUUCAGUUGGUCACUGUUUGUUCACAGAGUUCUUUCAUGAUCAGUAGAAACUUGAUGUGUGUUGACAUUGGCAUUGGUGGCCCAAAAUAAGGACAUGAAUAUGUUGCAUUAAACUUCUCUCCUUGCCAUCGAUGCUCAUAUUUGCGCCUUGGGGGUGAUCUUGGUUUCUUUGCAUGGUUUGGCCGAUAAGCAUUCUUGUCUUCACUCUUCUUUUGAUAUUUAUCCAAUAGUUCAGUGAAGGUGAUUUUUAAUCUCUUACACUUGUGCUUAUUUCGGCCUUUGUUUUCCUUUUGUUUUCUUUCAUCGAUCAUUGGAGUUUCUUCUUGCCCUCUAGUCCUUAGCGUCUUCAUUGUAGCUUCGAUAGAAUUUUCACCCUCAAGAAUAUUAUCAUUGUGCUCUUAAAAGAUUUUCCUACCUGAAAGCUUAAUCCCAUUCUCUAUAGUUUUUACCUUCUCAUGCUUAAAUAGACCAGCAUGAAGCAGCCGAUGCAAAAACUAUUUACCAUCUGGACCAAUUGGAAUAGACUGGUCAUCUCUUGGUGUCUCAACAAAUUUGAACCGUCCUUAUCAAUGGCCGAUUUAACUAUUUGAUGAAACAUAUUGCAAUCCUCGAAAUUAUGUUUGAACGAAUGAUGCAAUCUACAUCACAUUCGUCCUUGGUUUGAUGGCUUGACGUGGUGAUCAAGAAUUCAAAUGUAAUUAUUUUUCAGCAACAACUCAAAUAUUUGAUCACACAUGCUUGAAUUGAAGGUUAACCUUAUAUUUUCUAGACGAUCUUGUUGUGAGAACGGCUUUAGAGGUAAGCACACAAAUGGUUCAGAUUUGGAAUCUCCCCAUUUGGCUAUGAAUUUUCUUUUGCAUUCUUUUUACGAUGUCAUUGGAUAACAUAUUAUACUAGCAUCCAUUUUCUCAACAGGAUCUAAACUUGACAUUAUGUUUCUGAAACAAAAAUAGUUAGAACACACAUGUUUCAAUUGAGACGAAAAGCAUGCCAUGUAAGAAAUAAGGAAAGCUACCCAACUAGAUAUGAAGUUUAGAUAAAGCAAUGGGGAAAGCCUUGGCUAUAACAAUUAGUCACUCUCGGUCUAUAUAAAUGGCGCAAUGGGUUGACCGAUAUGCUCUAUAACAAUUUUAUCGCUUACAAGUAAAUUACCCUUCUUCACUGGUCUUUCAAAGUUACUUAUUAGGAUUUUUUCUAAUAGAUGCAUCAACAAUAAAGUUGUGACCAAAUAUGAAAACAAGUAAGUUAAUUGAUAGACAUACCUCUUCAAAUUUAUUGGAAGAGCAUGAUGGUGGUGUGACUUGAACAAUAUCUUGCUCCGUCUUUGGAUGGCUCCCCAACGCCUUUUGAUCAUAAUCUUUAUUCUUGAUUCCGUGCAUUAUUACAUCGAAGAUCUUUGUCAGCCGAGCUUUUUCGGCUACUUGUUCUUGUCCUCAAGGCUUGUCAAUUUCUACGGCAAGGAACUCAUAGGGCAGGAAGUAGGUUCCAUUAACUUUAGAAAAAUCAGGCACAACUGUUUUCCUAUGCUUGCGAUGACCUUUCUCAAUAAUGCUUGCCUAUUCGGAUUUGAUGGAUUCAGAAUAUACACUACUUGAUUCGGGGUUUUCAACCGAAGCAUUUUCAUGUUACGAAUCAUCCUUCUUUUCAUUGACUCUACCAAUUGGCAAUGCUUCUUUUAUAUAUUUGAGCCAAUUAUUUUUCUGUUUGUUUCUGGUAGUGUGCGGCAAAAUUGGCUUUAAGCUGUUUCUCAAUUUCAGCCGACUCUGGAUAUGAUUGCCCCCCAAUGCUUUUAGAUUCUUUCGGAAUGACACAUGAGUGUUGCCAAAACAUUGCAAUUGCAUGGGGGUGUAUAAUAUUUGUGCAGUAUAACCGCACCUAAUCCCUGCUCUCUCACGCCAUUUGGCUUUGUGGCUAUUUGUUUUGCUGAUUUAACCAUUCCUGGCUGUCAGAUCUACUUGAUGUAGCAUCAUGGCCCAAUUCCUAUAGCAUUCAGGCCCAACUAUCCUAAGGGGCUGCUACUCUGGAAGAAAAAACUGAGGCCUCUUGUUAAUUGGGCCACUUGAGGCAGCCCAUUUAACCUUCCUGACUCCAAUCUUUCGAUGGCUCGCUGCAGCUGUCGCUUGUACGUAAAAAACAAAUGUGAGGUCAAUAGGAUGUGUUGGACUCGAAUAGAGGAGGCGCUCGAGGGAGCCAGGCACGCGAGGGGACCGAGCGGUGGCGAAGCAAGAUGAGUCGAGCGACGGGAGCCGAGGCACGCUAGUGGAUCCGCCGUCACGCGGUUCAGCCGAUGCGUGCGAGGGGAACCGAUCCAACCUAUGAGGGGAUCCAGCGGAUGUGCGGGAUUCAGAUGAAUCAGGAGGACGUGAGGCAGUCAUCAGAGAUGAAUUGGGUUAUUUUGUAGCUGUAGCAACAUGUUCGUGCCACAUGUUUCUGAUGUAGCUACUGCUGAAGCAAUUGCUCUCAGGAAUGGUAUUAAUUUGGCAGCUCAUGUGGGAUGCUUGAGGAUAGAUGCUGAGUCAGAUUGUGAACUUGUGAUCAAUGCAGUAAAAGAUACUUAUAGAUUCAAUGGUUCCCAAGCAACAAGAAUUAUUGAAUGCGUUCAACUCUCUUGUGACUUCGGACAGGUGAAAUGUUCUUUACGCAACCGAGAAGCAAACAGUGUAGCAGAUGCUUUGGCUAAGCAAGCAUAUAUGCUGAAGAAUUCUUCUGUUUGGGAAGAUGAUCGGCCCAAUUUCAUUUCCUCUUUGAUUGUAAAUGACAUUGCUAUUGUCUGAGAAAUGAAAUCUUUACUUUGUCAAAAAAAAUAUUAUUUCUCCCCAAUUAUUUGCUCAUCAUUGGAAUUGUUCUCAAAGUUGAUAAAAUUUACCCCAUGCAACAGACAAAAAUAUUGAUCCGCUUGCACUUUCAAUCAGUAAUUUGGACCAAAGUGUCUGGUCUGAACCAAAGUGCCUCUUUCUAGAUGCUUAAGAAAUGACACUUCAAAAUAUGACUGACCGUUUCGUAAAGAAAACAUGAUCGAUCAUGAUCUAGAAGCCUCUAAACAAAACCAAGUUUGCCAAUUGGAACUGGAAAAAUGAUGCAAAAUAAUGAACGCACCAGAAGGGGAGCUCAAAUCCAAGUUGUAUUUUGCGCCCAUCUUAUACUAUUUACUAAUUGGAGGCACCAAAUGAGGUUCCAUGUUAAUCCCGGUAGUUAGAAAAUUUGGACCAUUAGGUUUACUAAUGAUACAUCGAUGGCCGUCAGAUAAUGUCUUGAUGCACCUCUUCACGUGCGGGAAACAGACUCCUCUAUUUGCACCUCCUUACGUGAUACUUGAGAAUAUACUUUGGCUCCCAUUGUGUCGAAUCAAUAAAUUUGGGUUGAAUACUUUACCCUCGAAAACUGUUGCGAUCCCCUAUACUUGUGGGUUAUCAUUUACAAAAUCAUAUCAAAGAUGCUUGCAAAUAGAUUGAAAAGGAUCGUGCCUAAGAUUAUAUCACCCACCCAAAGUGCAUUUGUUCCUGGGAGACUAAUAACACAUAAUGUGCUAGUUGCUUAUGAAUGUUUUCAUGCAAUCAAAAAUAAAACACAUGGAUCGGCUGGCUUGUGUGCUGUAAAGCCUGACAUGCAUAAAGCAUAUGAUAGAGUCGAAUGGGGGUUUCAGAAGGCAAUGAUACAACAUAUGGGUUUUCAUGAACAUUGGGUUGAAUUGAUGAUGGAAGGCCGUUUCUCACCUUCUUUUUGCAAAUGAUUCAUUAAUUUGGAUGAAGGAAAAUUUGGCAAAUGCAAACACACUGAGAAAUGGUCUGCAUAUGUAUUGUCAGAGUUCGGUUCAAUUAGUCUCAAGUGCUAAAUCCAACAUUUUCUUGAGCCCAAAUAAUUCAAUGCUAGUAAGAUAGAAUAUUUGUAAUCAACUGUUUAUAUUUACUAAGGCCCUCAUUGAUAAAUACAUGGGGUUGCCUUCCAUGGUGGGAUUGAUAGGAGUGACUGUUUUCAACAUCUUGUUGAUCGGGUAUGUGAGAAUCUUAAAGGCUGGAAAGAAAAUAUGUUAUCUGUUGGGGCCAAGGAGACUUUGUUGAAAGUUAGGGCACAGGGAAUUCUCUCAUAUGCAAUGUUAGUGUUUAAUUUUCCUUUGAGAAUUUGCAAAGCUAUUAUUGAUGAGAUUGCAACCUUCUGGUGGGGAGAUGAUGAAGCUAAGAAAAAGAUGCAUUGGAUGGCGUGGUGGAAGAUGUGCAUUCCAAAGGGGAUAGGAGGUAUGGGCUUUAGGGACCUUCAUAGAUUUAAUCUUGCUAUGUUAGCAAAGCAAUGUUGGUGACUAAUCCAGAAUUCAGAAUCUUUUUGUGCCCGCGUUGUCAGUGCAAAAUACUUCCCAGAUGGUGAUAUUCUAAAUGCAUGGUCAAAGGGUUGUUCUUAUUAUAGAUGGCAAAUCUUUGUGCAGGCAUCCAAACCUUUAAACGGGGGUGUAUUUGGAGAGUGGGAACAGGUCGGGAUUAAGAAUUAAUCCGUGAUACAUUCUACCCUAUUGAUGUGCAUCACAUAUUUCGAAUCCCUUUGAAUGUCCAAGGAAUUGACGACUAUGUUGCAUGGCACUAUACAAAGUCUGGUACAUUCUCAGUUUGAUCUGCUUAUCAUAGGGAAUUGGAGCAUAAAUUUGGACAACGUAUGCCUGCGGAGGAUGGCCAAGGUCGAGCAAAUCCUAUCCCCAUUUGGGAUGACAUGGUGUCGGCUAAGGUUAAAAUUUUGCUCUAGAAAGUAUUACAUGGGAUCCUUCUCUGUAAGGUGUACUGGAAAACAGACAUGUUUUAAAACAAGCACAAUGUCCGACCUGUUUGAGGGGAACUGAUGAUAUUCAACACUGUCUUUUUAGCUGUAAGAGGGUUAAAUUUAUUUGGGAACAGUUGGAUCUAACAGAGAUGAUCAGGAAGGCCAUAUGUCGAGAUCGGUCGUGUUUUUUUAACUUGAAUCAAAUUACAAAAGAGAACUUAGGGAAGAGUAUUGGAGGUCUACAUAUACCCGAGCUUGUGGUUGCGGCAUCUUGGUAUCUUUGGUGGCAAUGUCGGCAGCUAAUAAAGGGUGCAUCAGUAUUGCCAGCAGAUAGAACAACAACAUCCAUCAGAGGAUUCUUCAAGUCAGUAUUCCGGGCUCAAAUCCUCCUCAUCUUCGUCAUUCCGAACAGAUUAGACAGAGAUCCCAUAUAGAUUCAUGCCAGCUCCUCGGAGCGGCAAGGUUAGGGUUUCUCAACAUGCGUACACAAUAGCGAGAUUUGCUGUGAUUUUCUUGAGAUCGAUUCACGGAUUCAAUGGCGACGACUGCGGCUCCCGAAUACUGGUCCUUAGGGGCACGUGCACGAAGACAUCCCGGCUGUCAUCGAUAAGGUUAGGUCGGAUCCGGUAUGGGAGCGGUGACAGUGAUGCGAGGCGGCUUGUUCAGCCGGCGGCAAUGGUCGUUCGGUUGUACAUGGACCACCAUGUAAUUUUUUUUAUGUUUCGGUGCUUUGUAUUUCUGAUGAAUCUUUAUAAUAAAUCUGAUAUUUUCGCAAAAAUAAAAACUAACUAGAUACUUAAUUUAUGUUUAUGUGUUUGGAUUGCUAAACCUCAGUCGACUAAAACUUAAUCAAAUCUCAGUGGAUGCUAUAUUCAUCAGAUCUUAUGUGGUGAUUCAUGCAAAAUUUUCGUUUUAAUUUUUAAUUUUUAAUUUUUAUAUGUUAUACGUCAUUUGACUGAGACUUGGUUAAGUCUCAAUCAACUGAGAUCUAGACACACCCUUUAUGUAUUUUUGGGCUAAGGACAUUUUUUUCCGUUGCAGCGCACAGACAUUUUUACUGCUUGGUAAAAAAGGAAUUAUAGAAUCCGUCGGACAUCUUGACGUACGAUGUUCUCAGCCACGGCCAGCUCCCGAAGCCACAAGCACGGCUUGAGCUUGACUGAGCUAUGGACGGAACAGGCGGGCGUGGCUUUCCAAUGGACAAGCGGGCUAGCGUUUAUAUAGCCGGCGCGAGAGUGCGGGAAGCGGUCACCUAAUUCUGACUGUGUACGUACUGCACCGUCGAAUCAGAUGCCGAUCAUCAUGCACGAGAGCGUGCGGCACUGUUGAGGUCGUGGGCGAUCAGGGCAUAGCUCUACUGUUUACACCCGUACCUUAGUGCAUCCAUGGUCAUUGAAUGCUAUUGCUGCCUCAUGGUAGCACCACGUACCGUUCUGUACCUGGAUGGUUACAAGUCUCGCUGGACUUCUCGACGUGGAUGCACAUAUGAACGGCGUACGUGCAGUCGUGCAUCCUUGGAUUUAAAAUAUUUUUUCGGAGUAUGACACACACUUACGGCGCAGAAAAUCAAAUAGCAUUUCAGCUUAUAAUUUGAGAGGGGGAGGCAGAUAGGCACCGGGGAAUAACAAGGUUGCUGUCCGGAACGAAAAGACGAUGCAUGUCUUGUUGUGCGCACGUGCCCUGCCGCUCAUGGCAUCGCCGGGUGGUCGCGGUCGACGUACCAUUUCCGGAUAGACGACGCCACGUGCCCGCAGAUGGUCGUCCGGCCGUAGAAAUUUUCUAUGGACCCGGGUUAACGGCAUCGCGGGCCAAGCCGCCCAGAGCAGCACGGCGGGCACAUGUAUGACCGGUCGUCUUAAUCAAUCCGCUGUCGCGCACCUUUCCGUGGAGGCAUGCGUACGAAUCGUAGAUGCCCUCGCCAAUGUAUAUCGAUUCGGUGAUAGACAUGAUUCUAUUCUGGAAUUGUGAAAUCCACCUCUCCAUUUUGACAACCCUUAUUGAUCUUCAUUAUCAGAAAAGGGCAAUGCCAGCAAGCCUUUUUUUCAACGCUAUCCUACCAUGUCACUCAUUCCCUGGACGAGCACGGUUCGCUUCCGUUCGCUUAAUGAUGACGUGGCCAUGACAUCCGUGUCCCGCAACAUGAUCACCGAGUCCGUCCUCAACUCCGAGCCCAUCCAGAUGCAACCGGUGCUAAGCCAGCUUUGGUGUAGCUCCAUUUACACCAACCUCUCCACACGUUGAUCCACUUCCGUGCACACCACCACAGCAUGGUAGAUCGUAGUGCCGGAGUUCUAGCGAGAUUUGUGUGCUUAAACAUGUGUGCAUAUUGUUGUGAGUAGCAGUAAAAUGUGAUGUUGCUUGUACGUAAUCUUAAUGUCUCACGUGUUUUUGUUUAAGUUGUUUUUUGCUUCUUUCUUUGGGUGUUCGGUGUCACCUUAUUUCCCUUUGUGUGCUCCCAUAGCCAUGAAUAUCUAGUAAAUGUUCCUAGACAGUAAUAGUGAUUAACCUCUUUAUGUAAUGUCUAUACGUAUGUUCAUUUCUGUAGAGUCGAGAUCUGGUGUACCCAUUGUUUGUCCCGAUUUCUAUGUUUUCUAGAUGGAUUUCUUUGUCUCUUGAUCAUGUAAGAUCAACGAGCACAUUCCUUGGCAUACUGGAAGCAUUUUUUUUUCUAUUUCUAUGUCUGUUAAAAUCCUAUGAAUCAACGAGAAGCAGUUAUCAUACCAAUGCAAACAACAAGUGACGAGGCUAUGCCCAAUUUUUUUUAAUACACACAAAAAGGUCAAAUACACAGCAAAUGCCAUUCAUCGGACAUCAUUCUUCGCUUUAUUUAAUUAUUUCUCCAUCAUGAAAAUGGUCUUACACUUAAGGCCUAGGUACUUGCCGUGGGUGGGGGUGGUAGCUUUAUUUCCGGAACAUGAUAACCUGCAAAAUUUCAUUCUUCACAUCAUAAUGAUGAACAUGAGAAAUUAUAUAAAGUUUUAUUUGUGUGUGCGCGCGCAAAUAUGACAAUAUACCAACCUGCACAGUGAGUGUCUGUGUGCAACCCAUUGCCGCAUACAUGUGUAGCCAUGGCAAACUUGGCUAGACUGAGCAAAGUCAGUUCGUGAGCGGUGAACCGAUCACAGAUGCAGUGGAUGUCUUUCGCAUCUCUUAUUGUAUUGCAACAUGCGCUAUGGAGUGGCGGGUACUGGUCACCAAGUUUCUUCUCGAUGUGAUGCCAACAAUCUCGCAUCACCUUUUUUUAUCAAGGCGGCAAUGAUCUAUGUCAUUGGCUGCACGUGCAUGGAGCGAACAAGAAGAGGCAACCACAAGGACUAGGAAGCAUAACACUCCAGCUACUUUUGCGUUGUUCAUGUUCUAUGUUGUGUAGAACUAUUGGUAUGUGUUUAUGCAGGACUUCUGUGCCACUCAGUCUCUAUAUAUAGUGGUCAUAGUGAAGUUUUUAGACUCCAUUUGCUCAUCAAUCGCUUAAUUGGUCUCUUUUAACUAAGUGAGAGAUAUAUGACUCGGAUAUGUUAUAAUUUAAUGUUUGCACAUCUAGAUCUUGUAUAAAGUUGUUGGCAAUGGAUGUGGAUGCAACCUAUUAAUUAUUGGCAGUGGAGUAGUUGAUUUCGAACUCUUAACAGAUAUGUGUACAUAACUUGGGUAUGUUGAUAAUUAAUGUAGGGACAUGUUUGGUCCUUGUAGUAUCACAUCGAUGGUAAAGGAUACUUCUAAUUAAAUAUAGCUAGGUGCAUCCAUUUCUUGUAUCAAAUUGAUGGUAACGGAUAUGUAGAUAAGCCUAUUUAUUUGUCUAUCUAUCUAUAUCUCUAUCUCUAUCACUAUCUCUAUCUCCAUCUCUAUCUAUCUAUCUAUCUAUCUCUAUCUCUAUCUAUCUAUCUAUCUAUCUAUCUAUCUAUUUAUCUAUAUCUAUAUCUAUAUCUAUAUCUUCUCUAUCUCUAUCUAUCUGUCUGUCUAUCUAUCUAUCUAUCUAUCUAUCUAUCUAUCUAUCUAUCUAAUACUAAUAACGGACUCCCUACAUAUUAAAACAUUAAUCAGUGAAAACAAGAAAUAGAAACCGGUGAUUUUAGCGGGCCUGAAUUACGACGGUUAUGAUCUAUUAAUAAAUCCCUUGGAUAUUUCAAUUGAAAAAUAGAACUUGGAUCUCACUUAGGGAAAAAAAGGAAAAGAUAUGAUGCUAUCUAAAUAAUCAUUUAGAUUUGAUACAUUAGCUGAGACGUCAUGCAAUUGUGAAAAUCAUGACCGUGUUUCUUUGUGACUAACCUAGAUACGACCUGAUUCGUAUAUCUCCAGCCAAUUUGCAGUCCAUCAAUUAUUCCAUUGCCAUCUCAUGGCCUUGGCUUGGAGGAACUAUGCCACAUGGUAAAGCAGUCCCGAUGUAAUCUCCCUGACCUUCUCAGCAUUCAUCAUGCCUGUUACUAGCCAUGGAUAUCUGCCGGCACCAACCAGCACACAAACUAUAAGUAGAAAAAGACGAUUGAGGGUUAUGAUUAUAGGGAUUUAGACAUAGUUUUCUUAUCUUUUAGAUCCACUGAGGAUGUUGUUAUAGUGCUGGAACAUACGUCUGGCUACCUAUAUGCUCAACACAUGGUGGUGCAUAUUUGAUUCCAUCAAUAAUUUAACACACUAACCGACAUGGAAUCUUUCUUUGUCUUUUGUUCUUUUUUAGAUCCUCCACUAGUUCUUGCAAUCUUCUGAAUAAGUCACGUUCAGUUGGUCACUAUUUGUUCGUAGAGUUCUUUCAUGGUCAGUAGAAACUUGAUAUGUAUUGACAUUGGCAUUGGCGGCCCAAAAUAAGGAUAUGAAUAUGUUGCAUUAAACUUCUCUCCUUGCCAUCGAUCCUCAUAUUUGCGCCUUGGAGGUGAUCUUGAUUUCUUUGCAUGAUUUGGCCGAUAAGCAUUCUUUUCUUUACUCUUCUUUUGAUAUUUAUCGAAUAGUUCAGCGAAGGUGAUUUUUAAUCUCUUACACGUGCGCUUAUUUCGGUCUUUGUUUUCUUUUUGUUUGCUUUCAUCGAUCAUUGGAGUUUCUUGUUGCCCCCCAGUCCUUAGCGUCUUCAUUGUAGCUUCGAUAGAAUUUUCACCCUCAAGAAUAUUAUCAUUGUGCUCUUAAAAGAUUUUCCUACCUGAAAGCUUAAUCCCAUUAUCUACAGUUCUUACCUUCUCAUGUUUAAAUAGACCAGCAUGAAGCAGCCGUUGUAAAAACUGUUUACCAUCAGGACCAAUCGGAAUAGACUGGUCAUCUCUUGGUGUCUCAACAAAUUUGAACCAUCCUUAUCAAUGGACGAUUUAACUAUUUGAUGAAACAUAUUGCAAUCCUCGAAAUUAUGUUUGAACGAAUGAUGCAAUCUACAUCACAUUCGUCCUUGGUUUGAUGGCUUGACAUGGUGAUCAAGAAUUCUAAUGUAAUUAUUUUUCAGCAACAACUCAAAUUUUUGAUCACACAUGCUUGAAUUGAAGGUAAACCUUUUAUAUUCUAGACGAUCUUGUUGUGAGAAUGACUUUAGAGGUAAGCACACGAAUGGUUCGGAUUUGGAAUCUCCCCAUUCGGCUAUGAAUUUUCUUUUGCAUUCUUUUUCCGAUGUCAUUGGGUAACAUAUUAUACUAGCAUCUGUUUUCUCAAAAGAAUCUAAACUUGACAUUAUGUUUCUGAAACAAAAAUAGUUAGAACACACAUGUCUCAAUUGAGAUGAAAAGCAUGCCACGUAAGAAAUAUGGAAAGCUACCCAACUAGAUAUGAACUUUAGAUAAAGCAAUAGGAAAAGCGUUGGCUAUAACAAAAAGUCACUCUCGGUCUUUAUAAAUGGCGCAAUGGGGUCGACCAAUAUGCUCUAUAACAAUUUUAUCGCAUACAAGUAAAUUACCCUUCUUCAUUGGUCUUUCAAAAUUACUUAUUAGGAUUUUUUUCUAAUAGAUGCAUCAACAAUAAAGUUGUGAUCAAAUAUGAAAACAAGUAAAUUACUUGAUAGACAUACCUCUUCAAAUUUGUUGGGAGAGCAUGAUGGUGGUGUGACUUGAACAAUAUCUUGCUAUGUCUUUGGAUGGCUCCCCAACGCCUUUUCAUGAUAUUCCUUAUUCUUGAUUCCGUACAUUAUUACAUCAAAGAUCUUUGUCAGCCGAGCUUUUUCGGCUACUUGUUCUUGUCCUUGAGGCUUGCCAUGACCUUUCUCAAUAAUGCUUGCCUAUUUGGAUUUGAUGGAUUCAGAAUAUACACUACUUCAUUCAGGGUUUUCAACUGAAGCAUUUUCAUGUUACGAAUCAUCCUUCUUUUGAUUGACUCUAGCAAUUGGCAAUGCUUCUUUUAUUUGAGCCAAUUCUUUUUCUGUUUGUUUCUUGUGGUGUUCGGCAAAAUUGGCUUUAAGAUGUUUCUCAAUUUCAGCCUACUCCGGAUAUGAUUGCCCCCCAAUGCUUUUAGAUUCUUUCGGAAAUGGCACAUGAGUGUUGCCAAAACUUUGCAAUUGCACAGGGGGUGUAUAAUAUUUGGGCAAUAUAACCGCACCUAAUCCCUGCUCUCUCACGCCAUUAGGCUUUGUGGCUGUUCGUUUUUGCUGAUUUAACCAUUCCUGGCUGUCAAAUCUACUUGAUGUAGCGUCAUGGCCCAAUUCCAAUAGCAUCCAGGGCCAACUGUCCUAAAGGGCUGCUACUCUGGAAGAAAAAACUGAGGCCUCUUGUUAAUUGGGCCACUUGAGGCAGCCCAUUCAACCAUCCUGAGUCCAAUCUGCCGAUGGCUCACUGCAGCUGUCCCUUGUACCUAAAAAAAUGUGUGGUCAAUAGGAUGUGUUGGACUCGAAAAGAGGAGGCGCUCGAUGGAGCCAGGCACGUGAGGGGAUCGAGCGGUGGCGAAGCAAGAUGAGUCGAGCAACGGGAGCCGAGGCGCGCUAGUGGAUCCACCGUCACGCGGUUCAGCCGAUGCGUGCGAGGGGAACCGAUCCAACCUAAGAGGGGAUCCAGCGGAUGCGUGGGAUGCGGAUGAAUCAGGAGCAAGUGAGGCAGUCAAGAGAGAUGAUUUGGGUUAUUUUGUAGCUGCUGCAACUGUUCAUGCCACACGUUUCUGAUGUGGCUACUGCUGAAGCAAUUGCUCUCAGGAAUGGUAUUAAUUUGGCAGCUCAUGUGGGAUGCUUGAGGAUAGAUGCUGAGUCAGAUUGUGAACUUGUGAUUGAUGCAGUAAAAGAUACUUAUAGAUUCAAUGGUUCGCAAGCAACAACAAUUAUUGAAUGGGUUCAACUCUCUUGUGACUUCGGACAGGUGAAAUGUCCUUUACACAACCGAGCAAGUAGUGUAGCAGAUGCUUUGGCGAAGCAAGCAUAUAUGCUGAAGAAUUCUUCUGUUUGGGAAGAUGACCCCCCUAAUUUCAUUUCUUCUUUGAUUGUAAAUGACAUUGCUAUUGUCUGAGAAACGAAAUCUUUCCCCUGUCAAAAAAAAAUAUUUUUCUCCCCAAUUAUUUGCUCAUCAUUGGAAUUGUCCUCAAAGUUGAUAAAAUUUACCCCAUGCAAAAGACAAAAAUAUUGAUCCGCUUGCACUUUCGAUCAGUAAUUUGGACCAAAGUGUCUGGUCUGAACCAAAGUGCCUCUUUCUAGAUGCUUAAGAAAUGACACUUCAAAAUAUGACUAACCGUUUCGUAAAGAAAACAUGAUCGAUCAUGAUCUAGAAGCCUCUAAACAAAACCAAGUUUGCCAAUUGAAACUGGAAAAAUGAUGCAAAAGAAUGAACGCACCAGACGGGGAACUCAAAUCCAAGUUGUAUUUUGCGCCCAUCUUAUACUAUUUACUAAUUGGAGGCACCGAACGAGGUUCCAUGUUAAUCCCAGUAGUUAGAAAAUUUGGACCAUUAGAUUUACUGAUGAUACAUCGAUGGCCGUCAGAUAAUGUCUUGAUGCGCCUCUUCACGUGCGGGAGAUAAACACCUCUAUUUGCACCUCCUUACGCGAUUAAAAAACUGAAAUAAAAAUCAGCGGGGAAGCACCUCUUCACGUGGAGGAGACAGACUCCUCUCUUUUCACGUCCUUAUGCAUGAUAAAAAAACUGAAAUAGAAAUCAGCAAAAAAACACGACCAUGUCUCCCAUCGCCGCUUCUUCUCCGCAAGCAGGUCUGAUCCCCUCGAUCUGCUGACCACCAAUCUCCCUCAUCUGGUCUUCAAGGCAGCUCCGACACCAUCUAUCUCCUUCCUCCGGCUACCUUAGAUAUUGCCUCCCCAAUUUAUUGAGGUAUCAGCCCCCCUCCAUGCUCACCACUUACUUAAGUAGGUCGGAAAAAUUGGCCACGCGUACAGCAGAAUUCAGCAGCAUGCGUUGCAUUGGAGAUGCAUGAGGAGAAUCGAGCUCCCUGCCCCUUUUUGCUGCGGGUAGGUAUAUGUUUUCUAUCUAAUCAACUAUUUUGUAUCUAUAUAACAUGGGACAAUAGCAACAAAGUAGAGUUAAAUCCUAUAGUUUUUACCAAUUCAACUAUUAUCCAUAAAAUUGUCCAUCCUUAGAUUUGAGUGGAACCCAAAAUUAAUACCAAUCUGGCUGCUAGAGUAUGCAAUUUAGUAAGGUUAGAUGCCAGUGGAAUUAAUUAGGUUAAUAUUCAAUCUGAUUCUACUAUGUACAGCCAGUUUGGUUUCAAUGUCAAUGGAAUAAAAUACUGAACAAAUGAAUGUCAGAAUAAUUUUAUAUGAAGACUAAAAAAUAUUCUCUCCUUGAUUUUAUUAUUUUGUUUCCAUAUCACACUGCACUGAAGAUAAAGAGCGGUGUGGGGACGUUUUAAUAACUCUGGGGGUUCUGGCUGAGGGCGAGAGAUCUUGAUGAAGAAUGUGUGCUAGAGCUCAGAUAUAGAGGGGUCUGCAUCAAUGAACACUUGCAGCAUAUAGUAUACAGCCGUGUGGAGUUUGUUCCAGAGGAAGUAGCAUUUACACACGUAAAUGUUGCUCUGUCGUAUAAGCAGUAGAAAAAGUGUUGGGACCGCCAUGUAUGGCUGUUUAGGGCAGACUGCUAGAUUAUGCAAUUUUAAAAAGGUUAGAUGGCAGUGGAAUUAAUUAGGUUUUUAUUCAAUCUGAUUUCUACUAUGUACAGCCAGUUUUGUUCCAAUGUCAAUGGAAUAAAAUGCUGAACACAUGAAUGUCAGUCUAAUGUUAUACGAAGACUAAAUAAUAUUCUAUCCUUUAUUUUAUUAUUUUGUUUCCAUAUCACACUGGACUGAAGAUAAACAGCAGCAUGGGGACGUUGUAAUAACUAUGGGGGUUCGAGCUGAGGGCAUGAGAUCUUUAUCGAGAAUGUGUGCUAGAGCUCAUAUACAGAGGGGUCUGCAUCAAUGAGCAUUUGCAACAUACAGUAUGGAGCCGUGUGGAGUUUGUUCCAGAGGAAGUAGCAUUUACACAAGUAAAUGUUGCUCUGUUGUAUAAGCAGUAGAAAAAGAAAUGUUGCGACCGCCACAUAUGCCUGUUUAAGGCAAACAAUAUAGCAUGAAGUGAGCAGUCGUGGACCCGGAAAAAGUUCAGGAAGGACAAUACCAAAAUCUAGGAGGUAUAGAGUUUUGUAUCUAUUUUUACUUUUGUAGAACUAUGAGAUAUAGAGGCCGGAUGUGGAAGUGGUUGUAUCACCUACAUACAUGACAAAAAUUACUAAAAGCUUCAACCGCAAAAAUAUGAUAUUAGUUCGCCGGCGCUAAAUCUUACUCCCUCAGUUCCUAAAUAUUGAGCAAAAUGAGUGAAUCCACACUCUAAAAUAUGCCUAUAUACAUCCGUAUGUGGUAGUCCAUUUGAUAUCUCUAAAAAGACAAAUAUUUAGGAACGGAGGGAGUAGAUAUGACGCUAAACUCUGAUAGAUCAAACUGAGUUGAUAUUUUUUUAUAUAUAUGGUGUCACACUCAUUUUCUUCUCUUAUGAACAUUAAUUUUCAUUUGUUCCUUUCUCAAAUUCUGCACACAUGGCCUAUAAACACAUGGUUUUCAAAACAAACUAAAUUACCAACUAUAUUUCCGAGCAAGCUUCUGGUGGUUUGUGUCCGGUCUGUGUGUGCAGUGCUAUUCGGGAGAAUAUUAGAAAUAACAUAAUGUGCUACCGAAAAACAAUAGUCGCUUUGAAAUUUCUGUCGUAAUUAUUCCAAUAAAACAUAUUUUAACUUUCACCAAAAUUGUGUGUACUGCUAUCUCUACUCCUAAUGUCUCAGUUGGUAGUCUCCGUUCCCGGUUAUAUUUCGACCCACCAUUUUUGCCCGGUUUUUUUCAUUGGUUUUUUUUCAUCAGGUUUUUUUCUUCUAGUGCUCCCUGUUGGUUUUCCCCUUCCGCAUCGCUCGAUCCAACUCCUCCCCCUCCCUCGGUCUCGCCUCUCCUAUCGCUCGAUGACGCUCGGUCCUCUCUAGGGUUCGCCGCCUGCCGCCGUAUCCCGCCGCCCUGCUCUGUUGUUGCCCCUCUCUCCGCCUGCCUCGCCCCUGCUCUAGAGUUCGACGCCCGCCGCCGUCCCACGCCGCCCUGCUCCGUUGUUGCCCGUCCCUCCGCCUGCCUCGCCCCCCUCCCCUACACUCACCCGUGCCCGAUCUGGAUCUGGAUGAGGCGUUGCCUCCCGUUCCUCUCAUCGCGUCCCUUGUGCCAGCCAUGGAAGAGGAGAGGAAGAAGGGGAGGGAGAGCACAGAGGAGGAGGAGGAAGAAUAAGAAGCUUAUCUGUAGAAUCAACCGAUCGAGCGGGGCUCUUGAUCUUGGCUAGCGAGAAUGCGGCAGAUCUCGUCGAUGCUGCAGGGCUUGGCCCGUUCCAUGUCUCUGGGAAAGGAGAGGAAGGUGGAGGAGGAGCACCAGGGGACGGUGAUGCGGUUGUCGGGGACGCUCUGGGGCAAGGGCUCCGAGACGUUCGCCGCCGCGUGCUCCCGCCGCGGCGAGAAGGGCACCAACCAGGACACCUCCAUCGUCUCGGAGGUGAGUUUGCCGCUACCCUGCUUCUUCCCUGCUUGCUCUCUAUUGCAUGCGAAUGAUUUUUUGCGCUGGUUAUCGCAACAUAUUACCGGUGGCGUGUAGUAGUCAAGAUCAGCAACACCACGUACUCUGCACGGAGCUUCUUGCCACACAAUUUAAUUCCCGCGUUCCAAACACAAAUUUCUGCUACUCGAGAGGCAGAAGAGGUUUUAAUUGUGGCCAAGACGAGCCGACGACACGGUCUCUGUUCCACAGAAAAUGGCGAGGGAACGUACAGCGUUGGGACUUGGGACUGGUCGCUGGCUUCUUCUUCUCAUUUAUGGCCACAGAAGAAAUGAAACAACUUUCAAGUGCUUGCCUUGCGUGUGCACGAAAUAGAAUAGAGAUUGGAUCCCAUCUCCCUCGGUUGUUCACCUAACCAUUUCUCUGAUAUUUUUGUGACUGAGAUGGUUAAAUUCGGUUUUGUUAGGCCAUUCAUUCACCAGAUUACGUGUUGCCUCUUGGGACAAUCCUGGAUCAUGUUGCUCACAAGUUUCUUGGAUAUGGCGCUUGCCUUUUGCGUCUAGGGGUUUCAGUCCGUAGUGUUAGAAGGGAGAGAGGGUCUAGUGGAAUAGUUCGUUGUAUUGCUUGAGCCUCGUGUGCAUAUAUAUAUAGGCGUACAAUCAUCUAUUUAGAGUACAAGACAAGCCAGAACAAAUCCUAGUCUAUCUCGUCUUUUCUAAUAAACAUUAUACUCAACAUCCCCCCGCAGUCACAACGGUAGCGAUGCAGUCGGUGAGACUGGAAAAGAAUCCGAAGGUAAGCCGACAGACACCCCCCCACAGUCGUAAUGGUCGACGCAUCGCGGAGUCGUGGCUGGAGUGGCAACGGACGAGGUUGCUCAAGCAAGGCGGUAGCCCUUUGUGCCGUUUGUCGAUGUAGCUGAGAGCGUGGGUGGUGGAGCCGUGGUCGAGGUAGCCGUGCGAAGAAUGCCGUGGUCGAUGUCGAGUCAGGGUGGCCGGUGCAAGGAAGUCGCCGUGGAGCCGCGGGCGCAAGAGGGCACCGAGUUAGUCAUGGGCACAGUGGUGUCGAAGUAGUGGUGCGCCGGGAAGAAGAUGUUGUUGACGACGCGUCGCGGCGGGUUUGCCAAGCCCGGGGACACAUCAUGGACGAAGGCACGCAUCGAUGUUCCCAGCACCAAGCAUGCGUAGACGGACGAAGACGAAGUACCGCACCAGGCUUGGCAGGUCCGGGGACACGUCGUGGACGAAGGCACGCCACGGUGUUGCCAGCACCGGACAUGCGUAGACUGGGACCUGCACGAGCUGUACGCCAUGUCGAAGAGGUCGGAGAGGCCAGCGGAGAAGGACUCGACGAUGGUAUCGGCGUCCAUCGGCGCAGGGCCGAUGUCACCAGCGGUGGUCGGAGUAGAGGAAGUGGUCGGGGUAGAUGACGACGACGCUGGCGAUAGGCUGGUGCUGGAUGAAGAAGAAGGGGUGGACGGGCGGCGGCGGCGGCUAUGUUGACAUAUAAUGUGCUGCCUAGUCUCUUCCAUCAGAUCGGUCUUUUGGUUGCAUUGCCUAGAGCAUGCACUUCUACAUGGUAUCGGAGCCAAGAGGUCUUGAGUUCAAGACCCGACUGGCGCAAUUAAAUUGCAACCCACUAUCGGUCCACGUUUAGGCCUGAGGGAGCCACACGUGAGGGAGAGUGUUGACGUAUAAUGUGCUGCCUAGUCUCUUCCAUCAGAUCGGUCUUUUGGUUGCAUUGGCUAGAGCAUGCAUUUCUACACGUAGGAGUAGUAUCUGCCAAAAAAGGGAUGGUACGUGUCUUGAUUUGCCGAGAAAACUUGUACUACGUACGUAAAAACGUUAUUUCCAACAUCUUCAUAGUAGGAUCAGAUGUGCUGAUUGUUUUUCAGACUGCAAAAAUCAUUGUAUUUCAUGAAUACUCCGUGUGACUACCCAUUUUUUUGUUGGAUAAAAAACAGACAAUUGGUUAUUUGGUUAUUCAUGUUUGUUCUCAAUUUCUCAUGUCUCUCUCUUCCCUGUCCAGGGAUACGGGUGCCAGGACGACGCCAUCUUCUACGGCAUCUUCGACUGGCACGACCAGUGGGGCCACUACGUCCCAAGGCCGUCCGGGAGUCGCUGCCGCAGUCGCUUCUGUGCCGCUGGCAGGAGGCCGUCACGCUGGCGUCACUCAUCGACGGCGAGAAGAGGCUCAUUGACUGCCAGUUCGACCUCGUGAGGAAGUCCUACCUGGCCGCCGCUGCAGCCGUGGACGAGGAGCUCCGCCGGAGCCGGCGCCUUGAUGCCAUCAACAACGGCUGCACGGCUCUGUCCAUCAUGAAGCAGAGCGACCUGAUGGUGGUCGCGAACGUCAGCGACUCGCGGGCCGUCCUUGCGACCACGUCGGACGACGGGGACAUCACGACCGUCCAGCUCACCGUCGACUUCAAGCCCGACUUACCCCGUAAGUCAUCAUGACAAGACUAGAAGAUGGACAGUCCAUUCCUGACACGGCAAUUGCUCCCCCACGUUCGAAUCCGAAUCGCAGAGGAGAAGGCGCGCAUCUUGCAGUGUGAGGGCCGCGUGCACUGCCUCAACGACAAUCCCGGCGUGCACCGGGUGUGGGUGCCCCAUCGGGAGGCGCCGGGGCUGGCCAUGUCGCGCGCGUUCGGCGACUACUGCGUCAAGGACUACGGCGUCAUUUUGGUGCCGGAGGUGACGUGGAGGAGGAUCACCGCCCAGGACCAGUUCGUCAUCCUGGCCACCGACGGGGUAAGCUACAGUAGAAAACCACCCAUUAGUCUCGGUUCGUAAGGGCCUUUAGUCCCGGUUCACGAACCGGGACUAAUGAGUCGUUACUAAUACCUCCACCCAUUAGUCCCGGUUCAAUCCAGAACCGGGACCAAUGUGCCUCCACGUGGCUCUGUGCGCCCACCCCAGUCAGGGGGCCUUUGGUCCCUGUUGGUGGCACCAACCGGGACCAAAAUGCAUCCACGCGUCAGCAUUCUAGUUGCUGGGGUUUUUGUGUUUUUUUUUGAAAGGAGGGGAGGUUGGGGGUUUUGGGGGGUUAAUUUGAUUAGGUGUUUCAUAUAUUGUGUUAGCUAGCUAAUUAAUAGAGAGAAGUGUCCUCUCUUAUGUCCGUGCUUGGAUGCUAUGUACUAUAUAUACAUAAGUGAUCGAGAGAACCAUUCAGUACAGAAGUUCGUCAUGCAUACCGAGAGAAGUGAUCGAUCGACCUCUCCUUCUCCGAGAGGUUGGUCGAACAACAAGUUUUCGUAUCAUGUAUCCGACGCUACCGGCUACAUACAUGUACAAUAUGUAUAAGAUCUCUUAUAAUUACAAACCCUUAGCUAGCAUUUGAAAUCAAUUUCCACAUGGUAUUCUCCGGUUUUACUGAUGACGUGGUCAAGAAAGAAUCCCGCCAAUUCCUCUUGAAUUGCUUUCAUGCGAUCUGGUUCUAGGAGUUCAUUCUGCAUCUGCCACGUCUAAUUUGAAGAAGGGGGUUAAUUAAUACAUAUAUAUGAAUGAAACUCAACAGAAAUGAUGGUGUAAUAAAAUGAAAUUGUGAAUAUUAUUGCUUACGCACUUCAUAUUGUCUUUGAGAGUAGCCCCGCUUGUUUUUCAAAGUCGUGGUGUGGAUGAACUCGCACACGUAGUAUUCACAGAAAUCAUUCCCUUCCUCCUGCCACAAGCACUUUACGAGAAAUAGAGGUCAAUCAAACUGAUAAUGAAGCAUUAUAAAUGGCAUUGAUGAAAGUAUAUAUAGCUAUAUAUAGAAUUAACGGGCCGGAGAUGCGCGCAACUAGCUAGCCAGUAGUACUUACUUUCGGGUAUGUAUAUCGCAGCUCCUUCGGCAGUCCCGGAGCUUCUGCGGUGAACUGUUCCCAAACCCUGCAAGACAAAGAAAAUAAUUAUUAUUACUUGAGAUAUCAGGAAAUGAACAAAAAGUUACCGAUAUGGUGCAAUAAUUAUGAUCGAUUGAACUUACUUGCUGAGCAUUUCAGUCAUGUCCGCAUAGGUUUUGGGAUCUUUCCGUCUCGAGUCUAAGACGGUUACUAGUCCACGCUCAAGCUUAAUCUCCAGAAGAAUAUAGUGGUACCUGCGCACGCAUGCAUAACUCAUCAAUUACAUUACUAUAACCUCGCUUGAGUAAUAUGGGAAACCGAAUAUGCACACGACAGUAACACUCACGGGCCGUUGUAAGGAAAGAGUAUGGUAUCUUUGUUUUGAUUUUUUAUCAAUGAUCGUAGCAAGUUGUCCUCGGCCUCUUUGACGUUCUUUUUAACCAGAAAUACAUCUAUGAUAUUUGUGUUAAUGAACCCAAUAUCAUAAAUUUCUUGUUUUUUGCACUCGACGAUCUUCAAUCUGCAUAAUAUAUUGAGGAUAAUUAAUUAUAAAUACAUGCAUGCAAUGAAAGAGCCGAACUAUAUAUAGAGACUUAAUGACAGAAAUAGUACUUACAGGCAAUAGCAAAAGACCAUUAAUUUAUCGAGGGUCUUUUGAUUGAAGAACUCGAAGAACUCCUCAAAUGGAACAGUCAACAGAUCAUUUGCAACGAGAUCGUGCUCCUCUUUAAUAUGCAGAUACAAAGCAUUCUUACCAUCAGACUCUCUGCAGAUUUCCAUGUACCAAUUAUGGAAUCUUCGCAUCAUUGUUGUCAGAGAUUUUUCAUCUUUGACGAGAGGCUUCCCGUACUCGUAUCUGUGUCCGUCCACCUUCAAGAAAUCAGGAAGUGCAUCGUCAGGCAGGUAAUCGUCAAGAUUGCCAUAACCGGCCACCGUCCCCGGAGCAUUAGACACAUUGAGCGAGGGGCACGAUUGCUGUGCUUGUUCGCCGAGCUGGGCAAUUUUUUUCCCCUUUGCUCGUUGUUUUGACCUUUUAGCACUAACAGUAGUUCCCGACCGCUGGGCUUGGAGAUAUGCCUGUUCAGUAAUGCGCUCAUAGUUGGUUCUCGGCGGAGACUUUGGUGGUUUCCUCAGGGCAUCGAUAGUGCGCUUUGCUUUCACCGGAUCUACCUUCUCCUCCGGAGGUGGAUGUCUCUUUUCUUUCAUCCCUUCAAAGAACUCCUUCACGUGGGCAUGCACAAUCGUAUCGUUUUCCUCCUCGGACCUCUCGUACGGUAACUUCUCUAGAGGCUUGAGAGAUGAUGGACCGUAUUUGUAUUGCCUCCCGCCUCUGGUUGUGCUGCUAGACGCCGGAGCAGACGGAGCGGCUGCAGCGUCUGUCUUCUUUCAUGCUUGCUUACGAGGCGGAGGAGAAGGAGUACGACGCGCCGGAGCAGUCGGGGCGGCGGCGGGUCUCUUUCGCCCUUGCUGGCGAGGCGGAGAAGGAGGAUGCUGCUGGCUGCUCGGGAGCGCCGGCGCAGGCGGAGAAGGAGGCGGAGUGCCGCCAUGCGCCGGAGAAGGAGGCGGAGUGCCGCCAUGCGCCGGAGAAGGAGGCGGAGUGCCGCCACGCGUGCCCUGAUCGUCACUCGCCGGAGGAGGAGACGGUGGAGGAGGCGGAGUGCCCUGACUCGCCGGAGCUGGAGGAGGAGGCGGAGGCGUCCAGUUCAGAAGGUUUAUGAGCUCCUUCUUCCAUAGGCAUGGAGUCUUCAGAGCAGAACCCAGCCUAGUCUCCCCUUCACUGGUAGGGUGGUCAAGCACGAGGUCCUCAAAUCCCUCCGUUAUUUCAUCCACCAUCACCUUAGCAUAUUCUUUUGGAAUCGGCUGGCAGUGAUAAGUUGUGCCGGGUCCACUAGGAUAAACUUGGCCAACAGCCACCUUGACCUUCAAAUUCAUCCAUCGCGCCAUCAUGUGGCAAUUUUGAGACUCCGUGAUACCAUCCACGGGAUAGCUGGCAGGAGCCGUCAAGACAUGCUACGGCUGAAGUAGCUCGGUGGAAGCCACGCUACUUCUCCGCUGAGAUGGCGGGGUAGCUUCGGGGGAAGCUUCGGCAUGUCGUUUGUUGCGAUCUGCUGCUUCGCGUUCCUCUUCUCGAUCCUCUAGCCCCAUUACCCUUCCAAGCAGCGCUUGCAUUUGGUCCUGCUCCAGUUUCCUCCUCCUCUCGUGGGUUUUGUAACCCCCUGCGUCCAGAAAACCAACCUUCCACGGAAUGGAGCCUGGCAUGCCUCGUGUCCGUCCAGGGUGCUCGGGAUUCCCAAGGGCCAUUGUGAGCUCGUCCUUCUCCCUGUUUGGAAGGAACGUCCCUCGCUGCGCUGCAUCGAUAUAGUGUCGAAGGUUCUUGACUGGUAUUUGCAGUUGCUCGUCCGUCCACUGACACUUCCCUGUUACAGGGUCCAAGGUUCCGCCAUCCCCGAAGAACCAAGUCCGGCAACGGUCUGGCCAGCGCAUUGUCUCUGGUUCGAUCCCUUUUUCAAGCAGAUCAUGCUCAGCCUUGGACCACUUAGGCCGGGCUUUGAGGUAGCCACCUGACCCCGUGCGAUGGUGAAGCUUCUUCUUCGCAGCAUUUUUCUUGUUUGUCUCCGACAUCUUCUUACUCUUUUCCAAUGUCUUGUGGGCCACAAAUGCGGGCCAGUGAUCUUUGAUCUUCUCAUAUUUGCCGAUGAAUUCUGGUGUCUUUUUUUCCUUGACAAACUGGUUCAGCUCUUUCCUCCACCUCCUCAUUAGGCCUACCAUCUUCUUAAGAGCACAAGACUUGAUUAAUUGCUCUUUAACUGUCUUCUCUGGAUCCUCCUCUGGCGGUAGGGUGAAAUUUGCCUUCAGCUCAGUCCAAAGAUCUUCUUUCUGCAUAUCAUUGACAUAAGACACCUCAGCGUCUUCAUCCUUAGCAGGCUUAUACCAUUGCUGGAUGCUGAUCGGGAUCCUGCCCCUAACAAGAACCCCGCACUGAGCAGAAAAUGCCUUCCUUGUCCGGAUGGGUUCAAUCGGUUCGCCGUCGGGCGCAAUUUCUAUGAUCUCAAACUUUUCAUCCGAGCUCAACUUUUUCUUCGGGCCUCGUCUCCUUACCGAAGUUGUGCUCGAUCCGGAGGGCUAGAAAUUAUAAGGAAGAAAGACGAUAGUAAUUAAUAUGUGUACAUAUACCAAAACAAUGGAUGCAUCAAUUAACUAGUCAGCACGGGCUUAACUAAUAUAUAUAUACCUGGCCGGACUUGGUUCGGUGACCAAAGCAGUCAGCACGGUUCCUUCGUCUUGUACCUCCAUUGUGUCACCGGAGCCAUCAUGAACAUAGUCCUCCUCUUGUACCGGCAUUAAUGGGUCGAAGCCACCAUCAUAAACAUAGCCCUCUUCUUCAUCUAGCUGAUCAACGGUGUCGAGGAGAAAUGACGCAACAUCAUCACUUGAUCCAUUUGCGAUUAUGUCCCCCAACAUCGCUUCUGUUUCUUCGUCUCAGGAGUGCUCCAUAGUUUCUGCAAAUAUUUACAACAUGUCAAUUAUUAUUCAAACAUGGUACAGAUGGAUAUAUAUAUAUAUAUAUAUAUAUAUAUAUAUAUUAGUGGCAAACGUAGAACUAGCUAGCUAAUCACAAUAAGGAAUCAUAUUAGUGGCCUCGACACAACGCUUCAAGGGUUUGGGGUGGCCUCGACGAUAACGCUCUUUUAACUUGAUAAAUUUGGGUGGCCUCGAGAGAGUUAAUUUGUCAGGUAGGGGCGCGGCGGGAGGGGGUAGGAGACCACAACAUCGUUUUCUCUCUAGGGUUUGGGUGUCCUCGAGAGUUUUGGUCGAGCGAGAGGGCCAAGGGGGGUGCUGCAGUUGUAUAAGUUAUCACGGUCGAGAGGGGGUAUAUAUAUAUAUCGACCGCCCCUCAUGUCGAAGUUAUCUAGAGGGGGUUAUAUCUUCUUCUCCUCUUCUUUUUCUUCUUCUCCCUCGAGAAAGGAAAAUAAUUAAGGAAAAGGAAGAAAAGAGAAAAAGGAAGAAGGAAGAAGAAGAAGAAAAAGAGAGGAGAAGAAGAAAGGAAUAGAGGAGAAAGAAGAAAAAAUAGAAUUUUUUCUUUCUCCUCUAUUCCUUUCUUCUUCUCCUCUUCUUUUUCUUCUUUUUUCCUCUUCUUAUUUAUUUCUCCUCUUCUUCCUCUCCUCUUUUUCUCCUUUCUUCCUCUUCUUAUUUUCCUUUUUCCUCUCAUUCUUUUAGUAUUGCUUGUUUUAAAAAAAUGUUCAAAUAGAAAAUUUCGAAAAAACCAAAGGUUUUGCCUAAUGCAUUGUUCAUAUGAAUAUACAAACAUUUGCAUAUUAUACAAUAAUUAAUAUCACCAAUAGAUACAAUAAAUACAGAGCGACGAAGAGCCAAUAGAUACAAAAAAUCUAUGAACAGAAAAAAAACAUGAACAAUAAAUACACAUAUGAACAAUAAAUACAUAUAUGAAGAAAAACAUGCUCUGAACAAUUUUUGAACAUUACAUACACAUAGCCACAUACAUACACAUAUACAUUAUAUAUAUAUAUAUGAACAAAAAAAAUUAAACUAAUAAAAAUGAAAAAAACAGAGCCGCAUAUAUAUAUAGCCACAUACAUACACAUAUNNNNNNNNNNNNNNNNNNNNNNNNNNNNNNNNNNNNNNNNNNNNNNNNNNNNNNNNNNNNNNNNNNNNNNNNNNNNNNNNNNNNNNNNNNNNNNNNNNNNNNNNNNNNNNNNNNNNNNNNNNNNNNNNNNNNNNNNNNNNNNNNNNNNNNNNNNNNNNNNNNNNNNNNNNNNNNNNNNNNNNNNNNNNNNNNNNNNNNNNNNNNNNNNNNNNNNNNNNNNNNNNNNNNNNNNNNNNNNNNNNNNNNNNNNNNNNNNNNNNNNNNNNNNNNNNNNNNNNNNNNNNNNNNNNNNNNNNNNNNNNNNNNNNNNNNNNNNNNNNNNNNNNNNNNNNNNNNNNNNNNNNNNNNNNNNNNNNNNNNNNNNNNNNNNNNNNNNNNNNNNNNNNNNNNNNNNNNNNNNNNNNNNNNNNNNNNNNNNNNNNNNNNNNNNNNNNNNNNNNNNNNNNNNNNNNNNNNNNNNNNNNNNNNNNNNNNNNNNNNNNNNNNNNNNNNNNNNNNNNNNNNNNNNNNNNNNNNNNNNNNNNNNNNNNNNNNNNNNNNNNNNNNNNNNNNNNNNNNNNNNNNNNNNNNNNNNNNNNNNNNNNNNNNNNNNNNNNNNNNNNNNNNNNNNNNNNNNNNNNNNNNNNNNNNNNNNNNNNNNNNNNNNNNNNNNNNNNNNNNNNNNNNNNNNNNNNNNNNNNNNNNNNNNNNNNNNNNNNNNNNNNNNNNNNNNNNNNNNNNNNNNNNNNNNNNNNNNNNNNNNNNNNNNNNNNNNNNNNNNNNNNNNNNNNNNNNNNNNNNNNNNNNNNNNNNNNNNNNNNNNNNNNNNNNNNNNNNNNNNNNNNNNNNNNNNNNNNNNNNNNNNNNNNNNNNNNNNNNNNNNNNNNNNNNNNNNNNNNNNNNNNNNNNNNNNNNNNNNNNNNNNNNNNNNNNNNNUUAUAAGCCCCACUGCCGCACCCCUCUCGAGCUCCUCUCUACUGCACGCUUAUGGGCCUACUUGCGACUGCUUUGCCUGAUGGGCCUUCUGGGCCUACUGCGUUCCUGAAUCCUGGCCCAUAGUAGGGUUUCAAGUCGUAUUCAAGCCGUGGGGCCCUAGUGGGGGGCAUUUUUUUUGUUUUUUUGUUUUCUUUACUUAUUGUUGCUAUUUUUAUUUUUUUUCCAGUUUUUUUGUUUUGUUUUGUGCAUUAUUUAUUUUCUUUUGUUUUUUGCUUUAUUUUUAAUUCUUUUUGCUUUUAGUUUUAAGAAAAUUAUAAACUUCCCACUUUUUUUGUUUUUUUGUUUUCUUUCUUGCUUUAUUUAUUUUAUUUUGUUUCUACUUACAACAAAAUACUUAUUGUUGCUAUUUUUAAUUAUUACGAGGGCCGAACCAUAAGACAUUAAAGCAUUUCAAAUGAACUCUGAAAAAGUUGAAAGUUGGCAUGGUAUCAUAAAUUGACCCACACAUAGCAUGUGCAUGUACAAAACGGACAAUGGUAUCAUACUCGUCAGUUACAAAGUUGGCAUGGUAUCAUCAUAAUAGUUGCGGGAGAAAGUCUUCACUUUUUCUUCGCUUGUGUCAUUUGCUUAUUGCGCCGUAACCAUGGAUAAUCUUCAUCGUUUAUCAGGAUGCUGGGGUCAGCCUUGACUUUAAAGGGAGGAAUUUCAUGAAACUUUUCAUAAUCUUUAGACAUGUCUGUCUUGUCCUCCACUCCCACGAUGUCCCUUUUUCUGAAAGAACUAUGUGGCGCUUUGGCUCAUCGUAUGAUGUAUUCGCUUCCUUAUCUUUUCUCUUUCUCGGUCUGGUAGACAUGUCCUUCACAUAGAUAACGUGUGCCACAUCAUUGGCUAGGACGAACGGUUCGUCAGUGUACCCAAGAUUUUUCAGAUCCAUUGUUAUCAUUCUGUACUGUGGGUCUACCUGUACCCCGCCUCCUGACACAUUGACCCAUUUGCACUUAAACAAAGGGACCUUAAAAUCAUGUCCGUAGUCAAGUUUCCAUAUGUCCACUAUGUAACCAUAAUAUGUGUCAUUUCCCCUCUCGGUUGUUGCAUCAAAGCGGACACCGCUGUUUUGGUUGGUGCUCUUUUGAUCUUGGUCAAUCGUGUAAAAUGUAUUCCCAUUUAUCUCGUAUCCUUUCCAAAUCAAUACAGUCAAAGAUGGUCCCCUGGAUAACAAAUACAGCUCAUCACAAACAGUGUUGUCACCUCUGAUACGUGCUUCCAACCAACUACUGAAAGUCCUGAUGUGUUCACAUGUAAUCCAGUCGUCGCACUGCUCCGGGUGUUUGGAGCGCAGACUGUUCUGUUGUUCAUCGACAUACGGGGUCACCAAGGUAGAGUUCUGUAGAACUGUGUAGUGUGCUUGAGACCAAGAAUAUCCGUCCCUGCAUAUUAUUGAGUCCCUUCCAAGCGUGCCUUUUCCAGUCAGUCUCCCCUCAUACCGCGAUUUAGGGAGACCUAUCUUCUUAAGGCCAGGAAUGAAGUCAACACAAAACCCGAUGACAUCCUCUGUUUGAUGGCCCAUGGAGAUGCUUCCUUCUGGCCAAGCACGGUUACGGACAUAUUUCUUUAGGACUCCCAUGAACCUCUCAAAGGGGUACAUAUUGUGUAGAAAUACGGGGCCCAGAAUGACAAUCUCGUCAACUAGAUGAACUAGGACGUGCGUCAUGAUAUUGAAGAAGGAUGGUGGGAACACCAGCUCGAAACUGACAAGACAUUGCACCACAUCACUCCUUAGCCUUGGUAUGAUUUCUGGAUAGAUCACCUUCUGAGAUAUUGCAUUGAGGAAUGCACAUAGCUUCACAAUGGCUAAUCGGACGUUUUCCGAUAGAAGCCCCCUCAAUGCAACCGGAAGCAGUUGCGUCAUAAUCACGUGGCAGUCAUGAGACUUUAGGUUCUGAAACUUUUUCUCUACCAUAUUUAUUAUUCCUUUUAUAUUCGACGAGAAGCCAGUCAGGACCUUCGUACUAAGCAGGCAUUCAAAGAAGAUUUCCUUCUCUUCUUUGGUAAGAGCAUAGCUGGCAGGACCUUCAUACUGCUUUGGAGGCAUGCCGUCUUUUUCGUGCAAACGUUGCAGGUCCUCCCGUGCCUCAGCUAUAUCUUUUGUCUUCCCAUACAUGCCCAAGAAGCCUAGCAGGUUCACGCAAAGGUUCUUCGUCACAUGCAUCACGUCGAUCGAAGAGCGGACCUCUAGGUCUUUCCAGUAGGGUAGGUCCCAAAAUAUAGAUUUCUUCUUCCACAUUGGUGCGUGUCCGCCAGCGUCACUCGGAACAGCUAGUCCGCCGGGACCCUUUCCAAAGAUUACGUGUAAAUCAUUGACCAUAGCAAGUACGUGAUCACCGGUACGCAUGGCGGUCUUCUUCUGGUGAUCUGCCUCGCCUUUGAAAUGCUUGCCUUUCUUUCGACAUUGAUGGUUGGUCGGAAGAAAUCGACGAUGGCCCAAGUACACAUUCUUCCUGCAGCUUGCCAGGUAUAUACUAUUGGUGUCAAGUAAACAGUGCAUGCAUGCGUGGUAUCCCUUGUUUGUAUGUCCUGAAAGGUUACUGAGAGUGAGCCAAUCGUUGAUGGUCACGAACAGCAACGCCUUUAGGUUAAAUUCCUCCUGUUUGUGCUCAUCCCACGUACGUACACCAUUUCCAUUCCACAGCUCUAAAAGUUCUUCAACUAAUGGCCUUAGGUACACAUGAAUGUCAUUGCCGGGUUGUUUAGGGCCUUGGAUGAGAACUGGCAUCAUAGUGAACUUCCGCUUCAUGCACAUCCAAGGAGGAAGGUUAUACAUACAUAGAGUGACGGGCCAGGUGCUGUGAUUGCUGCUCUGCUCCCCGAAAGGAUUAAUGCCAUCCGUGCUUAAAGCAAACCAUACGUUCCUUGGCUCACUUGCAAACUCAUCCCAGUACUUUCUCUCGAUUUUUCUCCACUGCGACCCGUCAGCGGGUGCUCUCAACUUCCCGUCUUUCUUACGGUCCUCACUUUGCCAUCGCAUCAACUUGGCAUGCUCUCUGUUCUGAACAGACGUUUCAACCGUGGUAUUAUAGGAGCAUACCACAUCACCUUCGCAGGAACCCUCUUCCUGGGGGGCUCGCCGUCAACAUCACCAGGGUCAUCUCGUCUGAUCUUAUACCGUAAUGCACCGCAUACCGGGCAUCCGUUCAGAUCCUUGUACGCACCGCGGUAGAGGAUGCAGUCAUUAGGGCAUGCAUGUAUCUUCUGCACCUCCAAUCCUAGAGGGCAUACGACCUUCUUUGCUGCAUAUGUACUGUCGGGCAAUUCGUUAUCCUUUGGAAGCUUCUUCUUCAAUAUUUUAAGUAGCUUCUCAAAUCCUUUGUCAGGCACAGCAUUCUCUGCCUUCCACUGCAGCAAUUCCAGUACGGUACCCAGCUUUGUGUUGCCAUCUUCGCAAUUGGGGUACAACCCUUUUUUGUGGUCCUCUAGCAUGCGAUCGAACUUCAGCUUCUCCUUUUGACUUUCGCAUUGCGUCCUUGCAUCGACAAUGACCCGGCGGAGAUCAUCAUCAUCGGGCACAUCGUCUGGUUCCUCUUGAUCUUCAGCAGCUUCGCCCGUUGCAGCAUCAUCGUGCACAUCGUCUGGUUCCUCUUGAUCUUCAGGAGCAUCACCGUAUUCAGGGGGCACAUAGUUGUCAUCGUACUCUUCUUCUUCGCCAUCUUCCAUCAUAAACCCUAUUUCUCCGUGCCUCGUCCAAACAUUAUAGUGUGGCAUGAAACCCUUGUAAAGCAGGUGGGUGUGGAGGAUUUUCCGGUCAGAGUAAGACUUCGUAUUCCCACAUACAGGGCAUGGACAACACAUAAAACCAUUCUGCUUGUUUGCCUCAGCCACUUCAAGAAAAUCAUGCACGCCCUUAAUGUACUCGGAGGUGUGUCUUGAACCGUACAUCCAUUGCCAGUUCAUCUGCGUGCAUUAUAUAAUUAAGUGACCAAAUUAAUAGAAGUUCAUCAUCACAUUAAAACGAAAGUACAUACAUAGUUCUCAUCUAACAACAUAAAGCUCUGCAGAGCAUCUAAAUUAAUUAAACCAUACACUGAAACUAUGUAAAACAUUUCAAUGCGAAAACAAAUGCGAUCAUAAUCGCAACCAAUGUAACAACUGAUCCAACGGCAUAAUGAUACCAAGCCUCGGUAUGAAUGGCGCAUUGCAUCCAUCUUGAUCUUGCGAUCAUCGACGACAUCCGCAACAUGCAACUCCAAUAUCAUCUUCUCCUCCUCAAUUUUUCUAAUUUUUUCCUUCAACAAAUUGUUUUCUUCUUCAACUAAAUUUAACCUCUCGACAAUAGGGUCGGUUGGAAUUUCCGGUUCAACAACCUCCUAGAUAAAUAAAAUCUAUGUCACGUUGGUCGGCAUAAUUGUCAUAAACAAUAAAUGAACCAAUAGUUAUGAAAAGAUAAUAUAUACCACAUCUGAAUCAUAGACAGGACGAGGGCCGACGGGGGCGGAUACCAAAACCAUUGCACUAUAUAAGAUGCAAUGAUAAAAGUAAGAAAAUUAUACAAGUAUCUAUAUAAACAUACAAGUAAGAGUUUUUUUUCCUUUCAGAAAGAAGAUAAGAACAAGAGGCUCACCACGGUGGUGCCGGCGACGCGGACGAUCGACGGCGGUGAAGACGGGGACGGGACGUGACAGACCGCUAAACCUAGACAAAUAUUGAGAAAAAUGGAGCUUGGAGGUGGAGCUUGGAGAGGAGAAAGCUUAAGUAGUGUGGCUCGGGCAUUCCAUCGAACACCUCGUGUGCAUAGGAGGUGAGCUAGAGCAACACAAAGCUCUCUCCUCGCCGGCCACGAAAAACAGAGCACUGAGAGUGCUCUGCUCGCGGGGUAUACAUAUAGGCAAUUAAUUGGUCCCGGUUCGUGGCAUGAACCGGGACUAAAGGGAAGCCUUUGGUCCCGGUUCAGGCCACCAACCGGGACCAAUGGUGGUGGGCCAGGAGCAAGGCACAUUGGUCCCGGUUCAUCCCGCCAACCGGGACCAAAAGGUCCAGACGAACCGGGACCAAUGGCCCACAUGGCCCGGCCGGCCCCCGGGGCUCAAGAACCAGGUCCAAUGCCCCCAUUGGUCCCGGUUCUGGAUUGAACCGGGACUAAUGGGCUGGACCGGCCUGGACCAUUGCCCCCUUUUCUACUAGUGUGGCGUCACUCAUCGACGGCGAGAAGAGGCUCAUUGACUGCCAGUUCGACCUCCUGAGGAAGUCCUACCUGGCCGCAGCUGCAGCCGUGGACGAGGAGCUCCGCCGGAGCCGGCGCCUUGAUGCCAUCAACAACGGCUCCACGGCUCUGUCCAUCAUGAAGUAGAGCGACUUGAUGGUGGUCGCGAACGUCAGCGACUCGCGGGCCAUCCUUGCGACCAUGUCGGACGACGGGGACAUCACGACCGUCCAGCUCACCGUCGACUUCAAGCCCGACUUACCCUGUAAGUCAUCAUGACAAGACUAGAAGAUGGACAGUCCAUUCCUGACACAUCAAUUGCUCCCCCACGUUCGAAUCCGAAUCGCAGAGGAGAAGGCGCGCAUCUUGCAGUGUGAGGGCCACGUGCAGUGCCUCAACGACGAGCCCGGCGUGCAUCGGGUGUGGGUGCCCCAUCGGGAGGCACCGGGGCUGGCCAUGUCGCGCGCGUUUGGCGACUACUGCGUCAAGGACUACGGCAUCAUCUUGGUGCCGGAGGUGACGCGGAGGAGGAUCACCGCCGAGGACCAGUUCGUCAUCCUGGCCACCGACGGGGUAAGCUACAGAUUCUCGCACAGUCACAAUGUAUUUUUAUGAUGUGCCCAAAUGAUUAUGGACCGUACAUUGAGAAUGAUCUAAUGGUUAGGAGGAUGCAUUAUUUCAUAAUUUAAGAAAAGGUCAUGUCUUUACAGAAAUGUUCAGUUCCCCCUCAGUUUGAACUUGUAAGGUGUACAAUUUUUUUAAAAAUUCAAACUUACCUAAUUUUGACCAAGUUUAUAUAAUAAAACAUAAAUAUCUACUAUAGAAAAUCAGUAUCAUUAGAUUCAUGAUGAAGUAUAUUUCCAUAUUUGAUUUAUUUAGGGGCUGUUCGGAAAGCAUCCACGCCCUCGCCACGGAGCGGAGCGGACGGAGCGACCUUCUGGCCACUCUGUAGAUUAUUGUUGCAUGCCACUCCGCUCCAGAGCGGAGCUGCGGAGUGGGAGUGAGUCCGAACAGGCCUUUAGUAUUGUAGGUUUUAGAUGUAUUUUGCUACAGAUUUGAUCAAACAUAGGAACUUUGACUUUUGGAAAUUUAAUUCACCUUAUAUUUUGACAGACAUGAAGUAGUAAUUGCUGGGACCAUAUCCAUGCACCAUCAUCUGAAACCCAUGUAUUCAUGAGGUGUGAUGUUAAUUUUAACAAAUGUGCCCAUGGACAGAACCUUGAUACCAUUAUUCACAGACCAACCCACAUAGAAUUUCUGUAGACUGACAUAUACGCCGAGUUCAUCUUGUAGUAUGUCCCUGAACUUUUCUGAUGACAAUGCUCUUAGUUGGGAUGCCAUCAGGCUCCAAACCAAACUAAAGCAAACCUGGGAGCACUUUACUUACCAAUAAAUUAAGAUAACUUCUGCAUAAGGUUUUGUCGUAAUCCGUUACCAAGAUGGGUAGCACUGUAUAGUUUCCUAGUAGCAACAUUUGGCCAGCUUCUUAGAUUUUAUCGAAAUGAAUAGUAGAUUUGCUCAUUUUGAUUUGUAAUAUUGUAAAUGUUCACCUCAACUGACAGAUUAACAUAAUGGAACGUUGUCAGGUGUAUUUGAAGGUUGCCCAUUUUGGUGGGCCAAACAGCCAGUGCGCUGAGGUCAAAAUAAGCAUGACACCAGUUUGAUUCUUUUAGUGGUCGCCUACAUGACGAAAGAUGCUCAGGCACACAUAAUUGUUGGGUUUUCCCAUGUCAUGUCAUACUUGGUCUGUAACUGAAUCUUGAGAAUUCAUUUGUAUGACUUGAUGUACAAACGUGUUAUUCAUAAUGAAAAUAAUAUCAUUGUAUGUGCUUAAAAUAUUAUGUAAUAAUUCUAUUAAAAAAUGGCAUCAUCUACUAGAUAAAGAAGUGAUAACAGUAAAAAAAAUAAUCUUUGGACAGUCUCCAUGUGUAGAAGGUUGGAACGCUUAGAUAUUAGGAAGUGUGCAUUAAUUCUCCCGAUGGAAAAUUGCCCAGCUAGGGAAUGAGAAUAGCGACACGAAAUCAAGAUUUUUGAUGUGUUUGUAUUUAAAACAAGAUAAGGGCAAGAUAAUAAAAAUUGAUGUAUAUUUUGAUAAAGGUUUAAAGAACUAUGGAUAACAAUGUCUACACACUAUCGAUACACAGAUGCACUCACAUACAUGGAUGGGUAUCAUCACUAUCCUAACCAUUCAACUAUUGGGUGGUUUCAAUAACAUUUGGUUUAUUAGCCAAUAACAUAUUAUUGCAUUUGAUAGUAUGAUUUAUGUUAGUUUAUUGUAAGUUGAUUGUAAAAAAAGAGACGCGUGUUCUUUUAGACGACAUUGUUCUCAGCUAUUUUAGCUUUAUGAAUUGCAUCUUAAAUUUUUGUAAACACACGUGACAACACACGGGUGUUAUACUAGUCAAUGUAAUGACAUACAGAUUAAAUUUACUAUUUAUCUCUGUUACUCAAGUGAAGUCCUCUUGGUGUUCAUAAUUUUACGUAAUGCAUGAUGUGCUUCUAUGUUAGUGGUUUCCACAAUAUAUCGGUGUCAGUUUUCUUUUUUUAAUAUGUUGAAAAGUAUAUAAAUAUUUAUAAUAUUACGUUGUACUAAAGUCACUAGUAGAAAAAGCCUCAUUCAUCCCCACUACAAGAAAUAUGUCCACUUGUGACCACCACUAUUGGUUACUGAAUGGUCAUUAUUUUCCAUUUGUGACCUUUUUGUCACCAAGAAUAGAAGGUUAAAAGUUGGCCGUCGUAAACUGGCAUUAGCGACCUUUCUUCUGGAAUGGUCGUAGACAUUUAUGACCAAAAAAGGUCGUAGAUUUAACGACCAAUUAUUUUGGUCACUAGCAAUCCGACCACACCACAUCAGAUCCACCAUGGCAAGCUGACGUGGCAGUAUUACGACCAAAUGAAAAGGUCGUAAAAUAGAAUCAGCCCGGUCCAUUUCAGCCGUCUACAUGGGCCAAGCCCAAUAAUUCAGCCCAUUUAAUGUUUUUUUCUCUUUAUUUUGCUUAUCUGCAUGGGCCUGGCCCAAUAAUUUGGCCUUUUAUUUUUUGGGAAUGUAGCCUUUUUUUGAUGAAUUUUUUAUAGUCCACUACUGUUUUGGGCCACAGCCUUUUUAGUCUAGUUCGAAUUUGGGCCUUGGGCUUUUUGUUUUCUAUUAUGCAGGCUUUUACAAACUAUUUUUUUUAAAGUCAACUCUUUUUAUAGGCCCAACCCUUUUUAGUCUAAUUCUUGUUUGGGCCUCGGCCUUUUUGCAGUCCAACUAAGUUUAGAGCCCAAUUAAUCAAAAUAAUAUUAUGUGAUCCAAACAAAACUCAAAUAAUUCAGAAAAUGCAUAACUUCACAUGUUCAUAACUCCACAACAAGUGACUUCACAGCUUCCAAAACUUCACAUGUGCAUAACUUCACAACAAGUAACUUCACAUGUGCAUAACUUCACAGCUAUCACUGGUUCAACAACAAGUGCUCCCAGUUUCACAAGUGCUCCAAGGUUCACAAGAUCCCAGGUUCACUUGCCAAGUGCAAAAUCCAACAAUCUGCAUAAGUUCACGACCUACUACGACAUAACACUAGUGCAGAACCGGCCUUUAGUGCCGAUUCGUAACGGCCUUUAGUGCCGGUUCGCCAACCGGCACUAAAGAGUGGGGACUAAAGGUCCCCCCCAUUUAGUACCGGUUCGUCACGAACCGGCGCUAAAGAGCCACCACGUGGCACGAGCCAGGCCCGGGUGCGUGUAGGACAUUAGUACCGGUUGGUAACACCAACCGGUACUAAAUGUUUGGGAGGGUUUUGGCUUUAUUUUCCAUUUAAUUAUUUUUUGUUUGUUAGUAUUUCACGAUACUACAAAUUGUAGACAUUAUGCAUAUAUGUAAAUAGAUUUUCUCAUACGUAGAACCGCAUAUAUAUAUAUAUAUAUAAUAUCAUCGAAUGUCUCACAACCAACACCAUUAACUAUUCACACAUACACAUGUAUAUACAUAUACAAUUUCUCCUACAUGUUGCCUUGGUGCCUUCGGAGCACGAUAACAAGUGGUUCAUGGGGGCGGUAGCGGGUAAUAGUAUUCUCCUUUGGGAUCUAUGACCUGGUCGAGCAAAAAUCCGGCUAUUUCCUCUUGAAGUGCACUAGUAGAAAACAAGGCAUUUGUCCCGGUUCAUAAGGGCCUUUAGUCCCGGUUCGUGAACCAGGACUAAUAGGUCAUUACUAAUGCCUCCCCCCUUUAGUCCCGGUUCUUACACGAACUAGGACAGAUGGGCAUCCACGUGGCCGCUGUGGGCAGCCCAGGCAGGGGGGCCUUUGGUACCGGUUGGUGACAUAAACCGGGACCAAAAGGCUUCCACGCAUCAGUAGCUGGCUGGAGCUGAGGUUUUUAUUUUUUCUUUUUAAAAAAAGUGGCUGGUUUAGGGGUUUUGGGGGUUAAUUUUAGGUUGUUAUUAGCUAGCUAAUAGAGAGAAGUGUCCUCUCUUAUAUCUUCGUCCUUGGUUUACCAACGCUACUGCUAUGUUCAUUUCACCCACUAAUAUAUAAUAACUCAUGCAUGCUCGCAUCAUACAUCAUCAUAUAUAAUAACAAGUCCUACUAAUCAUGCAUCAUCAUACAACUUCUACUCAUUAUUAAUAAUAAGUCAUACGAUCAUCAUCCUCAUAGUCAUCGAACCCAACCCUACAUAAUUGUUCUUAGCACAUGAUCAUAAUUAUCAGGUAGGACCUAAACACCCUUAAGGUAAAAUAUCAUAAAACAAUAUAGACCCUGACUCUCCAUUAUGAAGAAUGGAGAUCAUCCUGUCUCCAAUUCUUGCGCUUCGCUUCCUUUUGCUUCCAAGAAGGUCCUUACGACUAUCCAUACAUUUUUUUCCAUGCUUUGAUUGUCAUGUCUCCACUUCUUUUAGAAAUCUAGUAUGGACAGUUGAGAUUCAUAGGACGACCUGGUUGUAUGUUCAAAACAUCAAGGCGACCGUGUGUAUACAUUAUAUGAGGCACACAAUCAUUCGGGAUUAUCUGUUGAAAAACAUAGUAAUAACUUCGUAGUUAGAUGCAUGGAUGUCAUAAUAGUAAAAAAUCUUACCAGGGUAUCUCCAUGGUAGUUACCGUAGCUCAACACGUGCACUAGUGGCAUGUAUUGACCAUAAUGUUGAGGAGUUUGAUUGUAGACAUUGUAAUUCUCAAGAUCAGUACAAAAUCCUAUCAGAUGAUUUUUCUCCUUAUAAGUUAAUUCGGAGCCAUCGGUGUAGUGGGUUUUGUCUACCAUCUUCUGCACAUUCUUUGAAGAAUGAAAAUAAACUGUCAAUGGAAAUGAGCUGUCAACUAUUUUGAAAUAAACAAUAUAAAUUACUUAAUAACUAUGUUAAGCUCACAUGGGGGAAGAAUUGGAGUUGUAUCCACAAGGACCCAAAUUUUCAUAUUGUCUUGCUCGAUUGUAGGAUCACCAAGAUCCAUGGUGACAAGCAUACCCUCAUCAAAACCAUACAUCUUGCAAAGUGCUUCCCAAUUUUUGCAACCAAAAUGGGUUGCACUCUCAGCAUUGUACAACUUUACUUUAAAAUCCACACCAAGAUGGGCCCUUAGGAGAUUUUUUUUGGUUUCCAUACUUUCAUGGUCUUCAAAACCCAUCCUCUCCAAGACAUAGCGUCUUGCAUAGCAUGGGAUAAGCUAGUCGAAUUGGAAAAGAUGAAAAAUACACGUUAAAAUAGUUGAAGUCGUGCUUUAUUACAAAAAAAAACUAUUGUCGUCGUUGCGUAUCGUAUGAACAUCGAAGGUCACCUCGAGCUUAAUGCUGAAGUGCGGAUCUUUGUCCAGCUCAAUGAACCUGUCGCACAUACCUCGGUCGUUGUGGCACUAGUCGCACUCCCCCGGGCGAUUUUCGUCGACCGAGUACGACAUUUCCGGCCUAUGUUCAUAAUUCAAAUAUUAAACUUGUACAAUUAAAUAUAUGUACUAAAAAACCUAAAUUAGAUUAUUAUUAUUAAUCACGGGUUGACUAUCGGUGAUGGUACGUAGCUCCUCCUUUCAUUGUCGGGUGCAUUAUUACACCAAAUUGUCUAGCACACGGGAAUCAAGGAGAAGCUACCCCCCACGACGGCGUGGAUGAUGGAGGGGGCUCCUAGAUUUCUGCAUAGUGCUCUCCAAUUUUAGCAUUCAAAGUACGAGUACUUUUCCAAUAUGAGCAAAACCAAUUCAUAAACUAAAGUAGUAUUCAAAUUAGCAUGCAUUCAAUUAUAAGCAAAAGUACAUCAUCUCUUGUGUCCGUACAUCGUCUAAUAUUAUCACUAAUACUCCUCGAAUACUGUCAUACAUAUAGCAUCACUAAUACAGCUAGUACCGUAGCGCCUGACGGGUAUCGUCGCGGGCGGUGGACACCCAAAGAUAAGGAACCAUCACAUGAUCAUAGCUCCAGUGAGAUACCUGAAGAACCUGCCAGGUAUUGUCGAACCUGCCCUCCAAUGCAACCAUGUAGCGACGGACGUGCUCGUCCUCCUUGCUGACAUGGUGACGUACCACCUCCGCGGUGUCCGGAAUCCUCGUCACCGUCACUAGCCCACGCGACCGCCACCAAACAAGGAUCGGGUCAACAACGGGCUGCCUCCUCACCAACCUACGUCCCCCGGAAGGUAGCACCUCCCAAUACCAGCCCGGCGGAGCCCAGUCCCGAACAUGGCCCUGAUCAAGCAGGCCUCCACCACCGAGUCGACGACGACGGGGAUGCGGGAUAGGCAUCGCCGACGUUGAUGCGGGAACUACUUCUAUAUAUAGUAAAAUAAAGUAUUUUUAUUAAUUAAAUCAACUAGUUCAACUACUAAGCACUUACUAUAAAUAAAUAAACUAGUACUUACUAAAAACAAACUACUUUUAUAUAUAGUAAAAUAAAGUAGUUUAUUAAAUCAACUAGCUAGUUCAAUUAUAUAUGAAGCACUUACUAUAAAUAAAAUAAAGUAGUACUUAAUUAGUAAAAAUAAACUAGUUUAACUAUAGUUCAAUUAUUUUUCUAACUAAUUAUAUUAAACGCUUUCUCUUCUUAUUUUUUUCCUUUUUCCUCUAUUCUAAAUAUGAACAUAUUCAUAAAUGACUUCUAUCAUUCACAAUUUUCCUAUACAUACACAAUAAAUUGACAAAGAAAANNNNNNNNNNNNNNNNNNNNNNNNNNNNNNNNNNNNNNNNNNNNNNNNNNNNNNNNNNNNNNNNNNNNNNNNNNNNNNNNNNNNNNNNNNNNNNNNNNNNNNNNNNNNNNNNNNNNNNNNNNNNNNNNNNNNNNNNNNNNNNNNNNNNNNNNNNNNNNNNNNNNNNNNNNNNNNNNNNNNNNNNNNNNNNNNNNNNNNNNNNNNNNNNNNNNNNNNNNNNNNNNNNNNNNNNNNNNNNNNNNNNNNNNNNNNNNNNNNNNNNNNNNNNNNNNNNNNNNNNNNNNNNNNNNNNNNNNNNNNNNNNNNNNNNNNNNNNNNNNNNNNNNNNNNNNNNNNNNNNNNNNNNNNNNNNNNNNNNNNNNNNNNNNNNNNNNNNNNNNNNNNNNNNNNNNNNNNNNNNNNNNNNNNNNNNNNNNNNNNNNNNNNNNNNNNNNNNNNNNNNNNNNNNNNNNNNNNNNNNNNNNNNNNNNNNNNNNNNNNNNNNNNNNNNNNNNNNNNNNNNNNNNNNNNNNNNNNNNNNNNNNNNNNNNNNNNNNNNNNNNNNNNNNNNNNNNNNNNNNNNNACGGGCAAGCGUCGGCGGUGUUGUGGGGCACGGGGCGCGGGGUGGGGGGCGGCGACGGCAUCGGGGCGGCGCGAGACGGCGUCGGGGCGGCGUGGGGCGAUGACGGCGAUGGCGAAGGGAGACGGAUGGGCAGCCUGGCGGCAUCGGGCGGUGGGGAAGAACGAACUGAACCAAAUUUUCAUGAGUGCUGCUUAUAUAGGCAGAGCAUUGGUCCCGGUUCAUGGCACGAGCCGGGACCAAUGCACCCCUUUAGUCCCGCUUGGUGGCACCAACCGGGACGAAAGGCCUCUUUUCAGCAGCCCAAAGGGCAGGAAACAGAGACCUUUGGUCUUGGUUGGUGCCACAAACCGGGACAAAAGAGUGGCAUUGGUCCUGGUUGGUGCCACCAACCGGUACCAAUGCGUCCCUUUAGUCCCGGUCGGUGCCACCAACCGGGACCAAAGGUGGUUUGCUGGAACUGGCGCGGUGGGUGCUAUGUUUAGUCCCACCUCGCUAGCCGAGAGGGGCUCGUAGUGGUUUAUAAGCCCUGCCAAACCAACCACUUCGAGCUCCUCUCUACUGCAGGCUUAUGGGCCUAAAAUCACUCUCUGUGCUUGUGGGCCUAUUGGGCCUACUGCAGGCCUACAUCCUGGCCCUAGUAAUGGGUUUCUAGUCGUAUGCAGGCCGUGGUGGCCCAGUAGGUGGCAUUUUUUAAAAAAAAUUCCCACUUUUUUGCUUUCUUUUUUGUUUCUAGUUACUUAUUUAUUUUCUUUUACGAUAAUUAUUUUUGCUAUUUAAGUUUGUAACAAAAUUCUAAUUACUUAUUUAUUUUAUUUUAUGAUAUUCUUUUUGCUUUUAAUGUUUUGAACAAAAUUCUAAUUACUUAUUUAUUUUCUUUUAUGAUAAUUCUUUUUGCGAUUAAAGUUUGCAACAAAACAGGUUUUAAGGCUGGGGCCCCACGAGCACCUUUUAGUACCGGUUCGUGGCAUGAACCGGUAAAAGAGCUUUUUGAUUGAUUCUUUCUGCAACUGUUUUUUAGUCCCACCUCACCAAGCGAGAGGCACUCGCAGCGUUUUAUUAGCCCUGAGUGUAGAGACGAUGAAGGGAGAAGCGUAGUGCUCACCUGCACGUUGGCCUGAAGCUAAGCAACAUGCAGGUGAGCAUUGCGCCUCUCUUUUAUUUUGGCAUGGUAUCAUCAUUUCAUCCACAUAGCAUAUGCAAGAAAGUUGAGAGGGUUACGGCAAAAACUGGAUGCAUUUCGUGUACAAAACGGACAAUCGAGAUUUCAUACAGAAACUUGUCUGUUACAACAUGAAUUUCAAAUGAACUACAAAAAGGUUGCAAGUUGGCAUGGUAUCAUCCUAAUAGUUGUGGAGGAAGCCUUCACUUUUUCUUCGCUUGUGUCCUUUCCUUAUUGCGCCGUAACCAUGGAUAAUCUUCAUCAUUUAUCAGGAUGCUUGGGCCAGCCUUGACUUUGAAGGGUGGAAUUUCAUGAAACUUUUCAUAAUCUUUGGACAUGUCUGUCUUGCCCUCCACUCCCACGAUGUCGGUUUUUCGUGAAAGAACUAUGUGGCGCUUUGGCUCAUCGUAUGAUGUAUUCGCUUCCUUAUUUUUUAUUUUUCUCGGUUUGGUAGACAUGUCCUUCACAUAGAUAACCUGUGCCACAUCAUUAGCUAGGACGGACGGUUCGUCAGUGUACCCAAGAUUGUUCAGAUCCACUGUUGUCAUUCCGUACUAUGGGUCUACCUGUACCCUGCCUCUUGACAGAUUGACCCAUUUGCACUUAAACAAAGGGACCUUAAAAUCUACUCCAUAGUCAAGUUCCCAUAUGUCCACUAUGUAACCAUAAUAUGUGUCCUUUCCCCUCUCGGUGGCUGCAUCAAAGCGGACACCGCUGUUUUGGUUGGUGAUCUUUUGAUCUUGGGCGAUCGUGUAAAAUGUAUUCCCAUUUAUCUCGUAUCCUUUCCAAAUCAUAACAGUCGAAGAUGGUCCCCUGGACAAUGAGUACAUCUCAUCACAAAAAGUGUUUUCAUCUUUGAGACGUGUUUCCAACCAACUGCUGAAAGUCCUAAUGUGUUCACAUGUAAUCCAGUCGUCGCACUGCUCCGGGUGUUUGGAGCGCAGACUGUUCUUUUGUUCAUCGACAUAAGGGGUCACCAAGGUAGAGUUCUGUAGAACUGUGUAGUGUGCUUGAGACCAAGAAUAUCCAUCCCUGCAUAUUAUUGUCUCCCCUCCAAGCGUGCCUUUUCCAGUCAGUCUCCCCUCAUACCGCGAUUUACGGAGACCUAUCUUCUUAAGGUCAGGAAUGAAGUCAACACAAAACCCAAUGACAUCCUCUGUUUGAUGGCCCAUGGAGAUACUUCCUUUUGGCCUAGCGCGGUAACGAACAUAUUUCUUUAGGACUCCCAUGAACCUCUCAAAGGGGUACAUAUUGUGUAGAAAUACGGGCCCCAGAAUGACAAUCUCGUCAAUUAGAUGAACUAGGACAAGACAUUGAAGAAGGAUGAUGGGAACACCGGCUCGAAACUGACAAGACAUUGCACCACAUCACUCGUUAGCCUUGGUAUGAUUUUUGGAUCGAUCACCUUCUGAGAGAUUGCAUUGAGGAAUGCACAUAGCUUCACAAUGGCUAAUCGGACGUUUUCCGGUAGAAGCCCCCUCAAUGCAACCGGAAGCAGUUGCAUCAUAAUCACGUGGCAGUCAUGAGACUUUAGGUUCUGAAACCUUUUCUCUGCCAUAUUUAUUAUUCCCUCUAUAUUCGACGAGAAGCCAGUCGGGACCUUCAUACUAAGCAGACAUUCAAAGAAUAUUUCCUUCUCUUCUUUGGUAAGAGCGUAGCUGGCAGGACCUUCAUACUGCUUUGGAGGCAUGCCGUCUUUUUCGUGCAAACGUUGCAGGUCCUCCCGUGCCUCAGCUGUAUCUUUUGUCUUCCCAUACACGCCCAAGAAGCCUAGCAGGUUAACGCAAAGGUUCUUUGUCACGUGCAUCACGUCGAUCGAAGAGUGGACCUCUAGGUCUUUCCAGUAGGGUAGGUCCCAAAAUAUAGAUUUCUUCUUCUACAUGGGUGUGUGUCACCCAGCGUCACUCGGAAUAGCUAGUCCGCCGGGACCCUUUCCAAAGAUUACAUGUAAUCAUUGACCAUAGCAAGUACGUGAUCACCGGUACGCAUGGCGGGCUUCUUCCGGUGAUCUACCUCACCUUUGAAAUGGUUGCCUUUCUUUCGACAUUGAUGGUUGGUCGGAAGAAAUCAAUGAUGGCCCAAGUACACAUUCUUCCUGCAGCUUCCCAGGUAUAUACUUUUGGUGUCAGCUAAACAGUGCGUGCAUGCGUGGUAUCGCGUGUUUGUAUAUCCUGAAAGGUUACUAAGAGAGGGCCAAUCAUUGAUGGUUACAAACAGCAACGCGUGCAGGUUAAAUUCCUCCUGUUUGUGCUCAUCCCACACACGUACACCGUUUCCAUUCCACAGCUGUAAAAGUUCUUCACCCAAUGGCCUUAGGUACACAUCAAUGUUGUUGCCGGGUUGCUUAGGGCCUUGGAUGAGAACUGACAUCAUAAUGAACUUCCGCUUCAUGCACAUCCAAGGAGGAAGGUUAUACAUACAUAGAGUCACGGGCCAGGUGCUGUGAUUGCUGCUCUGCUCUCCGAAAGGAUAAAUGCCAUCCGCACCUAAACCAAACCAUACAUUCCUUGGGUCACCUGCAAACUCAACCGAGUACUCUCUCUCGAUUUUUCUCCACUGCGACCCAUCAGCGGGUGCUCUCAACUUCCCGUCUUUCUUACAGUCCUCACUGUGCCAUCGCAUCAACUUGGCAUGCUCUUUGUUUCUAAACAGUUGUUUCAACCAUGGUAUUAUAGGAGCAUACCACAAUGCACCGCAUACCAUGCAUGCGUUCAAAUCCUCGUACGCACCACGGUAGAGGAUGCAUUUAUUAGGGUAUGCAUGUAUCUUCUGCACCUCCAAUCCUAUAGGGCAUACGACCUUCUUUUCUGCGUACGUGCUGUCGGGCAAUUCAUUAUCCUUUGGAAGCUUCUUCUUCAAUAUUUUCAGUAGCUUCUCAAAUCCUUUGUCAGGCACAACAUUCUCUGCCUUCCACUGCAGCAAUUCUAGUACGGUACCCAGCUUUGUGUUGCCAUCUUCACAAUUGGGGUACAACUUUUUUUUGUGAUCCUCUAACAUGCUAUCGAACUUCAGCUUCUCCUUUUGACUUUCGCAUUGCGUCCUUGCAUCGACAAUGACCCGGCGGAGAUCAUCAUCGGGCACAUCGUCUGGUUUCUCUUGAUCUUCAACAACUUCCCCCAUUGCAGCAUCAUCGGGCACAUCGUCUGGUUCCUCUUGAUCUUCAGCAGCUCCCUCCGUUGCAGCAUCACCGUAUUCAGGGGGCACAUAGCUGUCAUCGCCCUCUUCUUCUUCACCGUCUUCCAUCGUAACCCCUAUUUCUCCGUGCCUCGUCCAAACAUUAUAGUGUGGCAUGAAACCCUUGUAAAGCAGGUGGGUGUGAAGGAUUUUCCGGUCAGAGUAAGACUUCGUAUUCCCACAUUUACGGCAUGGAGAACACAUAAAACCAUGCUGCUUGUUUGCCUCAGCCACUUCGAGAAAAAUAUGCACGCCCUUAAUGUACUUGGAGGUGUGUCUGUCACCAUACAUCCAUUGCCGAUUCAUCUGCGUGCAUUACAUAUAAUGAUGUGUGUCAAAAUUAAGAAAAUUAGACAAAUAUAUAUCUAAAGUAAGAAAAUCAGACAAGUAUCAUAAAGAAGAUAAGAACAAGACGCUCACCACGGUGGUGCCGGCGACGAGAUCGGCGCGGACGAUCAACGACGGUGAAAACGGGGACGGGGCGUGACGGACCCCUAAAUCUAGACAAAUCUCGAAAAAAAUGGAGCUCCUAGGUCGAGCUUCGAGAGGAGAAAUCUUAACUAGUGUGGCUCGGGCAUUUCAUCGAACACCUCGUGUGCAUAGGAGGUGAGCUAGAGCACCCAAAUGCCCUCUGCUUGCCGGAUUGAAAAAACAGAGCACUGUGGAGUGCUUUGCCGCGGCAGUGGGUAUAUAUAGGCAAGUUAUUUGUCCCGGUUUGUGGCAUGAACCGGGACUAAAGCCACCCCUUCUGUCCCGGUUCAUGCCACGAACCGGGACCAAUGGUUGUGGCCAGCAGCGAGGACCGUUGGUCCCGAUUCGUGGCUCGAACCGGGACAAAUGGUUCUACACGAACCAGGACCAAUGCGCACGAGGCCCCGGCCGGCCCCCUGGGCUCACGAACCGGGUCUAAUACCCCCCAUUGGUCCCGGUUCUUGAAGAACCAGGACUAAUGGGCUGGCCAGGGCUGAACGGUAGCCCUGUUUUCUACUAGUGGUGCUAGUAUGCGGUCCGCUGGUAGGAGCUUAUCCCGCACCUCUCUGAACUGUUAAGAAGGAGAUCAAUAUGCAUGUGUAUUAGUUGUGUUACAAGAUAUCGAUAAUGGUGUGAAUAGUGUUCUGACAAACGUACCCAGUCCUGUCUUUGAGAUCUGCUCCUUUCGGACGCCAUCAUGCGAAUGUUCUCGCAAACGUAGAAUGCACACAGAUCAUUCCCCGGCGCCUGCUUCAGGGCCUUUACGAGAAUGGAAUUGAAUCAGAUAAUGAUUAAUCAAGCAUGAUAAUUAUUUAAUGGUAUUGAAACAAGAAUUAAAGAUAUGGUAGCUAGCUAGAACUACUUAAUUACUUACCUUUGGUCGAUGCCAAAACAACUUUUUUGGCCAUUUGCCUGGAGUCACCUUGAUGAACUUUGCUCAAGCCCUGCCCGUCGGCAAAGAAAAUUAAUAAAGGGGUUAUUAAAUAGUUCAUAUCAGGAAAUGACGAAAUAAUAAUAGGCUGAGAUAUAGUUAAUAAUGAUUGAAAUUACGUGUUGACUAUCCCCUUCAUGAUGGUGUAGUCUUUAUCUUCUUUAAGUAGUGAGUCCAGUACUUCAACUGUUGCUUUGUCAACUUUAAUGUCUAAUAAGAUCCAGUGGAAACUGCAUGCGCACACGUUUGCAUGUCUUAAUUAAGCGGGCAUGUGCAUAAAAUUAAUCAACUAUCGUAAACCGUAUACACUUAAUUAUUAACAUCUAGCUAGCUAGUAAGCAAAAACAGAAUUUGUAUUAACUCACACGAAGUUGUAAGGAAGUAGUAUAUCUGCAUUGGUAUUGAGGCGCUUCAAGAACUCUAGCAUGCUUUCCUCUACACUUGCUUGAGAAGUUGCAAGAGUCCAUGUGUACUCAUUAAUGGUAUUUGGGUCAAUGAACCCAAUGCCAUAGCGUCCAAUUUUUUUCAUUUCAUACAUCUUCAUCCUGCAUAUAAUACCACCGAAAAGAAUAUAUAGUGAGGAUAAUUACAUGUAAUGAUAGAUAAAAAAUUACAGAAAGAAAUCACUUCCAGACAAUAGCAACUGACAAUAGAUUUGUCGAGUGCAUCUUGAUUGUAUAACUGAAAUAGUUCUGAAUACUCAACGCACAGAACUUUCUCAUGGAAGUAAUGCUCCUUCUUGACAUUCACCAUGAGGGACUCUCAAUUGCAAAUCUUGGUAAUGUCCAUGUACCAUUGAUGCAAUUCAUACAUUCUCGUUGGGAGGUUCUUGACCUUGUCUGGCUCGACCAAAGGUUGGCCCCGUACAUAUUUCUGUUUUAUUUCCUCCUCUCUAAGCGGAGACAUGGGCUCAAUUUCGAGGAGUUGUCCAACAGAGAUCUUGAGCAUUUCAGCCUGCAUUAUAUGCUCCUCCGUUAUUACCACAUCGCCUAGUUGGGGAACUUUAACGGUUUGCCCACAAUAAUAUUGGGUGCGCGGCCUCCUCUCAUGUGUUGUUGGCACAACAAGCGGGGGGAUCGAUUGCGGCGCCUCUUCUCCCAGCUGGGGAAUGGUUUUCCCGCAUUUUUUGCCCGCUGCUUGUUGGCUCGAGCUCGAGCUCGCUUCCUUCUUUAGCCGUUCUCGAUGUAGUUUCCUGAUUUGGUGCUCAUAGUCCGAGUCAACAGGCUUGGGAGCUGGUUCUCUAGCCAUACGAAUGAAGUGGUCAAUCAUUUUCUCAGGCACUUUCUCUUUUGGUGGUGGUGCCGGUUUCGGUCCAAAAUGGGCGUCCACUUGGGCCUGCACUAUGGAUGCGUUUUGCUCCUCAGUCAUGUCGUAAGGCCUCUGAGGAAGAGGAGCGAGGCUUGGACAAUAUUUAUAUCGCUUGUCUCCGCCUGUACUUCCUGGACUACCUCGACUAGUACUGCUACGCACCAUAGCUGCGGCAUGUCUCUUCUGCAAGUGCUGAGACGGUGGAGACGGCUGACGUGGCUGAGUUGGAGCAGGAGAAGUGGCCUGAUGAUGUGCCGGACUUGAAACAGGAGGUGUGGCCUGACACGGUGCCGGACUUGAAACCGGAGAAGUGGAAUGAUGCUGUGCCGGACUUGAAAUCGGAGGAGUCAGCUCACGCGUUCGGGGACUUGGAGGAGGUGGCGGACUUCGAGGAGGAGUCGGCUCACGUGUUCGAGGACUUGGAGGAGCGGGAGUCUGCUGACUCGGUGGCGGACUUCGAGGAGGAGUCGGCAGGCGACGCGGUGUCGGUGGACUUUGAAAGAUGAUGCAAUCCUUUCUCCAUAGGAUGAUACGAUGUAUGGCCUCUCCCAGUGUGCGCUCGUCUUCACCUCCAGGAAUGUCAAGAUGUAGCCCCGAAUAUGGGUCCAGCACUUCAUCAACCAAGACACGAGCAUAGCCCUCUGGAAUCGGGAUGCAAUGGAAGGUUGCUUCGGGGGUAAUUGUAAAAGCAACGCCGUCUGCCACCUUCAUGGAUAUGUUCUUCAUUUUGGAGUGUAGCUCACAGUUAGUGUUCUCUAUGAUGUCAUCCACAGGGUAUGUAUCCAGCAGUGUGUCGCCCGGGGCAGAACCAAAGCUGCUUCUCGGCAUGGAUGGGAUGGUGCUAUCCAAUGCUGGACGAUCAUCCGCUUGCUGCUGUCGCUGCUGAGACCCCCUUUCCUGGCUAAGUGAGUCGAUCUACUGCUGCUGCUGCUGGAAUUUGAGUGCCAAGUCGGCGUGCCUUGCUUCUAGGCCUUGAAGGUGUUCUGCGUCCUGCUUCCUCUGCUCCUCCUCCAGCUUCCUUUUCUACUCGUCCUCCAUCUUCCUUCUUGCACGGGUCCUGUAGUCCUCCUUCCUUUCUGAAAUGCCCUCAUACCAGGGAAUAACGCCCUUGCCUCAUGUUCUUCCCGGGUGUUCAGGAUUUCCUGGGGCGCGCGUAAGCUCAUCGUUCUCUCUGUUGGGCGUGAACACCCCCCUUCAAGCUUCUUCUAUUGCGUCAAGUAUCUUUUAUUCAGCUCCUUUUAGAUUUUCCUUCUGCGAAACCAGGCCUGUCUUCGGGUCCAACGCCCCCCAUGCGCAUAGAACCAAGUUUCGCACCUGGGGGGCCAGCUCCUAGUAACCGGAGUGACCCCUGCAUCCUCCAUCUCUUGCUCAAACUUAUCCUACUUAGGCAUUCCCACCACGUAGCCACCUGGACCCAGCCUAUGGAACUGCGUCUUUUUGCGGCAUUUGCCUUGUUUUUUAUCGACCGUUCCAUAGAUAAUACUGAAUUCGUGAAGGUCACGAAAUCGUCCCAGUGUUCUAUUUGCUUCUCUAGUGUUCCCGUGAAUUCUGGAGUCUUCCUUUCUGCAGCGAGGUAGUGGGCCCAUACAGUUUUCUUGUGGGUGUUGAAUGCAAUUGCCAUCUUCUUAAGAGCAGCGCCCUUGACUUUCUCCACAUCUGCUUCAGUGAAAUGAUCUGGUAGGGUGAAAUGUUCCAUCAGAGAUUUCCAAAGGUCUUUUUUGGCUCUAUCGUCGACCCAAGUAACACCUGGACGUUUAGUCUUUGGCUCUUUCCAUUCUUGAAUGGAGAUCGGGAGUUUGUCCUUCACAAGAACUCCGCACUGACCAGUCCACUUGUUCGCAAUGUUCUUAGGCGUGAGGGGAUCGCCACUAGGUUUGAUGGAUUCGAUGUUGUACUUUACACCAUCCUUCAACAAUCUGCCCAGGCCUCGCUUUGUCCUGCUGUCUGUAGAAGCAGAUUUGCUCGAUCCGGAGGGCUGAAAGAAGAAAGAUCGAUUCGUUAAUAUAUCUUCAAUAAAAAAACAUGUGAUGAUCACCAUGAUGCAUGCUUAUAUAAAUAUACCUCGCUGGUAGUCUUUUUUAUUUGAAGAUCAGCAUUGUCUGUGUCAUCACAAACAUUGUCUGUAUCAUCAUAAUCAUAAUCAUCGUUCAUGACUUCAUUAGCUCGGUCGUCGAGAUUGAAUAUCUUUUCAUCACCCUCUCCGGUAUUGUUCAGAUAUUGGGAGCUGUCAUCUGCUUCAUUCAGAUCAUCUAGCCUGUGAGGACUGCAUAUGAUGUCGAACAAUUCCUCUUCUCUCUCUCUGCCGGUAUUGUCCACCAUAGCUUUUACUUAACUAAUACAGAAGAAAUAUAAAACAAUUUAGUAUUCAAAUUACAAUGCAUGGAUGCAAUCAAUAAGCAAAAACUGAAUCAUAUAUAUAGUACAUAAUAUAUGCAUCGUCUUGAUUAAUAUAUAAUCUUGAAUACAUCAUCGUCUUAAUAUAUAUAAUCUCGAAUACAUCAUCUCGAAUAUUAUAUAUCAAAUACAUCACUGGCUAGGUACCUACUAAAGAUCGAGUACUACAGAAGAAUCUAGGCCUCUCGUGGUUCCUAGGGCGUGGGCGGUGGACACCCAAAGAGAAGGAACCAUCACAGGAUCAUAUCUCCGGUCAUCUGCCCAAAGAACCUGCCAAGUAUUGGAGAACCUGACGUCCAUAGCAGCCAUGUAGCGAUGGACGUGCUCGUUCUCCUCCCUGACACGGCGACGCACCACCUCCGGCAGCGCCGGCUCCCUCUGCACCGAAUGUGGCCCACGCGAACGCCACCAAAGGAUAUCAGGGUCGACGACGGGACCCGAGGCCGGGUUCCUCACCAAGCGGCAUGCCCCUCCAGGUAACACCUCCCAGUGCCAUCCCGGUGGAGCCCAAUCCCGGACAUGGGUCCUCUGAAGCAGGACCUCGUCGCGAACGGGUCAACGACGAGGAUGCGGGCCGGGCAUAUCGUCGAGAACUAGUACUAUAUGCCCGCAAAAAGUAACAUUUUUUAAAUGAUUGGAUUGUGAUAACUAAAAUUCUAUAUAUAUGCAAAUUCUAACAAUUUGACAUUAAUCUAAUUCAUCUAACUAAAACUAAUUCUAAAAUUUCCUGAUUAUAUAACUAGCAUUUCUAAUAUUUAUAUAACUAAAAAACAGAAAAAUUGCUAACAUUUCUAUAACUAAAAAAUAGAAAAAUUUUAUAACAUUUCUAUAUAACUAACAUUUCUAAUAUUUCUAUAACUAAAAAACAGAAUAAUUUCUAAAAUUUCUAUAACUAAAAAACAGAAAAAUUUAUAACAAACAAACCAAUGUGUGUGUGUGUGUACUGUGUGUGUAGUGUGUGUGUGUAGUGUGUGUGUGUGUGUGUGUGUGGACAUGGCGGCCGGGGCGAGCUCACGGCGAGGCAACGACGAGGCGGCGACGACGGGACGACGGGACGGGGCGGCAACAACGGGGCGACGGGACGGGACAGCAACGACGGGGCGGGGCGGCGACGACGGGGCGGGGUGCGGCGACGGGGCGGCCGGGGCACGGCGACGGGGACGAUGUGGACGGGGACCGCUGGGGCGGUGACGUAGACGGGGGCGGCGAUGAAGGGUGGGGAUGGCCGGGGUGGCGACGUGGCAUCUAUCGGGGCAGGGCGGCGCGACGGACGGAAGAAACAGAGAGGGAAAGUGAAUUUUUUUCAACUGUUGUAUAUAUAGGAUGGACCUUUAGUACCGGUUGGAGCCACCAACCGGUACUACAGGUCUGUUUUGGCCAGGCCAAGUGGCAGGAAGCGCCCCCCCUUUAGUAUCGGGUUGUGGCACCAACCGGUACAAAAGACCCCCUCUUUAGUACCGGUUGCAGCCACCACCCGAUACUAAAGGGGUGCGCUGGCGCAGUGCGGUGUGGCAAGUUUAGUUCCACCUGCUAGUCGAGGGGCUACCGCGCUGGUUUAUAAGCCCCAGUGCGGUAGCUCUCUCGAGCUCCUCUCCUAAGCAGGCCUACUGGGCCUACCUGUUCUGUGCUGACCUGUGGGCCUACUGGACCUUUGCGGGCCUGCAUCCUGCUAUGUCUUGAGCUUGCGUUGGUUUUCCUCGAAGAGGAGAGGGUGAUGCAGCAAGUGUAGCAUAAGUAUUUCCCUUAGUUCUGAGAACCAAGGUAUCAAUCCAGUAGGAGGCUCCUCCAAAGUCCCACGCACCUACACAAACAAAUUGAGAAGUCGCAACCAACACAAUGAAGGGGUUGUCAAUCCCUUCACGGCCACUUGCGAAAGUGAGAUCUAAUAAAGAUAGUAUGAUAAGAUAAAUAUAGUUUUGGUAUUUUAUAAUAUAGAUGCAAAAAGUAAAGAUGCAAAUAAAAGUAGAUUGAAAGCAAAUAUGAUAAGAGAUAGACCCGGGGGCCAUAGGUUUCACUAGAGGCUUCUCUCAAGAUAGCAAAAUUAUUAUGAUGGGUGAACAAAUUACUGUCGAUCAAUUGAUAGAAAAGCGCAUAGUUAUAAGAUUAUCUAGGCAUGAUCAUGUAUAUAGGCAUCACGUCCAUAACAAGUAGACCGACUCCUUCCUGCAUCUACUACUAUUACUCCACACAUCGACCGACUCCUGCCUGCAUCUAGAGUAUUAAGUUCAUAAGAACAGAGUAACGCAUUAAGCAAGAUGACAUGAUGUAGAGGGAUAAACUCAUGCAAUAUGAUAUAAACCCCAUCUUGUUAUCCUCGAUGGAAACAAUACAAUAUGUGCCUUCCAACCCUUUCUGUCACUGGAUAAGGACACCGCAAGAUUGAACCCAAAGCUAAGCACUUCUCCGAUGGCAAGAAAGACCAAUCUAGUAGGCCAAACCAAACUGAUAAUUCGAAGAGACUUGAAAAGAUAACUCAAUCGCACAUAAAACAAUUCAGAGAAGAUUCAAAUAUUAUUCAUAGAUAAACUUGAUCAUAAAACCACAAUUCAUUGGAUCUCGACAAACACACCGCAAAAAGAGUUAACAUCGAAUAGAUCUCCACAAGAGAGGGGGAGAACAUUUAUUGAGAUCCAAAAAGAUAGAAGAAGCCAUCUAGCUAAUAACUAUGGACCCAUAGGUCUGUGGUAAACUACCCACAACACAUCGGAGGGGCAAGGAUGUUGAUGUAGAAGCCGUCCAUGGUCGAUUCCCCCUCCGGCAGAGUGCCGCCGAAGGCUCCAAGAUGGGAUCUCGCGGAUACAGAAGGUUACGACGGUGGAAAUUGUGUUUCGUGGUGCUCCUGGAUGUUUUCGGGGUACAUAGGUAUAUAUAGGAGGAAGAAGUACGUCGGUGGCCGCCCGAGGGGCCCACAAGAUAGGGGUCGCGCCCUACAGGGGGGCGUGGCUUCCUAUCUCAUGGGGUCCUCGGUUGCUUCUUGACUUGCACUCCAAGCUCUCUAGAUCACGUUCGUUCCAAAAAUCACGCUCCCGAAGGUUUCAUUCCGUUUGGACUCCGUUUGAUAUACCUUUUCUUCGAAAUACUGAAAUAGGAAAAAAAAAACAAUAUGGGCUGGGCCUCCGGUUAGUAGGUUAGUCCCAAAAAUGAUAUAAAUGUGUAAAAUAAAGCCCAUAAACAUCCAAAAGGGGUAAUAUAAUAGCAUGGAACAAUAAAAAAUUAUAGAUACGUUGGACACGUAUCAAGCAUCCCCAAGCUUAAUUCCUGCUUGUCCUCGAGUAGGUAAAUAAUAAAAAAGUAAUUUUUGAUGUGGAAUGCUACCUAGCAUAAUUCUCAAUGUAAUUUUCUUUAUUGUGGCAUGAAUGUUCAGAUCCAAAUGAUACAAAAUAAAAGUUCAUAUUAACAUGAAAAUGGUGAUACUUCAAGCAUACUAAUCAAAGUAAUCAUGUCUUCUCAAAAUAACAUGGCCAAAGAAAGUUAUACCUACAAAAUCAUAUAGUCUGGCUAUUGCUCUAUCUUCAUCACACAAAGUAUUUAAUCAUGCACAACCCCGAUGACAAGCCAAGCAAUUGUUUCAUACUUUAAUAAUCUCAAACUUUUUCAACUUUCACACAAUACAUGAGCGUGAGCCAUGGACAUAUUACUAUAUGUGGAAUAGAAUGGUGGUUGUGGAGAAGACAAAAAAGGAGAAGAUAGUCUCACAUCAGCUAGGCGUAUCAACGGGCUAUGGAGAUGCCCAUUAAUAGAUAUCAAUGUGAGUGAGUAGGGAUUGCCAUGCAACGCAUGCGCUAGAGCUAUAAAUUUAUGAAAGCUCAACAAAAGAAACUAAGUGGGUGUGCAUCCAACUCGCUUGCUCACGAAGACCUAGGGCACUUUGAGGAAGCCCAUCAUUGGAAUAUACAAGCCAAGUUCUAUAAUGAAAAAUUCCCACUAGUAUAUGAAAUUGUCAACAUAUGAGACUCUCUAUCAUAAAGAUCAUGGUGCUAUUUUGAAGCACAAGUGUGGAAAAAGAGAUAGUAGCAUUGUCCUUUCUCUCUUUUUCUCUCAUUUUGUUUAUUUUUUCUUUUUCUUCUCUUUUUUUCUUUGUUUUUUUAUUUGGCCUUCUUUUUUUUCUUUUUGGCCUNNNNNNNNNNNNNNNNNNNNNNNNNNNNNNNNNNNNNNNNNNNNNNNNNNNNNNNNNNNNNNNNNNNNNNNNNNNNNNNNNNNNNNNNNNNNNNNNNNNNNNNNNNNNNNNNNNNNNNNNNNNNNNNNNNNNNNNNNNNNNNNNNNNNNNNNNNNNNNNNNNNNNNNNNNNNNNNNNNNNNNNNNNNNNNNNNNNNNNNNNNNNNNNUUUUUUCUUUUUGUAAAGUCCGAAGUCUCAUCCCGAUCAACUUGUGGGGGAAUCAUAGUCUUCAUCAUCCUUUCCUCACUAGGACAAUGCUCUAAUAAUGAAGAUCAUCACACUUUUAUGGAUUUACAACUCAAAGCUAGAACAAGAUAUGACUCUAUAUCAAUGCCUCCGGCGGUGUACCGGGAUAUGCAAUGAAUCAAGAGUGACAUGUAUGAAAAUUAUGAAGGUGGCCUUGCCACAAAUACAAUGUCAACUACAUGAUCAUGCAAAGAGCAAUAUGACAAAAGUAAUGCCUAUCAUAUGAACGGAACGGUGGAAAGUUGCAUGGCAAUGUAUAUCGGAAUGGCUAUGGAAAUGCCAUAAUAGGUAGGUAUGGUGGCUGUUUUGAGGAAGGAGUAUAGUGGGUGUAUGGCACCGGCGAAAGUUGCACGGUACAAGAGAGGCUAGCAAUGGUGGAAAGGUGAAAGGGUGCGUAUAAUCCAUGGACUCAACAUUAAUCAAAAGAACUCAUAUACUGGUUGCAAAAAUCUAGAAGUCAUCAAAAACCAAAGCACUACGCGCAUGCUCCUAGGGGGAUAGAUAGGUAGGAAAAGACCAUCGCUCGUCCCCGACUGCCAGUCAUAAGGAAGACACUCAAUAAAUAAAAUUGCGCUCCAACUUCAUCACAAAGCGGUUCACCAUACGUGCAUGCUACGGGAAUCACAACCCUCAAUACAAGUACUUUUCAUAAUCACCUCAACUAGCAAUAUCACUACCUCCAUAUCUCCAAACAAUUAUCAAUCAUCAUAUUGAUCAUAGCAUCCAAUUCUUUUUCUAUGAUAGUUUUUAUUAUACCCAACUUGGAUGCUCAUCAUUUUAGGACCAACUUUAUGAUAAUAGCGAAUACCAUGCUGUUCUAAAAGACUUUCAAAAUAAUAUAAGUGAAGCAUGAGAGACUAGCAAUUUCUUCAAAAUUAAGACACCACCGUGCUCUAAAAAGAUAUAAGUGAAGCACUAGAGCAAAAACUAUCAAACUCAAAAGAUAUAAGUGAAGCACAUAGAGUAUUCUUGCAAAUUCUAAUGAAAUAGGCUUCUCCAAAAAGGUGUGUACAGCAAGGAAGAUUGUGGUAAACUAAAAAUCAAAGACUAAUAUAAUACACGACGCUCCAAGCAAAACACAUAUCAUGUAGCGAAUAAAAAUAUAGCUUCAAGUAAAAUUACCAAUGAACGAAGACGAAAGAGGGGAUGCCUACCCGGGGCAUCCCCAAGCUUAGGCUUUUGGCUAUUCUUGAAUAUCUUGGGGUGCCUUGGGAAUCCCCAAGCUUAGGCUCUUUCCACCCUUUAUUCCAUGGUCCAUAAAAGCUUUACCUAAAACUUGAAAACUUCACAACACAAAACUCAACAGGAAAUCUUAUAAGCUCCGUUAGUGAAAGAAAACAAAACCACCACAUACGGUACUGCAAUCAACUCAUUCUUUAUUUAUUUGGUGUUAAACCUACUGUAUUCCAGCUUCCUUCUAGUUUAUAAACUAAUUUACUAGCCAUAUAUGCAUUGAAAAAAGCAAACAACACACGAAAAACAGAAUGUGUCAAAAACAGAACAGUCUGUAGAAAUCUGUAACUAACGCAAACUUCUGGAACUCUAAAAAUCCUACCAAACAGGAAGUCCUGGACAAUUUGUCUAUUGAACAGCAUAAAAAAGAAUCAACGCAAAAUAACGUUCUUGUGAUUUAACAAAAUUAUAUUUGUGCGCACAAAGUUUCUAUUUUUCAGCAGAAUCAAAUCAACUAUCAUCGUAGGUUAUCCUAUAGGUUCUACUUGGCACUAACACUAAUUAAAAGAUAAAGACACAUCUAAGCAGGAGGUAGAUGAAAGAUUUAUUACUAAACAGGAGCAAAAAUAAAAAACAUAAAGAAAAUUGGGUUGCCUCCCAACUAGCGCUAUCGUUUAACGACCCUAGCUAGGCAUAAAAAGCAAAGAUAGAUUUAACGAGUGCCAUCUUUGGCACUAAAUUCAUAAGUAGUACGCAUGAUAGAUUCAUAAGGUAAUUUGACUUUCUUUCUUGGAAAGUGCUCCAUGCCUUUCUUUAAGGGAAAUUGGAAUCUAAUAUUCCCUUCCUUCAUCAAUAAUCGCACCGAUCGUUCUAAGGAAAGGUCUAACAAGAAUAAUAGGGCAAGAAAGAUUGCAAUCUAUAUCAAUAACAAUAAAAUCUACGGGCACCAAAUUUCUAUUUGCAAAAAUAAGAACAUCAUUGAUCCUUCCCAUUGGCUUUUUAAUGGUGGAAUCCGCAAGGUGCAAAUUUAAAGAGCAAUCAUCAAGAUAAUUGGAACCUAGAAUAUCACAUAAAGUUUUCUGAAUCGUGGAAACACUAGCACCAAAAUCACACAAAGCAAAACACUCAUAAUCUUUAAUUCUAAUCUUUAUGGUAGGUUCCCACUCAUCAUUAAGUUUUCUAGGUAUAGAAACUUCCAAAUUAAGUUUUUCAUCAUAAGAUUGCAUCAAGGCAUCAACAAUUUGUUUGGUAAAAGCUUUAUUUUGACUAUAAGCAUGAGGAGGAUUAACAACGGAUUGCAACAAGCAAAUACAACCUUUUAAAGAACAAUUAUCAUAAUCAAAUUCCUUGAAAUCCGAGAUAGUAGGUUCAAUGUUAUUAGAGGUUGAGGAUUCUCCAAUCUCACUUUUACCAAAUUUAGCAUCAAGAUCUAAAUACUCCGAAUUCUUGGGACACCUUCUAGGAAAAGUUGAUUCAUCAUCAGUACCAUAAUCAUCAAAAUUCAUAUUGCAAAACAUAGAUCUAAUAGGACACGCAUCAAUAACUUUAAGAUCCUCAUCAUAUUUUUCACGGUAACUAUAAGAACAUGCUUUUAUAAAGCUAUCUUUCUUAGCACGCAAUCUAGUGAUUCUUUCCUUACACUCAUCAAUGGAAAUUCUCAUUAAUUUGAGGGACUUAUUGAUAUCAUGCUUAGGAGGAGAAGGUCUAAGUUUAAGGGAAUCAACAUCAAACGAAAGUCUAUCAAAGUUCCUAGCCAAAUCAUCAACUUUGAGCAAUUUUUCUUCAAGCAAAGCAUUAAAAUUCUUUUGAGAAAUCAUAAAUUCUUUCACACUAUUCUCAAAAUCAGAGGGCAUCUUAUUAAAAUUACCAUAAGAAUUAUUGUAGGAAUUUCCGUAAUUAUUAGAAGAAUUACUAGGGAGCGGUCUAGCAUUAAAGUUUCCUCUAUAAGCAUUGUUUCCAAAACUAUUCCUGUUGGGGAAUGUUGCAUAAAAUAAAAAAAUUCCUACGUUCACCAAGAUCAAUCUAGGAGUUCAUCUAGCAACAAGAGAAAGGAGUGCAUCUACAUACCCUUGUAGAUCGCGAGCGGAAGCGUUCAAGAGAACGGGGUUGAGGGAGUCGUACUCGUCGUGAUCCAAAUCACCGAUGAUCCUAGUGCUGAACGGACAACACCUCCGCGUUCAACACACGUACGGUUGAGGAAGACGUCUCCUCCUUCUUGAUCCAGCAAGGGGGAAGGAGAGGUUGACGGAGAUCCAGCAGCACGACGGCGUGGUGGUGGAUGCAGCAGUGAUCUCGGCAGGGCUUCGCCGAGCUUCUACAAGAGGGAGAGGUGUAGCAAUGGGAGAGGGAGGCGCCAAGAACAUGGGUGCGGCUGCCCUCCCUCUCCUCCCCUUUAUAUAGGCCCCCUGGGGGAGGCACCGGCCCUAGGAGAUGGGAUCUCCAAGGGGGGCGGCGGCCAAGUGGGAGGCUUGCCCCCCAAGGCAAGUGGAGGCGCCCCCCACCCUAGGGUUUCGAACCCUAGGCGCAGGGGGGGCCAAGGGGGGGUGCACCAGCCCACCAGGGGCUGGUUCCCCUACCCACUUCAGCCCAUGGGUCCCUUCGGGAUAGGUGGCCCCACCCGGUGGACCCGCGGGACCCUUCUGGUGGUCCCGGUACAAUACCGGUGACCCCCGAAACUUUCCCGAUGGCCGAAACUGCACUUCCUAUAUACAAUUCUUCACAUCUGGACCAUUCCGGAACUCCUCGUGAUGUCCGGGAUCUCAUCCGGGACUUCGAACAACUUUCGGGUUACUAGAUACUCAUAUCUCUACAACCCUAGCAUCACCGAACCUUAAGUGUGUAGACCCUACGGGUUCGGGAGACAUGCAGACAUGACCGAGACGCCUCUCCGGUCAAUAACCAACAGCGGGAUCUGGAUACCCAUGUUGGCUCCCACAUACUCCUCGAUGAUUUCAUCGGAUGAACCAUGAUGUCGAGGAUUCAAUCAAUCUCGUAUACAAUUCCCUUUGUCAAUCGGUACGUUACUUGCCCGAGACUCGAUCAUCGGUAUCCCAAUACCUCGUUUAAUCUCGUUACCGGCAAGUCACUUUACUCGUACUGUAAUGCAUGAUCCAGUGACCAGACACUUGGUCACAUUGAGCUCAUUAUGAUGAUGCAUUACCGAGUGGGCCCAGAGAUACCUCUCCGUCAUACGGAGUGACAAAUCCCAGUCUCGAUUCGUGCCAACCCAACAGACACUUUCGGAGAUACCCGUAGUGCACCUUUAUAGUCAUCCAGUUACGUUGUGACGUUUGGCACACCCAUAGCACUCCUAUGGUAUCUGGGAGUUGCACAAUCUCAUGGUCUAAGGAAAUGAUACUUGUCAUUUGGAAAAGCUCUAGCUAAACGAACUACACGAUCUUUGAGCUAUGCUUAGGAUUGGGUCUUGUCCAUCACAUCAUUCUCCUAAUGAUGUGAUCCCGUUAUCAAUGACAUCCAAUGCCCAUAGUCAGGAAACCAUGACUAUCUGUUGAUCAACGAGCUAGUCAACUAGAGGCUUAGUAGGGACAUGUUGUGGUCUAUGUAUUCACACGUGUAUUACGAUUUCCGGAUAACACAUUUAUAGCAUGAAUAAUAGACAAUUAUCAUGAACAAACAAAUAUAAUAAUAACCAUUUUAUUAUUGCCUCUAGGGCAUAUUUCCAAUAGUCUCCCAUUUGCACUAGAGUCAAUAUUCUAGUUACAUUGUGAUGAAUCGAACACCCAUAGCGUUCUGGUGUUGAUCAUGUUUUGCUCUAGGGAGAGGUUUAGUCAACGGAUUUGCUACAUUCAGAUCCUUAUGUACUUUACAAAUAUCUAUGUCUCCAUCUUGAACAUUUUCACGUAUGGAGUUGAAGCGACGCUUGAUGUGCCUGGUCUUCUUGUGAAACCUGGGCUCCUUGGCAAGUGCAAUAGCUCCAGUGUUGUCACAGAAGAGUGCGAUCGGCCCCGACGCAUUGGGUAUGACUCCUAGGUCGGUGAUGAACUCCUUCACCCAGAUUGCUUCAUGCGCUGCCUCUGAGGCUGCCAUGUACUCUGCUUGACAUGUAGAUCCCGCCACGAUGCUUUGCUUGUAACUGCACCAGCUUACUGCCCCACCAUUCAAAAUAUACACGUAUCCGGUCUGUGACUUAGAGUCAUCGAGAUCUGUGUUGAAGCUAGCGUCGAUGUAACCCUUUACGAUGAGCUCUUCUUCACCUCUAUAAACGAGAAACAUAUCGUUAGUCCUUUUCAGGUACUUUAGGAUGUUCUUGACCGCUGCCCAGUGUUCCUUGCCGGGAUUACUUUGGUACCUUCCUACCAAACUUACGGCAAGGUUUACAUCAGGUCUAGUACACAUCAUGGCAUACAUAAUAGACCCUAUGGCUGAGGCAUAGGGGAUUACACUCAUCUCUUCUUUAUCUUCUGCCGUGGUCGGGCAUUGAGCCCAGCUCAAUCUCACACCUUGCAGUACAGGCAAGGACCCUUUCUUGGAAUGAUCCAUAAUGAACUUCUUCAAUAUCUUAUCAAGGUAUGUGCUUUGUGAAAGACCAACGAGGCGUCUCGAUCUAUCCCUAUAGAUCUUGAUGCCUAAUAUGUAAGCAGCUUCUCCAAGGUCCUUCAUUGAAAAACACUUAUUCAAGUAGGCCUUAAUGAUGUCCAAAAGUUCAAUAUCAUUUCCCAUCAAAAGUAUGUCAUCUACAUAUAAUAUGAGAAAUGCUACAGAGCUCCCACUCACUUUCUUGUAAACGCAGGCUUCUCCAUAAGUCUGCAUAAACCCAAACGCUUUGAUCAUCUCAUCAAAGCGAAUGUUCCAACUCCGAGAUGCUUCCACCAGCCCAUAAAUGGAUCACUGGAGCUUGCAUACCUUGUUAGCAUUCUCAGGGUCGACAAAACCUUCCGGCUGCAUCAUAUACAGCUCUUCCUUAAGAUGGCCGUUAAGGAAUGCCAUUUUGACGUCCAUUUGCCAUAUCUCAUAAUCAUAGUAUGCGGCAAUUGCUAACAUGAUUCGGACGGACUUCAGCUUCGCUACGUGAGAGAAUGUCUUAUCGUAGUCAAUCCCUUGAACUUGUCGAUAACCCUUAGCGACAAGUCGAGCUUUAUAUAUGAUAACAUUACCAUCCGCGUCCGUCUUCUUCCUAAAGAUCCAUUUGUUUUCUAUUGCUCGCCGAUCAUCGGGCAAGUCUGUCAAAGUCCAUACUUUGUUUUCAUACAUGGAUCCUAUCUCGGAUUGCAAGGCUUCAAGCCAUUUGUUGGAAUCUGGGCCCGCCAUCGCUUCUUCAUAGUUCAAAGGUUCACCGUUGUCUAACAACAUGAUUUCCAAGACAGGGUUGUCGUACCACUCUGGUGCGGAACGUGUCCUUGUGGACCUUCGAAGUUCAGUAGGAGCUUGAUCCGAAGUGUCUUGAUCAUCAUCAUUAACCUCCUCUCUUUUCGGUGCAGGCAUCACAGGAACAUCUUCCUGAGUUAUGCUACUUACCGUUUCAAGAGGUAGUACUUCAUCAAGCUCUACUUUCCUCCCACUUAAUUCUUUCGAGAGAAACUCUUUCUCCAGAAAGGACCCGUUCUUGGCAACAAAGAUCUUGCCCUUGGAUCUUAAGUAGAAAGUAUACCCAAUGGUUUCCUUAGGGUAUCCUAUGAAGACGUAUUUUUCCGACUUGGGUUCGAGCUUCUCAGGUUGAAGUUUCUUGACAUAAGCAUCGCAUUCCCAAACUUUUAGAAACGACAGCUUAGGUUUCUUCCCAAACCAUAAUUCAUAUGGUGUCAUCUCAAUGGAUUUAGACGGUGCCCUAUUUAAAGUGAAUGUAGCUGUCUCUAGAGCGUAUCCCCAAAAUGAUAGUGGUACAUCGGUAAGUGACAUCAUAGAUCGCACCAUAUCCAAUAGAGUGCGAUUACGAUGUUCGGAUACACCGUUACGCUGAGGUGUUCCAUGCGGUGUGAGUUGUGAAACGAUUCCACAUUUCCUUAAGUGUGUACCAAAUUCGUGACUUAAAUAUUCUCCCCCACGAUCUGAUCGUAAGAACUUUAUCUUUCGGUCAUGUCGAUUCUCUACCUCAUUCUGAAAUUCCUUGAACUUUUCAAAGGUCUCAGACUUGUAUUUCAUCAAGUAGACAUACCCAUAUCUACUCAAGUCAUCAGUGAGAGUGAGAACAUAACAAUAUCAUCCGCGAGGCUCAGUGCUCAUUGGACCGCACACAUCAGUAUGUAUGAUUUCCAAUAAGUUGGUUGCUCGCUCCAUUGUUCUGGAGAAUGGAGUCUUGGUCAUUUUGCCCAUGAGGCAUGGUUCGCAUGUGUCAAAUGAUUCAUGAACGAGAGACUCUAAAAGUCCAUCAGCAUGGAGCUUCUUCAUGCGCUUGACACCAAUGUGACCAAGGCGGCAGUGCCAGAAGUAUGUGGGACUAUCGUUAUCAACUUUACAUGUUUUGGUAUUCACACUAUGAAUAUGUGUAACAUUAUGCUCGAGAUUCAUUAAGAAUAAGCCAUUCACCAGCGGGGCAUGACCAUAAAACAUAUCUCUCAUAUAAAUAGAACAACCAUUAUUCUCAGAUUUAAAUGAGUAGCCAUCUCGAAUUAAAUGAGAUCCUGAUACAAUGUUCAUGCUCAAAGCUGGUACUAAAUAACAAUUAUUGAGGUUUAAAACUAAUCCUGUAGGUAAAUGUAGAGGUAGCGUGCCGACGGCGGUCACAUCGACCUUGGAACCAUUCCCGACGCGCAUCGUCACCUCAUCCUUCGCUAGUCUCUGCUUAUUCCGCAGCUCCUGCUUUGAGUUACAAAUAUAAUCAACCGCACCGGUAUCAAAUACCCAAGAGCUACUACGAGUACUGGUAAGGUACACAUCAAUUACAUGUAUAUCACAUAUACCUUUGGUUUUUCCGGCCUUCUUGUCCGCUAAGUACUUGGGGCAGUUCCGCUUCCAGUGACCACUUCCCUUGCAAUAAAAGCACUCAGUCUCAGGCUUGGGUCCAUUGCUUGACUUCUUCCCGGCAACUGGCUUACCGGGCGCGGCAACUCCCUUGUCGUCCUUCUUGAAGUUCUUCUUACCCUUGCCUUUCUUGAACUUAGUGGUUUUAUUCACCAUCAACACUUGAUGUUCCUUUUUGAUCUCCACCUCCGCUGAUUUCAGCAUUGAAUAUACCUCAGGAAUGGUCUAUUCCAUCCCCUGCAUAUUGAAGUUCAUCACAAAGCUCUUGUAGCUCGGUGGAAGCGAUUGAAGGAUUCUGUCAAUGACCGCGUCAUCUGGGAGAUUAACUCCCGGCUGAGUCAAGCCGUUGUGCAACCCAGACAUCUUGAGUAUGUGCUCACUUACAGAACUAUUUUCCUCCAUCUUAGAGAUGAAGAACUUGUCGGAGACUUCAUAUCUCUCGACCCGGGCAUGAGCUUGGAAAACCAUUUUCAGCUCUUCGAACAUCUCAUAUGCUCCGUGUUGCUCAAAAUGCUUUUGGAGCCCCGGUUCUAAGUUGUAAAUCAUGCCGCACUGAACGAGGGAGUAAUCAUCAGCACGAGACUGCCAAGCGUUCAUAACGUCUUGGUUCUCUGGGAUUGGAGAUUCACCUAGCGGCGCUUCUAGGACAUAAUCUUUCUUGGCAGCUAUGAGGAUGAUCCUCAGGUUUCGGACCCAGUCCAUAUAGUUGCUGCCAUCAUCUUUCAUCUUGGUUUUCUCUAGGAAUGCGUUGAAGUUGAGGGUAACGUGGGCCAUUUGAUCUACAAGACAUAUUGUAAAUAUUUUAGACUAAGUUCAUGAUAAUUAAGUUCAUCUAAUCAAAUUAUUCAAUGAACUCCCACUCAGAUUAGACAUCCCUCUAGUCAUCUAAGUGAUACAUGAUCCGACUCGACUAGCCCGUGUCCGAUCAUCACGUGAGACGGACUAGUCAUCAUCGGUGAACAUCUCCAUGUUGAUCGUAUCUUCUAUACGACUCAUGUUCGACCUUUCGGUCUUCCGUGUUCCGAGGCCAUGUCUGUACAUGCUAGGCUCGUCAAGUCAACCUAAGUGUAUUGCGUGUGUAAAUCUGGCUUACACCCGUUGUAUUCGAACGUUAGAAUCUAUCACACCCGAUCAUCACGUGGUGCUUCGAAACAACGAGCUUUUGCAACGCUGCACAGUUAGGGGAACACUUUCUUGAAAUUAUUAUGAGGGAUCAUCUUAUUUACUACCGUCGUUCUAAGUAAACAAGAUGAAAAACAUGAUAAACAUCACAUGCAAUCAAAUACUGACAUGAUAUGGCCAAUAUCAUAUAGCUCCUUUGAUAUCCAUCUUCAGGGCUCCAUGAUCGUCUUCAUCACCGGCAUGACACCAUGAUCUCCAUAAUCAUGAUCUCCAUCAUCAUGUCUCCAUGAAGUUGCUCGCCAAUUAUUACUUCUACUACUAUGGCUAACGCGUUUAGCAAUAAAGUAAAGUAAUUUACAUGGCGUUUCUCAAUGACACGCAGGUCAUACAAAAAAUAAAGACAACUCCUAUGGCUCCUGCCGGUUGUCAUAUUCAUGAUCUCAUACAUCACAUAUAUAUCAUUCAUCAUUCAUCACAACUUUUGGCCAUAUCACAUCACAAAUCAUAUGCUGCAAAAACAAGUUAGACGUCCUCUAAUUGUUGUUGCAUGUUUUACGUGGCUGCAAUAGGGUUCUAGCAAGAACGUUUUCUUACCUACAUAAAAGCCACAACGUGAUUUGCCAACUUCUAUUUACCCUUCAUAAGGACCCUUUUCAUCGAAUCCGCUCCAACUAAAGUGGGAGAGACAGAAACCCCCUAGCCACCUUAUGCAACUAGUGCAUGUCAGUCGGUGGAACCUGUCUCACAUAAGCGUACGUAUAAGGUCGGUCCAGGCUGCUUCAUCCCAAAAUACCGCUGAAACAAAAUAAUACUAGUAGUGGCAAGAAAGUUGACAACAUCUACGCCCACAACAAAUUUGUGUUCUACUCGUGCAAAGAGAACUAUGCAUAGAUCUGGCUCAUGAUGCCAUUGUUGGGGAACGUUGCAUAAAAUAAAAAUUUCCCUACGUUCACCAAGAUCAAUCUAGGAGUUCAUCUAGCAACGAGAGAAAGGAGUGCAUCUAAAUACCCUUGUAGAUCGCGAGCGGAAGCGUUCAAGAGAACGGGGUUGAGGGAGUCGUACUCGUCCUGAUCCAAAUCACCGAUGAUCCUCGUGCUGAACUGACAGCACCUCCGCGUUCAACACACGUACAGUUGAGGAAGACGUCUCCUCCUUGAUCCAGCAAGGGUGAAGGAGAGGUUGACGGAGAUCCAGUAUCACGACGGCGUGGUGGUGGAUGCAGCAGUGAUCUCGGCAGGGCUUCGCCGAGCUUCUACGAGAGGGAGAGGUGUAGCAAUGGGAGAGGGAGGCGCCAAUAACAUGGGUGCGGCUACCCUCCUUCUCCCCCCCUUUAUAUAGGCCCCCUGGGGGGGCGCCGGCCCUAGGAGAUGGGAUCUCCAAGGGGGGGCGGCGGCCAAGUGGGAGGCUUGCCCCCCAAGGCAGGUGGAGGCGCCCCCCACCCUAGGGUUUCUAACCCUAGGCACAGGGGGGUCCAAGGGGGGGCGCACCAGCCCACCACGGGCUGGUUCCCCACCCCACUUCAUCCCACGAGGCCCUCCGGGAUAGGUGGCCCCACCCGAUGGACCCCGGGACCCUUCCGGUGGUCCCGGUACAAUACCGGUGACCCCUGAAACUUUCCCGAUGGCCGAAACUGCACUUCCUAUAUAUAAUUCUUCACCUCCGGACCAUUCCGGAACUCUUCAUGAUGUCCGGGAUCUCAUCCGGGACUCCAAACAACUUUCGGGUUACUGCAUAUUCAUAUCUCUACAACCCUAUCAUCACCGAACCUUAAGUGUGUAGACCCUACGGGUUUGGGAGACAUGCAGACAUGACCGAGACGCCUCUCCGGUCAAUAACCAACACUGGGAUCUGGAUACCCAUGUUGGCUCCCACAUACUCCUCGAUGAUUUCAUCGGAUGAACCACGAUGUCGAGGAUUCAAUCGAUCCCGUAUACAAUUCCCUUUGUUAAUCAGUACGUUAGUUGCCCGAGACGCGAUCGUCGGUAUCCCAAUACCUCGUUUAAUAUCGUUACCGGCAAUUCACUUUACUUGUACUGUAAUGCGUGAUCCAGUGACCAGACACUUGGUCACAUUGAGCUCAUUAUGAUGAUGCAUUACCGAGUGGGCCCAGAGAUACCUCUCUGUCAUACGGAGUGACAAAUCCCAGUCUCGAUUCGUGCCAACCCAACAGACACUUUCAGAGAUACCCGUAGUGCACCUUUAUAGUCACCCAGUUACGUUGUGACGUUUGGCACACCCAAAGCACUCCUACGGUAUCCGGGAGUUGCACAAUCUCAUGGUCUAAGGAAAUGAUACUUGACAUUUGGAAAAGCUCUAGCUAAACGAACUACACGAUCUUUGAGCUAUGCUCAGGAUUGGGUCUUGUCCAUCACAUCAUUCUCCUAAUGAUGUGCCGUUAUCAAUGACAUCCAAUGCCCAUAGUCAGGAAACCUUGACUAUCUGUUGAUCAACGAGCUAGUCAACUAGAGGCUUACUAGGGACAUGUUGUGGUCUAUGUAUUCACACGUGUAUUACGAUUUCCGGAUAACACAGUUAUAGCAUGAAUAAUAGACAAUUAUCAUGAACAAAGAAAUAUAAUAAUAACCAUUCUAUUAUUGCCUCUAGGGAAAAUUUCCAACAAUUCCUACCAACAAAAUUCACAUCCAUAGAUUCAUUAUUAUUCUCAAUCAAAGAAGACAAAGGCAUAUCAUUGGGAUCAAGAGGAGUAUUUUUAGUAGCAAACAUCUUCAUAAGUUCAUCCAUCUUUCCACUCAAAACAUUGAUUUCUUCUAUAGCAUGCACUUUUUUACUAGAAGAUCUUUCGGUGUGCCUUUGAGAAUAACUAGCCAUAAUAUUAUCAAGUAGUUUUGUAGCAUCUCCUAACGUAAUUUCCAUAAACGUGCCUCCCGCGGCUGAAUCUAAGAGAUUUCUAGAAGCAAAGUUCAAACCGGCAUAAAAUUUUUGUAUGAUCAUCCAUAAAUUCAAACCAUGAGUAGGGCAAUUGCAAAGCAUCAAUUACAUUCUUUCCCAAGAUUGGGAAACAUGCUCAUGAUCAAGUUGUUUAAAAUUCAUAAUAUCGUUACUAAGAGUUAUGAUCUUAGCGGGAGGAAAAUACUUAGAGAUAAAAGCAUCUUUGCACUUGUUCCAAGAAUCAAUACUAUUUUUAGGCAAAGACGAAAACCAAACUUUAGCACGAUCUCGAAGUGAAACGAAAAUAACUUCAAUUUGACAAUAUUGUUAUCCGUAUCUUUCUUCUUUUGCGUAUCACAUAAAUCAACAAAAAAAUUUAGAUGAGUAGCGGCAUCUUCACUAGGAAGGCCGGUGAAUUGAUCUUUCAUAACAAGAUUCAGCAAAGCGGUAUUGAUUUCACAAGACUCAACAUCAUUAAGAGGAGCAAUCGGAGUACUGAGGAAAUCAUUAUUAUUGGUAUUCGAGAAAUCACACAAUUUGGUAUUAUCUUGUGCCAUGGCAACAAGUAAUCCAACACACAAGCAAGAAGAAAAACGGCAAGCGAAAAAGAGAGGAGGAGAUUGGGAAAGAGAGGGCGAAUUAAAUGGCAAGGGUGAAGUGGGGGAGAGGAAAACGAGAGGCAAAUGUAAAAUAAUGUAAAUGCAAGGGAGAUGGGUUUGUGAUGGGUACUUGGUAUGUCUUGACUUGAGCGAAGACCUUCCCGGCAACGGCGCCAAAAAUCCUUCUUGCUACGUCUUGAGCUUGCGUUGGUUUUCCUCGAAGAGGAGAGGGUGAUGCAGCAAGUGUAGCGUAAGUAUUUCCCUCAGUUUUGAGAACCAAGGUAUCAAUCCAGUAGGAGGCUCCUCAAAAGUCCCACGCACCUACACAAACAAACUAAGAACUGGCAACCAACGCAAUGAAGGGGUUGUCAAUCCCUUCACGGCCACUUGCGAAAGUGAGAUCUAAUAAAGAUAGUAUGAUAAGAUAAAUAUAUUUUUGGUAUUUUAUAAUAUAGAUGCAAAAAGUAAAGAUGCAAAUAAAAGUAGAUUGAAAGCAAAUAUGAUAAGAGAUAGACCCGGGGGCCAUGGGUUUCACUAGAGGCUUCUCUCAAGAUAGCAUAAGUAUUACGAUGGGUGAACAAAUUAUUGUGGAGCAAUUGAUAGAAAAGCGCAUAGUUAUGAGAUUAUCUAGGCAUGAUCAUGUAUAUAGGCAUCACGUCCAUAGCAAGUAGACCGACUCCUGCCUGCAUCUACUACUAUUACUCCACACAUCGACCGACUCCUACCUGCAUCUAGAGUAUUAAGUUCAUAAGAACAGAGUAACGCAUUAAGCAAGAUGACAUGAUGUAGAGGGAUAAACUCAUGCAAUAUUAUAUAAACCCCAUCUUGUUAUCCUCGAUGGCAACAAUACAAUAUGUGCCUUCCAACCCUUUCUGUCACUGGGUAAGGACUCCGCAAGAUUGAACCCAAAGCUAAGCACUUCUCCGAUGGCAAGAAAGACCAAUCUAGUAGGCCAUUAGUGGCCAUUCCAUCUAUAGCCCUUUUUGUAGUAGUUGAGUGCGGAAAACGCUUAUCUUGAUUUGGUCGCAAGUGCGGCGGACGCGACCGAACACUUCCGCAGCCGAGGUGACCAUGAGUUGGAAGAGCUUUUUUGGUCGUAGUACCACAAUCCAGAACGCCCACUGUCAGUGUCCGACCAUUUAGCCGCCUGGGUGGAGCUGAACAGAUUAUCCGGACUCGCCAUGAGGUAUGUUGUGAGUCGUCUGUAGCCGGAGAAGCCGGAGCCGAAGAGUUAUUUUGGCUUGGUGCAGCAGUUCCUUGGUUCGGUGCCGCAUGCUGAUGCGAUGAAGAGGUCGGCAUGCAUAGAGGGCGCACAGAUGGCUCUUCCCCGUGUCAAAACAUACUGGGCAGAUAUGAAGGCCAGUAUUGUUGCGUCCCAGGAUUCAGACGAAAGCCGAGUACCUGCCAAGCACUAUUUUGAGGAAGUUCUUCCUGGCGCUCGUAUAAUAGUGUCGCAGUGCUCGAAGGAUGUUGUGUUCGAAUAGCUGAUACUAUUUGUAAAACGAAUUUUUUUUAUGAAAAAAGCUUUUUAUACUUGUGCUUGCAAGAAUCAUAAUGCCUCCUGUGCGGUCGUUUAAUGUAUAUAUGUGUAUAUAACCUGAAAGAUGGCAGUCGUUGGCUUCAGCCCCCACGCAUAGAAUGCGGGGGUGUUCGCAAAAAGGCGCUUUUUCACACUUAGUCCAACGUCUUGGUCCUAGAAAGGAGGUGAUGGCGCGGCGAACUAGGCAACCGGACUAUAAUGCUUUAUCACUUUCACUUACCCAUAGGAGUUUGACAGUGGGGCUACUGAAUAGCCCCGAGGGGCACCGCGCUCGCCCGAAUUCGGGGUGCGAGUGUGCCUGACCGGGAAGCGGCCCUUCGUUAAUGCGGGGGAAUCCGAAAGAUUCCGAAAGUCAUCGAGUGGUUGACCAGUCUCUCGCUAUAUCAUGACAGUCAGUUUUCGGCUUUCUCUACUGAGGUGCUCACCUGGCCGAACCGGGCACAAUCGCAGUAGUUCUCCUGGUGCCGCGUUAGCCGAUAUAACGGAACGUAAGGCAGCAAAACACAGGAGCCGGGCAAACCCAACAUUUGACAAAAGACAUGAUUCGGAGCUGAUGCAUAUAGGGCCAAACUCGCGACGCUGAACACUCCCUAAGGUAUUCGGUCUUUAUGAAGAUGGGCCGAAAUAGAGCCCUUGGUAAAAAAGCCCCUAGUGUCCAGGUACGUGCAAAAAUUCUGGCAUGGCCACAUGCCAAGACGCCAGCCUCCUCCUCGGCUAUAGAGAAAACCGGGGGAUGCUAUCAACAAGAGACAGUAAAAAAGGUUUAUGCAGGGUCUUAAUCUAAAAAGAAUCCUCGAAACGGGUCCCUGCUGCACGUGUGCGCCUGUGUCUCCGUUGUGCCGUAUACUGGACGGGCGUAGCACGAUGUUCGUCUGCGAAAGACAGGAACUUAGUAAAAAAUAAGCGUGCGAGAAAUCUAUAUCGAAAUAAAUAAAAUAUAGUUAGAGCAAGAGUUGGGCCGUAUUGUCUCCGGGCGUGAGCACACGGAGCCCCACUACUACAAAAAGGGCUAUAGAUAGAAUGGCCACUAAUGGCGCACCUGUGAUGUGGUGCGCCAUUACUAUAUUCUAAUGGCGCACCAUGUCUCGGUGCGCCAUUAGUAAUAUAUUACUAAUGGCGCACCUGGUUUGUGGUGCGCCAUUAGUAGUUUUGAAAAAAAAACAUAAAAAAAUGUUACUAAUGGCGCAGCGUUGCAUAGUGCGCCAUUACUAAUUGACAUAGUAAUGGCGCACCGCAUCCGUUGUGCGCCAUUAGUAGUUUUGAAAAAAAAGUAAAAAAAAUAAAAAAAAUUGUUACUAAUGGCGCCCCAUGUCUCGGUGCGCCAUUACUAGUUUUAACUAGUAAUGGCGCACUUUCCACUGAUGCACCAUUACUUAGUUUUUUUCAAAAAAAAAUCAAAAAAAAUAUCAAUUUUUUAAUUUUUUUUUCAAAACUGGUAAUGGCGCACCGUGGGUGUGGUGCGCCAUNNNNNNNNNNNNNNNNNNNNNNNNNNNNNNNNNNNNNNNNNNNNNNNNNNNNNNNNNNNNNNNNNNNNNNNNNNNNNNNNNNNNNNNNNNNNNNNNNNNNNNNNNNNNNNNNNNNNNNNNNNNNNNNNNNNNNNNNNNNNNNNNNNNNNNNNNNNNNNNNNNNNNNNNNNNNNNNNNNNNNNNNNNNNNNNNNNNNNNNNNNNNNNNNNNNNNNNNNNNNNNNNNNNNNNNNNNNNNNNNNNNNNNNNNNNNNNNNNNNNNNNNNNNNNNNNNNNNNNNNNNNNNNNNNNNNNNNNNNNNNNNNNNNNNNNNNNNNNNNNNNNNNNNNNNNNNNNNNNNNNNNNNNNNNNNNNNNNNNNNNNNNNNNNNNNNNNNNNNNNNNNNNNNNCCUUUUCAGUUUUAAAAAAAAUAAAAGAAAAUGAUGGAAAUGUCAAAAAAAAUAAAAGAUAAUAUGUUUCCGAUGUGAUAUGCGCUCUAGUUUUUGGGAAAAUUUACAAAUAUGAAUUUCAACUUUAUUCGCAAAAUCUCUCUGGAAAUUUGUAAAAUGGGCAUAACUUUUGCAUACGAACUCGGAUGGAAAAGUUUUUUAUAUGAAAAAUCAUCUACUCGAAAAGUUACAUCCAAAUUUACGGGGCUUUCAAUAUCUAGCGGCAAAAAAAUUCAAAAAAUUUCAAACUUACUAGUGGCGCACCGUUGAUGUGGUGCACCACUAGUAACAGAAAAAAAUUUGUUUUGAAUUUUUUUUUUCAAAAAAUGAUACGUAAUAUGAUCGGGAAGUUUGAAAUAUUUUUCAAAAUUUCAUCAUAGUCAUGAACAUGAACAAAGUCCUAGACAUCAACAUGGUAUAACAGGAUUGAUAUGCUAGAUAUAUCAACAAGUGCCUGUGAAGUGAGCUGUUGCUGGGGUUGGAUAGAACUCUGAAGUUAAGCAUGCUUGGGCUGGAGUAGUGUGAGGAUGGGUGACCUUUUGGGAAGUUUGACCAUGGAGUGCGAUUUGACCUGAGAUUAAGCAUAUUGACCCGAGAUUAAGCCAUAGUGAACUGAGAUUAAGAACAAUUUGGAAAAAAAAAUUAAAAAAUUUGAAAAAAAAAUUUGAAAAAAAAUUUAAAUUUUUUUUUUAAAAAAAUGUUACUAAUGGCGCACUUCUAUGUGGUGCGCCAUUAGUAUACCAGAUACUAAUGGCGCACUUCUAUGUGGUGCGCCAUUAGUAUACCAGAUACUAAUGGCGCACCGUGGGCUAUACUAAUGGCGCACUGGUAGUGCACCAUUAGUAGGCAAAACCGGUGCGCCAUUAGUAGGCCUUUUUCUAGUAGUGACCAACUCUUGCCUGCAUCUAGAGUAUUAAGUUGAUAAGAACAGAGUAACGCAUUAAGCAAGAUGACAUGAUGUAGAGGGAUAUACUCAUGCAAUAUGAUAUAAACCCCAUCUUGUUAUCCUCGAUGGCAACAAUACAAUACGUGCCUUGCAACCCUUUCUGUCACUGGGUAAGGACACCGCAAGAUUGAACCCAAAGCUAAGCACUUCUCCCAUGGCAAGAAAGACCAAUCUAGUAGGCCAAACCAAACUGAUAAUUCGAAGAGACUUGCAAAGAUAACACAAUCACACAUAAAAGAAUUUAGAGAAGAUUCAAAUAUUAUUCAUAGAUAAACGUGAUCAUAAACCCACAAUUCAUCGGAUCUCCACAAACACACCGCAAAAAGAGUUUACAUCGAAUAGAUCUCCACAAGAGAGGGGGAGAACAUUGUAUUGAGAUCCAAAAAGAGAGAAGAAGCCAUCUAGCUAAUAACUAUGGACCCAUAGGUCUGUGGUAAACUACUCACAACUCAUCGGAGGGGCAAGGUUGUUGAUCUAGAAGCCCUCCGUGGUCGAUUCCCCCUCUGGCAGAGUGCCGGCGAAGGCUCCAAGAUGGGAUCUCACGGAUACAGAAGGUUACAGCGGUGGAAAUUCUAUUUCGUGGUGCUCCUGGAUGUUUUCGGGGUAGAUAGGUAUAUAUAGGAGGAAGAAUUCUGUCGGUGGCCGCCCAAGGGGCCCACGAGACAGGGGCACGCCCUACAGGGGGGGGCCCUCUCUUAUGGGGUCCUCAGGAGCUUCUUGACUGGCACUCUAAGCUCUUCGGAUCACGUUCGUUCCAAAAAUCACGCUCCCGAAGGUUUCAUUCCAUUUGGACUCCGUUUGAUAUUCCUUUUCUUCGAAAUACUGAAAUAGGCAAAAAAACAGCAAUAUGGGCUGGGCCUCCGGUUAGUAGGUUAGUCCCAAAAAUGAUAUAAAUGUGUAAAAUAAAGCCCAUAAACAUCCAAAAGGGGUAAUAUAAUAGCAUGGAACAAUAAAAAAUUAUAGAUAGGUUGGAGACGUAUCAAGCAUCCCCAAGCUCAAUUCCUGCUCGUCCUCGAGUAGGUAAAUGAUAAAACAGAAAUUUUUGAUGUGGAAUGCUACCGAGCAUAAUUAUCAAUGUAAUUCUCUUUAUUGUCGCAUGAAUGUUCAGAUCCAAAUGAUACAAAAUAAAAGUUCAUAUUAACAUGAAAAUGGUGAUACUUCAGGCAUACUAAUCAAAGUAAUCAUGUCUUCUCAAAAUAACAUGGCCAAAGAAAGUUAUCCCUACAGAAUCAUAUAGUCUGGCUGUUGCACUAUCUUCAUCACACAAAGUAUUUAAUCAUGCACAACCCCGAUGACAAGCCAAGCAAUUGUUUCGUACUUUAAUAAUCUCAAACUUUUUCAUUAUAUUCAAUUUGGUAAUGCUUCGAAAGAGAUGAGUUUUCGUCGGAAACCCUGAUACUUCGAAAGAGAUUGUCCAUUUUGUACACAAAGUGCAUCCAUUUUUUGCCGUAACCCUCUCUACUUUUAUGCACAUGCUAUGUGGGUGAAAUUAUGAUACCAUGCCAACUUUCAACCUUUUCUGAGUUCAUUUGAAAUGCUUUUCAAUUUCAGGGUCAUUUAGCUAGAAAAAAUCAGUAAAUGAAUGAAAGAGUUUGUUUGCACAUAAAAUUUCUUCGCGUUUCAAAUGCCAAAACACAUAACUACCCUAACUAUUACAAAGAUUCCCUCCUGGGUGUGAAACACAGAAGAAAGUGAUGAUAGUGAAGCCGAUCACAUCCCAGAUCUUUGGGUCUAAAACUUUUUCUUCGCGUGUGUCCCUUUGCACCGUAGCCAUGGAAAAUCUUCAUCAUUUAACUGGAUGCUCGGGUCAAUAUUCACUGUGAAUGGAGCAAUUUCAUCAAAAAUUUCGUAAUCUUCUGACAUGUCUGUCUUGUCAUCCACUCCCAUGAUGUUUCUUUUUCCUGAAAGAACUAUGUGGCGCUUUGGCUCGUCGUAUGAUCCAUUUGCUUCCUUAUCUUUUCUUUUUCUCGGCCUGGUAGACAUGUCUUUCACAUAAAAAACCUGGGCCACAUCAUUGGCUAGGACGAAUGGUUCGUCUGCAUACACAAGAUUGUUGAGAUCCACUAUUGUCAUUCUGUACUGCGGGUCUUUCGUUACCCCGCUGUCGUGGUUCUAAGUCUGACAGUAGAAAGAGGGGGUAGGUAUGGAGAGGCAAGAUCUUAGCUAUGGCGAAGAUGUACACACGAUGUUUACGAGUUCAGGCCCUUCUCGGAGGAAGUAAUAGCCCUACGUCUCGGUGCCCGGAGGCGGUCGAUUGGAUUAUGUGUGUGUUGAAUUACAGAGGGUGCGAACCCUUGUGCCAGAGGACGGGGUGGCUUAUAUAGGGUGUGCCAGGACCCCAGCCCCCCUCCAUUACAAGGGAACUAAUGUACAUAAAGUAAGGGUGUUACUGGUAACGCCAGCAUUUAGUACUCUUAAUGCUCAUGAAGACUAAGGAGUAAAUAUCUGGCCGUUGUGUGCUCUUCUGACUUCUGGUCUUUGAUAUGGUCGAGUGAUCUUCCUUGUGGUCGAGUGACGACAGGUAAUGAUCGUCGAGUAGUGUGAGCAUCGAGUGGAUUGCACUCAACAUAUGAGACUAGUGCUCUUCUGGUGACUCUUGGUCUUUCCAUCUUCCAGGGUAGUGACCUUGGGUAGGACGUAUAGGUCGAGCCUAUGACCCUACCCCGGGUCUGUAUCCUCGUCAGUAGCCCCCGAAUGGAUUAAGGUGUGAGAGGAAAGUAAGACAACGUUGGACCUGUCCUGUGCUUCGUGCCUCCGCGAGUGUUUCCUGUUAGACUAAACGCCUGCGUUGAUACUUCGAAGUCGACUCGGUUGCCUUGAUCCAUUCAGGAAGUUGUCGACUGAACUAGUGGCCUCAUGCAUCCAGUGUCGUGUGGGAGUGCGAGAUCUCGGUUGAGAUUGUCUGCGGGGAAUCCCGGAUUUUGCGGGAUAUGAAAUUUCGGAGGCGCGCGCAGGUAGGAUAGCGCCAAAAAAGGGGGACCCGGACGAGCCGAGAGGCCUUGAUUGUCACACCGCCUUUUUCGCCACGUUCGCUGUGCGCAACUGUAGCAGGAUUUUACGGGAUUGCCCGGCCCCACGCGUCAGUCACUCGGAAGUGAGCCUUUAUAAGGCGACGGGGCCGGGGUGCUUGCACUAUGCACGCCUGCUUCUUCUUCUCCCUUCUCUGCUCCUCCGCCGUACCAAGCGCCUCCGCCUCCAACGUCGCCGCUUUCCCACCAUGGUGAAGGACAAGACGGCGGCGCUAGAGCGCGCCAAGAAGGCGACGGGGGCAGCGAAGCGCAAAAAACCAAGCCCCGGAUCGUCAUCUCGCUCGGGGUUGCCGCCAGGCUGGAUCCAAGGCGAUUGGAUCCGGUCUUCGAUCCGGCAGGAGGAUCUGACCGAACUAGAGGAGACCGGGCUAAUUGUAGAGGGAGCGGCGAGGCUGCCGAAGGGAGAGAUGGAGCCGCAGCCUCGACCGGGUGAGUGUGUCUUGCUCGCCACCCAUGUCGACCGGGGCUUCUCGCUUCUUCCGCACCCUUUCUUCCGAGGGUUUUUGAACUUUUUUGGGGCACAGCUCCAUCACUUUUCCCCCAACACCAUCACGUAUCUAGCCGCGUUCGUGUCGAUGUGUGAGAACUUCUUAGGGUGUCGACCGCACUGGCGUCUCUUCAAACACAUCUUCACCAUUCGUUCCCAGUCGGUUAAGAAGGAAAAGUCGAGCGACUCGAAAACUCACAUUAUGCAAAUGUGCGGGGGUUUGGGUAUCCAAAAGAGGAAUAGGAGUGCUUUCCCCGCUAUGAUCCUCCCUGAAUCCGUCAGGGGCUGGCAAUCGACCUGGUUCUAUUGCCAGGACGUGGUGACUCCGGGCCAGUCGACCGGUCUUCCUCCUUUUUCAUUCGACCGUGUCCAGACUCCUGCUCCACUGAACGUAACUGCUGCUGAGACCAUGGAGACGAUGAUGUUAGUGGACCGAGUGGUCCAGCUCAUUAAUGAUGGUGUCACUGGCAUGGACUUGCUGGAGGUGUUCCUCGCUCGGCGUAUCCAGCCUCUCCAGUCCCGUGACCACCCGAUGUGGUUGUACUCUGGGCUGGGCGACACCACUCGGGUCCAUCCAGAAGAAGUGCCGCUUGGCACCGUGGCAUUGUGGUUGAAGGGUAUCACGGGAAAUCAAGAUAACCCUAGAGGAUCUAGGCGAGUCGCCCCUUUCGGAAGUGACAACCCACCCGACUAGGUACCUUCUCAGUUCAGACCGUAUUCUGCUUGCAUUCCGACUGUGUUUGGUGUUGGCUGACUCUUGUUUUGGCCAACUUGCAUUGCAGGUAUUCACAGAGAUGUACUCAAUGCCCAACGACGAAUAGGCUUUGGCGCAGGACCAGGAGGGGGAGGACAGCGCGGAGGAGAGCAGCGAAUGGGAGUCCCCAGGGGAGGAGGAGGAGGAGAGUGCGGAGUCGGACGAGGAAGAUGAGGUCGACUCGCCACCGCGCUCUGAGCAUCGAUCCAAGCAGCAACAGGGUCCCUCCAUCGGUCGAGUGAAGAGUGUGGCUCCCAGCACCACCACCCAGAAGCGCACUCGGACGUCGACUCCGGAGACGACAGAGAAGGUGGCUAAGCAGCCCAAAGUCGCCCCUUCCAAGACUCGGAAGACACUGCCGCGUAUCAAGAUGGACGUCACCGUUGCCUCAGGGUGGGUAUCUUGUUGGUGUUUCUGUAAGUCGACUGAUGGUUUUCCCGAACCGACUGACUAGUUCUUUUGUCCUUCCAGCCCCACCUCCGCUGCCACAGACAUGGAUGUUGACAAGGCACCAGAAGAUGAAGAAGCCACCUCACGGGCUGGUAAGUUCAUUCAACUCAGUCCUGUUCAACUGAGUGGGUGGUGGAUUGACUGAAAAUUUGGUGCUUCUCUUCUUAUGUAGCUCCGCAAGAUAUCGUUGUGCUUCCUGAUGAUGAGGAGGAAGAAGUGCCCCCACAAGAGAGGAAGAAGAAGAGUGGAGGUUUAAGCAGAAGGAGACUUGAAGUCCAAAUCCCUCAGUCGACGCCGGCACCUGAGGCGACAGCUCGGACUAAUGUCACAUUUGUUGACCCAUUGACGACUGAUCGUCCGUCGAGGUCGACUGCACAGACGCCUGCUGCACCGGUGCAACUCCAUUCGUCUGAUCCGGCCAAUACUUUGACCCCUCUGGAGCCAUCCCUCUUUGCUACAUAUCAAACUCCGGACGAUUCGCCAAGUGCCGCUAGGGAAGCACUUCGCCAGGCAAAUAUUGUCAUGGAGCAGGUGAAGGUGAUACAUGAGGCUAGUCAGAUAGCCUAUAAUGCCAGCACUGCCCUUCAGACCAAUGUACAGGUUAGUAAACUUCCGACUGAACUUUUGAACAUUGCUUUAUAUCUGAUCACCCACUGGGUGUGCCUUCAUUUAGGACCCAAGAAAUCUCUGAUUUUGCACUUUCCGAAUCAGUGGGGGCACGUCGAGUGCACCCACUGGGUGUAGUCCUCGAGACCACGGUCGGCUGCUGGCAGUCGACUGAGGUCUGAUGAGUUAUGAUCAUUCUGCCUCUGUGUUUUUUCUUUUUUUUACUGAGUAUUGAUCUGAUCCAGUGGGGGCACGCUGAGUGCACCCACUGGGUGUAGUCCCCGAGACUACUGUUGAAUAUUUUAUUCGGCAGUAGUCUUAGAGUAAACCUUCUCUUUCAUUGUUGUUUGUAUGUGUUGACUGAUAUGUCUGUCUUUCUGUCUGCAGAGGUCUUGUGAUCUUGGAGCUCGGCUCACUGAAUUAAAGAAGCAGCAUAUCAGUGUGGAACUUGAUCUUGAACUUGCGAAGAAGAAUCUGAAGAAAGCUCAAGAUGAAACAGCCAUCAUGGGAGGUAAUCACUCGGCAAUUUUGUCUGCUUUGUAGAUUUACAUUUGGCACUGGCUUUUCUUUCAGUCUCUUUGAAGCGAGUGAAUUCGCAUAAGCAGAUGUGCGUAGUGAAAAUCGUCAACUCUAGUCUCGUCUGAAGAGUGUUGUUUCUUUAGAGAGGAUGAAGGAAGCUCUGGAGCAGAAGGAUCUGGAACUUGCAGCUGCUCAGAAGGAAGCGCGCGAGAAGACGAAGCUUGCGGACGAGAAGCUGGCUUCGGUCGGCAAGUUGGAGGAUGAGAACACGACAUUGAAGACGGCUGUCUCGGAUGCUAACCGUGAAGCUGAGCAACUACGGAAGGACAAGGAGAACUUGACCGCUGAAGUUGAAGGCCUCAGGACCAAGACUGGCAAGCUAGAGUUUCAUUUAGAGCAACUCGUGCAAAGCUUGUCCUGAAGCUUGAGGGUACGUCUGUCCCAUUAAAUAACUGCCGUCAACUGAGAUUUGCAAUACUGUCGACUCAUUGUUUGUUGUGAUGAAACAGAACUCUGCCAGGACUUCGAGGCCGAGACUAGACGGGUUGAGACAGGUCUCAACCCUAUCAACUGCCCCCUGAAGGAUGAAGCCGCGAUGAACUUGCUCUGACUAGAAUCGCGCUUGGAUGGUGCAGUCGACUAUCUGGCUCGGCUGAAGGCGGCGAUGGUCCGAGUGGACGCCGAACUCUGGCCUCAGGAGGAAAUGUCUCAAGACCUCGAGUCCUUGAUAACUCGGCUAAAUCAGAUCGCAGACCGAGUGCAAGAGUGGAAGAAAUCUUCCGCACGCUGCGGUGCUGACGUUGCUUUGUCUUUGGUCAGAGUGCACUACAAGGAGGCAAAGGAAGACAAGCUGGCAGCCCUCAAAUUGGCGAACACCAAGAAGCACUCCUUCCAGGACUUCAUGGACACCUUCCUCGAAGAAGCCACUCGCAUUGCUGACAGCAUCGACCUCGACAACUUCUGCGACCCGGCCAGUCCUCCUCCCGCCGAGUGAUUAAAAAACAUUCUGCUACCGCUUUAUUUGCCUCGGAAUGCCGAGUGGAUUUGUAAUCGUUAAACUCCUUCGGGCCUGACGUCCGAUCACUUUAUUUUGCGGCUAAGAAACUUCGGAUUUACCACCUCGCACAUUGCGUCUGUCUUCGAAUGAAAUUCGCCUUUCUAUCAAAGUGUUGCCCGUUUUCUUGAUGCAGCUUUUGGAGAAGGAUGGCCAGUCGCCUGAUCGAGCAACCUUUGAGUAGCAUUGAUCAGCUCAUCAGCAAGGCACUCGGCACUGGUCUUGAUGUUCUAGUCGACUGGUUGGGUGAUCCUUCAGUAGCGUUGAUCAGCUCAUCAGCAAGGUACUCUACUUCUGUAGAAGUACGACCAGUCGCCUGAUCGAGCAACCUUUGAGUAGCAUUGAUCAGCUCAUCAGCAAGUCAUUCAGGAAUGGUCUUGACAUUCCCGUCGACCGGUUGGGUAAGGUUUCCAAAACUUAGGCGAGUACGAGACUACAGAUAAGCCCCCGAGUGGGAGGAUCGCUCUCCACUUGGUAGGAUUUUCCAUUACUUAGGCGAGCACUGGGCUGCAGCUAAGCCCCUAGGACUCAUCACUCGGUAGGAUUUUUAUCACUUUGGUGUGCACUGGGCUGCAGCUAAGCCCUCGAGUGAGAGGCAGACUCAUUACUCGGUAGGAUUUUUAUCACUUAGGCGAGCACUGGGCUGUAGCUAAGCCACUACUAGGAAAAGGGCUAUAGAUGGAAUGGGCACUAAUGGUGCACCAGUCAGGUGGUGCCCACUACUAUAUACUAAUGGCGCACCAUUUGGUGAUGCGCCAUUAGUGUGGAAGACACUAAUGGCGCACCAGACACAAGGUGCGCCACUAGUAAUAAUUUUUUUUCCAUUUUUCCAUACAUACUAAUGGCGCAUCCGAGCGAAGUGCGCCAUUACUAGUUCUAACUAGUAAUGGCGCACCAGCCACAGAGUGCGCCAGUACUGUAUUCUUUUUUUUAUUCUUUUUUUUGCAAAACUACUAAUGGCGCACCGUGUCACAGUGCGCCAUUACUAGUUAUACUAGUAAUGGCGCACUAUGACAUGGUGCGCCAUUAGUAUAUAUAUUUAUUUUUUUAUUUUUUUGCAAAACUACUAAUGGCGCACCACAUGCAGGUGCAUCAUUAGUAACCAGGGUUACUAAUGGCGCAUUUGCAGGUGGUGCGCCAUUAGUAACCUGGGACCCCAACAAGAUAUUUUGGAAGCCACACCUACCCACUCACUUUCCCCACUUCAUUCCCUCCACCUCCUUCUCCAAGAUUUCGGCUGCCUCCUCCUCCUCACCCCAGUUGCACCAUAGAUUCAUCAAAAUUAAGUGGCGAAAUUACCUUUUUUGAUAGGUAAGUAAGGGGAAAGCUAUCUUCAUGUUGUAGAUCUACUUUUUUUCUCCCUAGCUCGCUCCAACAACGUGCACAUGCACUUUUUGUGGCCUAGCUAGAUCUAUGUAUGUUUGUGGUGUGGCAUAUGUUUGUGGUAUUGCAUAUAUGUUUGUGUUUGCAGGUACCGGUAUUUGAAAUGUGAUAGUUGCCAAUAUUUUGCCAGAAUGUUGAUUCAUUUCUGUUGCGGCGAGAAUUUUGGCACUAUGUAUUCUUUUUGGUCCUGUUUUUAGGGAAGGUCAUGCCAAAAAUUUUCUUGGUUCUAAAAUAUCGUUUUGCUCUACCCCGCAGGCGACCAUGGUCUGCAUGAUGACCGAAGGCAUCGUGAAUAGGUUUUUGAGCUCCGCGUAGGCCGAGAUGCUUCAAAAGAACGAGACGGAGAUAAGAUGUCCGUGUCGCAAGCUGAAGAGCCUUAUUGCGGAACCGGAUUCCGGGCAUGUGCGGGACCACCUUCUCUUGCAUGGUUUCAUGGAUGGCUAUCGGUGGCAAGGUGAUGAAGAUGGCUAUGAAGUCGGCCAUGGGGGCUGGGCAAGAAAUGAGGAAGGGCAACAAGACAACUACCGUGGUGAGGGCGGGCGAGAAGACGAAGAAUCUCUAGGACAUGAUCACGAUGGUGAUGCUGUACACAGUCAUCACGUAGAAGAUGUCGUACAUGAUGAUGAGGAAGAUCAAGAUGAAGGGCAUGAUCAUGAAGAUGGAGAUGCCGGAGCAGACGACGAUGGAGGCUGGGUGCAGGACCCUCAUAUUCAAGAGAUGCUUCUCAAGCAGACAAAUAACGCAAGAGCUGCCGCCAGAGAGAAAGCCAAGCUGGAUCAACUGGAGAUAGACGCAGUUACUCCAUUGUAUGAAGGAUGCAGGCCCGAGGAUACCCGCCUGAAACGAACGUCUUCCCAAGGGGAACAAGUGCCCAACCAGUUUCGAGGAGGCGAAGAAAAUCGUGUGUCCUCUGGAUUUACCGCACGUGAAAUACCAUGUGUGCAUGAACAAUUGCAUCAUUUUUUGGGACGAGCACGCGGAGUCUACCAUAUGUCCGAUGUGCGGCGUCACUCGAUACAAGAAGAGGAAGAAAGCUCCUCGAAAAUUGGUGUGGUACUUUCCGAUCACUCCUUGUCUGCAACGGUAUUUCGCGGACCCUAAGGUAGCAAAGCUCCUGCAUUGGAAGGCGGAUAGGGAGGAGAAGAAGCGGGAAGAUGACGGAUAUGAUCUGGAGAUAAAUAAAAAAGACAAGAUGUUGAGUCACCCUAAGGAUGCGAGCCAGUGGCAAGCGUUGAACUUCGAAUACCCAGAAUUGGGAAGGAUGCAAGGAACAUCGUGCUGGGCGCGAGCACCGUUGUGGUCAAUCCGUUUGGCAGCCAGAGAAGCACACAUAGCACCUGGCCUACGUUUGUGUGGAUGUACAACCUCCCCCCCUGGUUGUGCAUGAAGAGGGAGUACAUUCACAUGAGUAUGCUAAUUGAAGGGCCGAAACAACCAGGGAAUGACAUCAAUCUGUAUCUGGGGCUGCUGAAGGAGGAGCUAGACACGCUGUGGAAAACGCCAGCCAAUACGUGGGACGCUGCAGAGAAAGAAUAUUUCCCUAUGAGAGCCGCACUGCUCACGACGGUGCACGACUAUCUCGGUUACGGAUAUCUCGUGGGGCAGGUAGUCCACGGAUUUUCUGGACGCGUAAGGUGCAUGGAUGACACAACGUAUCGCCAGCUAGAUAGAGAUCCCGGGUCUUUGAAAACCAUGUUCAUGGGACAUCGAAGGUGGCUUCGUGACGAUGACCCGUGGAGGAAACGCAAGGAUCUGUUCGAUGGUGAAACCGAACCCCGAAAACGCCAGCGUACAAGGAUCGGCGAGGAAAUAGACGAGCUGUUGAAAAAUUGGAAAGAUUGCCCACUGCAGGGAAAGAAGCAAAAGGCGCCAGAGCCGGGAAAGAAGCGAAAGGCGCCAGAGCCGCUGCUGAAGGUAUGGAAAACAAGGUCUGUUUUCUCGGACUUGCCGUACUGGAAGAUCCACCGUGUGCCUCACAGCCUUGAUGCCAUGCAUAUCACAAAGAACAUGUGGGAGAGUCUGCUUGGUACCCUGCUCAACGUUUCAGAGAGGACCAAAGAUCCGCCGAAAGCAAGGGCAGACUUGAAAUCAAUGGGCAUCAGGCAGGAGCUUCACGCUAAUGAUGAUGAUGAUGAUGAUGAUGAGGCGAAGCAGGACACAGAAAGUCGUCGCAAAGGCAAAAAGGCCAAGAAGACCGGAAAUGACUACCCUCCCACGUGCUUCACUCUAAGUUAGGAGGAUAUCGAGCAGUUUUCCACCUGCCUCGUAGGAGUAAAACUUCCUUACGGUUACACGGGGAAGAUAAGCAGAUACCUAGACCCAGCAAAGCAGAAGUUCAGCGGGAUGAAGUCUCACGACUGUCACGUGCUGAUGACGCAGAUACUUCUAGUUACAAUCCGUGGGAUCAUGGACGCGCACGUCAUAAAACGCUAUUUGGCCUAUGCAACGUUUUCGACGUCAUCUCUCGGAAGUUGAUUGGCGUGAGGCAACUCAGAAGGCUACAAGAAGAGAUCGUGGUGAUACUAUGCGAGCUUAAGAUGUACUUCCCGCCCGCAUUCUUCAAUGUUAUGGUGCAUCUGCUCGUCCAUAUCAUGGAGGAUAUCAUCCAACUCGGGCCGACGUUCCUGCAUAGCAUGAUGUCGUUCGAAAGGAUGAAUGGUGUCAUCAAAGGAUACGUUCGCAACAUGUCACGUCCAGAGGGAAGUAUAGCCAGGGGCUUUCUGACCGAAGAGUGCAUCUCCUACUGCACGAAUUAUCUAGGCAUCGAGAACCCCGUUGGUCUGCCCGUCAAUAGGCACCUCGGCAGGCUCGCUGGAUGGGGUCACCGUGAGGGUCACCGUGAAAUGCAUGUCGACUUAGAGGGUCGACUUGCCGACUUUGAAAGAGCAAACCUAGCCGCGCUACAACACAUAGACGUGGUCGAUCCUUGGGUGGUAGAGCACAAAACCUUUAUUGAGAAGACAUACAAUGACCGAGGCCAACAGAGAACAGACGGAGAUAUAAUCAAAGAGCACAACUCAUGUUUCAUGCGUUGGUUCAAGCAGAAGCUUCUGUCGUACCCUUUACAUGAGGAUUCUUCCGCGGAAGAACAACUCAUAUUCACCUUGUCACAGGGCGCCGAGCACAACCUGAUGACCUAUGAGGCGUACGAUAUCAACGGCGACACAUUCUACACCGAGAACAAGGACAUGAAGAGCGAUGGUUAUCAGAACUCCGGGGUAACGAUGGAAUCCUACACCAGUAACGACAAGGACAGAUACUACGGAAGGAUCGAGGAGAUCUGGGAGCUGAGCUACGCUGGAGAGAAGGUCCCGAUGUUCCGUGUCAGAUGGGCCAAGAGUGUCCUAAAAGAAGACCGGUAUUUCACCACCAUGGUUAUACCCGAAGCCAAAUCCAAGACCGCGGGCACAAACGUCACCGCGAAAAAUGAGCCAUGGGUACUGGCUUCCCAAGUGGACCAAUGCUUCUUCAUUACUGACCCGUCAAAGCCCAGUCGUGUUGUCAUGAGGAGAGGCAAAAGGAAGAUCAUCAGAAUGGAUGGAGUAGCCAAUGAGCAAGACUUCGACAAGUACGGUGACCCAAAGAUCGAACAUGACGAUGACGAUGAAGUAGCAGCACACACCACAAGAAGAAGCAGGACCACCCUACCUAAAGGACGUCCGUUCCACAGAAGAACUCCAUUUGCGAAAAAGAAGGGCAAGAAGAUUAUGAACAGAUAGCUAGCUAAGAUCGAUUGUAUUUCAAUCGUAGUCUUCAUUUCUCGAUUGUAUUUCAUGGGCACUUAUUGAUAUCAUGAAUAUUUUUAAAUUUCAUGUGCACUUUUUGAAUUCAUGAGGACACUCGAUCUCGACCCCCUCCAUCUUUAUCCCCCUCCAUCUCGAUCCCACCCGCACCCUCCCCCGCUAGCUCCAUCGCCGCCGACGAUCCACCGCAACCUUCCCCCGCUCCACCACCCCGACGAGCACCCGGCCCCCUGCACCUUCCCCCGCUCCACUGCCGCCAACGGGCACCCCCCGCACCCUCCCCCGCUCCACCGCCGCCGCCGAUGAUAUNNNNNNNNNNNNNNNNNNNNNNNNNNNNNNNNNNNNNNNNNNNNNNNNNNNNNNNNNNNNNNNNNNNNNNNNNNNNNNNNNNNNNNNNNNNNNNNNNNNNNNNNNNNNNNNNNNNNNNNNNNNNNNNNNNNNNNNNNNNNNNNNNNNNNNNNNNNNNNNNNNNNNNNNNNNNNNNNNNNNNNNNNNNNNNNNNNNNNNNNNNNNNNNNNNNNNNNNNNNNNNNNNNNNNNNNNNNNNNNNNNNNNNNNNNNNNNNNNNNNNNNNNNNNNNNNNNNNNNNNNNNNNNNNNNNNNNNNNNNNNNNNNNNNNNNNNNNNNNNNNNNNNNNNNNNNNNNNNNNNNNNNNNNNNNNNNNNNNNNNNNNNNNNNNNNNNNNNNNNNNNNNNNNNNNNNNNNNNNNNNNNNNNNNNNNNNNNNNNNNNNNNNNNNNNNNNNNNNNNNNNNNNNNNNNNNNNNNNNNNNNNNNNNNNNNNNNNNNNNNNNNNNNNNNNNNNNNNNNNNNNNNNNNNNNNNNNNNNNNNNNNNNNNNNNNNNNNNNNNNNNNNNNNNNNNNNNNNNNNNNNNNNNNNNNNNNNNNNNNNNNNNNNNNNNNNNNNNNNNNNNNNNNNNNNNNNNNNNNNNNNNNNNNNNNNNNNNNNNNNNNNNNNNNNNNNNNNNNNNNNNNNNNNNNNNNNCGCCCCGACCCUCGCCGUCUUCGUCUUCGUCUGCACCUUCUUCCACCUCCGGCCACCGCGGCCUCACCGUUGAACCGUCCCCGUCCACGCCGUCCCCGACGAUGCCAUCUACUCCUCUGCGACCGCUGUGAGAUGCCCUUCAGUUUCCCCUCCUCCCCUUGGUCGUUUGCUUCCCGUAGCGCCGCCCCUGUGAUUUUGCCGCACCACUAACCACCAUGGUCGGGCCUUGCUCCACGCGCGGCUGCACCUUGCUGCCCACUGCCUGACCUCGCCUCCGGCUGUCACCCGGUCGCACCAGACCGCGCUCAUCCCACCCCUGUCCAUUCCCUGGUCGCGGGGCCGUGUCCUGGCCUGCAGCCGUCCGCUCCUGAUGGCUGAUUAUCUAGUUUUGUUCUAGAUAAUGAUUAAACGUGGCUGAUUAUCCUCUCAAUUCGGUUACUUGCUCGUUUCAGUUUAAUGAUUGCAUUAUAGUCCACUUUUUUAGUAAAAUGUUCUGUUGCAAUUCAUUCCAUUAGUUUGGUGCUGAAAUGAUCUGCCGUAAUUCCUUCUUUCUAUUGCAUUGUUUAGAAUUGUAUCUCACUUUAGCUGCUAAACUCUCUGGAAUUAAUGCUUCAUAUGAUGUUCAAUUUUUGCAUAAGUUGAGGAAACAAUAGUUCUACUGACAAGCAGAAGAAAGGAUUGGGCUCUGGUCCAAAUGAUGUUUAACAUGAAUUUAACUAAACAGGAAUUUUAUGUUGUUGCUGCUGAAGAUGAGUAGUUGUAGGAAGAUGAUGCAUAGUAGUUUUAUGUUAUUGUAGUAGUUGUAGGAUGAUAUUGUAGUUGAAGUUGCAGGAGUAGAUAAUGGAGUACUGCCAAUUUAUUGUUAGUAAAGAUGUUGAACACACAACUGUUGUUUACUCUAGUGAUAGGAGUAGUAGUGGUGGCCAUCUAGUUGGACUACUACUGCUAGGACUUGCUCCAGAUUUUAGGAUUUCUUUUCUUUUAGGAUUUAUUUUCUUCUAGGACUAGGUUUUUAUUAUUUUUUCUGUUGUGAUUGUUUUUUGAGCUCUUUCUUUUUCAUUUCCUACUAUCCUUAUCCUAAUUAUCUUAAAUUGUUAUGAUGUGUGUAACAGGAUUAGAUCUUGGAUUUGCUAGUGGACUUUGGGAGUUUCUUAGCCAGCUUGGUGACUCCAUAUUUUUCACUAUUUCAGCAAGUCUUUUGUAAGCAUUAAACUUUCAGCACUACAUUUUUAUCUUAUGUGUACAUCUGUUUGCUUCCAAUUGCUAUAUAUGUAUUGUUGUUACUAAAAUGAUGAAGCUCCUGUCAAUUGCUAUACAUAUAUAUAUGUGUAUGAUGAUCCUCCUUUCCUGCAGUAGUAUAGCACUUGCAGUAGUAUGGCACUUGCAGUAGUGGUGCCUACGCAAGAUACAGUUAAGAUUUGAUUAGUUCCGUAAAUUUGUAUGACCACAGAUUUGUAUAGUUUCAGAGAUUUGUAUGACCAAAGAUACAGUUCAGAUUUGAUUAGUUCCAUAAAUUUGUAUGACCAAAUAUAUAUUUCAGAUUUGUAUAGUUUCAGAGAUUUGUAUGACCAAAGAUACAGUUCAGAUUUGAAUUAUUUCAGAAAUUUGUAUGACCAGAGAUACAGUUCAGAUUUGAAUUGUUUCAAAAAUUGGUAUGACCAAAGAUGCUAUUGUAUAUAAAUGGGCUGCUGUGGAACUGUUCUUUAUCUUUACAGUGUUGUUGUAUAGAAAUAUGCUGAAUUUUCUGCUCUGAUUGUUGCUCAAAGAAAUUUAGCAAAAAAAUGGGGUCCUGGGAGACGCCGCUGGUGCUUGAGGCCCUUGAGAGGCCCUUCGUGUCGUGAUGAUUUUGCAGGUACCCAGAGAGGCCCUUGAGUUUGCCAGAAUGUCGAUUAACUUCCAUUCCGGCAAAUUCGGGUACUCCAUAUGUCCUAUUUUCAGCAAAGGUCAUGCUGAAAUUUUCCGUGAAUUUUAGCAUGACUUUGCUAAAAAUCGGGCAUAUGGGGUACUUUCUACUAAUGCAUGGGCCGGGGUAUCUUAUUACUUAAUUAAGUAGGAUCAACUGCCCCUUUAUUCUUGCUGCAUUAAACCAUAGGUGGCAAUAGAGCCAAGUGAUUAGGCCCAACUUAGAAUUCUCCUCGGCAUCAAUAAACCCUAGAUGAUAAACCCAACAUAGGUGGCAAUAGAGCCAAGUGAUUAGUGCCAAGUGAUUAGACCCAACCUAGGGUGCCUCAGCAUCGAUAAACCCUAAAUGAUGAAAACUUAACUUAGCAUUUAGGUUUCCUCGGUGUCGACAAACCCUAAAUGAUGAAACCUUGGCUUUUAGGGUGCCUCGGUGUCGAUGAGAACCUAAAUGAUGUACGCUUAGGCUUUUAGGGUGCCUCGGCGUCGACAAACCCUAAAUGAUAAAAGCUUAGCUUUUAGGAUGCCUCGGUGUCGACAAACCCUAAAUGAUGAGACCAUGAUCUUGUUCCUUGACAAUAACCAACUUUUUCACCAAACUUUUUUCCUAUUUAGAGCGAAACAUGGCCCAAAACAAUGAGGCUGGCGGUUCGGGCGGCAAGCAAUUCUGGGAGCUAUCCCAGGAGUUGGAGAAAGAACAUCACCGCUAUGAGGACGUCGCAGAAGACACCGAUCCUGACUACACAACACCUAGUGGUGUCGGGGAUGACACCACUGAUGGCACCGCCGAGGAUGCCACCACUGAUGAUGGCGGCGCACACACAGAUGGUAGCCAACCGAAGAGGCAACGGAAGGACCGGCGCCCGAGCGUGCUCGGCACCGGCAGGGAGGAAUUUACUAAAGUGGACUCCGAUGGGCAACCUCCUCUUCACGAAGUUGCACGAACGAUACAAGUUCCCCGCUGACUUUGCAAACACACGCCUGUCAGGGAAUAAACUGAACAGUGCCGCCCUAACGAGGAUGAGCACGACCUUGUCUACUUGGAGAAGCACGGUGAAGGCAAUGAUUGACAAAGGUGGUAGUUAUGACAAGAUCAAGGUGAAAUAUCCUUUGAUGAGCGAAGAUGAGUACAAGGAGUUCAAGAUCAAGUCGAGAGCAGCGCAACCUCUGAAUCAAGUCAAUGGGGGAAAGAAAUGCGGAAGUUGAACUUAGGGGUCCACCAACUCGGUCCUGGCGGUUACAGAGUGGCGGAGCCUAUAUGGGACAAGGAGGAUGCGGAGCGUGCCGAGCAAGUCCUACCGCCCUGCUUUGAGAAAUACCGUGACAAGCAAACCAGGAACUUUCUCAGGGCUCGGUACAAGGAGGACCCGAUAACAAAGGAGCUUACCACGGAUCCAAAGAUCAGGGCGCUCGAGCUUGUUCUGGUAAGGAAUACACCCCCGCGUAAUUAGCUCCAUAUGGUUGCACUCUAAUUAAUCCCCAAUAUUUCUAAAUGGUGCACGUUCCUUCCGCAGGACACUGAAAGCAGUAGCGCGGGGUCGUCUCAGAGUUCCCCUUUCGACACCCCUUUAAAUAGGGCGUUGAACGUGAUGAAAAACAAUGAUAAGGUUAGUAAGCCGACGUCAGCUGGUCGUGUGGCUGGCAAAGGCUUGUCCACAAAAUGGUCGUCAUACUAUACCGCUGGUGGGAGAAAGGAGAAAAAACUCGGAAAGCCAGUCACGCGAGGUUGAAGCACUCAAGGCACAAGUGGCGCGGAUUCCGGAGCUUGUCCAAGAGCAAGUGGAACAACAACUGGGAACGAAGAUCAACGCCAUGGUGCCUACGUUGAUUCAUGUGCUGACGACGUGGAUUGCGGGCGGCCAACAGGGGCCUCCCCCAGUUCCCAGAUUCAUGGCCAGCAACUCGCAAAGUGCGCAGGCGGCACCAUUGGUGUCUCCGGCGGAGGCGGUAUUCGUGUCUCUGGCGCCGGCACGGGCAUUGGAGCUUAAUGCACCCGGGUGUAUGCCGGGCGGCACCUCGCCAGCAAGCGGCCCCUCCAUUAGUUGCAAACCCGCCGUUGGCGGUGCCUCGACAUUAGCCGACCUCGACGGCAUCACGGUAACUAAGCCUCUCGGCCGAUGACUUCAUCUCCUUGCCUUUGACUGGGCAUCCCUGAUGCCCUACAUGUUUUCGCAGGGCGGCGCCUGACCCUACAUGUUUGCACUCUUCUGCACUUCGUGGGCGGCGAGUUGGUCGAUGUCGCCAAGGGUAGAAUCGUUCAACCGGGCAACCCCAUGUUCCACGGUAAUCAGAUGCCACCCACAGUGUAUAAGGUUGAAGUGGUUUGGGUGCUGCCAGGCUGCGACGAGUUGUUACCUCCGAUUUGACCCACCUGGGGCCGACGAAGAAGAUGAGAUGACCCUCAGCGCCUGCGUAAACUGGCCCCUGCUUUGGCCGAAGAGCCAGAUUCGUUUGGGUGCAGGGGACACCACCCCACAGACAAGACCGCUAGUCGUGCCGGCGCCAAGCCAUGGCAAGAACGCCGCAACUCUACCGGACCUGUCGGACAUCCCUAUGCCGGACAUCCCUAUGGCAUAGGAUCCGGACAUCCCUAUGGCACAUGAUCCGGACGACGAUGACAAUGACGAUGGUACAUUUACCAAAGUCGAUAAGUACUUUGCCGAACAUGGGUACGUUGACGAGUUCUGCGGGCCUCUUUCUCAAGAACCCAACCAAGACGACCCGAUCUAGCUGGUACGGCGGAGAAAUCCAAUUGCAACAGGCGUCGUCUGGCGUUCAGUUCUCAGGAGACGCCUCCAGCUCCUGCCUUCAUCGAGCCUCAGAUAGCUGAGGUGCGAAAUAUUAUCAGCCCCAACACGCUCAAGAAGGCAGUCUGUCAGCAGAACUCGGUCCCAUUACAGGAGAUCAAGAAGAAGGGACGGAAAUGAAAGACUAACAAGGGCGCUGGUGCGAGCCAGCCGGCACCGAGUUCGAUCCGUGCUCAGGACGGGCCACCUUCACCUAAGGAUAUCUCGAGGAGGGUGCAUGUGGCGGGUAGGGCGAUGCUACCGCCAAAUAUGCUCAAUGUUGCAACCGGUGCUAUGCAGAGUCUGCACGACAGUGUUCUUUCUUUGGAGGAGCGGUGUCUCAGAGAGAAUGAUGUGGCAUACCCGGUUUUUGUGGCCAAGGUGCCAGAGGGCAAGGGCUUUGUGGACGGCGACAUAGGGGUACGAUCAUCCUGCGGUUUGAUGACAUCUUUGCUAUGUUUAACCUUCAUCCGCUGCAGUACACUUUCGUUCGGCUGUUUUCACUGAGUAUGGAGAAUCGGAUCAUUAGAGACAAGACACCGGACAUCGUGAUAGUUGACCCUUUCUACACGCAUGCCAAGCACUUGAGCAGUGCUGGGGACCGCCAAGUUGCGAGUUCACACCUCGAUGGCAUCAUUCUGGCAAACCCAUAUAAGUAUAACUUCCUUGUGGCUUACUUUCCCGAGUAAGUCAUCCCUUAACCGCCCCGUAACAUGUGAUUUCUGUGCAGUGACACACAUUGCACACUCAUCCUCGAAGAUAGACUACACAAAUGUCAAGAAAGUUCUUGAUGAUGUUCUCCCCGGCUACGCCAAAUCUGGAGGCACCUUCACCAGGGCAGUUCGUAAGUACGACAAGCACAUGUUCUCACGCAAUACGAAGUUCUGCUGCGUCAAGCAGCCGCCUGGAGGUUAGAAGGAUGCCUACUACGCCCUCCAUCACAUGCGGGCGAUCGUAAGGGACCAUCAUCACCUUCUGCUACCAGAUAAUCUCAAAGAUUGCGCCGCGAGCUUGUCGGCAAUCCAGGACGCGGACCUCAGACAAUAAUUCUUUCGCAUCCAGUCAGAGUUUGCGGACAUCAUCCAUCAAUAUGUCCUUCAUACCUCGGGGCAGUUCUUCCUCAGAUAUCAACCGUCCAACAGUGAGAUAGAUGGAACGCUACAAAUGCAGGGUGACAACGACCGCGAUUUCAUGACCAUCAUGACAGACGGCGACUUCAUCCACGCUCCUGCCCGAUGAGUCGAGUCGAAAGUAGUGAUGUGUAGUUCUGAAACAUUGAUUGGAUCAUGUUGUAAUUAAACUUUAAUGAAUUCAUAUGUCUCUUUGGUUUGGACAGUCGUUCAACUUAGAUGUAAUCGAUGCUAUUUAUUAGUAGGACCAUGAAUCGUGCUAUUAAUGUCUUGCUUUUCUCUUCCGAUCCUUUUGUUGCAUACUUACAUAUUGCUUAUGUAUUGUCUGUUGUUUGGCUUGUGCAUAGAGAUGCCGUCGUAUGUCGUGUACAAGGGUAAGGUUCCCGGAGUCUACGACGACUGGGAGGAGUGUCGGAGACAGGUUCACCGUUUCAGCGGUAACAGUUACAAAGGGUACACCACUAGGGAGGAGGCCGAAUCUAGAUACGCCCGCUAUCUAGCGGGAGAGAGGAGGGAGCGUUGGAGGAACCGUAUGAAGACCAGUUUGAUUGCGAUGAUGCUCAUCGUGAUGACCACAGCUCUCUUCUAUGUGAUGGUAGGUUAGAUGAUCGAUAUCGACUUGUAAUGUGAAGACAAACUCGAUACUCGCGGUCUUGAGACUUGUAUUGUUUUAUCUUUGUUCGGUCUUUUGAAUUCGGAGACUAAUAUGAUGAAUUGUAUUUGGAGACUAAUCUUCUAUUGUAUUCGAUGAAUCUGCUGUUGCUGUGCGCUGCUGUCUAUAUUCUGUCCAAUAAUAUAUUUUGUAACGUGUGCAAAAAUCAGAAAAGUAAAAAAACAAAUAUUCAUACUAAUGGCGCAUCACCUCAAGGUGCGCCAUUAGUAUGCCAAAGGAUACUAAUGGCGCAUCACGACAGAGUGCGCCAUUAGUAUGACAAAGCACAUGGUUACGUAUGGCCCCCGGGAGGCAUACUAAUGGCGCAUGGUGUUACAUACUAAUGGCGCACUGCAUGGUGCGCCAUUAGUAUACCAGAUACUAAUGGAGCACCAGUGGUGCGCCAUUAGUAAAAAAUACUAGUGGCGUGAUACUAAUGGCGCACGGGUAGUGCGCCAUUAGUAGGCAAAACCGGUGCGCCAUUAGUAGGCCUUUUCCUAGUAGUGAGCCCCCGAGUGAGAGGCAGACUCAUCACUCGGUAGGAUUUUUAUCACUUAAGCGAGCACUGAGCUGCAGCUAAGCCCCCGAGUGAGAGGCAGACUCAUCACUCGGUAGGAUUUUUAUCACUUAGGCGAGCACUUGGCUGCAGCUAAGCCCCCGAGUGAGGGGCAGACUCAUCAGUCGGUAGGAUUUUUAUCACUUAGGCGAGCACUGGGCUGCAGCUAAGCCCCCGAGUGAGAGGCAGACUCAUCACUCGGUAGGAUUUUUGUCACUUAGGCAAGCACUGGGCUGCAGCUAAGCCCCCGAGUGAGAGGCAGACUCAUCACUCGGUAGGAUUUUUGUCACUUAGGUUCAGGCGAAAUAGAUUUGCGACUAAAGUAGCAUACACAAAAGAAAUAAACAACAACCACUUGGAAGGAGUAAAUUAUGUCUUUUGAUAAUUAAGCUAACAUGUAUUCCUUAUUACAUCCGAUCGGUUUAACUAUUUAAGAAUAGAAACGGCGGAGCAGAUCCGCAUUCCAGGCGCGCGUCUCAUCUCUAUUGUGUUCGAAAUUGAAGAGACGGUAUGCUCCAUUAUGGAGCACCUUGGUGAUGACGAAAGGGCCUUCCCAAGCGGGGGCGAGCUUGUGUGGCCUUUGUUGAUCCACUCGGAGGAACAAGUCCCCUUCCUGGAACGCACGACCCCUUAUGUUCUUGGCGUGGAAUCGACGUAAGUCUUGCUGAUAAAUGGUCGACCGGAUGAAAGCCAUCUCUCUCUCUUCCUCCAAGAGGUCGACUGCAUCUUGUCGAGCUUGCUCUGCUUCUUCUUCUGAGAAGAGUUCGACUCGGGGAGCACUGUGGAGCAAAUUGCAUGGCAAAACGGCUUCGGCUCUGUAUACCAUAAAGAAUAGAAUCCGUCCAGUCGACCGAUUAGGGGUUGUCCUCAGCCCCCAAAGCACCGAUGGGAGCUCGUUGACCCAAGCCCCUGCCGCGUGCUUGAGAUCAUGCAUUAGCCGAGGCUUCAGCCCUUUGAGAAUCAAUCCAUUCGCUCACUCACCUUGUCCAUUCGACUGGGGAUGGGCGACUGAAGCGUAAUUGACCCUCGUGCCCAGGGAGGCGCAAAAAGCUUUGAACUCUUCAGAAUCGAAGUUCGAGCCGUUGUCCAUUAUGAUGUUGUGCAGGACACGGUAUCUGAAUAUAAGUUCUUUGAUGAAACUAACGGCUGUGCUCGCUUCAAGGCUCUUAAUGCGCUUGGCUUCGAUCCAUUUGGUGAACUUGUCGACUGCUACCAGCACAUGAGUAAAUCCACUCCUGCCUGUCCUCAGAGGUCCUACCAUGUCAAAUCCCCAAACGGCGAAGGGCUAGACGAGUGGAAUAGUCUUCAGAGCCGACGUAGGUUUGUGAGACAUGUUGGAAUAAAACUGACAACCUUCACACUUGUCCACUAUUUACUUUGCCAUCUCGUUAGCGUGCGGCCAGUAAAACCCGGCUCGGUAUGCUUUGGCUACGAUGGUCUGAGAGGACGCAUGGUGACCACAGGUCCCCGAGUGGAUAUCUUUAAGGAUCAUUCGGCCUUCUUCUGGCGUGAUGCACUUCUGGCAGGCUCCAGUUACACUCUCUCUAAACAACUGUCCUCUUAUCACAGUAAAGGCUUUAGACCGUCGGAUGAUCUGUCGAGCUUCUUCUUCAUCCUCUGGGAGUUCCUUCCUAAGAAUAUAUGCGAUCUAUGGUACUGUCCAGUCGGGAGUGAUGACCAAAACCUCCAUGAUUAAGUUGACCACGGCCCGGACUUUGACUUUAGUCGGAUCUGUGGCGCUCUUGGGCUGCGGUGACUCUUCGGUGAAAGGAUCUUCUUGAACCGAAGGUGAAUGGAUAUGUUCCAUAAACACGUUUCGGGGAAUAGCCUCUCUCUUUGAGCCUAUCUUGGCCAACUAUUCUGCAGCUUGAUUUUUCAGUCGGGGUAUAUGGUGGAGCUCCAAACCUUCAAACCUCUUCUCCAGCUUUCUCACUAUAUUGCAAUAACCGGUCAUGGUCGGGCUUCUGACACCCCAUUCCUUCAUGACUUGGUUAACCACCAAAUCGGAAUCGCCGUAGACCAUAAGGUGACGGACGCCGAGUGAAAUGUCCAUACGCAACCCGUAUAGAAGUGCUUCAUAUUCGGCUUCGUUAUUGGAGGAAUCAAAAUGAAUCUAGAGAACGUAACUAAGCCUGUCUCCUCGGGGGGAUACCAAAACUACUCCAGCACCUUAACCAUUCAGCAUCUUGGAGCCAUCAAAAAACAUAGUCCAAUGUUCCGAGUGAACUUGAGUCGGCAAUUGCUGUUCAAUCCACUCGUCUAGAAAAGCUGCAAUUGCUUGGGACUUGAUAGCCGUCUUUCCCUCGAACUUGAUAUCAAAAGGGAGGAGUUCAAUCGCCCAUUUGGGCACUCAACCGGUUGCAUCUCUGUUAGAAUUUCGGAUAGUAGCGCAUUGCUGACGACUGUAAUGGAGUGGUCAAAGAAGUAAUGCGCAACUUUCUUCAUGGUCAUGUAUAUUCCAUAGACAAGCUUCUGAUAAUGCGGGUAUCGUUGCUUGGAUGGAGUCAAAACUUCAGAGAGAUAAUAGACUGGGCGCUGAACCUUGUAGGCUUCUCCUUCUUCUUCCCGCUCGACCGUGAGUACUGUACUGACAACUUGUCCAGUGGCUGCAAUGUAGAGCAGUAAAGGCUCUUUGCUGAUUGGCGCAGCGAGCACCGGCUGGGUGGAAAGCGGGGUUUUGAGUUCACUCGAACUUAUCAGACUUCUUCAUCAAUCGGUAAAGAGGGAAGGCCUUUUCACCGGGACGAGAAAUUAAUCGACUCAGAGCGGCAAACAACCAGUCAGCUUCUGAAGGUCAUGCACUCUCACGGGACGUUUCAUUCGGAGGAUGGUAUCAACUUUCUCUGGAUUGGCGUCGAUCCCUCGUUCGAAAACAAGGAAACCGAGUAACUUUCCUCCUGGAACUCCGAACAUGCAUUUUGACGGAUUAAGCUUGAUAUCGUAUCUUCUGAGGUUCACAAAGGUUUCUGCAAGGUCAGUUAAUAGGUUGGAACCUUUGCGAGACUUGACCACAAUGUCAUCCAUGUAUGCUUCCACAUUCCGACUGAUUUGAGUGAGCAGGCACUUCCAAAUCAUUCUCAUGAAUGUGGCUCCAGCAUUUUUCAAACAAAAAGGCAUGGUGACCUAGCAAAAGCACCCGAAUGGCGUGAUGAAUGCUGUUUUAUUUCAUCGGGACCAUGUAGUCGGAUCUGAUGGUAUCCGGAAUAUGCAUCUAAGAAAGACAAGCGUUCACACCCUGCAGUCGAAUCAACAAUCUGAUCGAUGCGAGGGAGAGGGAAGUGAUCUUUCGAGCAGGCCCGAUUGAUAUGCUUGAAAUCAAUGCACAUACGAAGUGAAUUAUCCUUCUUAGGAACCAUGACUACAUUGGCUAGCCACUCGGAGUGGUAGAUUUCACGGAUGAACUCUGCUGCCAACAGUCGAGCCACUUCCUCGCCGAUUGCUUUCUUCUUCUGCAUGGCGGACAGCCGAAGAUGUUCUUUGAUGGGUUUUAUUUUGGGGUCGACACGCAAACGGUGCUCGGCCAGUCCCCUGGGUACACCCAGCAUGUCAGAAGGUUUCCACACAAAGAUGUCCCAGUUCUCACGGAGGAACUGGACGAGCGCUUCUUCCUAUUUGCUGUCGAGUGUCGUUGAUAUAUGGGUCGGUGCAGCACUAGGAUCCGUCGGGUGAAUAUGAACUAGCUUCGUCUCACCAGUCUAUUGGAAUGCAGAAUCUAUGGCAGGUUUCUUGGCUUUGAGCACAUCACUCGGAUCCGCGUUCUUCUGAUAUUCUUGGAGCUCAACUGCUGCCAUCUGCUUAUCGGCGAUCUUGGAGCCUUUCUGGAAACACUCCUCAGCCUUUUGUCGAUUGCCUAUAACUGUGAUCACGCCUUUGGGGCCAGGCAUCUUCAGUUUGAGGUACACAUAACAUGGUCAAGCCAUAAAGCGUGCAUAGGCUAGCCUACCCAAAAUGGCAUGAUAGGCACUCUGGAUAUCCAUGACUUCAAAUGUCAACUUUUCCUUACGGUAAUGCUUUGAAUCACCGAAAACCACGUCGAGGGCGAUCUGUCCGAGUGACUCGCUUUCUUCCCAGGAAUAACAUCAUGAAAACUCAUAUUGCUCUCGCUAAGCUUGGACAUCGAAAUGCCCAUCCCCUUCAGAGUCUCAGCGUAGAGGAUGUUCAGAUCGCUGCCACCGCCCAUCAGUACCUUAGUCAGACAAGUGCCUCCAGCCACGGGGUCGACUACCAAAGCUUGCCUCCUAGGGGUGGCCACACGAGCAGGGUGGUCAGACUGAUCGAACGUAAUGGCUUUCUGAGACCAUCUCAGGUAGGUGGUCGUCGCCGCGGGAGCGACCAUGUUCACCUCCCUGUUUAUGACCUUCAAUCGACUCUUGCUUUCAACGUCAGCGAAUAUCAUCAGUGUGGAAUUGACUUUGGGAUAACCAUCUUCUUCCUCUUCAUCUUCACCUUGGUAUGACUCCUUCUCCUUUUCAGUGGGUUGUUUCUCUCUGAACUGCUGGAUUAGGAGUCGACACUGCCGGGUGGUAUGCUUCGGGUAAAUCAGAUUACCUUCUUCAUCUUUCUUCGUGUCGAUGUGGCAUGACAAAUCCAUCAUGUCAUUUCCUUCCUUAUCCUUCACCUUCUUAGGGGUCCAGGGCCCUUUAGGUUUUCCCUUAAACUUUCCUUGAUUCACUGCCCAAUCUCUCCGGGCGCUGCCGGCUCGGACUUGCGCUUCUGCUUCUGACUGGAGUUACCUCCACUGGUAUCUUGCCCGACUGGUUUGCUCUUCCUUCUACGGAGUCGAUCCUCUUUUGAUCCGUUAGCAUACCGGGUGGCUUUUUCCAUCAUUCGAGUCAGAGUCAUAUCUCUAGUCCGACCGAAUUUCAAGAUCAACUCUCUGUAUUUGACGCCUUCCUUGAAGGCGCACACGGCUUGAUGCUCUGAAACAUUCUCGACGGUGUGGUGCAGGGUGGACCAUCUCUGGAUGAACUCUCUCAAAGUCUCAUUUGGCUUCUACACGCAGUGCUGCAACUCAGGCAAUCCUCCAGGUCACUUGCAUGUGCCUUCGAAAGUUCUCACGAACACUCGGGAUAGCUCUUCCCAACUGUGAAUGGUGCCCGGAGCCAACUGAGUCAGCCAUGCUCGGGCUGACCCUUCCAACAUGAGUGGAAGAUGCUUCAUUGUUAUCUCAUCGUUACCGCCCCCGAUCUGCAUAGCCACUCGGUAAGCCUCAAGACAAGUUUCAGGCUUGGAUUCACCAGUGAACUUACUGACCCCGGAUGCCAGCCUGAAGUUGGGAGGUAUCACUGUUGCCCUGAUGGCUCUGCUAAAACACUCGGGACCAGAAACUUGCACUCGACUGCCACUUGGACGGUCUCUGCUAGGGUCUUCUCUGUGUGCUCUGUUCCAGUUGACCAGGCCUUGUAUGAGGAUAGACCUCGUGUUGAAGCCCGGUUCCCUUGGGUCGACCGAAUACCUGCGCUCACCACCGUGACGACGCCUAUCAUCAUUCUACGGAGGUACGUAUGACGCACUCCUUGGAGGGGGCGUGGGUCCUCGACGAUGAUUGUCACGGUCGAGUGGAUGAUCAUACUGCCCACGGCGUUCACGCCGCGGAGGCAAUCUUGGGCUGUGAGCCGACUGAACCGUGUCCGCUGCAACAGAUCUGCUAUGAAUCCUAUUCCGCGACUGAGAUAUUGCUGUAUUUUGCUCUCCAGCAACCCUGAGCAAGGCCCGGAUCUGCAUCAGCCCUCUGCCAGCUUCCGACUGGGAAGGUUGGAUGGACUCUGCUAUUCGGGCUCCAGCUGUGAGAUUCUGAAUCGGUGUGCGGUAUACCUUAGGUGGAGGCGGGAAAAGCUAUCGUCAAGUGGAUUCAUGGAUCCUCUCCUGGGCGCGCUCAUCGAGAACGCGCUGAAGGUUAUCCAGUCUAGUGCGCUCAGCCAAGUUGGCUAAGCACGCUUCCUCCAAGGCUCGAGCCUCGGGGGUUUCUCCGGCGAUGGGCGUGUGAAGUGCGCUGUCGGUGUCAAAACCGACGGAUCUCGGGUAGGGGGUCCCGAACUGUGCGUCUAGGCGGAUGGUAACAGGAGACAAGGGACACGAUGUUUUACCCAGGUUCGGGCCCUCUUGAUGGAGGUAAAACCUUACGUCCUGCUUGAUUGAUAUUGAUAUUGUGGAUGUUUACAAGAGUGGAUCUACCACGAGAUCAAGGAGGCUAAACCCUAGAAGCUAGCCUAUGGUAUGAUUGUAAUGGUUGUUGUUGUUGUCCUACGGACUAGAGCCAUCCGGUUUAUAUAGACACCGAAGAGGGCUAGGGUUACAUAGAGUCGGUUACAAUGGUAGGAGAUCUACAUAUCCGUAUCGCCAAGCUUGCCUUCCACGCCAAGGAAAGUCCCAUCCGGACACGGGACGAAGUCUUCAAUCUUGUAUCUUCAUAGUCUUGGAGUCCGGUCGAUGAUGAUAGUCCGGCCGAUGAUAGUUCGGUUGAUGAUGGUAGUCCGGCUAUCCGGACACCCCCUAAUCCAGGACUCCCUCAGUAUCCCCUGAACCAGGCUUCAAUGACGAUAAGUCCGGCGCGUAUAUUGCUUGGCAUUGCAAGGCGGGUUCCUCCUCCGAAUGAUAGAAGAUGGUGAACACCAGGAUAGUGUCCGGCUCUGCAAAAUAAAUUCCACAUUCCAUCGUAGAGAGAAUAAUAUAUACACAAGUUCAAUCUGCUGACGUUUUUCACGGCAUCACGUCACACCACUACCAAGCCAUUACUUGAAUCGUUUUUUACUCUACCACCUCAGCGCAUUUAGCGAAGCGGUUUCCUUGGCACGUCUUGUUGAAGCAGAGAUCGUGUUCCCCCUUAAUCCGGGAUUCUCAUCAAUACGAACAUGGGUAACCCAACCGCGCCAUUGAUGGUGACGCUUGGGGGAUAAGCGAGUUUUACCAGGCCGGUGGGGGACGCGUAGACUUCGCCCGCCCAUAUAAGGGAUAAGGAUUCACCUUUUCACCUACGCCUUCUUCCUCCUUUGCUUAUCCAUCUCCGUGCACUCGAGCUCCAGUGUCCAAGCCCGCACAUCUCGUCUCAACCUUCCCCAGUCAUGUCUGGACCGGGAGGCAAGUGGAUGACCUCCUCCAUUACGGAGGAGCACAUCGAAAGAUUGCGCAGCGCCGGCUACCUGUCCGGCGACAUCGCGCACCGGCUGCCCAACGAGGGGCAGCUCAUCCCCACCCCUAUGCCCCAUGAGAGGGUCGUUUUUCUUCCCCACUUCCUCCGCGGACUGGGCUUUCCACUUCACCCCUUUGUCCGGGGGCUCAUGUUCUACUACGGCCUGGAUUUCCAUGAUCUGGCGCCAAACUUCAUCCUCAACAUCUCGGCGUUUAUCGUCGUGUGCGAGGCCUUCCUCUGCAUCCAGCCCCACUUCGGCUUGUGGCUCAAGACCUUCAAUGUCAAGCCGAAGGUAGUGAAGGGCACUCAAGCGGAGUGCGGAGGUGCCAUGUUGGGCAAGAUGCCCAACGUCCUUUGGUUCGAAGGGGCCUUCGUGGAAUCCGUCAAGGGGUGGCAAUCGAGGUGGUUCUAUAACACCGAGCCGCGCGACCCUACGUGGGCGGCGGCCCCCAAGUUCAGAUCUGGUAUCCCCACGCAGCUCACCUCCUGGAAAGAGAAGGGCUUGCUGUGGGGUAGUUCGGAGGAGCUGACGGGACUCCAAGCCUGUAUCCAGAAGCUGGUGAAGAAGCUCAGGCUGGUUAACGUGGUCCAAGUCAUGCUUGUCCGCCGGAUUCUCCCAUGCCAAGAGCGGGCAUUCAAUCUGUGGGAGUUCAAUCCGGAACAGCACCAGGCGCUGAGCAGGCUCUUCGAUACAACGUACGAAGGCGCCUGGAGGGUGCUGUUCAAGGGCGCUGAAGCCCCCGCAUCCGCGACUGAAGAUCGCGGAUUUCGCUCGCAGCGCCAAGCCGACGAGGUAAGUGAUUCUACCCCUUUACGGGACACUUGCUUUUCAUAGUUUGACUCCAUGCGGGUUUUAAUUUCCCCUUUUCCUUUGACAGGACUGGAUGAGGAAGGCGGAGCAGAUUAUCUGCCCGGCUCCUAUGCCAGAAAUCCCAGUAGACGCCCAUCUAGCGAGGCUGCUGGUUCCGGCACCGCACGUGGUGCCGGAGAAGAAGGCCAAGAAGGAGGCCACGGGUGCUCGAAAGAGUUCCCGUUUUCAGGUGUCCGACGACUCCGGGGUGGACUCCUCCCCCGAAAAUGAGGAGGAGAAAGAGGACUCUCUCCCAGAGGAGGGAGAGAGGAAGAGGAAGGCUUCCCCAAUAGGGGAGGCCGAAGGGUCCAAGAGGGGAAGGACUAUUCCCCCGGACAGCUCCGCCAACAUCAACGUUGGCGAGGAAGAAUGGCCUUCAAGGGCCAGGCCUCCAUCGAGAUCGUAAGUAUCCGGAUUCCUGAGUGAUUUAUAAUUUCUUUUUCUGUGUCACAUAGUGUCAUUCUGAUGCCGCAUGUUGCUUGUAGUCCGGCCAAUGAUGAUCUCCCCGCUUCAUCGAGCGGGUCGUUGGCUCCGUAGGAUGUAGACUCCAUCCCGACCGCCUCCACCCCUCGCGACACCAAGGUCGCCGAGGUGGGAUCCCAAGAAGGGACCCAUCAGGGGGAGGCUCCGGAGGCGCCACAAGGCGGCCUCCCGGACUUUGCGCCGGACUCCAUAUCAGAACCCGCAGUGGUUCCGGAGUCCGGCCGGCGGCCCCUUCGCAAGAAGGCAAGACCGUGAACCUGCGGCUUCCGUCUAACUGGAGGCGCCAGACAAUUUGUUGGAGGCGCUCCAGAGCGCUUCCAUCGAGGAAGAACACCGCACUAUUAUGAGUGCGGUGAUUCAGAAGGUACAGCUCGCCAAGAGCGGGCUGACCGAAGCCUGCAGUAGCCUACUAUCAGGCUUUGAGGUAAGAAGUUAAAAAUAUGCAAUGUAAUACCACAUAGACAGUAGCCCCUGAUGCCCGGUUCGGUGUUCGAAAAGAAAAGCCGGACUGAGGAUCUGCCAAAAAAAAGAUAUACGCAGGGUUGCUAAAAAAUUAUGUCAAUAUGGGUUGCAGGCUGCGCUGCUGACCUCUGCCGCACUGACUGCGGAGGUCGGUGCUUUGUAGUAGGAGCUCGAGCGGUCCGAGAAAGAGCUCGGCCGCGCCAAGAAGCAGCUCCAGGACAAAGAAGGUGAGUAACACCACUUUGAACUUGUACCUUACAGAAAAGGAUUUAGGUUGCAACAAAAAAUAACCAAGAUAACAUGGGUACUGCAGGGGCCACGAACGAGGUGCCGACCCUGAAGGAGGCCGUGUCCGCGGCCGAACGCAAUGCGGCCGCGGAACGGGCAGAGCGAGAAAAGCAGGAGGCGCGGGUGGCGGUGGUUCGGCAAGAGCUCCAGGCUCUCAUGGAAAAGCAUGAGAGUUUGGUGCGUGACUCAAAGACUCGAGAGUCCGAGCUUGCCUCGGCUCUCGAAAGUGCCAAAACUGCCAAGGCCGAUGCCCAUAAGUCCCUUCAGGAGAUUGAGUUGGUGAGGAAGAUAGCGGCGGGUAAGGCAUUUUUCAUGCAAAGCAAGCAUGUGAAUGUAAAUUACGUGUUACUUACCCGGAUUCGGAGCUCUCCAAGGGCGUUUGCAGAUCUGCCUCGCAACGUGUCUGAUGCCGCCGCGUUCUACCGAGACGAGGAGUGGAGCUCAACGGAGAAGGUCUUCUGGUCUCAGUAUGCUGAGGCCGGCCAUCCGGUGCCCCCUAGCGACCAGCUAAAGCAGCUGGUCGAGCUCCACAAGGUGGCCGAGCAGGCCAUGAGGGGCCUCAUAGUCCGGCUAUGGCCUGGAGAGGCCAUGCCUGGGAGCUACUUCGGCCUCAUGCGACGGUUGGUGGAUGCGUGCCCCUGGGUGGAGGUUAUCAAGCGCUCCGCCUGUAUUGAAGGUGCUCGUCGGGCCCUUGCCCGCGCAAAGGUGCAUUGGGGCAAGCUGGAUGCGGAGAAGCUAAUCACUGACGCGCCACCAGCGGGCAAGGAAUAUCGUACGCCCGAGAUGUACUAUAAGACUAUCUUGAAGGGUGCCCGCAAGAUUGCGGAUGAGUGCCCCAGGGAUGUAAUUAUUGAGUAAAUUCGCAAUGUGUUAUCCUGUGCGCUGAAAACUUUGUUCAUAUGCGCUAAGCAACGCUUGUUAAUUUAAAAUAUUACCUUCUGUGCGGCCGUUUAUUAAAUCUGAGAGAUGGCAAGUCGUCGGCUUCAGCCCCCAUGCCACGAGUGCUGGGGUGUUCGGGAAAAACUUGAGCACUCUUGUUCCCAUUUUUGGGUCCAUCUAGGGAGGCGCUCAACAUAACGAACAAGGCAACUGGACUUAUAGUGCUUGAACACUCUCACUUAGCCAUAGAAUUCUAUAAUUUUAAAUUUCGGCGAAGCCCCUAGUAUUCGGAAGACCGAAUUUGGGGCGCUAUCCACGCCUUCGUCGUACAUUAUCCGGAACUUCUCUCGAAGCGGCGUAGGUAUUUAAGGACCCGAAAAGACCUCUCGAACAGCGACCAGUCUCUCGCCUUAUCAUGACAGUCAGUUUUAGCUUUCUUCACUGAGGCGUUAACUCGGCUCAACCGUGGCGCAAUCGCAGUGGUUCUCCCAGUGCUACCUUAGCCGAUAGAACGGAACGUAAGGUGCCAAACUUGGGAGCCGGGAAAACCCAACUAUUGACCCAAGACAUGAUUCGGAGCUGAUUCAUAUAAUGCUAUAAGUUCGGGGUGCCGCACUUGUGAAAGUGUUCGGACUUUAUCACACCAUAAUGCGGGGAACAUAAGCCCCUGGUGUAUUUGGCCGUACCAAAAUGUAUGGAUGCAACAUGUCGUAAAUGAACAUAUAUAUAUAAGGUAAUGCAAUUAUGGGCAAAAAGUGUUGCAUUUUAUUCGAGAAGAUAUGCUAUGAGUGCGGAAUGAUACAAAUAGUGUGGAAAGCAAGGGAUUGGACGAAUUAAAGGUGUCUCCCUCCAGGGGUAGGCCGCGGAAUGGUGUAUUUAAGAAAUUUAAUGCUCGUAAUGGAGACCACCUGAGUGUUCUUCGUACCCGUUGUCCCUCCCUGGCUGUUGCAUCAUGAGUUCGGCAGGUUCGCUGCCGGACAGAGUUCUGUAUAAAAAAGAGAGAAAUAAAAGAUAAAAAGAGCGACACACUUGGGAGCCCCUGGUGUGGUCGAACCGCACUCUGGGUCUGUUGUGGUUGUGCCUCUCCCCCUAUGCCCAUGGUAUCUCUAGGGCGUAAUUAUGUACGCAGAGAGUUUGUCUCACAAUUGUGCGAGGGCUGGGGUUGAGGCCGCAUUGCUACGCGUUCUCGGAACGUGCCAGGUGGUCUUGGUUGAUGUUGCUCCGGGCGCGUUUGGCCGUGUCCGGUCGUUUAACGGCCGGACUCGAAAAUUGCCUUAAAAGGCUGCUCUGUACUUCUGCCGCGAGAGCCGCUGUAUGUUCCUCCGUUCGGAGGGAGCGUUCCGUGUUUCCAUUGACCGUGAUGACUCCACGAGGGCCUGGCAUCUUGAGCUUAAGGUAUGCAUAAUGCGGCACCGCGUUGAAUUUGGCGAACGCGGUUCGUCCGAGCAGAGCGUGAUAGCCACUGCGGAACGGUACUAUGUCGAAGAUUAACUCCUCGCUUCAAAAAUUAUCCGGGGAUCCGAAGACCACUUCUAGUGUAACUGAGCCUGUACAACUGGCCUCGACACCUGGUAUGACGCCUUUGAAGGUUGUCUUUGUAGGUUUAAUCCUUGAAGGGUCUAUGCCCAUCUUGCGCACUGUAUCCUGAUAAAGCAGGUUCAGGCUACUGCCGCCGUCCAUCAGGACUCUCGUGAGGUGAAAUCCAUCGAUGAUUGGGUCUAAAACAAAUGCGGCGAAUCCGCCAUGGCGGAUACUGGUCGGAUGGUCUCUUCGAUCGAAAGUGAUCGGGCAUGAGGACCAUGGGUUGAAUUUUGGGGCGAUUGGCUCCAUCGCGUAUACGUCCCUUAGUGCACGCUUCCGCUCCCUCUUGGGUAUAUGCGUUGCAUAUAUCAUGUUUACCGUCCGAACUUGAGGGGGGAAUCCCUUUUGUCCUCCGUUGUUCGGCGGCCGGGUCUCUUCCUCCUCAUCGCUGUGUAGCCCCUUGUCAUUGUUUUCGGCGAUUAAUUUGCCUGCCUGCUUGAAUACCCAACAAUCUCUGUUGGUGUGGUUAGCUGGCUUUUCAGGGGUUCCAUGUAUUUGACAGGAGCGGUCGAGUAUUCGGUCCAAAUUGGACGGGCCCGGAGUGGUUCUUUUGAAUGGCUUCUUCUGUUGACCGGGCUUGGAGCCUCAGAAUCCGGCGUUGACUGCCGUAUCCUCAUUGCUAUCGCCGUUAAUGCGGCAUUUGUUUUUGUUUUGACGCGACCUGCCAUUGUGGUCCUUGGUAUCCGGACUGCCAGCGUUUUUGCUGACGUUGUUGCUGCGAGCUAGCCAGCUAUCCUCUCCUGCACAGAAGCGGGUCAUGAGUGAUGUGAGGGCUGCCAUGGAUUUCGGCUUUUCCUGUCCUAGGUGCCGGGCCAGCCACUCAUUGUAGAUGUUAUGUUUGAAGGCAGCGAGGGCCUCUGCAUCCGGACAGUCGACGAUUUGAUUUUUCUUUGUUAAGAACCGUGUCCAUAAUUGCCUGGCCGAUUCAUCUGGCUGCUGGAUUAUGUGGCUUAGGUCAUCUGCGUUCGGUGGUCGCACAUACGUGCCCUGGAAGUUGUCGAGGAAUGCGGCUUCCAGGUCUUCCCAGCAUCCAAUUGACUCUGUGGGCAGGCUGUUAAGCCAAUCCCGAGCUGGUCCUUUAAGCUUGAGUGGGAGAUAUUUGAUGGCGUGAAGAUCGUCGCCGCGGGCCAUAUGUAUAUGGAGGAGAUAAUCCUCAAUCCAAACCGCGGGGUCUGUUGUGCCAUCGUAGGAUUCAAUAUUAACGGGUUUAAACCCUUCAGGGAUUUGAUGAUCCAUUACUUCGUCAGUGAAGCAUAGUGGGUGCACGGCGCCUUUGUAUUGAGAAAUAUCACGACGUAGCUCGAGAGAGCGUUGUCUGCUGUGUUCGGCCCGGCCGGAGUAGUUGUAUCCGGCGCGACGGUAUUUGUCGUGGGUCUUGGGGCGCCCACGUGAUCCAUAGAUAGAUCGGGAUUGUCUUGCCUUGUCCUCCAAUAUAUCCCGCAAGUCCGGCGCGUUCCCCCGUGGCUUCAUGCUUUUUGAGCAAUGCCGGGGUACGGUUUUGGUGGAGGGCUUGCAUGCCUCUCUGUCGCGGCCAUGAGGUGGUCGGUCUGCCGUAUUGUGCACUGGUGAUGCAGGUUUGUACGCUUCCUCCUCUAGUCGGGGGACCAACUUGCGUUUUGGGUAACUUUUGGAGGGGUGUUCAAGUUCAUACUCUUCGGCCGCGAGGACCUCGGUCCAUCUGUCGGCCAGUAGGUCUUGAUCAGCUUGAAGCUGUUGCUGCUUUUUCUUUAGGCUGUUUGCCGUGGCCAUUAGCCUGCGUCUGAAACGCUCUUGUUCGACGGGAUCCUCAGGCACGACGAAUUCGUCGUCGUUGAGGCUUGCCUCGUCUCCGGAGGGAGGUAAGUAAUUAUCAUCCUCGACCUCUUCGUCUGCCGCCCUCUCGUGAGGGCUUGCUUCUGCCUCCUCCUGCGCUGGAUCGUGCUGGAGGCGGUUGUCUUCGGCACUUUCUGGGGUGUUAUUAUCUCCUGUGCCGGAAUCUCCAUUCUUGCUGUGGCGGGAUUUAGAGCGGCGCCGCUGACGUCGGCGCUUGGGCUGUUUCUUUAAGGAAUCGGCCUCCGUUGCUUCUUCGCCGUCCCCAUCUUUUGGGGUGUCCACCAUGUAUAUGUCGUAUGACGAGGUGGUCUUCCAGUGUCAUGUAGGCACUGGUUCUUGAUAGUCUCCGGCAUCGUCGUCCAUACUGUCGAUGUCUUCGGAGUCGUAGUCGAGUACGUCGGUUAGAUCGUCGACAGUGGCUACGAAGUGGGUGGUGGGUGGGCUCUGAAUUUCUUCAUCGUCCGUGUCCCAACCAUACUGGCCGUAGUUCGGCCAGGGCUCUCCGGAUAGCGAGAGAUGCUUCAGCGAAUUUAAGAUAUUGCCGAAGGGUGAGUGCUGAAAGAUGUCCGCAGCGGUGUAUUCCAUGAUCGGCGCCCAAUCGGAUUCGACUGGCAGGGGCGCAGGAGGUUCGGAGUCCAGCAGAGAGUCCGGCACCUUGGAGUCAUGAGCUUUAUGCGGGACAAGGUAACUGUUCGGCUCCAUCGCCGUAGAAGUUGCAGCUCCCGAGGCGGUGUCCAGCCAUCCGUCCUCGAUCUGAGCGAUCGGCUCCGGACUAUGGGUCGGAGCGGAUUCAUGUGCGGCCUCCAAGGUGCUGUCUGGCGGUAGAGUUAGGUUGUGCCCAUCGUGACAGCGCGGCACGCUCGGCUGUGGCUCAGAUUCAUCGAAGAUCAAGUCCCCGCGGAUAUCGGCCGUGAAGUUUAGGCUUCCAAACCUGACCUGACGGCCAGGGCCGUAGCUUUCGAUCUGCUCCAGAUGGCCAAGUGAGUUGGCCCGCAGUGCGAAGCCGCCGAAUACGAAGAUCUGUCCGAGGAGAAAAGUCUCACCCAGGACUGCGUCGUUGUCGAUUGAAGAGGCCAUCAAGCCUAUCGGUGACGACAUAGAGGAACUCUCAAUGAAAGAACCAAUGUCGGUGUCAAAACCGGCGGAUCUCGGGUAGGGGGUCCCGAACUGUGCGUCUAGGCGGAUGGUAACAGGAGACAAGGGACACGAUGUUUUACCCAGGUUCGGGCCCUCUUGAUGGAGGUAAAACCCUACAUCCUGCUUGAUUGAUAUUGAUAUUGUGGAUGUUUACAAGAGUGGAUCUACCACGAGAUCAAGGAGGCUAAACCCUAGAAGCUAGCCUAUGGGAUGAUUGUAAUGGUUGUUGUUGUUGUCCUACGGACUAGAGCCAUCCGGUUUAUAUAGACACCGGAGAGGGCUAGGGUUACAUAGAGUCGGUUACAAUGGUAGGAGAUCCACAUAUCCGUAUCGCCAAGCUUGCCUUCCACGCCAAGGAAAGUCCCAUCCGGACACGGGACGAAGUCUUCAAUCUUGUAUCUUCAUAGUCUUGGAGUCCGGUCGAUGAUGAUAGUCCGGCCGAUGAUAGUUCGGCUGAUGAUGGUAGUCCGGCUAUCCGGACACCCCCUAAUCCAGGACUCCCUCAUGCGCCCAUGUUGCAGCGACGAAGAUCCUCUCUCUGCUGCGAGGAGAGAGGUUCGGGACGAUACUCCUCGUGGACCCGUGAUGGACCACCACCAGGCUCUUCGCCGUCCUCGCGGCGAAAACCAGGUGGGCUACGCGGACCAUCGACCAUCAGGACUUCAGCCACAGGAUCGUUGCUAUUGAACUCGGACGCCGUCUCCGCGGAGCCAGUCGACAGAUCGAACAGCCGUGGAGAGUUUUGUCGGGCUCGAUUGCCGCGACUUGAUGGGUGGCCGAACGUUGAGCCACUGCAUGCCUCACCCACCACUAAAGCCGCGACCGACCGGAUCGCUUGCGGUGAUGAAUAGCGGGAAGGGGGGAUGCCACGGGCGCCGACUGAUACUGGGCCGACGGCUGUCGAAGAAGAACGCCAUGGACGCAUGCGCGAAAGUGCGUCGCCCCUCGGACGGGGAGCGCCUCAACAUCGAGCGGAGCUUCCUGGAGCCACGCCGAGUCGUCAGCGACGAAAACAAGCGCGCUGAGACGGAUCUCGCGGCCCUCAACCAUCUCGCCGCCGGAAACCAUGAUGAUGAUCGGAAAAUAAACUUGCAACUUCACCCAAAAAGUCACUAACACACCUACCCCACGGUGUGCGCCAACUGUCGUGGUUCUAAGUCUGACAGUAGAAAGAGGGGGUAGGUAUGGAGAGGCAAGAUCUUAGCUAUGGCGAAGAUGUACACACGAUGUUUACGAGUUCAGGCCCUUCUCAGAGGAAGUAAUAGCCCUACGUCUCGGUGCCCGGAGGCGGUCGACUGGAUUAUGUGUGUGUCGAAUUACAGAGGGUGCCAUCCCUUGUGCCAGAGGAGGGGGGUGGCUUAUAUAGAGUGCGCCAGGACCCCAGCCCCCCUCCAUUACAAGGGAACUAAUGUACAUAAAGUAAGGGCGUUACUGGUAACGCCAGCAUUUAGUACUCUUAAUGCUCAUGAAGACUAAGGAGUAAAUAUCUGGCCGUUGUGUGCUCUUCUGACUUCUGGUCUUCCUUGUGGUCAACUGACGACAGGUAAUGAUAGUCGAGUGGUGUGAGCGUCGAGUGGAUUGCACUCGACGUACGAGACUGGUGCUCUUCUGUUGACUCUUGGUCUUUCCAUCUUCCAAGGUAGUAACCUUGUGUAGGACGUAUAGGUCGAGCCUAUGACCCUACCCCGGGUCUGUAUCCUUGUCACCCACCUUGUGUCAUAUUGACCCAUUUGCACCGAAACAAAGGUACCUUCAAAUCACCUCCAUAGUUAAGUUCCCAUAUGUCCUCUAUGUAACCAUAAUAUGUUUCCUUUCCCGUGUUGGUUGUUGCAUCAAAGCAGACACCACUGUUUUGGUUGGUGCUCUUCUUAUCUUUGGCGAUCGUGUAAAAUGUAUUCCCAUUUAUCUGGUACCCUUUGAAAGUCAUUAUAUUCGAAGAUGGUAACUGGGACAGCGAGUAUAGGUCAUUUUGAAUAUCGCCAUCAUUCAUGGCACGGUUCUGCAACCAACCGGCGGAAGUCCUCGUUUGUUCACGUGUAAUCCAGUCGUCAGACUUCUUCAGGUGUUUGGAGUGUAGAAAAUUCUUGUGUUCCUCGAUAUACGGAGCCACCAAGGUGGAAUGCUGGAGAACUGUGUAGUGUGCUUCAGUGAGAGAAUGCCCGUCCAUACAAAUUAUUUGAUGCCCUCCUAGAAUGCCUUUUCCAUCCAGUCUUCCCUUAUGUUGCAAUUCAAGAACACCAAUCAACUUAAGGUCAGGAAUAAAGUCAAUACAAAACUCAAUGACCUCGUCAUUUUCAUGGCCCUUCGAGAUGCUUCCUUCUGGCCUAGCACGGUUAUGAACAUAUUUCUUCAAGACUCCCAUGAACCUCUCAAAGGGGAACAUAUUGUGUAGAAAUACAGGACCCAACCCGUUAAUCUCUUCGCAAAGGUGAACUAGGACGUGCGUCAUGAUGUUGAAGAAGGAUGGUGGGAACACCAACUCAAAACUGACAAGACAUUGCAACAAAUAAUUCUGUAACCUUGGUAUGAUUUCUGGAUCGAUUACCUUAUGUGAGAUUGCAUUGAGGAAUGCACAUAGCUUCACAAUGGCUAAUCGAACAUUUUCCGGUAGAAGCCCCCUCAAUGCAACCGGAAGGAGUUGCAUCAUAAUCACGUGGCAGUCAUGAGACUUUAGGUUUUGGAACUUUUUCUCUGCCAUAUUUAUUAUUCCCUUUAUAUUCGACGAGAAGCCAGACGGUACCUUCAAGCUGAGCAGGCAUUCGAAGAAGAUUUCCUUCUCUUCUUUGGUAAGAGCGUAGCUGGCCUGACCCUGAUGUAUGCCGUAUUUUCUGUGCAUAUGUUGCUGGUCCUCCCAUGCCUCUGGUUUAUCUUUUGUCUUCCCAUACACGCCCAAAAAGCCAAGCAGGGUCACGCAAAGAUUCUUCGUCACGUGCAUCACGUCGAUUGCGGAGCGGACUUCUAGGUCUUUCCAAUAUGGCAGGUCUCAAAAUAUAGAUUUCUUCUUCCACAUGGGUGCGAGUCCGUCAGCGUCCUUCGGAACAGGUUGUCCGCCAGGACACUUUCCAAAGAAUACCUUCAAAUCCUUGCCAUAUCAUGUACAUCACCACCAGUACGGUGGCGAGGCUUCGUCCGGUGAUCCGCCUCACCUUUGAAAUGCUUGCCUUUCUUUCUUACGGUAUGCCUUGUCGGAAGAUAUCGACAAUGUCCUAGGUACACAUUCUUCCUACAACUAUCCAAAUAUAUACUAUCGGUAUCAUCCAAACAGUUCGUGCAUCCGCGGUAUCCCUUGUUUGUCUGUCCUGAAAGGUUACUGAGAGCAGGGCAAUAAUUGAUGGUCAUGAACAGCAAUGCCUUUAGGUCAAAUUCUUCCUGUCCGUGCUCAUCCCACGCUCGUACACCUGUUCCAUUCCACAACUCUAAUAGUUCUUCAACUAAUGGCCUUAGGUACACAUCAAUGUCAUUGUCGGGUUUCUUAGGGCCUUGGAUGAGCACUGGCAUCAUAAUGAACUUCCGCUUCAUGCACAAGGAAGGAGGAAGGUUAUACAAACAUAGUCACAUGCCAGGUGCUAUGGUUGCUGCUCUGCUCCCCAAAAGGAUAAAUGCCAUCUGCGCUUAGACCAAACCAUAGGUUCCUUGGGUCACCUGCAAACUCCUCCCAGUACUUUCUCUCGAUAUUUCUCCACUGCGAACCGUCAGUGGGCACUCUCAACUUUCCAUCUUUCUUGUGGUCUUCUCCGUGCCACUGCAUCGCCAUCGCAUGCUGUUUGUUUUGGAACAAACGUUUCAACCGUGGUAUUAUAGGAGCAUACCACAUCACCAUGGCAGGAAUCUUCUUCCUGGGGCACUCGCCCUCGACAUCACCAGGGUCAUCGCGACUGAUCUUAUAACGCAAUGCACCGCAUACUGGGCAAGCGUUCAAAUCCGCGUACUCACCGCGGUAGAGGAUGCAAUCAUUAGGGCAUGCAUGUAUCUUGUGCACCUCUAACCCUAGAGGGCAGACAACCUUCUUUGCUUCAUACGUACUCUCGGGAAAUUCGUUGUCCUUUGGAAGCAUAUUCUUUAUCAUUACCAGCAACUUUCCAAAUCCCUUGUCAGAUACACCAUUCUCUGCCUUCCAUUGCAGCAAUUCCAGUGUGGUGCCCAACUUUUUUUUGUCAGCUUCGCAAGUCGGGUACAACAAUUUCUUGUGAUCCUCAAACAUGCGAUGCAACUUCUUCUUCUCCAAAUCACUUGCGCAGUUUCUCUUUGUAUCGGCAAUGGCUCGACCUAGAUGAUCAGCGGGCUCAUUUGAUGCCUCUUCUUCAGCUUCUUCCCGCAUUGCCGGCUCAACUUCUUCCUCCAUUGUUGUAUCAUCGUAUUCAGGGAACCCAUGGCCAGGAUAGCCGUCGUCGUCCUCUUCUUCUUCAUUGUCUUCCAUCAUAACCCCUAUUUCUCCAUGCUUGGUCCAAACAUUAUAGUGGGGCAUGAAACCGGACUCAAAUAGGUGGACGUGAAUGGUUCUUGACGUAGAGUAAUUCUGACCAUUCUUACAGCCAGCACAUGGACAAGGCAUAAAACCAUCCGCCUGCUUGUUUGCCUCAGCGGCAAGCAAAAACGUAUGCACGCCAUUAAUGAACUCGGGAGAGCAGCGGUCAUCAUACAUCCAUUGUCAGCUCAUCUUCAUUACACAACACCGAAUAGACCAAAUUAAUACAAGUUCAUACAUAAAGUUCAUAUACAACACUUAAUUAAAUGCAACAUACAAAUAACUCUCUAGCUAAAGAAUUUAAAUUCAACAACAAAUGCGAUCAAGAUCGCAACUAAGGUAACAAUUGAUCCAACAGCAUAAUGAUACCAAGCCACACUAUCAAUGGCAUAUUUUGUAAUCUUUCUAAUCUUCAACCUCAUUUUCUCCAUUUUGAUCUUGUGAUCAUCGACGACAUCGACAACAAGCAACUCCAAUUCCAUCUUCUCCCCCUCAAUUCUUUUCAAAUUUUCUUUCAAAUACUCGUUUUCUCUUUCAACUAAAUUUAACCUCUUGACAAUAGGGCCGGUUGGAAUUUCCGGUUCACAUACCUCCUAGAUAAAAAUAUCUAUGUCAACUUGAUGGGCAUAAUUUGUCAUAAACACGAAAUGCAACAACUAGUUUUAAAAGAGAAUAUACCACAUCCGAAUCAUAACAAGGACGAGGGCCGACGGGGACGGAUAUCAAAACCAUGGCACAAUCUUUACCUAAUAAUAAAGCAAAUUGGGUUUCUUUCGUCCGUCAUGGAAUUUUUCAGAAAAGUCCCUCUAUUUGAGAGAAUUCAACCCGCAGUCCUGUUUUAUGUUAAAACGAAUCAUUAUUUUUGUAUUUUACACAAAAGUCCCUGUCUUUGCUUGAAAUCAACCCGCCGUCCGGAUUAUAGGUCACACCUGAACCGUUAGUUUACAUUUUUCGAAACCCCCCUGAUGUUUUAGGUAAUUAAUCCGCGGAUCAUAUUUAAGUCAAACAAAUGCUUUUAAAAAUCAUCCAUAUCUUUUAAACCGUAACUCUGAUUUGAACAUGUUAUAUAUAAAACUUGAUUAGAAAAAUAUGUACAAUAUGAAUAUGAGAUUAUUUUUACCUAUUAAGUAUUUUUAAAUAUUAUUUUGGAAUAUAAUUUGAGUCAAACCAAAUGAUUUUCUAAAUUAUCUGUAUCUUUUAAACCGUAACUUCGAUUUUAACAUAUUAUAUAUGAAAUUAAAUGUGUGGAAUCUAAAUAUGAUGAUAAUCUUACCUGUUAAAUACUUUUAAAAUAUUGUUACGGAAGCAAACUUAUAAUUUAUAGCACAAGAUCCGGGUUUUUUUGAUACCGGCGGCGAUCCGGAUUGCAAAUAAACACCUCACUAUAACCAUAUACGGAAAAUAAAACAUCGAUAACUACACAUGCAUACCUCUGAAAAAUGUCGCAGGGGAAAACAACAGAUUUCUCAUUGCGAGAGUGAGAGAAAGCGAGCAAGAAAGAGAGAGAGAGAGAGAGAGAGAGAGAGAGAGAGAGAGAGAGAGAGAGAGAGGGGAGAGGAAUGAGAGAGGGAGAGAGAGACGCCUUAGGAUUAACCAUAUUCAACACACAUUUUUUGUUAUUUUGUGUGAACACCGAGGCCAUCGCCGGCGAGGGUGGGAAGGAGGAUAAGCGGCAACACAAAUAUGAUGCCUCACAAAAAUAAAUGAGAUGGACCUAUUGUGGUCUUGAGUAAUGGUUGUUGAUUUAAAAGCGCGUGUUAUGUUUUCUCUCCCGUUGCAACGCACGGACUCUUUUGCUAGUGUGUAACAAACAACGUAUGAGUAAGAUAAUUAUACGAGUAACUAUAUAUCCAAAUCACACAAACAUCAAUUUGGUAAUGUAAAACAUUCCUGAACAAGAGCCUCAGCACAAGGUGGUGCCAGCGACGGGACGGUGCGGGCGAUCGACGGUGGUUACGACGGAGAUUUUGAAGGCACUAAGUAAACCACACCUACAUAUGCAAACUAAGUGUUAUUUUUGACCUCAAAUUGCAUAUAAAUCAAAUACUAGCACAUAUAAUUCCUCCCAAAUUAAUCACUAUAAAAAGCAUUGCAAGAGCUAAUCUAGCAAUGAGAGUUGAAAGGACAAAGUUGCUAACCUUUGUGAUCAUUUGAAUUGAUGGGGGCCUUCAAAUCAUGAGAAAUUUUGGGCAAAAUUUGUGAGGAGCUCGAGGAAGAGAGGGGAAGAACAGAGGAAGUGAGGGGAAAGGGGAAGAACAGAGCGAGCUCAGGUGGACGAAGGGUUUAUGUACGUCGACCUUUAGUACGGUUCGUGCCACGAACCAGUACUAAAGGUGCUGGAGGGGCCCCAGACUGACAACAUCCUACCACCACUCUCUUUAGUACCGGUUCGUGGCACGAACCGGUGCUAAAGGUUCACCACGAACCGGUACUAAUGAGAGCGGCCGGCUAGCCAUUGGAACCGGCACUAAUGGACAUAUUAGUGCCGGCUCAAAAUCAAACCAGCACUAAUGUGUCUCAGAUUUGCCCCUUUUUCAACUAGUGUAAGUUCACGACCUACUACGACAUGUUCAAAGACAAACUUCAAAGCCAUCAAACUACCUUAGCUCCAAAGUGAGCCAUCAAGUGGGUUAACUUCUCUUCCUGCUCUUGAGACUUCUUGCACAACAGCUCAAGUUCCUUGUCGCGUGCAGCUUCAGAUUCUUUCGCCUUCAUCUUGAUUGCCUCCAAUUCUUCUUGCAUCACUUCAGCUUGAAGCUCGGACCUCUCCAGCUUCUCCUCAAGAUCUUGAACAUGAGCAGCCACUUCAGCAGUUGCUUUGCCGGAGUUGUUCCUAGAUGACUGGAGCCCAACAUUCCCGAGGAAUGUUCUUUGCUUGACUUCGGUCUUGAGCACUUCUUCAACAAUUUCAACAGCAGACUUUGGCUCUUCACCUUCUGGUACCGGCACGUCCUUCAUUUUUUCCAUCUCAAGGUAGCAUAUGGAGAAAAAUGAUAGGCAUUAGUGGGAGAUCUAUUUCACAUUUUGCAAACCAAACCAAGCAAGAGAAACCAAACCAACACACAAAUGGAUUAUUUGAAGUAACCAAACCAGCACACAAAUGGAUUAUUUGAAGUAACCAAACAAGCACACAAAAUCUAUACAAGAAGAUGAUGAAUAGUGACGUGGAGACAUGCAAUUGGAACAAUGUGAUCGCUUCAUUAAGCCUAGAAUGGUGGUUCUACAUAAGAUGGCUUCCCGAGUGAGCCGAUCAUCAAACUAACAUUCAGAUCAAAUUUCAUCAUAUCAUAAAAAAUGCAACAAAUAGCUACAACAAGUUCUGAUAUUUUUGUUGAACUAUCAAACAACAUCAAAUCAUCAAAGCAUGGAACAUAGCGUGUGUUCUUGACUGGCUCCGAAUCAAACAACAUCAAAUCAUCAAAGCGUCAAACAACAUCAAAGCUGGUUGUGAAUCAAAUAGGGCUGAGGUUUCUAUGUUGGGGAACGUAGUAGAAAUUCAAAAUUUUCCUACGAGUCACCAAGAUCUAUCUAUGGAGAGACUAGCAACGAGGGGAAGGGGAGUGCAUCUACAUACCCUUGUAGAUUGCUAAGCGGAAGCGUUCAAGAGAACAGGGUUGAAGGAGUCGUACUCGUCGUGAUCCAAAUCACCGGAGAUCCUAGUGCCGAACGGAUGGCACCUCCGCGUUCAACACACGUACAGCACGGUGACGUCUCCCAUGCCUUGAUCCAGCAAGGAGAGAGGGAGAGGUUGAGGAAGACUCCAUCCAGCAGCAGCACGACGGCGUGGUGGUGGUGGUGGUGGAGGAGCGUGGCAAUCCUGCAGGGCUUCGCCAAGCACCGCGGGAGAGGAGGAGGACUUGGGAGAGGGGGAGGGCUGCGCCAGAACUUCAUGUCAAGCUCCCAUGCGCCUCCCCACUAUAUAUAGGGGUGGAGGGGCUGGUUUCUUGCCCUCCAAGUCCAUUGGGGCGUUGGCAAAGGUGGGAGGAAAGAAAUCCCAUCAUUUCCUUCCCCACCGAUUGUUAUCCCCCGUUUUUAGGGAUCUUGAUCUUAUCCCUUCGGGAUAUGAUCUCAUUCCUUCUAAGGGGGGAACUUGGUGCGCCUUGACCAGGGGUGUGGGGCCUUGACCCCACUACCCACGUUCAUGUGGAUCCCCCCAUGCAGGUGGGCCCCACUCUGUAACCUUCUAGAACCUUCCCGGUACAAUACCGAAAAAUCCCGAACAUUUUUCGGUGGCCAAAAUUGGACUUCCCAUAUAUAAAUCUUUACCUCCGGACCAUUCCGGAACUCCUCAUGAUGUCCGGGAUCUCAUCCGGGACUCCGAACAACAUUCGGUAACCACAUACAAACUUCCUUUAUAACCCUAGCGUCAUCGAACCUUAAGUGUGUAGACCCUACGGGUUCGGGAGACACGUAGACAUGACCGAGACAACUUUCCGGCCAAUAACCAACAGCGGGAUCUGGAUACCUAUGUUGGCUCCCACAUGUUCCACGAUGAUCUCAUCGGAUGAACCACGAUGUCGAGGAUUCAAUCAAUCCCGUAUUCAAUUCCCUUUGUCCAGCGGUAUUAUGCUUGCCCGAGAUUCGAUCGUCGGUAUGCCGAUACCUUGUUCAAUCUCGUUACCGGCAAGUCUCUUUACUCGUUCCAUAACACAUCAUCCCGUGAUCAACCCCUUGGUCACAUUGUGCACAUUAUGAUGAUGUCCUACCGAGUGGGCCCAGAGAUACCUCUCCGUUUACACGGAGUGACAAAUCCCAGUCUCGAUUCGUGCCAACCCAACAGACACUUUCAGAGAUACCUGUAGUGCACCUUUAUAGCCAGCCAGUUGCGUUGUGACGUUUGGUACACCCAAAGCAUUCCUAUGGUAUCCGGGAGUUGCACAAUCUCAUGGUCUAAGGAAAAGAUACUUGACAUUAGAAAAGCUUUAGCAUACGAACUACGCGAUCUUUGUGCUAGGCUUAGGAUUGGGUCUUGUCCAUCACAUCAUUCUGCUAAUGAUGUGAUCCCGUUAUCAACGACAUCCAAUGUCCAUGGUCAGGAAACUGUAACCAUCUAUUGAUCAACGAGCUAGUCAACUAGAGGCUUACUAGGGACAUGGUGUUGUCUAUGUACCCACACAUGUAUCUGAGUUUCCUAUCAAUACAAAUAUAGCAUGGAUAAUAAACGAUUAUCAUGAACAAGGAAAUAUAAUAAUAACUAAUUUAUUAUUGCCUCUAUGGCAUAUUUCCAACAGUCUCCCACUUGCACUAGAGUCAGUAAUCUAGUUCACAUCACCAUGUGAUUAACACUCAUAGGUCACAUCACCAUGUGAUUAAGACUCAAUGAGUUCUGGGGUUUGAUCAUGUUUAGCUUGUGAGAGAGGUUUUAGUCAACGGGUCUGCAACAUUCAGAUCCGUAUGUACCUUGCAAAUCUCUAGGUCAUAUUGUAAAUACUGCUUCCACGCUCCACUUGGAGCUAUUCCAAAUGGUCGCUCCACUAUACGUAUCCGGUUUGCUACUCAGAGCCAUUCGGAUAGGUGUUAAAGCUUGCAUCGACGUAACCCUUUACGCCGAACUCUUUAUCACCUCCAUAAUCGAGAAACAUGUCCUUAUUACUCCAAGGACAAUUUUGACUGCUAUCUGGUGAUCCACUCCUUGAUCACCUUUGUACCCUCUUGCCAGAUAUGUAGCAAGGCACUCAUCAGGUGUGGUACUUAGCAUAGCAUACUGCAGAGCCUACGUCUAAAGCAUAGGGGACGACCUUCGUCCUUUCUCUCUUUUCUGCCGUGGUCGAGCUUUAAGUCUUAACUUCAUACCUUACAGUUCAGGCAAGAACACCUUCUUUGACUGAUCCAUCUUGAACACCUUCAAGAUCAUGUCAAGGUAUGUGCUCAUUUGAAAGUACUAUUAAGCAUUUUGAUAUACCUUAUAGAUCUUUAUGCUUAUUGUUCAAGUAGCCUAAUCCAUGUUUUCCAUUGAAAAACACCUUUCAAAUAACCCUAUAUGCUUUCCAGAAAUUCUACAUCAUUUCUGAUCAACAAUAUGUCAACAACAUAUACUCAUCAGAAAUUCUAUAGUGCUCCCACUCACUUCUUUGGAAAUACAAGUUUCUCAUGAACUUUGUAUAAACCCAAAAUCUUUGAUCAUCUCAUCAAAGCGCACAUUCCAACUCCGAGAUGCUUACUCCAGUCCUUAGAAGGAUCGCUAGAGCCAGCAUACCUUUUAGCAUCCUUAGGAUCGACAAAAACUUUCUGAUUGUAUCACAUGCAACCUUUCCAUACGAAGACUGGUAAGGAAACUUGUUUUGACAUCCAUCUGCCAGAUUUCAUAAAUGCAGCUAAUGCUAACAUGAUUCCGACGGACUUAAGCAUCGCUACGGAUGAGAAAAUCUCAUCGUAGUCAACUCCUUGAACUUGUGAAAAACUCUUCACCACAAGUCGAGCUUCAUAGACGGUGACAUUGCCGUCCACGUCCGUCUUCUUCUUAAAGAUCCAUUUAUCUCAAUGGCUUGCCGAUCAUCGGGCAAGUCCACCAAAGUCCAUGCUUUGUUCUGAUACAUGGAUCCUAUCUCGGAUUUCAUGGCUUCUAACCAUUUGUUGGAAUAUGGGCCCACCAUUGCUUCUCCAUAGCUCGUAGGUUCAUGGUUGUCUAGCAACAUGACCUUCAAGACAGGAUCACCGUACCAUUCCAAAUUAGUACGCGUCCUUGUCGUCCUACGAGGUUCGGUAGUGACUUGAUCCGAAGCUUCAUGAUCACUAUCAUAAGCUUCCACUUCAAUUCAUGUAGGUGCCACAUGAACAACUUCCUGUGCCUUGCUACACACUGGUUGAAGUGAUGGUUCAAUAACCUCAUCAAGUCUCCACCAUCCUCCCACUCAAUUAUUUCGAGAGAAACUUUUCCUCGAGAAAGGACCCGUUUCUAGAAACAAUCACUUUUGCUUCCGGAUCUGAAUUAGGAGGUAUACCCAACCAUUUUGGGUAUCCUAUGAAGAUGCAUUUAUCCGUUUUGGGUUCGAGCUUAUCACGAUGAAACUUUUUCACAUAAGCGUCGCAGCCCCAAACUUUCAAGAAACGACAGCUUAGGUUUCUCUAAACCAUAGUUCUCACGGUGUCAUCUCAACGGAAUUACGUGGUGCCCUAUUAAAGUGAGUGUGGUUGUCUCCAAUGCCUAACCCAUGAACGAUAGUGGUAAUUUGAUAAGAGACACCAUGGUAUGCACCAUAUCCAAUAGGGUGCAACUAUGAUGUUCGGACACACCAUCACACUAUGGUGUUCCAGGCGGUAUUAAUCGUGAAACAAUUUCCACAAUGUCUUAAUUGCGUGCCAAAGCUCGUAACUCAGAUACUCAUCUCUAUGAUCAUAUCAUAGACAUUUUAUCCUCUUAUCACGAUGAUCUUCAACUUCACUCUGAAAUUACUUGAACCAUUCAAUAAUUCAGACUUGUGUUUCAUCAAGUAAAUAUACUCAGUAUCUACUCAAAUCAUCCGUGAAGUAAGAACAUAAUGAUAUCCACUGCGUGACUCGGCACUCAUUGGACUGCACACAUCAAAAUGUAUUACUUCCAACAAGUUCCUUUCUUGUUCCAUUUUACUGAAAACGAGGCUUUCAGUCAUCUUGCCCAUGUGGUAAGAUUUGCAUAUCUCAAGUGAUUCAAAAUCAAAUGAGUCCAAAAGAUCCAUCUGCAUGGAGUUUCUUCAUGAGUAUACACCAGUAGACAUGGUUCGCAUGUCUCAAACUUCUCAAAAACGAGUGAGUCCAAAGAUCCAUCAACAUGGAGCUUCUUCAUGCGUUUUAUACCAAUAUGACUUACAUGGCAGUGCCACAAGUAAGUGGUACUAUCAUUACUAUCUUAUAUCUUUUGGCAUGAAAAUGUGUAUCACUACGAUCGAGAUUCAAUAAACCAUUCCUUUAGGUGCAAGACCAUUAAAGGUAUUGUUCAAAUAAAUAGAGUAACCAUUAUUCUCCUUAAAUGAAUAACCGUAUUGCGAUGGACAUAAUCCAAUCAUGUCUAUGCUCAAUGCAAACACCAAAAGGCAAUUAUUCAGGUUUAAUACUAAUCUUGAUGGUAGAGGGAGCGUGCGAUGUUUGAUCACAUCAAACUUGGAAACACUUCCAACACAUAUCGUCAGCUCACCUUUAGCUAGUCUCCGUUUAUUCCGUAGCUCUUUUAUUUCGAGUUACUAACACUUAGCAACUGAACCGGUAUCUUAAUACCCUGGUGCUACUAGGAGUACUAGUAAAGUACACAUUAACAUAAUGUGUAUCGAAUAUACUUCUAUCGACCUUGCCAACCUUCUUAUCUACCAAGUAUCUAGGGUAAUUCUGCUCCACUGGCUGUUCCCCUUAUUACAUAAGCACUUAGUCUCGGGUUUGGGUUCAACCUUGGGUUUCUUCAUUAGAGCAGCAGCUGAUUUGUUGUUUCAUGAAGUAUCCCUUCUUGCCCUUGCCCUUCUUGAAACUAGUGGUUUCACCAACCAUCAACAAUUGAUGCUCCUUCUUGAUUCCUACUUUCGCGGUGUCAAACAUCACGAAUAUCUCAAGGAUCAUCAUAUCUAUCCCUGAUUUGUUAUAGUUCAUCACGAAGCUCUAGUAGCUUGGUGGCAAUGACUUUGGAGAAACAUCACUAUCUCAUCUGGAAGAUCAACUCCCACUCGAUUAAAGUCAUUGUUGUACUCAGACAAUCUGAGCACAAGCUCAACGAUUGAGCUUUUCUCCCUUAGAUUGCAGGCUAAGAAAAUCGUCGGAGGUCUCAUACCUCUUGAUGUGGGCACGAGCCUGAAAUCCCAAUUUCAGCCCUCGAAACAUCUCAUAUGUUCCACGACGUUUCGAAAACGUCUUUGGUGCCUCUACUCUAAACCAUUUAACUGAACUAUCACAUAGUUAUCAAAACGUGUAUGUCAGAUGUUCGCAACAUCCACAGACUAUGUUCGAGGUCCAGCACACCGAGCGAUGCAUUAAGGACAUAAGCCUUCUACGAAGCAACGAGGACAAUCCUCAGUUCACGGACCCGUCCGCAUAAUUGCUACUAUCAACUUUCAACUAAAUUUUCUCUAGGAACAUAUCUAAAAUAGUAGAACUAUAGUGCGAGCUACGACAUAAUUUGCAAGAAUCUUUUGACUAUGUUCAGGAUAAUUAAGUUCAUCUCAUGAACUCCCACUUAGAUAGACAUACCUCCAGUCAUCUAAGUGAUUACAUGAUCCGAGUCAACUAGGCCGUGUCCGAUCAUCACGUGAGACGGACUAGUCAUCAUCGGUGAACAUCUUCAUGUUGAUCGUAUCUACUAUACGACUCAUGCUCGACCUUUCGGUCUCUUGUAUUCCGAGGCCAUGUCUGUACAUGCUAGGCUCAUCAAGUUAACCUAAGUGUUUCGCGUGUGUAAAUCUGGCUUACACCCGUUGUAUGUGAACGUAAGAAUCUAUCACACCCGAUCAUCACGUGGUGCUUCGAAACGACGAACUUUCGCAACGGUGCACAGUUAGGGGGAACACUUUCUUGAAAUUUUAAUGAGGAAUCAUCUUAUUUACUACCAUCGUUCUAAGCAAAUUAAGAUGUAUAAAUAUGAUAAACAUCACAUGCAAUCAAAUAGUGACAUGAUAUGGCCAAUAUCAUAUUGCUCCUUUUGAUCUCCAUCUUCGGGGCUCCAUGAUCAUCAUCGUCACCGGCAUGACACCAUGAGCUCCAUCAUCAUGAUCUCCAUCAUCGUGUCUCCAUGAAGUUGUCUCGCCAACUUAUUACUUCUACUACUAUGGCUACCAGUUAGCAAUAAAGUAAAGUAAUUACAUGGCGUUGUUCAAUGACAUGCAGGUCAUACAAUAAAUAAAGACAACUCCUAUGGCUCCUGCCGAUUGUCAUACUCAUCGACAUGCAAGUUGUGAUUCCUAUUACAAGAACAUGAUCAAUCUCAUACAUCACAUAUCAUUCAUCACAUUCUUCUUGGCCAUAUCACAUCACAUAGCAUACCCUGCAAAAACAAGUUAGACGUCCUCUAAUUGUUGUUUGCAUGUUUUACGUGGCUGCUAUGGGUUACUAGCAAGAAAGUUUCUUACCUACGCAAAACCACAACGUGAUAUGUCAAUUGCUAUUUACCCUUCAUAAAGACCCUUUACAUCGAAUCCGAUCCGACUAAAGUGGGAGAGACUGGCACCCGCUAGCCACCUUAUGCAACAAGUGUACGUGUACGUGUAAGGUUGGUCCGGGCCGCUUCAUCCCACAAUACCGUCGAUACAAGAUUGGACUAGUAAUGGUAAGCAUAUUGAACAAAAUCAACGCCCACAACUACUUUGUGUUCUACUCGAGCAAAGAAUCUACGCAAUAGACCUAGCUCAUGAUGCCACUAUGGGGGAACGUAGCAGAAAUUCAAAAUUUUCCUACGAGUCACCAAGAUCUAUCUAUGGAGAGACUAGCAACGAGGGGAAGGAGAGUGCAUCUACAUACCCUUGUAGAUCGCUAAGCGGAAGCAUUCAAGAGAACGGGGUUGAAGGAGUUGUACUCGUCGUGAUCCAAAUCACCGGAGAUCCUAGUGCCGAACGGACGGCACCUCCGUCGUCUCCCAUGCCUUGAUCCAGCAAGGAGAAAGGGAGAGGUUGAGGAAGACUCCAUCCAGCAGCAGCACGACGGUGUGGUGGUGGUGGAGGAGCGUGGCAAUCCUGCAGGGCUUCGCCAAGCACUGCGGGAGAGGAGGAGGACUUGGGAGAGGGGGAGGGCCGCGCCAGAACUUUGUGUCAAGCUCCCAUGCGCCUCCCCACUAUAUAUAGGGGUGGAGGGGCUGGUUUCUUGCCCUCCAAGUCCAUUGGGGCGUUGGCAAAGGUGGGAGGAAAGAAAUCCCAUCAUUUCCUUCCCCACCGAUUGUUAUCCCCCCUUUUUAGGGAUCUUUAUCUUAUCCCUUCAGGAUAUGAUCUCAUUCCUUCUAAGGGGGGAUCUUGGUGCGCCUUGACCCGGGGUGUGGGGCCUUGCCCACACUACCCACGUUCAUGUGUAUCCCCCCAUGCAGGUGGGCCCCACUCCGGAACCUUCUAGAACCUUCCCGGUACAAUACCGAAAAAUCCCGAACAUUUUUCGGUGGCCAAAAUUGGACUUCCCAUAUAUAAAUCUUUACCUCCGGACCACUCCGGAACUCCUCGUGAUGUCCGGGAUCUCAUCCGGGACUCCGAACAACAUUCGGUAACCACAUACAAACUUCCUUUAUAACCCUAGCGUUAUCGAACCUUAAGUGUGUAGACCCUACGGGUUCAGGAGACACGUAGACAUGACCGAGACAACUCUCCGGCCAAUAACCAACAGCGGGAUCGGGAUACCCAUGUUGGCUCCCACAUGUUCCACGAUGAUCUCAUCAGAUGAACCACGAUGUCGAGGAUUCAAUCAAUCCCGUAUUCAAUUCCCUUUGUCCAGCGGUAUUAUACUUGCCCGAGAUUCGAUCAUCGGUAUGGUGAUACCUUGUUCAAUCUCGUUACCGGCAAGUCUCUUUACUCGUUCCAUAACACAUCAUCCCGUGAUCAACCCCUUGGUCACAUUGUGCACAUUAUGAUGAUGUCCUACCGAGUGGGCCCAGAGAUACCUCUCCGUUUACACGAAGUGACAAAUCCCAGUCUCGAUUCAUGCCAACCCAACAGACACUUUCGGAGAUACCUGUAGUGCACCUUUAUAGCCACCAAGUUACGUUGUGACGUUUGGUACACCCAAAGCAUUCCUAAGGUAUCUGGGAGUUGCACAAUCUCAUGGUCUAAGGAAAAGAUACUUGACAUUAGAAAUGCUUUAGCAUACAAACAACAUGAUCUUUGUGCUAGGCUUAGGAUUGGGUCUUGUCCAUCACAUCAUUCUGCUAAUGAUGUGAUCCCGUUAUCAACGACAUCCAAUGUCCAUGGUCAGGAAACUGUAACCAUCUAUUGAUCAACGAGCUAGUCAACUAGAGGCUUACUAGGGACAUGGUGUUGUCUAUGUACCCACACAUGUAUCUGAGUUUCCUAUCAAUACAAUUAUAGCAUGGAUAAUAAACGAUUAUCAUGAACAAGGAAAUAUAAUAAUAACUAAUUUAUUAUUGCCUCUAGGGCAUAUUUCCAACAUUCUAGACAAAAGUUUGAACUGGCUGGACAAAGCAUGGAGUGACUUACUAUAGCAGUCUUGACUGGCUCCGAAAACCCAUGCUUCUUGCUGUUGUGGGUGGCCUUAAACAAGUCAAUCGCAGACAGCUCCUCACCCUUACGCUCUUCUUUUUGAAAUGUUUUUCAACAAAAAUCAAAAUGUUAUUCAACAAGAAUCAGAAAUGUUAUUGAACGAGUAUCAAACGGUAAGGUCUCUAGAGAAAAGUUCUCACAGUGGCAAAAAUGUGUGCUGUGUAGUGCCUGGAACCAGUUCUCUGAUUGUACACGACUUUUUCUCGAUUCAUCUUGUUCGACACAUAGGUUUCCUACAAAAAAGCAUACUGUCAGCAUGAUCUAGCACUAGCAUAUCAUGUGCAGAACAUAAAGCAGCAAACAAAGCAGAGGCAAACCUUGUGUCUUGGGAUAGACCACAUCUCCACCAGAGCUUGCCAUUCACCGUCCGUCAGAUCUGGCACCGGAGACUUGAUACUGACUUUGUUUGCGGCUACGGUAUCAAAAUACUUCUUCUUGAUCUGAUAGCCUCUGUUCUUUGAAUUUUUCUGCAGAAUAUCUUUGCACAUGGUCUUGAUGGUCUCUGAGUCCGUGUUCAUCUCAAAAUUUGCCUACCAAGAUAGCAAACAAGGUAGGAACAAUAUUAGUGAUCAUGCAUAGGUGUAACAGAAAAUAGAUAGCACAUUAACUACGAAACAAGUAGCUUACAUCAACUUUCCCAAUGUAGUUCUCCAAUAGACUAGCAUUUUUUUAUAGCUUGAAGUGAGGAAGAACCGUCAGAUGGCUUCUUGCAACAUGUCCACACUCAGAAGCAAGCUUUGCUGCCUGCAGAGGCUUCUCUGGACGCUUCAUCCCUUCGGCAAUUUGGAUAGGCACCUUGCUACAAAGCGACUUGGUGAUUCUCUCCAGCCCUUUGCCCUUUCUAAGUCUAGUCUUGGUAGUCAUUGCAUCUGAAAAUGAAAUUGAACUCAUAAAUUAGAAUAGAAAUCGACAGAUGCAGGAAUUGACAAAAGCAUACAUGAUCAUUCCAUUUGGAAAAUGCACCAGUAAAAGAGAGCAUUGCAAAGGUCAACUUGCCUGGUUGAAGCACAAGUUGUUGUUCUUCUUCAUUGAUGACAACAUUCCUAUCAAUAGAAGGUGCAACAGGGAUGAGGUCUGUGUGUACAGUGCCUGCUUCAUCUAUGAAGAUAGUUCCUCCUUCAUCUAGGCAGACAGUGCCACUUCCAUCCAUGCAGAGAGUGGUUCCUUUAUCCAUGGGCGGCAACUCAUCACCCAUUUGCACCGAAGUCUUAGAGUCCAUGCGCAUCAGACUUUCCUGAUGGUCCGUCGCAGUCGCCAUCUUUGUUUUCUACCUUGUGACUCUAUCAGGGGCAGGUUCAUCAGGCUCCAGGAUCCUCUUUUUUGUCCUGGAGUUAGGGCCAUCACCCUUCCUGGAGGGAUUGUAGCAGAUGUUUCUGAGCUCUUCUUAUUCUUGCUGACUGUCUUCUUAACAUUAGGCCUCUUCGUCCUAGAUUCUUUCAUUGCCUCGUAUAAACAGCGCGGAAAAAGCAUUAGAUGAUAAGAGAGCACAAGGUAACACAUAGCAUAAAAGAACCCCAACCCUCCAAGCAAGACAGAGUUUGCACCUUAACAAUCUUCUUCACUACGACAUCAUCCACUUCCUCUCCAUCAAUAACUUGAUCCUCCUUAGGAUUGUACUCUGGGUCAUCAUUGAUAACUCCACUACCUUCUUGAACCUCAUCACUUCUACCUUCUUGCACAUCAUUUUUUUUCCUAAUCAUCGACGCUAUUGCGCUGAUGCCAAGGGACUGCAACAUCCGAUUGUUCCUCAUGAUAUUUCUAGCCCUAACAUUCUCGUAUUCGAUGAGAGGCUCUUCUUUGCAUGAUAAAGGAAACGUAACUAUUAGGUGAAUGUUUGGAAUGCAUGGACAGACAGCCAAACAUUUCUUAUGAGAUUUUAUUAUCAUUUAAUCCUAGUUAUUCAGGUAAGGAAGACUAACAGCACACAGGCACAAUUAAGCCAGCAUAUUCAGAUUGUAGCAAUACAUUUCACUUAGCAUAUUAAGACACAAAUUUUAUAAAACUGACAGUAUAAUCCCAAGGGGCAAGUUGCAUACCAACGGUUGGCCUCAUGUUUGACCUUGUCAUCCUUGCCAUGGAUGAUCUUGAGGUGGUGCUUGCAAAAUAGAAUAAACAACAACCAGAUACAACAGGGAUAAAGUAAAAUGAUGCACUUGUAUCAAUAAAUGAAAGCAUUUGGACCAUCAUGCACAUAAAGGUGUAGCAAUGCAUCAGUAAUAAUACAUGUCAAGCAAACUUGCUGGAUCAACAAUAUAAUGAUGUAGUUCAAUUAAUUAAGCAUACAUGUAAGUGCACUAAACAAGCAUGCAUGUACACAGGAAAGAUAUGAAGCAUCCCUAAAAAUCUUGACUACAUCAAGCAGGGGGUAGCAAUGUACAUAACUCAACUAAGUUAAUUGGUGUCAUUACAGAAAAGUAGCACAAAGUAAUAACUAACAUAUCUAGCUGAUCUAUAGUAUAAUGCUCGCAGAAAUGGAAGAUGGACUUAAUCAUUUAGUAAUGAACACCAUGAAUUAACUAGACCAACCCAGAGAGCAUAUAUCACACCUACAUGAGCUACUCUAGUAGUGUAGUGAGCAGGAAGCUUUCUAUAUGAACGACAGAGUCCCAUAGGAAGCAAUGAGAGAUCAGCACUGCCACUGAUAAAUUUAGCAAACCCAGGAACAUAGCUAUGGAACAAGAUCAUCCAUAUGUAAACCAAAGCAUGGCAGGAGCUCACAUGAUUGAAACCAAACAUCAAUGGGAACGUACAAACCCUAGAUAGCAUGGGAACAACAACUACAGAGCAUUAGAUUUAGUGGUGACCAUAAUCAAGAACACAUAACAGGAUUGGCAGUAGAAGGAGAGGGAGAUGGAGAUGGAUGUGCUACUUGCUUUUGUGGUGGUGCGUCGUAGUAGCCGUGCUUGAGCUCCUCCUCCUGAUGCUGCUCAAUAACCUGCAAGACAAACAAGGCCAUAGGUGAGCUGCCACAGGGCAUCCACAUGACAAUGCAAAACAUCAAGCAACAUGUCCGAGUCAUAGACAGGGAUGCACAAUCAAAAUAGAGCAUACAAAAUCUAGAAUAAAGAACCACCUCCCCACAAAACCCUAACCCUAUCAAUGUCCGAGUCAUUGACACGGAUGUUUCUUAUCCAAGUGCUACUGAUAGAAACAAGCAUAGUGCCACUGAUAGAAACAAGCAAGCAAAGAAUGAAAUAUAAGAGCAACAAGAAAGCAAGUAUUGUUGAUACAAACCCUUGCUUUUUCUCCAGGUGCUACUGAUACAAGCAAGUACUGCUGAUGGAAACCCUAAUUAACCAUGUAAUCUAGCAAGAAACAUGAACUAGAGGGAGGUCAUCCCCUAACAUCAUCCACAUCCUCAUCUAUCCCCAUCCCCUAACAGCAUGCAUUUCCUCUCCAUCAACCUGAACCAUAACCCCAUGAAGCAGCCUACCAGAGGGGGAUCGAACGAACCACCAGGAGGUCCUAACCCUAGAUCGACCAGGAGAGGGGUCGAUAGAACCACCAAGAGCUCCUAACCCCAGAAUCCAUCCCAUGAACAAGAACCACCAGGAGCUCCCAGAUCUACCGAAUCCUUAACCUAGAUCGACCAGGAGGGGGAUCGAGGGGAGAAGUACCUGUCGUCCAUGAUGGGAUCGAGGGGAUCGUCGAUGAUGUCGAUGUAGCCGCCGUCGUCGAUGUAGUCGUAGCCGGGGCCAUCGAUGUCGUUGAAUUAGCCGCCGUUGUCGAUGUAGCCGUCAUCGUCGAGGGUGGGAUGGAGCGGAGCAGGGCAGGGCGAAGCAGAGGAGGAGGAGCUAGGGUUGCGGGUGGGGAAUGGGGAAUUUGGGGGAGGGGGAGAGGGGAGGGGGAUUNNNNNNNNNNNNNNNNNNNNNNNNNNNNNNNNNNNNNNNNNNNNNNNNNNNNNNNNNNNNNNNNNNNNNNNNNNNNNNNNNNNNNNNNNNNNNNNNNNNNNNNNNNNNNNNNNNNNNNNNNNNNNNNNNNNNNNNNNNNNNNNNNNNNNNNNNNNNNNNNNNNNNNNNNNNNNNNNNNNNNNNNNNNNNNNNNNNNNNNNNNNNNNNNNNNNNNNNNNNNNNNNNNNNNNNNNNNNNNNNNNNNNNNNNNNNNNNNNNNNNNNNNNNNNNNNNNNNNNNNNNNNNNNNNNNNNNNNNNNNNNNNNNNNNNNNNNNNNNNNNNNNNNNNNNNNNNNNNNNNNNNNNNNNNNNNNNNNNNNNNNNNNNNNNNNNNNNNNNNNNNNNNNNNNNNNNNNNNNNNNNNNNNNNNNNNNNNNNNNNNNNNNNNNNNNNNNNNNNNNNNNNNNNNNNNNNNNNNNNNNNNNNNNNNNNGAGGGGGAUUUGUCGUCGGAGAGAGGGGUGGCGGGGUGGUGUGGAGCAGGGGAAGGAGUCGGCGGUGGCGGGGCAGGGGAGGGAGUCAUCGUCGACGGGGCGGUGGGGCGGGGUGGGGAGAAGCUAGGGUUCGUCGCGGAGGCGAAUGGGGAAAUUUUGGGGAGAUGGGAGGGGAUCCCGUGUGUUAGUGGAGAGGAGAGGAGAGGGAAUGUUAGGUCACGCAUGGUAGUGGGAGAGAAGUGGUGCAAAAUUUUGGUGGGAUGGGAGGGAAAAUUUUGUGCUAGGAGGGAAAAUUUGGUGGGGUGGGAGGGAAAUUUUUACCAUUUUUUAGAGGUUUGGAGGAAGAAAAAUUCAGGGUCUUUUUCGUAAAUUUUGUAGAAAUAAUGGUUAAAAUCAUACCGAAUAACUCAAGAAAACAUCGGUAUUCCAAGUUUAGUAUUUUUGCUAGUUGGUAAGCCACAUUUGAUGAUGUGACGCCAAGGUCCCCCAUUAUUUUAAUUUUUUUGAAUUUUUUACCGUGUUUUCAAAAACUGGCCGAUUUUGUCAUGGCGGCCGCCCGUGGCUAGGGUUUGAGUCAUGCACAUCUGUUGUCGAUUCUUUGAUGAAAUGCCUACCUGUGAAGCUCAAAAUUAUUUUUGGCAAAAAUAGCGGGCAAGCUAUGGAGGACCCGCAGUUUAAAUUCCAGCCGGUUCCAGCUGAAUCGGCCAAAGGUGGUCUGAAUGGCCGGGAGUAGCUACGAGGGUCGGAAAUGCAUGAUUUUUGGCGACCGUCCGUAAAAUAGAGUCUACUUUCAGAUAGACAUGGAAUGGCGCCGUUUGGGGUGACCCUCCUUGUAGCCGCUUCACGAAAAACGCAUGUCUUUAUCAUUCAAAAAAUGAAAACCGGUUUUUUUUUGUUAAACAAGUUGGAACCUCGCUUUGGCAACAUUGUUUGCCAUCACAAGACGGAGGCAUGCGCCAAAUUUGGGCAUAUUAUCAAAAACUAUUUAAUGGAUGUGGGCAUAUCAUUGCUAGUUUGGCUUGAAAGCCAUGAAUCUUCGUUCAUGGUAGGUCGUUUUUGAGAACACCUUUUCAAGAAAACCUUGGCAUUCCAAGUUUAGUAUUUUUGCUAGUUGGUAUGCCACAUUUGAUGAUGUGACAUGGAGGUCUCCUAUUUUUUUGAAUUUUUUAUGGUGUUUCCAAAAACCGGCCGAUUUCGUCGCGGCGGCCGUCCGUGGCUAGGGCUUGAGUCAUGCAAAUCUGUUGUCGAUUGUUUACAAAAAAACAUGUUUAGAUGACACUGUCAUACUUGAGCAUUAAACUUAUAUUGUUUCAUAAUGUUGUUGAUUCUUAAUGAACAAUCUUAACGAAAAAACAUGUUUUUGACAAUCACAAAAUGAAACUUAUAUUGUUUCAUACAUGAGCAUGCACAAAAACCCAUAAUUUCAUCUUUCAUACAUGAGCAUGCACAAAAUAUCAAUUCCCAUCAAUUACCAAACUGAAUAUUAAUAAUUAAGAAACUGAAUAUUCAUAAUUAAGAAACUGAAUAUUCAUACUUAAGCAUCCAUAAGCUUGCACAAAAUUCAAACUAAGCUUGGCAUUGCCACUUAACAUUCCCACUUGAUUUCUUAACAUCUUCAUUCGUUCUUCUCCUUAUUCUUCUUCAUCCUCCUGAUGCGCUCAGAGUGGCGAAUGCCGACGUGGAUGUACUCCUCUACCACAAUUGGCAUGGUCCUGACGCCCAACUAUGGAAUCGCCGGCGCCACUACCAUCGCGAGGUCAUUGUUAGGCACCACCAUCGUGAGGUCAACGUCAGGCACCACAAUCGCGAGGUCGUCGUCAGCCACCAUAGCAGGGUCAAUGUCAGGCACCGCAAUCACAAGGUCAUCGUCAGCCACCACCAUAGCAGGGUCGUCAUCAGCCACCACCAUAGCAAGGUCGUCGUCAGCUAGAAUAGGCUGCACCACCCUGCUCUGCUCCUCGUCAUCCCCGCUCUGCUCCUCAUCAUCCCAGCUCUGCUCCUCGUCAUCCCUUCUCUGCUUCUCUUCUUGCCCACUCUGCUCCUCGUCAUCCCCGCUGCUGCUCCCAUUGCCUAGCCAAAUGCAACAACUUGUGAACAUGGUGUUGUCGUCGUGCUAGUAGAGGAAGCCAAAAGGACAGGAAGAAGAGAGGCAAAGAGCUUACUGGCAUCGUCGUCGUGCUAGUAGUACACGUGGCACAUGGUGUUGUCGAACAUCUUCAUGGUGAACAUGGCGUCGUCGUCGUAGCGGAAGAUAAGGAAGUGCCCGAGCUGCAGCUCAUGGGCGCGGGCGAAAUGCUCCCAUCCGGGCCCUAGGUACAUGUGUCCUUCCUCUGUCGAACACCACCACCACAUCCCACAGCCUGCGAAGCCCGCUGCUGGCCUCCCGCAACUUCACUUUGUGGGGCUCACGGCCGGCGAGCAUCUUCGCAAACUUGUCAGUCAGCCUCUGCAGCGAGGGUCAAGUAGUGGUUAAUUGUGCCAAUCAAGCACUACACAGCAGAGUGAUGAUUAAGAAAUGAGUGAUGAUAAAUAUACCUGCCGACUGCAAGAUUUCUCAAUUAUGACCUCGAAGAACUUGAAACCUUCCAUGCCAGCCAUCUCACUUCUCUGAAAAGAAGGAUUGUAAUUACACAACAAGUUACCAUAAACAGGACUGGACAUAGUUGGAACAGAACCAAGUUUAUGAUGGCCAAAGUGAGAAAAAAAGCAAUGCACUUGUGGAUAUUUAUGAUAGCAAAAGUGAGAAAAAAGCAAUGCACUUGAGAAAACAAGCCAUUUCUACUAUAAAUGGCAAACACAGCAUCAGGAUAAUAUCCACUAUAAAUGGACCAUAUCUACAAUGAACCGUAUCUACUAUAAAUGGACCAUAUCUUCCCAUAUGCUACAUUUUGUUAGAACCCAGCACUUAAGAACUGAAACCUAGAUUCUCAAUUUAAACACACCUACCCAAUACAGUCAUGUACAAAACUGAACAACUUUUGACCACAUAAAUUGGAGAUGUAUAAGAUUAACAAGGCUAUUUUUGCAUUAUGUGGACAUACAAACCGGGGAAUGUAAAUGAGAACAAACAACUGACCAAGUGGGUAGGUGUUAACUGAUCUAUGCAGUACAAGGAACAGGUAACUGGUGGUAGCCAGCGCAGCAGUGAUGUGUGCAAGAUAAUGCAAAAUAAAAACAAUAGUUUGCAUCACUAUGAUUAUCAUUAAAGAUUUACUGGUCGCAGGUGAUUUGCUGUGCGUAAUUAGUCAUAACACUUAAUCAAAGAACAUGGGGGGGACGGAACGGACCUGGGGGGGACGAUGACUGCUUGAGCUUGUUGGCCUUGUGGGUGUCGUGGACGCAGAGAGUGUAGGCCUCCUCUUGAUCUCGUGGAUCUGCUUCGGCUACAACGGAACCCUAAUUAGCAUGAGCCACGGAACCCUAAUCUAAUCUGAUCCCAUGGAUCUCGUGGGAAGAGGAACAAGAAGGAGUCGGCGGAUUCAUACCUUAGGAGGCCGUCGCUGUCGCCGUCGAUGGAGGAGUAGGUUGCCAAGGAGGUCGUCACCGUCGAUGGAGGAGAAGGGGAUGCGGGCGGCGGAGAGGAGGAGUGGGUCGAGUGGAUAAUGGAGAGGAGGAGUGGGUCAAGUGGAGAGGAGGAUUAGGUCCACUUGUCAGCGAGUUCUGUAUUUGAUAUAUUGAAAAGGGUUGGCAUAGAGUACAAAACCAACAGCCUCUAACUAGCGCAGUGGUAGAAAACAGUGGAAUAAGCGGCAGGUCGUGGUUCGAGCCCCUUCUCGCGCAUAUUUUUUUGGCAUAUUUUUUGGUUGCUUAGGGGGGGUAGAGUAGCAAAAUGGCCCACUUGUCAGCGAGUGGGUCUAGUGGCCCACUUGUCAGCAAGGUCUGUGUUUGCUACUUGACUGGUUUGAUGAUUUGAAAAGAGAUGGCAUAGAGUGGAAGACCAGUAGUCUCUUCCUAGCCUAGUGGUAGAAACACAGUGAAACGAGCGCACGGUCGUGGGUUCAAGUCCCCGCUCACGCAUAUUUUUUUGCUCACAAUGAAAUGGAGCCACACAUGGGAUCAAACGGGCUGUCUGAUGGAGCAUGCAACAUCUUCAGUUAAAGCAUUUUGCAAUCAUUUCUGAAACAACAUAUUCAGUUAAAAAAAACUUAAGGAUCACAUCAUUUUGCAAUCUUUUGCAUUAUAAGGCAACAUUUUGAAUCACAUCACAACCAUAAGUCUCAUUCAUUGAAGACAUUUUUGUCAUUUCUGCCCAAAUAUCAUAACAAUAAGCAUCGAAAAUGCCCCAGCAUCAUAACAAUCACAACAAUUGUUUUGCAACCAAAAUGUUGAUGCUUACAAAAUACUACAACGAACAUUUUGUCACAGGAUCACACCACUACAUCCAUCAGGAUCUUCAAGCAUUUUGCUACCUGGAGAUAAUUGUAGUACAUUAGGAUCACCAUGCAUAUGCACAAGAAGGAAAACUACAGAGAAUUACAAGGAAAACUACAGAGAGUUAGAAGGAUCACCAAGGAGACAAAAUUUACCUUCAUGUCCAUUCACUACUCAUCAUUGUCGAUACGAAAACAAGGAACUCUAUUCCCACUCCUGUUUUCCUCAUCGUCACUACAAUAUUGCAGCACGGUCGUGGGUUCAAGUCCCCGCUCGCGCAUAUUUUUUUGCUCACAAUGAAAUGGAGCCACGCAUGGGAUCAGACGGGCUGUCUGAUGGAGCGUGCAACAUCUUCAGUUAAAGCAUUUUGCAAUCAUUUCUGAAACAACAUAUUCAGUUCAAAAAAAACUUAAGGAUCACAUCAUUUUGCAAUCUUUUGCAUUACAAGGCAACAUUUUGAGUCACAUCACAACCAUAAGUCUCAUUCAUUGAAGAAUUUUUUGUCAUUUCUGCCCAGAUAUCAUAACAAUAAGAAUCCAAAAUGCACCAGCAUCAUAACAAUCACAACAAGUGUUUUGCAACCAAAAUGUUGAUGCUUACAAAAUACUACAACCAACAUUUUGUCACAGGAUCACACCACUACAUCCAUCAGGAUCUUCAAGCAUUUUGCUACCUGGAGAUAAUUGUAGUACAUUAGGAUCACCAUGCAUAUGCACAAGAAGGAAAACUACAGAGAAUUACACGGAAAACUAUAGAGAGUUAGAAGUAUCACCAAGGAGAUAAAAUUUACCUUCAUGUCCAUUCACUACUCAUCGUUGUCGAUACGAAAACAAGGAACUCUAUGCCCACUCCUAUUUUCCUUAUCAUCACUACAAUAUUGCAGCACAGUAUGAUCAGUCAUGUUUUCCUCAUCCUCGCUCUCAUGUCCAUCUGCUACCACCUGUCUUCUUUUCUUGAUGCCUUCAACUAUUGCAGCAUCAAAGAGCAUACGUUCCUGCUCCCUUUGCACUCUGUGUUGCACUGAAACUUCCAUAUAUUCAUCAUCAGCUUGCAACAGAACUUUCGUAGAGUCAUCAUCCUGGUAUGUUAGUACACCACCAACGGGGACCUUUUCCACUUCAGUUUCAGUCACACUCCACAAGUGUCUAUGCUCAAAGUUUUGCACAACUCGCCACUUUCCAUGCAAAAGAGUGUCUGGCAGAUAAAACACCAUUGUUGCUUGUGUUGUUAGAAUAAAGGGAUCACUCUUGUACCAGCACCUUGCAGUGUUGAUGAUUUUGAAGUGGCCAUCAUAUUUGACAAAAGAGUCUCUCUUCUUCUUGCUACCAAGCUCAAACCAGUCACAGCAAAAUAAGACAGCCGAGUGAUGGAUGCCUCCACUAGAGUUGUACUACAACUCUACGAUGCUUCUCAACUGACCGUAGAAGUCAAUGAUCUCACGAUCAUGUGAACCCUCAGUGAGGAUUCCACUAUUCUGUGCCUUCCUUUUUUCCUCGCGGUCAACGGUGUGGUACCGGACACCGUUAGCAAUGCAUGCUGAAUACACUGUCACUCGCUUAUUUUGUAAGCAUGCCAAAGCAAAUAGAUCAUCACUAACCUUCUUCUCCUCAUGCAAUUUUCCAAUCUGCACAAAUAAACCAUUUAGCAAACAAUGGUAUUCAACAGUUGGUGAAUAACAUAGAAAACAUCAAACAUGUGGCUAAAGAUCUCACAUGAUUCUUAAACCACUUAGCAAACCCCUUGGCAACCCUUUUCUCAACAUGGAUCUUGCUUUCUUCCUGAUUUAACUCUUCCUUGCAUUUCCUGCAAUGCAAACAAAACAUGUGAAUUAGAACAUUAGGUUGCUGCCAACCCAAGCAAAAAAAACAUAAUGAGUGCACAAGAUAUAACGUACUCGAUACAUGGUAGAACCUCGGCGCAAUUGCUGAGCACAUACCAAACCAUUUUGUCAUACUCAUCACCAGCCUCCAAGUAUUGUGAGGCUCCAAGAAAGUUCACACCACGUGUCGGUGUCAAAACCGGCGGAUCUCGGGUAGGGGGUCCCGAACUGUGUGUCUAGGCGGAUGGUAACAGGAGACAAGGGACACGAUGUUUUACCCAGGUUCGGGCCCUCUUGAUGGAGGUAAAAUCCUACGUCCUGCUUGAUUAAUAUUGAUGAUGUGUGUUACAAGAGUGGAUCUACCACGAGAUGAAGGAGGCUAAACCCUAGAAGCUAGCCUAUGGUAUGAUUGUUGUUCGUCCUAUGGACUAAAGCCAUCCGGUUUAUAUAGACACCGGAGAGGGCUAGGGUUAGAUAGAGUCGGUUACAAUGGUAGGAGAUCUACAUAUCCGUAUCGCCAAGCUUGCCUUCCACGCCAAGGAAAGUCCCAUCCGGACACGGGACGAAGUCUUCAAUCUUGUAUCUUCAUAGUCUUGGAGUCCGGCCGAUGAUGAUAGUUCGGCUAUCCGGACACCCCCUAGUCCGGAACUCCCUCAGUAGCAAAAAUAAAUUUAUCCGGACCAGGAUUCAAUGACGACGAGUCCGGCGCGCAUGUUGUCUUCGGCAUUGCAAGGCGGGUUCUUCCUCCGAAUAAUUUAUAGAAGAUUGUGAACACCAGGAUAGUGUCCAGCUCUGCAAAAAUAAAUUCCACGCACCACCGUAGAGAGAAUAAUAUUAGACAAGUUCAAUCUGCUGACGUAUUUUGCGGCGUGACGUCACACCACUACCAAGCCUUUACUAGAAUCGUUUUUAUUGUACCACCUCAGCGUGUUUAGCAAAGCGGUUUCCUUGGCACGUCUUGUCGAAGCAGAGAUCGUGUUCCCCUUAUUUCGGUAUUCCCAUCAAUACGGACGUGGGUAACCCAACCGUGCCCGUCUCCACGCCCCCUCCAUCGAAGGCGGGUUCCAAACGGUCACGGGGACGGCUCUUGGUAUUCUUCCUCUUUAUAAUGAGAUCGAGGCCCGUUCUUUUUCUUCAAUCCUCUAUCGAAUACGUCCCUCGCCCCGAGUUCCAACACCUAGGGCUCCAGAUUAGGCUACCUUCGAUCUUCGACAAUGUCCGGCCCCGACCUACGAGGCCGGUGGAUGCCCUCCUCCGUCACGGAAGAAGACGUGCUAAAGCUGAGUGACGCCAGGUAUUUGACCUACCAGAUUUCGCAUAGGUUGCCUGCUCGAGGGCAAAUUGUUCCUACUCCCGAACCCGGCGAGAGCGUCGUGUUCGUGUCUCACCUCCGUCGGGGUUUAGGCUUCCCGAUGGAUCCCUUUGUGAGGGGGCUCAUGUUUUACUAUGGGCUGGAAUUCCAUGACUUGGCUCCGGAGUCCAUCCUCCACAUCUCAUCAUUCAUUGUCGUCUACAAAGCUUUCCUCCGCACUACCCCUCACUUCGGCUUGUGGCUCAAAACCUUCGACGUGGAGCCGAAGAUGAUUGAGGGGCCUCAGACAGAGUGCGGCGGGGCGGUUAUAAGCAAGAGGGCCGAUGCUCCAUGGCCCGAGGGCUCUUUUCAGGAGGAGCUUGGCUUGUGGCAACAGGAGUGGUUCUAUAUCACCGCUCCCAGGGGCAGCAGGCAGAGGCCGCUGCCCGUCUUCCGCUCGGGCCCUCCACAACAGUUGACAUCAUGGGUCAACAAGGGGCGUGACUGGGGGCCGUCCAAAGACGUACCCCUGUUACAGGAUCAGAUUCAAGGCCUCCAAGAAAGGGAUAUCAAUCUAGUCAUAGUGGUACAGGUUAUGCUGAUCCGGCGCCUACUGCCCUGCAAACGUCGCCCCCUCCGCCUGUGGGAAUUUAAUCCGGAGGGGCCAUGAGCUCUUCAACACUUCAUGGGUUUGACACCCGCGGAGAUGUACCAACUGUUCUUCGGAUCGCAAGAGAUGCGUCCGGACUUGACCGAGGACGCUGGCCUAAGCUGCAAUCGACCGGAUAAUCAAGUAAGUAGCCCUGGGUCCGGACACAUUGUCCGUUUAUUUAUUGUGGGUUUGCCUUUUAACCAGCUAUCGCUUGGACAGGAGUGGAUAGCGCAAGCAAAACUGAUACGGUGUCCGGCCCCCUGAAGGAAAUAUGCCCGAGAGGCAAUAAUAAAGUUAUUAUUUAUUUCCUUAUUUCAUGAUAAAUGUUUAUUAUUCAUGCUAGAAUUGUAUUAACCGGAAACAUAAUACAUGUGUGAAUACAUAGACAAACAUAGUGUCACUAGUAUGCCUCUACUUGACUAGCUCAUUAAUCAAAGAUGGUUGUGUUUCCUAACCAUAGACAUGUGUUGUCAUUUGAUUAAUGGGAUCACAUCAUUAGGAGAAUAAUGUGAUUGACUUGACCCAUUCCGUUAGCUUAGCACUUGAUUGUUUAGUAUGUUGCUAUUGCUUUCUUCAUAACUUAUACAUGUUCCUGUAACUAUGAGAUUAUGCAACUCCCGUUUACCGGAGGAACACUUUGGGUGCUACCAAACGUCACAACGUAACUGGGUGAUUAUAAAGGAGUACUACAGGUGUGUCCAAAGGUACAUGUUGGGUUGGCGUAUUUCGAGAUUAGGUUUUGUCACUCCGAUUGUCGGAGAGGUAUCUCUGGGCCCUCUCGGUAAUGCACAUCACUAUAAGCCUUGCAAGCAAUGUGACUAAUGGUUUAGUUGCGGGAUGAUGCAUUACGUAACGAGUAAAGAGACUUGCCGGUAACGAGAUUGAACUAGGUAUUGGAUACCGACGAUCGAAUCUCGGGCAAGUAACUUACCGAUGACAAAGGGAACAAAGUAUGUUGUUAUGCGGUUUGACCGAUAAAGAUCUUCGUAGAAUAUGUAGGAGCCAAUAUGGGCAUCCAGGUUCCGCUAUUGGUUAUUGACCAAGAAUAGUUCUAGGUCAUGUCUACAUAGUUCUUGAACCCGUAGGGUCCGCACGCUUAAGGUUUCGAUGACAGUUAUAUUAUGAGUUUAUGAGUUUUGAUGUACCGAAGGGUUCGGAGUCCCGGAUGAGCGGGGACAUGACGAGGAGCCUCGAAAUGGUCGAGACGUAAAGAUCGAUAUAUUGGACGACUAUAUUCGGAGUUCGGAAAGGUUCCGAGUGAUUCGGGUAUUUUUCGGAGUACCGAAGAGUUACGGGAAUUCGCCGGGGAGUAUAUGGGCCUUAUUGGGCCAUAUGGGAAUAGUGGAGAGAGGCCAAAAGGAAGGAGGCCUGCGCCCCACCUCUGGUCCGAAUUGGACAAGGGGCGCAGCCCCCCCUUUCCUUCUUCCUCUCCCCCUCUUCCCCCCUCUCCUACUCCAACAAGGGAGGUGGAAUCCUACUAGGACUAGGGAGUCCUAGUAUGACUCCACACUUGGUGCUCCCCCUCCUAGGUCCGGCCACCUCCCCCCUUGCUCCUUUAUAUACGGGGGCAGGGGGCACCCCAUGACACACAAGUUGAUCUACGGACCAUUCCUUAGCCGUGUGCGGUGCCUCCCUCCACCAUAUUCCACCUCAGUCAUAUCGUCGCGGAGUUUAGGCGAAGCCCUGUGCCGGUAGAGCAUCAUCAUUGUCACCACGCCGUCGUGCUGACGGAACUCAUCCCCGAAGCUUUGCUGGAUCGGAGCCCGGGGAUCGUCAUCGAGCUGAACAUGUGCUGAACUCGGAGGUGCCGUACGUUCGGUACUUGGAUCGGUCGGAUCGUGAAGACGUACGACUACAUCAACCGCGUUGUCAUAACGCUUCCGCUUACAGUCUACGAGGGUAUGUGGACAACACUCUCCCCUCUCGUUGCUAUGCCAUCACCAUGAUCUUGCGUGUACGUAGGAAUUUUUUUGAAAUUACUACGUUCCCCAACAGUGGCAUCCGAGCCAGGUUUUAUGCGUUGAUGUUAUAUGCACGAGUAGAACACAAGUGAGUUGUGGGUGAUACAAGUCAUACUGCUUACCAGCAUGUCAUACUUUGGUUCGGCGGUAUUGUUGGAUGAAGCGGCCCGGACCCACAUUACGCGUACGCUUACGCGAGACUGGUUUUACUAUCGUGCUUUGCACACAGGUGACUAGAGGGUGUCAGUUUCUUCAACUUUAGUUGAACCGAGUGUGGCUACGCCCAGUCCUUGAGAAGGUUAAAACAGCACCAACUUGACGAACUAUCGUUGUGGUUUUGAUGAGUAGGUAAGAACGGUUCUUGCUCAGCCCGUAGCAGCCACGUAAAACUUGCAACAACAGAGUAGAGGACGUCUAACUUGUUUUUGCAGGGCAUGUUGUGAUGUGAUAUGGUCAAGACGUGAUGAGAUAUAAGUUGUUGUAUGAGAUGAUCAUGUUUUGUUGAAGUUAUUGGCAACUGGUAGAAGCUCUAUGGUUGUCUCUUUGUUGCAUAAGAUGCAAGUGCCAAAUAAUUGCUUUACUUUAUCGCUAUGCGAUAGCAAUAGUUGCAAGAGCAAUAGUUGGCAAGAUGACCAUGUGACGACACAUUGAUAUAGAUCAAGAUGAUGAAGAUCAUGGUGUCGUGCCGGUGACGAUAGAGAUCAUGACAGUACUUUGGAGAUGGAGAUCAAAGAUGCAAGAUGAUCAUGGCCAUAUCAUGUCACAUAUUUUGAUUGCAUACGAUGUUUAUCUGUUAUACAUCUUAUUCUGUUUUGUUUGAUGGUAGCAUUAUAAGAUGAUCUCUCACUAAUUAUCAAGAAGUGUUCUCCCUGAGUAUGCACCGUUGCCAAAGUUCGUCGUGCCCAGACACCACGUGAUGAUCGGGUGUGAUAAGCUCUACGUCCAUCUACAACGGGUGCAAGCCAGUUUUGCACACGCGGAAUACUCAGGUUAUACUUGACGAGCCUAGCAUAUGUAGAUAUGGCCUCCGAACACAGAGACCGAAAGGUCGAGCGUGAAUCAUAUAGUAGAUAUGAUCAACAUAGUGAUGUUCACCAUUGAAAACUACUCCAUCUCACGUGAUGAUCGGUUAUGGUUUAGUUGAUUUGGAUCACGUGAUCACUUAGAGGAUUAGAGGGAUGUCUUUCUAAAGUGGGAGUUCUUAAGUAAUAUGAUUAAUUGAACUUAAAUUUAUCAUGAACUUAGUCCUGGUAGUAUUUUGCAAAUUAUGUUGUAGAUCAAUAGCUUGCGUUGUUGCUUUCAUAUGUUUAUUUUGAUAUGUUCCUAGAGAAAAUUGUGUUGAAAAAUGUUAGUAGCAAUGAUGCGGAUUGGAUCCGUGAUCUGAGGUUUAUCCUCAUUGCUGCACAGAAGAAUUAUGUCCUUGAUGCACCACUAGGUGACAAACCUAUUGCAGGAGCAGAUGCAGACGUUAUGAAUGUUUGGCUAGCUCAAUAUGAUGACUACUUGAUAGUUUAGUGCACCAUGCUUAAUGGCUUAGAAUCGGGACUUCAAAGACGUUUUGAACGUCAUGGACCAUAUGAGAUGUUCCAGGAGUUGAAGUUAAUAUUUCAAGCAAAUACCCGAGUUGAGAGAUAUAAAAUAUCCAACAAGUUCUAUAGCUAAAAGAUGGAGGAGAAUCGCUCAACUAGUGAGCAUGUGCUCAGAUUGUAUGGGUACUACAAUCGCUUGAAUCAAGUGGGAGUUAAUCUUCCAGAUAAAAUAGUGAUUGACAGAAUUCUCUAGUCACCAUCACCAAGUUAGUAGAACUUCGUGAUGAACUAUAAUAUGCAAGGGAUAACGGAAACGAUUCCCAAGCUCUUCGUGAUGCUAAAAUCAAUGAAGGUAGAAAUCAAGAAAAACAUCAAGUAUUGAUGGUAGACAAGAUCACUAGUUUCAAGAAAAGGGCAAAGGGAAAGAAAGGGAAACUUCAAGUAGAAUGGAAAACAAGUUGUCACUCCCGUGAAAAAGCCCAAAGCUGGACCUAAGCCUGAAACAGAGUGCUUCUACUGCAAAAAAAUGGUCACUGGAAGCGGAAAUGCCCUGAAUAUUUGGUGGAUAAGAAGGAUGGCAAAGUGAACAAGGGUAUAUUUGAUAUACAGGUUAUUGAUGUGUGCCUUACUAGUGUUUAUAGUAGCCCCUGAGUAUUUGAUACUUGUUCGGUUGCUAAGAUUAGUAACUCGAAACAGGAGUUACAGAAUAAACAGAGACUAAUUGAAGGGGAAGUGACGAUGAGUGUUGGAAAUAGUUCCAAGAUUGAUAUGAUCAUCAUCACACACUCCCUAUAUUUUUGAGAUUAGUGUUAAACCUAAAUAAAUGUUAUUUAGCGUUUGCAUUGAGCAUGAAUAUGAUUUGAUCAUGUUUAUUGCGAUACAGUUAUUCAUUUGAAGUUAAAGAAUAAUUGUUAUUCUGUUUACAUGAAUAAGACCUUCGAUGGUUAUACACCCAAUGAAAAUAGUUUGUUGGAUCUCGAUCGUAGUGAUACACAUAUUCAUAAUAUUGAUGCCAAAAGAUGCAAAGUUAAUAAUGAUAGUGUAACUUAUUUGUGACACUGCCGUUUGGGUCAUAUCGAUGUAAAGCGCAUGAAGAAACUCCAUAAAGAUGGAUUUUUGGAAUCACUUGGUUAUGAAUCAUUUGAUGCUUGCGAACCGUGCCUUUUGGGCAAGAUGACAAAAACUCCAUUCUCCGGAACAAUGGAACGAGCUACUGAAUUAUUGGAAAUAAUACAUACCGAUGUAUGCGAUCCGAUGAGUGUUAAGGCUCGUGACAAGUAUCAUUAUUUUCUAACCUUCACAAAUGAUUUGAGCAGAUAUGGGUAUAUCUACUUAAUGAAGCACAAGUCUGAAACAUUUGAAAAGUUCAAAGAAGUUCAGAGUGAAGUGGAGAAUCAUCGUAACAAGAAAAUAAAGUUUCUAUGAUCUGAUCAUGGAGACGAAUAUUUGAGUUAUGAGUUUGGUCUUCAAUUAAAACAAUGUGGAAUAGUUUCACAAACUCAUGCCACCUGGAACGCUACAGCAUUAUGGUGUGUCCAAACGUCGUAACUGCACUUUAUUGGAUAUGGUGCGAUCUAUGAUGUCUCUUAUCGGUUUACCACUAUCGUUUUGGGGUUAUGCAUUAGAGACAGCUGCAUUCACGUUAAAAAGGGCACCAUCAAAAUCCGUUGAGACGAUGCCUUAUGAACUGUGGUUUAGCAAGAAACUAAAGUUGUCGUUUCUUAAAGUUUGGGGCUACGAUGCUUAUGUGAAAAAGUUUUAGCAUGAUAAGCUCAAACCCAAAUCGGAGAAGUGCGUCUUCAUAGAUUACCCAAAGGUAACUAUUGGGUACACCUUCUAUCACAGAUCCGAAAGCAAGUUUCGUUGCUAAGAUGGAUCCUUUCUAGAGAAGGAGUUUCUCUCGAAAGAAGUGAGUGGGAGGAAAGUAGAGCUUGAUAAGGUAAUUUGUACCUUCUCCCGAAGUGGGAAGUUGUUCAUCAUAGAAAUCAGUUCCAGUAAUUCCUACACCAAUUAGUGAGGAAGCUAAUGAUGAUGAUCAUGAAUCUUCAGAUCAAGUUACUACAGAACCUCGUAGGUCUUCCAGAAUACGGUCCGCGCCAGAGUGGUACGGUAAUCCUGUUCUGAAAGUCAUGUUACUAGAUCAUGAUAAACCUACGAACUAUGAGGAAGCGAUGAUGAGCCCAGAUUCCGCAAAAUGGCUGGAGGCCAUAAAAUCUGAGAUAUGAUCCAUGUAUGAGAACAAAGUAUGGACUUUGGUGGAGUUUCCCGAUGAUCGGCAAUCCAUAUUGUAUAAAUGGAUCUUCAAGAGGAAGAUGGACGUUGAUAGUAGUAUUACUAUCUACAAAGCUCGACUUGUCGCAAAAGGGUUUUUGACAAGUUCAAGGAGUUGACUACAAUGUGAUUUUCUCAACUGUAGCGAUGCUUAAGUCUGUCCGAAUCAUGUUAGAAAUUGCCACAAUUUAUGAAAUCUGGCAAAUGGAUGUCAAAACUGCAUUCCUUAAUGGUUUUCUCAAAGAAGAGUUGUAUAUGAUGCAACCAGAAGGUUUUGUCAAUCCUAAAGGUACUAACAAAAUGUGCAUGCUCCAGCGAUCCAUCUAUGGACUGGUGCAAGCAUCUCGGAGUUGGAAUAUAUUCUUUGAUGAGUUGAUCAAAGCAUAUAGUUUUGUACAGACUUACGGUGAAGCCUGUGUUUACAAGAAAGUGAGUGGGAGCACUACAGCAUUUCUGAUAAGUAUAUGUGAAUGACAUAUUGUUGAUCGGAAAUAAUGUAGAAUUAUUCUACAAAGCAUAAAGGAGUGUUUGAAAGGAGUUCUUUAAAAUAAAGACCUCACUAAAGCUACUUACAAUUGAGCAUCAAGAUCUAUUGAGAUAGAUCAAGACACUUGAUAAGAUUUUCAAUGAGUACAUACCUUGACAAGAUUUUGAAACAGUUCAAAAUGGAACAGUCAAAGAAGGAGUUCUUGCCUGUGUUGCAAGGUGUGAAGUUGAGUAAGACUCAAGACCCGACCAUGGCAGAAAAUAGAAAGAGAAUGAAAAGUCAUUCCAUAUGUCUCAGUCAUAGGUUCUAUAAAGUAUGCUAUGUUGUGAACCAGACCUAUUGUAUACUCUUCCCUGGUUUGGCAAAGGAGUACAAUAGUGAUCUAGGAGUAGAUCACUGGACAUUGGUCAAAAUUAUCCUUAGAGGAAUAAGGAUAUCUUUCUCAAUUAUGGAGGUGACAAAAGGUUCGUCGUAAAAGGUUAUGUCAAUACAAGUUUUGGCACUGAUCCAGAUGACUCUAAGUCUUAAUCUGGAUACAUAUUGAAAGUGGGAGCAAUUAGCUAGAGUAGCUCCGUGCAAAGCAUUGUAGACAUAGAAUAUUUGCAAAAUACAUACGGCUCUAAAUGUGACAGACCCGUUGACUAAGCUUCUCUCACGAGCAAAACAUGAUCACACCUUAGUACUCUUUGGGUGUUAAUCACAUAAGCGAUGUGAACUAGAUUGUUGACUCUAGUAACCCUUUGGGUGUUGGUCACAUAACGAUGUGAACUAUGGGUGUUAAUCAUAUACAGAUAUGAAUAUUGAUGUUAAAUCACAUGGCGAUGUGAACUAGAUUAUUGACUCUAGUGCAAGUGGGAGACUGAAGGAAAUAUGCCCUAGAGGCAAUAAUAAAGUUAUUAUUUAUUUCCUUAUUUCAUGAUAAAUGUUUAUUAUUCAUGCUAGAAUUGUAUUAACCGGAAACAUAAUACAUGUGUGAAUACAUAGACAAACAUAGUGUCACUAGUAUGCCUCUACUUGACUAGCUCAUUAAUCAAAGAUGGUUGUGUUUCCUAACCAUAGACAUGUGUUGUCAUUUGAUUAAUGGGAUCACAUCAUUAGGAGAAUAAUGUGAUUGACUUGACCCAUUCUGUUAGCUUAGCACUUGAUCGUUUAGUAUGUUGCUAUUGCUUUCUUCAUAACUUAUACAUGUUCCUGUAACUAUGAGAUUAUGCAACUCCCGUUUACCGGAGGAACACUUUGGGUGCUACCAAACGUCACAACGUAACUGGGUGAUUAUAAAGGAGUACUACAGGUGUCUCCAAAGGUACAUGUUGGGUUGGCGUAUUUCGAGAUUAGGUUUUGUCACUCCGAUUGUCGGAGAGGUAUCUCUGGGCCCCCUCGGUAAUGCACAUCACUAUAAGCCUUGCAAGCAAUGUGACUAAUGGGUUAGUUGCGGGAUGAUGCAUUACGUAACGAGUAAAGAGACUUGCCGGUAACGAGAUUGAACUAGGUAUUGGAUACCAACGAUCGAAUCUCGGGCAAGUAACAUACCGAUGACAAAGGGAACAAAGUAUGUUGUUAUGCGGUUUGACCGAUAAAGAUCUUCGUAGAAUAUGUAGGAGCCAAUAUGGGCAUCCAGGUUCCGCUAUUGGUUAUUGACCAAGAAUAGUUCUAGGUCAUGUCUACAUAGUUCUCGAACCCGUAGGGUCCGCACACUUAAGGUUUCGAUGACAGUUAUAUUAUGAGUUUAUGAGUUUUGAUGUACCAAAGGAGUUCGGAGUCCCGGAUGAGACCGGGGACAUGACGAGGAGUCUUGAAAUGGUCGAGACGUAAAGAUCGAUAUAUUGGACGACUAUAUUUGGAGUUCGGAAAGGUUCCGAGUGAUUCGGGUAUUUUUCGGAGUACCGGAGAGUUAGGGAAUUCGCCGGGGAGUAAUGGGCCUUAUUGGGCCAUACGGGAAUAGUGGAGAGAGGCCAAAAGGAAGGAGGCCUGCGCCCCCCCUCUGGUCCGAAUUGGACAAGGGGCGCAGCCCCCCCUUUCCUUCUUCCUCUCCCCCUCUUCCCCCCUCUCCUACUCCAACAAGGGAGGUGGAAUCCUACUAGGACUAGGGAGUCCUAGUAGGACUCCACACUUGGCGCGCCCCCUCCUAGGGCCGGCCACGUCCCCCCUUGCUCCUUUAUAUACGGGGGCAGGGGGCACCCCAUGACACACAAGUUGAUCUACGGAUAAUUCCUUAGCCGUGUGUGGUGCCCCCCUCCACCAUAUUCCACCUCGGUCAUAUCGUUGCGGAGUUUAGGCGCCUGCGCCGGUAGAGCAUCAUCAUCGUCACCACGCCGUCGUGCUGACGGAACUCAUCCCCAAAGCUUUGCUGGAACGGAGCCCGGGGAUCGUCAUCGAGCUGAACAUGUGCUGAACUCGGAGGUGCCGUACGUUCGGUACUUGGAUCGGUCGGAUCGUGAAGACGUACGACUACAUCAACCGCGUUGUCAUAACGCUUCCGCUUACGGUCUACGAGGGUACGUGGACAACACUCUCCCCUCUCGUUGCUAUGCCAUCACCAUGAUCUUGCGUGUACGUAGGAAAUUUUUUGAAAUUACUACGUUCCCCAACACCCCCUCCCUGAGACCACGCAGGAUCCCGUGUUAAUCAAAAUGUUGGAGGUUGCACCUUCGGAGGAGGGCGGAGGGGGGCACAGGGGAACUACUACCUCUGCCAAGGAGGCUUUCAGUAAGGGAGGAAUCGAGAGUCCCUCCUUCCAAGGGGAGAAGAGGACAGCUUCCGAAGACCCGGAGGCCAAGGCCUCAAAGCGGGGAAAGAAAUCUUUACCGGAAGGUCCUGUGCUGGGAAGAGCCCCGGCCGUACUGUCUCCUCGGAGGAAUCAGCCCUCCAGCGAGCCGUAAGUAAAAAGGGGGAAUUUUGUAAUAGUGGACACCCCUGCUUAAUUUCUAAGGGUAACCGAAGUUUUCAUCUUGUAGUUCGGAUCUCAGCCCGUCUCAACAAAGCUCAUCUUCGGGAGACCUUCGUCCGGAGAUGAUGGAGAGCGAAACACCUCCAUCUGCCAUCCCAUCGUGCGGGGCGGACGACCUUGAGGUGUCGUCGCGGAGGGUCUCCCCGAGUCCGGCGGGGCCAGAGAGUUCGGCACCCAUUGGAGUACGGCCGGUGGAGCUACAGGAUUUGCUUAAGAGGGCGUCUAUCUCAGAAGAUCACCGCACAUUAAUGCGUAUGGUGAUUGAGAGGAUCUCGUCUGCCAAAAGAGGGUUGUGUGAGGCCGUCGGAAGUUUGCUGACGGGAUUUGAGGUACGCAAAAAAUGACAUACCUUUUGACAGUUUUUGCACAUGAUGUGCGCCCUAUAUAGAUAGUAGCCCCUGAGACUUGGUAUGCUGUCGAAAACGGCAGCGUGCCGAGGAUCAUAAUCUCAGUUAUAGAUUGUCACCUUUCCUACGUAGGUGGCGGAACGUUCGGUGGCCAGCCAGACUGAUGGAGUUGCCGAGCUUAAGAGGCAACUCGACGUUGUGGAUGCGGACAUCUCACUCAUCAAUAAAUGACUUGAUGAGUCACAAGGUAUGUGGUUGCUCCGCGGUCGCCUAGUAUGGGAGCUGACGCCCAUUCCUUACAAUUUGCAUGCUUGAUGCAGAUGGUGCUACUGCUGUGGAAGACCUUCGAGCAGAGCUUGCUCGGGCCAAGGAGUAAGCCAGGAUAAGUGAUGGGGCUGCCUUGAGGGCAGCAGAAGAGCUAAAAGCCAAAAAGGCUGCUCACUGCCGAAGCAGGGAAGAGUUGGCUGGAAUGGCCAUGAAAUUAAAAGAUGCUACCGACCGUUGUAAGGUUCUUGAAGGAGAACGCCGAGUGGAGCAAGAGGGCCUGAAGAAGGCCGGCGCCAAAGUCAAGGAUGCCCGGAGUGAGAUGCGGGCUAUGAGGGAGGAACUACGUCAGGCCGGAGACACUGCGGCUGGAAAGCCCUUUCUUCUGCGUAGGAAGUUCACGGAUCCAAAGUACGCUCAGCUGGGCCAGUUGUUUGGUGCGGAGGAUCCUUAUCUGGAUUUGGCGGCGAGUGCGGCGCACGCAGUCGUGCACUUCCGAAGCCAGAAGGAUCACGAAAUGGAAGAACUUUACUGGUCUCAAUUCCAUAGUCCGGAGCGUCCACUUCCGUUGACUGAUCGGCUGGCUGAGUGGGCUGAGCUGAAUAGAUUGUCCGGACUUGCCAUGACGGAUGUGGUCACUCAUUUGUGGCCGGAAAGGCCCAAGCCGAAGAGUUAUUUUGGCUUGUUGCAGCAAUUCCUUGGGGCGGUGCCGCAUAUCAAGGCGAUGAAGCGGUCGGCAUGCAUAGAAGGUGCACGGAUGGAUCUCGCCCGUGUGAAGACAUACUGGGCAGACAUGGAUGCCACCACUAUUGCAUCCCGGGGUUCGGACAAGAGACGAUUACCCGCCAAGCACUAUUUUGAGGAAGUCCUGCAGGGCGCUCAUUUAAUAGAGUCACAGUGCUCGAAAGAUGUCAUGUUCAAAUGACGUAUAUAAUUUGUGAGGUCAUGUUUAUAAUGCAAUAGCUUUUUAUACUUGUGUGUUCAAGUACUGAACUAUCUCCUGUGCGGCCGUAUGUGUAUGUAUAAUCUGAAAGAUGGCAAUCUUUGGCUUCAGCCCCCACACACAUGGUGCGGGGGUGUUUGCAAAAAGAAAAGCGCUUUUUCACACUUAAUCCAACAUCUUGGUCCUUUUAAGGAGGUGAUAGCGUAGCAAACUAGGCAACCGGACUAUAACGCUUUAUCACUUUCACUUAGCCAUAGGAGCUCGAAUGUGGGGCUACUAUGUAGCCCAUAGCGGCACCGCUCUUCUCCGAACUCGGGGCACGUAUGUGCCUGACCGGGAAGGGGUCCUUCGUCAAAGCGGAGGAAUUCUAAACAUUCCAAUGGUUGAUCGAGUGGUUGACCAGUCUCUCACUAUAUCAUGACAGUCAGUUUUCGGCUUUCUCUACUGAGGUGCUCGCCCGGCCGAACCGGGGCACAAUCGCAGUAGUUCUCCUGGUGCCGCGUUAGCAGAUGAUACGAAACGUAAGGCAGCAAAACACAGGAGCCGGGAAAACCCAACAUUUGACCAAAGACAUGAUUCGGAGCUGAUGCAUAUAAGGCCUAACUCGAGACAUCGAACACUCCCUGAGGUGUUUGGUCUUUAUGAUACCGGGCAGAACGAUGCCCUAAGCCCCUAGUGUCCAGGUACAGGCGGGAACUUCUGACGCGGCCGAUGCCAAAACGCCAUCCCCCUCCUCGGCUAUGGUAGGAAACCGGGGGAUGUGUAUCAACAAGAGACAGUAAGAAAGGUUUACGCAGGGUCUUAAUCUGAAAAGAAUCCUUGCAAUGGGUCCCUGCUGCACGUCUGCGCUUGUGUCUCCGUUGUGCUGUAUCCUGGACGGGUGUAGCACGUGCUUCAUAUGUAAAAGAGAAGGACUUAGUUUCUAAGAAAUAUCGUGCAAAAGUUGUAUUAAAAUAAAGUAUAAUUUGGAAGAUGAAGAAAUUUGAGCUUUAUUGGCUCUCAUCAUUUAUACGCGCGGCCCCUUAUAAAGGGGGUAUGCGGCUGGGAAGCCCCUUGUUUAUUUACGCUGGACUCGCCUAACCAUGUCCGGGGUCUGAAUGACCUGUGUUUAGGGGCCUUGACCUGCAAGGUCGGCGUGGCUGUCAAGGCAGCCCCACGCUCUCCAUGGUCGAGGAACACUCGGAGUUACUCUUUAAUGAGAUUAUGCCGUGUGGACCGGGCAUUGUAAGUAUAAGAGACGUGUAAUGUGGUAUUGCGUUAAAGCGGGCGAAAGCUUUGCGUCCCAGAAGUGCUCGAUGGCCACUGUAAAAUGGGGCGCUAUGGAGAGUGAGCUUUUCGCGACGGAGGUUGUCGGAUGAACCGAACACAACGUCUAGUGGUACAGAGCCCGUAUAGUUGGCUUAAAGGCCUGGCGUCACUCCUUUGAAGGAAAUGCUGUUAUGGCGAAUUUUGGUAGGGUCUAUCUCUGCGGACGGUGUCCUGGUAUGGCAGGCGCAGUGUUAUGUUUUCAUGUUAUCACAUGAAGUGAGUUCACUGUUUUGACUUCUAGUGGGAAAGUCUUCUGUUUUCUGGAGUGCUGCUUUUGGGGUUCGUCACUUUUGCUUGGUGUGUCGAGCCCCUUGUGUUCGGCGUUAAGUCGGCCGGACUUCUUGAAGACCCAACAAUCUCUGUGGGUAUGGUUUGCAGGCUUCCCGGAGGUACCAUGUAUUUGACAUAGCCUAUCCGGAAUCUUGUUCGGGUUGGAUAGCUCGUCACUGUUGUCCAUCCCUGACUUCGGAUGUAGUCGGGUCGCUGGUGCUGCAUCUAGCCAGCCAGCUGUAUUCCCCCGCGCAAAAGCGGGUCAUGAGGCUUGUUAGUGCGGCAAUUGUUCUUGGUUUUUCUUGGCCGAGGUGUAUGGCGAGCCAUUUGUCUCGGACGUGGUGUUUAAAGGCUGCUAAGGCUUCAGCGUCCGGACAGUCCACUAUUUGGUUCUUUUUAGUUAGGAACCUGUUCCAAAAUUUGCGUGCUGACUCUCCGGGCUAUUGAGUUAUGUGACUUAAAUCGUCUGCAUCCGGAGGGCGGACAUAAGUCCCCUGAAAAUUUGCUCGAAACGCAUCCUCAAGCUCUUCUCAACUUCCAAUGGUAUUUUCUGGGAGGCUUUUGAGCCAAUGCCGAGCUGGCCCUUUGAGCUUGAGGGGUAGGUAUUUUAUGGCAUGGAGAUCGUCUCCUCUUGCCAUAUGUAUGUGUAGGAUAUAAUCCUCAAUCCAGACUCCGGGGUCUGUUGUUCCGUCAUAUGUCUCUAUGUUUACGGGUUUGAAUCCCGCUGGAAAUCCAUGAUCCAGUACCUCGUCGGUGAAACAUAGUGGGUGUGCGGCGCCCCUGUAUUUGGGUGUGCCGUUGUCUUCAAAUGCUCGGCGGGUUAUGUUGCUUCCUGGAGUCUUCUUUUUUGUCCCAUAGAUAGAACUGGUCGGGUCAUCCUUUUUCUGAGGAUCUUUGUGCUGAUCGUGUGCCGGCUUGUGUGCGGCGCCCCUUGCUGUUCUUGGCCUGUCAUCUGGUCGUCUAUCCGGCCAGGCAGCUUCUUUCUCUUUUGACUGCGGGGGCUCUAAGGCCUCCUCGUCAAAUUGGGGCAACAGCUUGCGCUUCGGGUAGCUCUUUGUCUGGUGACUAGCGCUGUAUUUAUCUGCGGUGCUGAGUACUUUGAUCCAUUUCAUUCUGAGUGUGUCCUCCACUGUUUUGAGCUUCCACUUUUGCUUCUUCAAACUUCUUGCAGUGGCGACGAGCCUUUUAUGGAGGUUCAUAUGCUCUGGUGAUGUGAGAUCGUCUUCGCCGGAGAUGGGUUGCUUUCUAGCAUGUUCGUCGUCCACUGCUUCGCCCUGCUCUAGGGCCGGGUCCGUAUGGGUGCCGUUUUUAUCUAGGCCGGUCUUUAGGCGGCGCUUGCGUUGCCGUUUUGGUUGUUUAUUGGGGGAGUUGUCCUUCGCCACGUCCCGUUUUUCCUCGUUGUCGCUUCCUUUUGGUGUAUCCACCAUGUAUACGUCGUGCGUUGGGGCGGCUUUCCGGUGCCCGAUGGGUGCUGGUUCUUGGUCGUCUCCGGCAUCGUCGUCCAUACCGUCGAUGUCUUCGGAGUCGUAGUCUAGCAUGUCGGUUAGAUCGUCGACAGUGGCUACCAAGUGGGUGGUGGGUGGGUUUUGAAUUUCUUCGUCGUCCGCAUCCCAACCGUCCUAGCCGCAGUCCGGCCAGGACUCUCCUGAUAACGAGAGAUACUUUAGCGAACUCAAGAUGUCGCCGAAAGGUGAGUGUUGAAAGAUGUCCGCUCCGGUGAACUCCAUGAUCAACGCCCGAUCAGAUUCGAUCCGAGGGGGCACGGGAGGUUUGGAGUCCGGCACCUCGGAGUCACGAGCUUCAUGAGGGACAAGGUCAGUGUUCGGCUCUAUCGCCGUAGAGGUUGCAGCCCCCGAGGCGGUGUCUAGCCAUCCGUCCUCGACCUGCGCAGCCGGCUCCAAAUUGAAGAUCGGAGCGGGUUCGAGUGCGGCCUCCAGGGUACUGUCCGGCUGCAGAGCUAAAUCAUGCUCGCCGUGACAGUGCGGCACGCUCAGCUGUGGCUCGAAUCCAUCGAGGAUCAAGUCCCCGCGGAUGUCAGCCGUGAAGUUUAAACUUCCAAAUCUGACCUGAUGGCCAGGGGCGUAGCUUUCGAUCUGCUCCAGUUGGCCAAGCGAAUUAGCCCGUAGUGCGAAGCCGCCGAAUAUGAAGAUUUGUCCGGGGAGGAAGGUCUCACCCUGGACUACGUCGUUGAUGAUGAUCGAAGAAGCCAUCGAGCCUAUUGGUGACGACACAGAGGAACUCUCAAUGAAAGCACCAAUGUCGGUGUCAAAACCGGCGGAUCUCAGGUAGGGGGUCCCGAACUGUGCGUCUAGGCGGAUGGUAACAGGAGACAAGGGACACGAUGUUUUACCCAGGUUUGGGCCCUCUUGAUGGAGGUAAAACCCUACGUUCUGCUUGAUUAAUAUUGAUGAUGUGUGUUACAAGAGUGGAUCUACCACGAGAUCAAGGAGGCUAAACCCUAGAAGCUAGCCUAUGGUAUGAUUGUUGUUCGUCCUAUGGACUAAAGCCAUCCGGUUUAUAUAGACACCAGAGAGGGAUAGGGUUACACAGAGUCGGUUACAAUGGUAGGAGAUCUACAUAUCCGUAUCGCCAAGCUUGCCUUCCACGCCAAGGAAAGUCCCAUCCGGACACGGGACGAAGUCUUCAAUCUUGUAUCUUCAUAGUCUUGGAGUCCGGCCGAUGAUGAUAGUUCGGCUAUCCGGACACCCCCUAGUCCGGAACUCCCUCACCAUGGUUGAAAACAGAGACAUCACCACUUUGCGAAUCAGACCGCUCUCUAUUUAUGCCCUCCCGGUUCCAUCUUGUUUCCACAUCGCCAAAGUAUCUAGAGCAAAAAGUCAAGCACUCAUCUACGACAUAUGCUUCAGCAAUAGAACCUUCAUGUCUUGCCAUGUUUCGCACAUAACGCUUACAAGUAAGCAGCCUUCUUUCGAUUGGGUACAUCCAACCGUAUUGCACAGGGCCUCUAAGCAUUGCCUCUUUUGGUAAGUGCACCUCCAAAUGGACCAUCACAGUGAAGAAAGUUGGAGGGAAAAUCUUCUCGAGAUUGCAAAGAAUAAUUGGGAUUUCUUUUUCAAGUCUUUCCAGGACAGUUAACUUGAGUGUUUUGUAGCACAGUUCUCUAAAGAAAUUUCCUAUCUCAGCAACCGCUUAAUAUAUAUCCUUGUCCAUGAUUCCUCGGAGGCCCAUGGGUAAAAUACUUUGGAGGAGGAUGUGAAAAUCAUGGGUUUUCAGUACUGAAAACUUGAAUCCAUCAGAAGUAACACACUUUUCUAGGUUAGCAGCAUAACCAUUUGGAAAUUUCACCGCUCUUAGGAAUUCACAGAAUGCAAGCUUUUGUUCAUUACUCAUUGUAUACCAUGCUCAUGGCAUUUCAAAUGAAUCUUCAUCUUCAUUGUGCUGUAGAUGCAAAUCUUCUCUUAUGCCCAUGUCCUCCAAAUCAAGCCUAGAACUAACUGUGUCCUUUGUCUUCCCUUCAAUGUUCAGAAACGUCCCUAGCAGAUUCUCGCAUAUGUUUUUCUCAAUGUGCAUUACAUCGAGAUUAUGCCUCAGUUUCAGAUCAUCCUAGUAUGGCAGGUCCCACAAACAAGACCUCCGGUCCCAACAUUGACCUUCCUCACGCUUUCUUAUCUACGCAAGCUUUCCUGGUCUCACAUCUUCCACCUUUUUAAGUUGCUGCUCCAGCUCUUCUUUAGAGAAUUCAGCUGGCUUGUCACGGGUUUCAUUCUCACCAUUAAAAUCUUUGCUUCUUUGCCAGCGAUGGUUUCGGGGAAGAAAGCGGCAGUGCCCAAUAUAGCAGAUCUUGCUCCUUAUUCUCUUUGAGCAAGGGUCUUUGUCACAAUGGACAUGGGCCUUAUAACCCACUGUGAUCCUCCCAGACAGACUGUGUAGUGCCGGGAAAUCAUGGAUGGACCAUAUGAUUGCAGCACGUAGAUUGAACUAUUCUUCCGGACUCAAGGCAUCGUAUGUAGGUACACUAGUCCCGAGCUGGAGCAGUUCUUCUAUGAGGGGAUCCAUAAAGACAUCAAAAUCCUUUCCUGGAGACUCUGGCCCCGGGAUAAGCAAUGAAAUCAUGAAGUUGGACUGAUCCAUGCAUGCCCAGGUGGCAGGUUGUAUGGCACCACAAAAACUGGCCACAUGCUAUAAGACGUGCUCAUGUUCCCAAACGGAUUAAACCCAUCUGUGGCAAUGCUUAGUCUUAUGUUCCUUGGAUCUGCAGCAAAAUCUACAUGUAUAUGGUCAAACUCUUUCCAUGCCUCUCCGUCAGCUAGAUGGCUCAGCUCAUUGUCCAUAGGUUGCCGCUUUAGCUUGUACCACUGUACCUCCAAAGAUGAACAUCCGUUGCAGCCUUGGUAUCAACGGAAAGUGCCUCAGUACCUUCUCCGGUAUUGACUUCUUCCCAUCAGCAUCUUUCCACCUAGAGGCUUGCAUUUUGGAUUGUUGUCAUGCUUUGCUAAAUCCCUCCAAAACAAGACACGGUUAUUUGGGCACACAUGUAUUGACACAUAACCUAACCCCAGCCUGCGGAUUAUGCUCAAUGCUUCAUCAUAAGAUCUGGGAACACAACUAUCAAGGAAUUGCAAGCUCAAAAGCCGGAGUAUUGCGUUGAAUGCAGCAUUGCUAAUCCGGUAGAAAGACUUGAUGUGGAGUAACUUCAUGAUGAAGGUAAAUCUUGAAAAUUUACCCCCUUCAUGAGCUGCGCGCUCCACCUACUCUAACACCUUAGCAAACAGCGACUUCUGUCUAUCAACACGAUCUUCAGCAUUGUACAAAUCUUUCAAUAGGUCGGGAAUCCUAUGAUCUUCAUGCACAUCCUCUUCCUCGAAACCAGCAUUAUCUAGCAAAACCUUUUCCAUGAAAUCAAUGCCAGCAUCACCACCACCCAUCAUAUGAGGGGCUUCUGUAUCAUCUUCAAAUGUUGAGGUUGUCUGUCUAAAGGUUCUCCAUGAUAUAUCCAUCUAUCAUAUGUGUUGGACAUCCCAUUAAGAAGAAGAUGAUCUUCCACUCUUCCUUGAGCCAUUCUUGAACGGUUGAGGCAUUCGCAGCAUGGGCAAAGAAUGUGAGCAUCGUUGGCAAAAUUUGAACGAACAAAUGCCAUGAAAUCAUCAACUCCUUUAAUAUGUUCUUUCGAAAACUUUCUAACUCCUUUUCUAAUCCAGCUUCUGUCCAUCUGCCAAAGACAACAAAUUAUUGCAACUUAGCAAAUCAAUCUAAGUGCAUCAAUAUUAAUUAAUGAAAAUGGAUGGAAGUAAUGGCAGCUAAAAAUCUAGAAAAUAAGGUAGCACCCAACUUUAUAUGCUAACUGCCUAAGCACAACAUUCAGCUAUUUCCAAUUUCUCACUACUUUUGUCCAGUUCCCAUGGUUUACUGAUUUCACAUGGGAGCAAUAAAAAGUAGUUCAAAUGGAAAUACAGAUUUGACAUGGGAUAAAAGAAAAGCUAACCAAAACAUGUUGGUUCACAAAAAAACAUAGGUGGUUAAACAACCAACAAUAACAAUAUAUGCUGCCACUAAGAACUAUUUUGGUUAAACCACCAACAAUAACAGCACUGUAAAUUUACAUGAAUGCCAUUUCCAAGAUUGCAUCAAAUCUACAUCAAUAUUCAGGUUCUUUAACAGAUUUGAGGCUGAAAUUUCAGAGGUGUGACAUCAAAUCUACAUCAACCCCAGGAUCCUGUUUCAGGGAAAGACCAACUUGAGCUCUAUUCUAUUCAUUGCUGACAACAUAAUUUACCAGUAACAAUUGACUGAAUUCCAACACAAUUCUUAACAAUUUCAUCAACAACAAUUCUCCUAAUAAUUUCAUCAACAGAAAUUCUCUUCACAAUUUCUACCAAAUUCAUCAAUGACAUUUCCAAGAGAUUUUUCCAAGCUUACAACAAACCUACAUUAAAUCACUGUAUGUGUGUGUGGAGAUUCUCCUAACAAAUAUACAUCAAAUAAUCGACAUCAACAGAGAGGAGAGGGGGGAAGGAGAGGGGUGCAUAUGUGGGCGAGGUCUGCUUGCUGGGGUGGUGACUCCCCCAUGCUCGGCGGCAGUGAGUCCCCCAUGCGUGGGCGAGGCAAGUGGCGAGGUCGUCGUUCAUGUCAUGGGCGAGGCGAGCGGCGAGGUCACCGUUCCUGUCGUGGUCGAGGCGAGCGGCCUCGGCAACACCACCGUUGGUAGCUGCACCCGCCCCUGCCGGUUGCUUCCGCUGCCGGCCCCCGCGCCCGACGUUGCCUCCGCAGUCGCCCGUCGCCACCUUGUCGGAAGACCUAGAAAAAUGCUAAGUGUUGCUCUGUUCGAUGCAACCUGGUCGGAAGGUCCCACUUGUCAAUGAUACGAGAGAUCUGUAGUUUUAUAUAAUGUAUAGAUAAAUUCCCAUGCAUGUGCAACUGUCCCUCUCUAGCCCAGUGGUAGCGAGCGAGCGAACCAAGCGCGAGGUUGUGGGUUUGAGUCCCGCCUCGCGUAAUAUUUUUGGGCGAAUUAAGCCCUCAGCCCAGCUGCUGUCAAAUGGGUCCCGCCUAUUAGUGUGUGCCCACUUGAUGUCAAAUGGGCCCCGCCUGUCUGCUGAAUAUAAACAUUUAAGCAAAAAAUGACAACUAGACCAUGACACAUAAGCGAGGUUGCUGAGGUGGCUGCCUAAUCAUCCUAAUGCAUUCGAACUCAAGUGUAGUGACCUUUUUUAUUGGUCGUUAUCAGCUAGACAUGAGGAAGUGGACAGUGCUACAAGCUUUACGACCAUUUCCUCUAAUGAAAUGACAACCUUUCUGACCAAAAUGGUCGUUAUGGUUUAGUGUUUGCCGCCCUCCGAACAGCUUUUGACCAAGUGGUCUAGAAUGGUCAUAAAUCUAUUACCAAUUCUUUUAGGGUCACGGAUAGAAGGUCAAUAGUUGACAUAUUUCUUGUAGUGCCCAGUUCGUGAGGGCCAUUUGUCCCGGUUGCCGAACCGGGACUAAAGGGUCGGUACUAAAGCCCUAUACCUUUAGUCCCGGUUCGCCCAGAAACCGGAACAGAUGGGGCUCCACGUGGCCGCUGCAAUAUAAGAUCUAUUACAAAAUCCCCUAACAUCUGAACUCAACUUCCACAUGGUAUUCUCCGUGUUUGUCGAUGGUGUGGUCAAGAAAGAAUCCCGCCAAUUCCUCUUAAAUUGCCCGUAUGCGAUCUUGUGGUAGGAGUUCAUCCCGCAUCUGCCAAUUUCAAGAAGGGGGUCAAUACAUAUAUAUGAAUGAAACUGAACACAAAUGAUGGUGAUAAAAUAAAAUUAUGAAUAUUAUUGCUUACGCACUUCAUAUUGUUGUUUAGAGUACCCCCGCUCACAGGUGGUGUGGUGGAUGAAUUCACAAAUGUAGUAUCCACAGAGAUCAUUCCCGGGUUCCUGCCACAACCACUUUACAUGAAAUAGAGGUCAAUCAAACUGAUAAGCAAGCAUGCUAAAUGGUAUUGAUGAAACUAGCUAGAAUCAAUGGGAUAUGCGCGGAACUAGCUAGUAGCUAGUACUUACUUUUGGGUGGUCAAAUCACAGUUGUGCGGUGAACUUUUUCCAAACCCUGCCAGACAAAGAAACAAAUUACUUGAUAUCAAGAAAUGAACAAAGUUGCCGAUAUGGUGUGAUAAUGAUCGAUUGAACUUACUUCUAGAGAAUUUUAGUCAUGGUCGCAUACUCCUCCGGAUUAUUUCGUUUGGAGUCUAUGACGGUUACUAGUCCCUGCUCAAGCUUAAUCUCUAGCAGAAUAAAUUCGAAGUUGUGCACGCAUGCAUAACUCAUCAGUUACAUUACUAUAACCUCGAGUAAUAAGGGAAACUAAAUAUGCACAAGACAGUAACACUCACUUGUAUUCGUAAGGAAAGAGUAUUGUAGCUUUGUUUUGAUUUCGAAGUAACGAUGCGAGCAAGUUGGCCUCAGUUGGUCUAGCAUCAUGUUAACACUCAAUUCAUCCAUGAGAUUUAUGUUAAUGAACCGAAUAUCACCUAUUUGUGUUUUUUUCAAUUUGGCGAUCUUCAAUCUGCAUAAUAUAGUGAGGCUAAUUAUAUAUACAUGCAAUGAAAGAGCUAAGCUAUAUAUAGAGACUUAAUUAAUUACAGAGAAGUAGUACUUACAGAAAGUAGCAAGUGAUGAUUGUUUUAUCGAGGGCCUUUCGAUUGAAAAACUGGAAGAACUCCUCAUAUUGAACUAACAACAAAUCAAUUCCAACGAGGUCGUGCUCCUCUUUAACUCUCAGCGAGAAAGUAUUUUUCCCAGACUUCCUGCAGAUGUCCAUGUACCAAUCAUGGAAUCUUUGCAUCAUCGUUGUUAGGAAAGUUACAGAUCUGGCGAGAGGCUUCCCGUGCUCGAAUCUUAAUGUGUCCACCUCCAUUGUUUCAAAAAUUAUUGCAUCGUCGUCGUUCAUGUAAUCUCCAGGAUUGGUAUCGGGAAGCAUCCCCGAAAGAUUAGCAAGGAUAUCGCUAGACACAUUGGGGGGGCACGAUUGCUUCGCUUGUUCUCCGAGCUGGGGAAUUUUUCCCCUUUUCUUUGUUCUUCUAGCCUUUGAUCAGUGCAAGUACUUCCCGACUGCUCCGCUUCCUUAUAUGUCCUUUCAAUGAUGCGGUCAUAGUUGGAUUGCGGUGGAGGCGGUGAUGGUGCUGUAGGGCAUCCAAAGUGUGCUUCGCUUUCAUCGGAUCUAUCUCCGCCGGAGGUGGAUGUUUCUUAGCUUUUACCGAUUGAAAGAAGUAUCUGAUCGUGCUUCUUCAGUCUCUGAUCUUCCUGCUCCAGUCACCCAAACCAACAUCGACGGAACCGCCUGCUCCCGCCUCCCGUUGCCGGCUGUGCUGCCGGGCAGGCCCCACGGCCCCACCAUACUCGCAUCCCUGGCCUGUCUAUCCCUCUACUCACCCACACCUUCGUACACCCCACCACGUGGGCAUCCAUUGUUGUGUCUUCUCUGGCUCCGUGUCAUUCCCUUCGUAUGCCUCGCCGUCGUCCACCGCCCUGGUGCUCUCGGCGUGGAGUUGACAACAUGGUCAAUGAACGACAUCCAUCGGAAGUGGACUGUAUGUGGAGAGGCUGGCAGCUGGGUCCACGGCCACACACAAGGAAAUGCCUCCUUAUUAUGCGCAAAAUAAUGAUUCCUCCCCCUGACAUCUGGGACCCACCGUUAGGGCCUCUGUAUUUUUCGCGAAAAAAAGUUCCCCCCACUGACAGGUCGGACCCACCAGCUAUAUCUUCACACGCAAGGAAGUGCCUCCUUAUUGUGCACAAAAAAAUGAAUACCCCCCUACCACACUACAACAAAAUUGACAUAGUGUGACGAAAAUCCGCAUGACGAUGGUGGACAACGUCACAAAAAUUCCUAAUGUGUGAUGUUGUCGUAGGUGACGUCACCAAUUACCGCAAAUCGGUGACGAUGAACGUCACAGAAUUGCCUCGACCUUUCAGCACACCCGACUACCAAUUUUGGUGACGUUUUGGUAAUUUCCAUGAUGAGCCCGCUAGAGUCACCGAGUACUAUGAAUUUGUGUAUAUCAUGUCUGUCAUGUUAUGAUAUAGUAGUUAGACCCGCCAUAGCUAGGUCUUCGGUUAUUGAGCGAUUGGACCCAUGCGUCCGUGUUGGCAAUGGGACCUGCCAUAGUUUUUUCGAAGGCUACUGAGUGUUGUCAUUAUUAUUUUCAAUAUAAUAUAAUAGGCAGUGGGCAUGGAAAUACUUAUAGUAAUUAUUUUUUAUAAAGGUAAAACUUAUUUUUUUCUUUCUAAUAUGAAUAGGUAGUGGUUGGGCAAGAAACCUGAAUCGAGCGUCAGUGAGUUGAUGUUGUUUAUCUAAAAAAUAAAAAAUAAAAUAAGGGAUCCAAGCGGAAAUGAGUGAAUAUUAUUUUCAUAUCUAUAACAUAAUAAAUAGUUAGUGGCUAUGCAAAAAAACUUCAAUGGUGUACCCGUGACCUAAUGUUGUUACAUUUCUAUCUCAAAAGUUAAAAUGGAAAUAUAAGAGUCGAUGGGAUUUUUUUUAAUUCUUAUCACCCACCUUUUAACAUGAUGCCACACCAAGAAUUGAGAACCACAGAGCAAAAAAAGGAAAAGAAUUCAGCUCCAAGCGUAGGUCUCUCUCAUGCCAUGCUUUGUGCCUCCAAAUAAAACCCUAGCCCAAAAAAUCCCCAAAUACACCUGUACCCACUUGCACCUGACUAAGAUCUCAUCUUACCGGCAGCGCCUCCAAAUUACUCGCCGCCAGCAGCGCGACCCGAACUCCCUCCCCGCCUGGCCGCCUCCGCCCUCUAGUCCGCCGCCCACCCUCUCUGUUCGCUUCCCCGUCCCCAGCCACCACUACACCGACGCCAACCUGCCCCGUUUGCUGCCUAGUCUGACCUCCAUGCUGCCUCCACUGCCACUUCCUGGAUGGCUUGUCGACCAUCGCCCACUCCAUCUCUGGCGCCUUCCCAAGCUUCGUUUCUCACCUCGUACCUCACCAAGAUCUGGGCGCUGCCUCACCACCCCUCCAUGACUCACUACUUGAGAUGUAGAUGGUGAUUUAGAAGAUUGGUUUUGUCUAGCGUCCAAGAAGACGGCGGCGGCGGGAGACACCAGGUUUGGGAGAGGUAACCCGAUGAUGCAGAUAGGCUAGGGGAUGGGUCGGAAACUCUGCAAGGAACCCGGCUACAUCACCAUUAGAUCUGCUCCCCUUCAACUACUCGAAGGUAAUAGUUCGCUGCUUCCUUUUUCCUCCACAAUUUCCUGAUGUAAGAUUUGUGAUCUGCAAUUUGAUUCUUCUAACCACCUAUUUGAGAUCUCCUUUCCUAGUUGCAGUUCAUCUAGAUCAGGAGUAAGAUCAAUGUCCUUUGCUCUUAUCAAAGCUAUGGUUUAUACUUCUAUGUUCCUGACUAUCUCUAAAUUUCUACAAUGAAUAAUUUCAACUCAAGUUUCCACUUUAAGCUGCAAGAUUAUGCAAUCUCCAGCAUGCUCAAGAACAUCUAAUAUGUGACUAGACUCUACGUUCAGAGUAUUAAUAGUGAAACUGUACUAGGAAUAGCCUUUUAUUAGUAACUAUGAACAAGAAGUCAAUAUUCUGUGAUAACAGUUAACAAGGAUAUGUCGACGGCUCGUAUCAUGGGCCAUACCAUAGUUGCUAGCUGCUAAAAAAUCUGUAUACUAAAAGGUUCAUUCAGAUGCUCAUACUGUUUGGUAAAAGAGAAAAUGAUUAUGUUAUUCUGUAAUAUUUUUUCUCCAUGUGAACACUUGUCAGUAUAUUGUUUCUCUACUGUUUUAUUCCCCUAUAAUGCAGGUGCAUUAAUCGGCUGCUCACAGUAGGUACCAGGACUGGGUUUGCAAUAUCAAGAUAAUCUAUCGACCUUGCUAUGUUGGUAAAGUCUGAACCUUAAACUUUUUACUACUUUCUUGUUGCUUCUCCACUUUCUGUUUUCUUACAGUCCAGUAAUUGACAAUUCCUUACCUGGUUGUGUAUGCCUAACAUUUAAGCUCAUCGUGUCCUUCCUUUGUGCAUAACUUGUAUUUUUAUUUGUUGUAUUUACAUCGAGGAAGCAUUGUACAACUGCAGUGCAAGUACACAAUUAGUUGUAGCUGUCGGGGAAGGUGAGUAAGCACACAACUGUACUAGUGCUAGUUGCUUAUGGCACUUGGUUGUACGUAAGGUGAUGAACGGCCAAAUUCAUAGCAUGUCUGAAUCAAUUCAGAGAUGAGAAAAGACAAAGUUAAUAGGUAUAAUUUGGCCUGUAGUGGUUGGGUGAUGACCUCUAGAUAUUGCAUUAUUCUGAGAUCGUUCAAUAUAUUGAAUGGAUGAAUGGAUGUCACUCCUUACUAAAGAAACAUUUUUGUGUUUUGGUCUGCAAAUUUUUGGUACAUUACUGAUCUGUUUUUUUAGUGAUGUGCGGAUCUAAAGUUUUGUAGUAACCAAAGCGUCAAACAACUACACUUAUGCAACUAAUUAUGAAAUAUGUCCAGUAGAUUAUUAUAGUUCAUUGUCGUACGCUGCCCUACUGGACUCACUAGUCAUUCACAUGCUACUUAAGACAUUAAGCAACACACUAGUUAAAAGUGCAACAGGGAUCCAUGUAAAUUAUUUUGACUAGCAAUUUUUAUAAAAGUUUGUGUCUUCUUGUUUUGCCAAACUAAUAUGCCGUUUUAUUGGCCCAUGCGCAUACUCGUAAAUCUAGUUAAUAAUUUACUCAGAUUCACAAUUUGGUAAAUUGUAUGCUUCUUAGUGGUACUGUUAUAUGUUUUAUCUUGUAUGUUUUCAUCUCAUUAAGAUGCAACACGCUGUUGUGUUUCCUCAAUUUAUAGGCAUUGGGGGGGAGUUAGUUGUGAGACUUGAAGCACAGGAUAGAGCAUUUGAAGAGAUACAAAGGAAGCAUCAAGAAGAAUUGGAAGCUGUGAAGAAGAGACAAGAGAAGAAUGAAGCCUGGGAAAAGAAGCAGCGUGAUACAAAUAACCUGAUUGUUUUUUCUUAAGGGCUCAAGCAACUCAGCAAGAAUCCAUUGUCUUGUGUAUUGUCGUGUCAAACUUGAGUCAGUGUUAUUUUUUAUUGUCAUUUCUAUUUAGAGGAUGAUUUGGCUAAGAGAUAGAAUAUAUAAUAUGAUUUCUCUUUUGUUUCAAUUUAUAAUGUUAUUUGUCUCAUAACUUAUGUAUAUAUAUAUAUAUAUAUAUAUAUAUAAUGUGAUGUGAUGCUUGCUGUGAUAUGCAUUUGCAAUGGUGGAUCUGAUAAUUCAUUCCAAAUUAUCCAAAAUAUAGUAAAUAUAUUUUGAUGAUGUCAUCUUCAUCAAUAAUGAAAGUAGUGAUGCUAGUAGCGGGGUAUCUAUGUGGUUGUUGACGUGGCAUAAAGUCAAUGACGUUGCUCCAUCAUUGAAUAUUGUACAAUAUGGCAUCUUUGCUCCUAGCUUGUGACAUUAAUCCACCGUCAUAGAAAUAGGAAGUUGUUGACGUUCUAGAAAACGUCACCGAAGGUCUCAUUUUCAGUGACAUUGUUUUGCGCGCGCCGUCACCAAGAGUAAUUUGUGACGGGGAUUCCGUGACAAUGCUUGUGACGCCCAUAAAACGUCACCCAGGUGUAAUUUGUGACGUUAUAAGAUGUUCGAUGACAUUUUUUGGCUCGUCAUAGUAGGCCUAAUCUCUUGUAGUGCCAGUUGGGACCCACCAUAGUGGGAGGCUGGCUUGUGGGCCUACUAAGUUGACGAGGAUGGAGGGCUUUGUCAACUUAGUCAAUAUGAACGAUUUUUGCUCCAGUGACCGUACGAUGUCCUUCUAACGGCCGUAGUGCAUCUUCAACCUCUGGUCUUCUUGCUCCAGCCGCCCAAACCAGCACCGGUCGUGCCGCGUGCUCCUGCGUCCCGUGGCCGGCUAUGAUGCCGUGGAGGCCUCACUCACACCCCUUGUUAUUCUGUGGCGACGACGGCCUCACACCGCAGUCGAACCAGUGAACCCUCGUACUCCUCUCCGCGUGGGCUUCCACUGCCCCGUCUUCCCCGGCUCCGCGUCGUCCCCUUCCUAGGCCUCGCUGUCGUCCACCGCUCUGGUGCUGUCGGCGCUGCGUGGUCGACGUGGUCAAUGAAUGACUUCCAUCGAAAGAGUACUGUACAUGGAGAGGCUGACAGCUGGGUCCACGGCAGCCGCAAGGAAGUGCCUCCUUAUUACGUGCAAACUAAUUAUUCCUCCACCUGAUAGCAGGGAGCCACCGGACGAGCCACCGUAUUUCACGAAAAAAAUGUUCCCCCCUGACUGCUGGGACCCACCAGCUACAUCUUCGCACGCAAGGAAGUGCCUGGCAGUCAGGACCCACCUGGUCGAAGCGUACAUAACGUUGUCAUUCUGGUCGCGAACGUGUAUGUACAUACUGGUCGAUUGGUCUGUCUGCAGGCUGCAGUGAUGAACCGUGGCCGUGCAAGGAAGGAAGGGCACGUGUCAUAGUAGAGGCGCUCACGUAUCAUGUACACGUACGUACAGCGGCUAGGGUGCAAGAAAGUAAAUACGGCCACGUACGUACAUACGGGUGGGGUCUCGAACGCCUACUCACGCAUACGUACGACCAGGGCUCGUGUACAUGGCUGGGUCGGAACGGAGAAACUGCAUCAUCGUCGUGAUCAUGGGGAGGCAACAUGCCGGGUCAGAACGGAAUGCGUCAUCAUGUUCAUCGGGAGGGCUUGGAUGGAAUAGCCGAUGAAAACGAGGCAUGGCGUACAGCAGAACAGAAAAAACAGCCUUGGGUCCGACAGGCCACAGUCGAAACGGGAUCCAGUUCAUCGAGAGGGGUCUGGCAUACCGCAAAACGGAGGAAACGGACUUAUGUUGGACCUCCUACAGUCGAAACGGGGUCCUGUUGAUCGGGAGGGGUGUGGCAUACCGCAAAACGGAGGAAACAAACUUGUGUUGGAGCGCUACGGUCGAAACGGGGGUCCUGUUAAUUGGGAGGGGUGUGGCGUGCCACAAAAUGGGACUCCACGGGAUACUGUUCAUCUCCACCGUCGACCUCCUCCAGCCUCCACGGGCUACUGUUCAUCCACCGUCGACCUCCUCCAGCCUCCACCUACGACUGUUCAUCCACGGGCUCCUGUUCAUCCGGCCUCCACCGCGCUCCUCCACUGGCUACUGUUCAACCAGCCCUCUCCACGGGGUCCUGUUCAACCACCCCUCCACGGGCUACUGUUGAGGCGUGAAGAUACAACACUCAAGACUCCGUCCCGUGUCCGGAUGGGACUCUCCUUUGCGUGGAAGACAAGCUGGGCGAUACGGAUAUUAUAUUUCCUUCCUUGUAACCGACUCCAUGUAAACCCUAGCCCUCUCCGGUGUCUAUAUAAACCGGAGAGGUUGGUCCUUAGAGGGACGAUCACGAUCAUAAUCAUCAUAGGCUAGCUUCUAGGGUUUAGCCUCUAUGAUCUCGUGGUAAAUCAACUCUUGUACUACUCAUAUCCUCAAUAUCAAUCAAGAAGGAAGUAGGGUUUUACCUCCAUCGAGAGGGCCCGAACCUAGGUAAACAUUGUGUUCCUUGCCUCCUGUUACCAUUAGCCUAAGACGCACAGAUCGGGACCCCCUACCCGAGAUCCGCCGAUUUUGACACCGACAUUGGUGCUUUCAUUGAGAGUUCCUCUGUGUCAUCGCUGCAAGGCUUGAUGGCUCCUUCAAUCGUCAACAACACGGUCCAGGGUGAGACUUUUCUCCCUGGACAGAUCUUCAUGUUCGGCGGCUUCGCACUACGGGCCAAUUCGCUUGGCCAACUGGAGCAGAUCGACAGCUAUGCCCCUGGCCACCAGGUCAGGUCCGGAAACCUGAACUACACAGCCGAUAUCCGCGGAGACUUGAUCUUCAACGGAUUCGGGCCUGUGCUAGGAGCGUCGGACAGUCACGAUGAGCACGACUUCGACCUGCUGUCGGACGAUGCUCGGGAUGUCGCCCCUACGGUAGCCCCAGACAUAAAUCCGGAGCAGACCGCGUCGCCCAAGGAUGGGUGGAUGGACCCCGCCCCGCAGGCCGCGCACUCAUCGGCGGUAGAGCCAAACACAGGCCUCGCCCCCAAAGAAGCCUGUGACACCAAACCCUCGGACUCAUAUCCGGCUAUGGGUUCCACUCCACGCGCUCCUGAGCCCGCCGAACCUGGUUGGGCUCCUGUAAUGGAGUUCACCACAGCGGACAUCUUCCAGCACUCGCCCUUUGGCAAUGUGCUGAACUCGUUAAAAUCUCUCUCCUUGUCAGGAGACUCUUGGCCAAACUAUGUCCGGCUUGAGUGGGAAGUGGGCGACGAAGGAAUUUCUUGCCCACCCACCACCCACUUCAUUGCCAUAGUCGAUGAUUUAACCGAUGUGCUUGACUUCGACUCCGAAGACAUCGACUGUAUGGACGACAUUGCAGGAGAAGAACAGGAACCACCACUCACAGGGCGGUGGACAGCCACCUCAUAUGAUAUAUAUAUAUAUGGUGGACACUCCGAAAGAAACCAAUGGCGAUGAGGCAACGGAGGAUAACCCCUCAAGGAAGAAAGCAAAGCAUGGGCGGCGUCGGCGCCGCUCCAAGCCCCGCCAUAGAAAUACCGGCACAGGAGACGAAAACAAUCUAGAUGCUGCCAAAGAUGAAUACAACCCUGACCAGCCCGCCUUCGAGCAGGCCGAGCAGGAAGAUGGGCAUGACAGCCUAGACGACCCGGCGACAGACGGAUAUUCGGAGGAGGACAAUCACAUGUCCCCCUCCAAAGACGAGAUUAGCCUCGGCGACGACGAGUUCGGCGUACCUGAGGACCCCGUGGAGCAGGAGCGCUUCAAGCGCCGGCUCAUGGCCACCGCGAGGAGCCUGGAAAAAAAGCAAUCGCAGCUCCAAGCUGAUCAAGACCUGCUCACAGACAGAUGGACCGAAAUCCUGGCAGCUAAGGAAUAUGGACUCGAGCGCCACAUGGCUGACUGGUCACCCCGUGGCCGGGAUGAAAUGACAUAUGAGCCCGAAUACCAGCCUGUGCCCCCAUGCCAAUAAACUACGGCUUGGGGCAAUAGGCAAGACCUGCAAGAUAUACUGGAAAACAAAGCAGGACAGCCAAGAUCGAUCUACGGAUCGAGGGGGCGCGCCCCAACACGCGACGAUGACCAUCACGCCGGAUACACUACAAACAAGUCCGACCGGGCCGAAUACAGCCACCCAGAAUCAUUUGAACUGCGUAGCCACAUAGCCCGGCAUAGAGGCGCCGCACACCCCCUCUGCUUCACUGACGAAGUGAUGGAUCAUAAAUUCCCAGAAGGGUUCAAACCCAUAAACAUCGAAUCAUACGAUGUCACAACAGAUCCCACAAUAUGGAUCGAAGAUUUCCUUCUCCAUGUUCACAUGGCCCACGGAGACAAUCUACACGCCAUCAAGUAUCUUCCCCUUAAGCUCAAAGGACCUGCUCGACAUUGGCUAAACAGCCUGCCGGCAAAUUCCAUUAGAAGUUGGGAAAACCUAGAAGACACGUUCCUCGACAACUUCCAGGGCACAUACGUGCGACCACCGGACGCCGAUGACUUGAGCCACAUUACUCAACAGCCCGGAGAGUCAGCCAGGAAAUUCUGGACUCGGUUCCUAACUAAAAAGAACCAAAUAGUCGAUUGUCUGGAUGUUAAAGCCCUGGCGGCCUUUAAGCAUAAUAUCCGUGAAAAGUGGCUCGCCCGACACCUCGGCCAGGAAAAACCCAAGUCCAUGGAAGCACUCACGACACUAAUGACCCGCUUUUGCGCGGGCGAGGACAGCUGGUUGGCUCGUAGUAGCACCAGGCCACAUUCCGGCACCUCGGAUGUCCGGGACAAUAACAGCAAGCCACGGUGCAACAGACAUAAGCGACAGAACAACGGCGACAACGCUGAAGACACGGCAGUCAACGCUGGAUUAAGUGGAUCCAAAUCCGGUCAGUGGAAAAAGCCGUUCAAAAGAAACAAUCAGGGACCGUCCAGUCUGGACCGCAUGCUGGAACGCUCGUGCCAAAUUCAUGGCACUCCGGACAAACCAGCAAACUAGAUUAAUAGAGACUGCUGGGUGUUCAAACAGGCCGGUAAAAUAAACGCCGAAAACAAGGACAUGGGGCUGCACAGUGACGAUGAAGAGGAGCCCCAGCGUCCGAACAUGGCUGGACAGAAGAAAUUUCCUCCCCAGGUGAAAACAGUCAACAUGAUCUACGCCACCCACAUUCCCAAAUGGGAACGGAAGUGAGCAGUACGAGACGUCUAUGCGAUGGAGCCAGUUGCCCCAAAGUUCAACCCAUGGUCAGCCUGUCUGAUCACCUUUGAUCGUAGGGAUCACCCUACCAGCAUCCGUCAUGGCGGUUCAGCCGCAUUGGUCCUAGACCCAAUUAUUGACAGAUUCCACCUCACGCGAGUCCUCAUGGACGGCGGCAGCAGCCUAAACCUGCUUUAUCAGGACACAGUGCGCAAAAUGGGCAUCGCCCUUCAAGGAUCAAGCCCACCAAAACCACCUUUAAAGGUGUAAUUCCUAGAGUAGAGGCCUGUUGCACGGGCUCUAUAACAUUGGAAGUGGUCUUCGGAUAUCUGGAUAACUUCUGAAGCAAACAGUUAAUCUUCGAUAUCGUCCCUUUCCAUAGUGGUUAUCACGCACUGCUUGGACGAACCGCAUUCGCUAGAUUCAAUGCGGUACCACACUAUGCAUACCUCAAGCUCAAGAUGCCAGGACCGUGCGGGGUCAUAACAGUAAACGGAAACAUGCACCGCUCUAUCCGUACAUAAGAGCAUACUACAUCCCUCGCGGUAGAAGUACAAUGCGGCCUCCUCCGACAAACCACCAAUCCGGCGACGACAACCUUGAGCACCGUCAAGCAAGUCCGGAGCACCCCGCAACAGGAUCACCAGGCACGCCAAGAGCGCGACUAGCAGUCCGGCCUCCGCUCGAGCCCCAUCAAAGAAGCAUUCAUGCCACGCGUACACAAUUACGCACUUAAAAUACUAUGGGCAUAGGUGGAGGCGCAGCAGUGACUCAGUCAACAGUGCGGUAUCACCGCAACAUACUUUCAUAACCCUCCCUUUUUAUCUUUCAGUACACUGCCUUAGGGCAGCCUCUUCAGAAGAGCCGGAUUGCCGGACUUACACAGGAAAGAAAACCAAGGAGGCAACAGGCUUUGAGCACAAAAGGAAAUACCCAGGUGGAAUCUGUUCACAAUCGUUAUACCUGUUUUAUAUACCUACAUGCAGCCUGCCCUUGGAUAGGAAAUGUUAAAUAGUCCUAUUUACUACUGCUUAAACGCACCCAUUGUAAACAUACGCUUAAACGUAUUAUUCAUCAAUGGGAGAUCAUAUAUAGCGUCAGCUUAUUAUUCCUAUUUACACAUUUUUUCUGUAAAUGUUUAUUUAAUACUGCAUCCGUACACCUUGGUACGUUCAGUUUGCCAGGGGCUUCUUAUAGCGCCCCAUAGUACGGCAAGACAAGUCCGAACGCGUUCAACAAUGCGGCACCCCGAACUUAUAGCACUAUAUGCAUCAGCUCCGAAUCACGUCUUGGGUCAAUAGUUGGGUUUGCCCGGCUCCUUUGUUUUGGUACCUUACGUUCCGUUAUAUCGGCUAAGGUAGCGCAGAGAGAACUACUGCAUUGUGUCCCGGUUCUUCCGAACGAGCACCUCAGUAGAGAAAGCCAAAAACCGACCGGCAUGAUGCGGCGAGAGCUGGUCGCUGUUCGAGAGGUCAUAAAAUCCUUAAAGAUUUUUUCCGCUUUAGGAAAGGAAUCGGCUUCGUCCGAUUUAGACGUAUAUAGCGCCCCAAUUCGGCUUUCCGAAUUCUAGGGGCUUCGCCGAAAUUUAAAAUUGUAGACUUCUAUGGCUAAGUUAAAGUUAUAAAGAUGCACAGUCCGAUUGCCUUGUUCGCUGCGCCAGAUACCUCCUUAAGGGACCAAAAAUUUGGAUAAAGAGUGUCCGAGUUUUUCCAGGAACACCCCAGUACUAGUUAUGUGGGGGCGGAAGCCGACAACUGGCCUACUUUUAGAAUUCUAAAAUAGCCGCACAGAAGGUAAUAUUUUAAAUCAGAAGCGCUACAUAGCACAAGUAACUUCGUCUUUAUAUUACAAAAACGACAGAAGUGCAUUUAUUCAAAGGUCAUGUUCUUGGUACAUUAUUCGGCCACGAGACGAGCGCCCUUCAUAACACCAUCAUAAUAUUUCUCGGGACAGCAAUGCGCCUUGCCCUCCGACGGCCCAUCCUUCACCAGCUUCUCCGCAUCCAACUUGCCCCAAUGCACCUUCGCACGGGCAAAGGCCCGGCGGACACCCUCUAUGCAAAUGGAUCGCUUGAUCACUUCAAGCCGCGGAGAGGCAUUCACCAUUCACUUGAUUAGGCCGAAGUAGCUAGUGGGAAGGGGCCCACCAGGCCACAUCCGGACUAUGAAAUCUUUCAUAGCCACUUCGGCCGCCCUGCGGAGUUCAACCAACUGCUUCAGUUGGUCACUCAGAGGCAUUGGGUGUUCGGCCCCAGCAUACUAGGACCAGAACAGCCUCUCCAUUGAGCUCCGCUCCUCGGCACAGUAGAACUCCGCGGCAUCUGAUACGCUGCGUGGCAGAUCUGCGAAUACCCCUGGUGUUGGGUAACGUAGUAAUUUAAAAAAAAAUCCUACGCACACGCAAGAUCAUGGAGAUGCAUAGCAACGAGAGGGGGAGUGUAUCUUCAUACCCUUGAAGAUCGCUAAGCGGAAGCGUUUAUCAACGCGGUUGAUGUAGUCGUACGUCUUCACGAUCUGAUCGAUCCAAGUACCGAACGCACGGCACCUCCGAGUUCUGCACACGUUCAGCUCGAUGACGUCCUCGCCUUCUCGAUCCAGCAAGACGAGCGAAGUAGCAGAUGAGUUCCGGUAGCACGACGCCGUGGUGACAGUGUUGGUGAAGAACAAUCUCCGCAGGGCUUCGCCUAAGCACUACGGAAACUAUGACGGAGGAUAAACUAGAGGGGACGGGGUUGCCAGCACACGGCUUGGUGUUUCUUGAUGUGUCUUUGGUGCUAGCCCUGCCCCUCUAUUUAUAUGUUGAGCCUUGGGGUCGAAACUUGGAGUAAAAGCCUCCACAAAGUCGGUUUCACCCAAAAGGCAAGAGUCCUUCUCGGACUCCAGGGCCAGACGCCAGGGUUCCUGGCUUCUGGACCCAGACGCCAGGGACCCUGGCGUCUGGCCCCUGGACUCCGCAAAACUUCCUUUUGCGCUUUCCAAAAACCUUGUGGGCUUUCCCCUUUGGCCCAAAUAAUGUGUUCUCAUACCCAAACAUUUCGAGAAACAUCCAAAACCCCUUCCGGUGAAUUCCGGAACCCUUUCGGAGAUCAAACACUAUUACCCCAUAUAUCAAACUUUAUCUCCGGACCAUUCCGGAGUUCGUCGUCAUGUCCAUGAUCUCAUCCGGGACUCCGAACAACAUUCGGUUACCAACAUACAUAACUCAUAUAAUACUAUAUCGUCAACGAAACGUUAAGCGUGCGGACCCUACGGGUUCGAGAACUAUGUAGACAUGACCUAGAACUGUUUCCGGUCAAUAACCAAUAGCGGAACCUGGAUGCUCAUAUUGGCUCCUACAUAUUCUACGAAGAUCUUUAUCGGUCAAACCGCAUAACAACAUACGUUGUUACCUUUGUCAUCGGUAUGUUACUUGCCCGGGAUUUGAUCGUCGUUAUCUCAAUACCUAGUUCAAUCUCAAUGCCCCGGUUGGCGUCGCGCGGCUCGGUGAUGUAGAACCACCCCGAUUGCCACCCCUUCAUGGUCUUCGUGAAGGAGCCAUCGAGCCAGGUGACUUGGGGCAUCUUGCCCACCAUGGUGCCUCCGUACUCCGCUUGCUGGCUGCUCAUGAUCUUCGGCUUCACGCAGAAGAUUCAUAGCCACAGGCCGAAGUGAGGCCUGAUGCGGAGGAAGGCCUCGCACACGAUGAUAAACGCCGAGAUGUUGAGGAUGAAAUUUGGGGUUAGAUCAUGGAAAUCUAGCCCGUAGUAGAACAUGAGCCCGAGGACGAAGGGAUGAAGUGGAAAUCCCAGUCCACGAAUAAAAUGGGCGAGAAAUACGACCCUCUCAUGGGGUUCCAGAGUUGGAGUGACCUGCCCCUUGUUCGGCAGCCGGUGCGCAAUGUCUGCGGCCAAGUACCCGGCCACCCGGAGCUUUGCGAUAUGCUCCUCCUUCACGGUGGAGGCCACCCACUUGGCUCCUGCUCGAGACAUGUUUGGCUGUGCGGAGAAGGCGUGAACCAGGGCGCUGGAGCACGAGGGUGUGGGAAUGGAUAAGCAGAGGAGGAAGAAGCGUGGGAGAAAAUGGGUAAUCCUUAUCCCUUUAUAAAGGCGACGGACAAUGCGCCUCCCCACUUUCCCAUUGAGAAUCGCUUAUUUCCCAAAUGCCACAAUUGAUUGCGCGGUUGGGUUACCCACACCCGUAUUGAUGGAAAUCCCGUAAUUAGGGGACAUGAUCUCUGCUGUGACAAGACGUGCCGAGGAAACCGCUUCGCAAUAUGCGCUACGGCUGGUUAUGGAAAAACGGUUCGAAUAAUGACCCGACUGUGGUGUCAUGUCACUUUGUCUAAAGUUGUCAGCAGGUUAUAUUUUGUUAAAUACCAUCCUCUCUACAGUGGUACGUGAAGAUCAUCUUGCAGAUCCGGACGCGGUCUAAGUGUUCAAUAAAUACUUUGGAGUAUUCGGAGAUGGAACCCGCCUUGCAAUACCCAAAAAAACUAUGCGCCGGACUCGUUGUCAUUGAAGCCUGGUUCAGGGGCUACUGAGGGAGUCCUGGAUUAGGGGGUAUCCGGACAGCCGGACUAUAUACUUUAUCCGGACUGUUGAGGCGUGAAGAUACAAGACCCAAGACUCCGUUCCGUGUCCGGAUGGGACUCUCCUUUGCAUGGAAGACAAGUUGGGCGAUUCGGAUAUUAUAUUUCCUUCCUUGUAACCGACUCCAUGUAAACCCUAGCCCUCUCCGGUGUCUAUAUAAACCGGAGAGGUUGGUCCUUAGAGGGACGAUCACGAUCAUAAUCAUCAUAGGCUAGCUUCUAGGGUUUAGCCUCUAUGAUCUCGUGGUAGAUCAACUCUUGUACUACUCAUAUCAUCAAUAUCAAUCAAGCAGGAAGUAGGGUUUUACCUGCAUUGAGAGGGCCCGAACCUGGGUAAACAUUGUGUUACUUGCCUCCUAUUAGCAUUAGCCUAAGAUGCACAGAUCGGGACGCCCUACCCGAGAUCCGCCGGUUUUGACACCGACACCCCCCCCCAACAACGCUCAUUGUUCAUCACGGCAAGGAGGCAGCAGGGUUCGAUCGGCUUCUGUUAGUAGCUGUAGCGAAUGAAUCACUCGGGUUCCGUUAACUGUAAGGGAUCGAUCGCUCGGGUUCAGUAUCGUAGCUAGUGCGAUUGCUCGAGUUCAGUUAGAGCCCAACGCCUUGCUAGGGUUCAGUUAGAGCCCAGUGCCUCGCACACACGCGCGUACGUGUACGAGAGAAACGCGCAUUGCUCGGCCCCCGACCAUCCACCAUAACCGGGAACUCCCCGGAAUUUUCCUCGCCCUCGCUUCUACCACAGUUUUUUCCGUCAUGGACGGCCCAAAGAAUGUCAUGCAGCUGCGUCUCCGGCUCGCCCAGGACGAAAAGCCCAUUUUCUGUCAAGAUUUUUUGUCAUAGAAGUAGGAGCCCACCACAUCUAUGAUGAUACUGUGUUUUGUCACAAUUAUCGUCAUAGAAGUGCCAUAAGCAUGAAAAAAAUUGUUCGGCCCAAAAUGUCAUGGAUGUGUCUUUUUUUGUAGUGAAAGUCUGGUACAUUCUCAGUUUGAUCUGCUUAUCAUAGGGAAUGGGAGCAUAAAUUUGGACAAUGUAUGCAUGCGGAGGAUGGCCAAGGUCGAGCCAAUCCUAUGCCCAUUUGGGAUGACAUCUAGAAACUUAAGGUGUUGGCUAGUAUAACAUGGGAUCCUUCCCUGUAAAGGUGUACUGGCAAACAGACAUGUUUUAACACAAGCACAAUGUCCGAUCUGCUUGAGGGGACCUGAUGAUAUCCAGCACUGUCUUUUCAGCUGUAAGAGGGUUAAAUUUAUUUGGUAACAGUUGGAUCUAACAGGGACGAUCAGGAAGGCCAUAUGUCGAGACCGAUCAUGUUUUUUAAACUUAAAUCAAAUUACAGAUGAGAACUUAGGGAAGAGUAUUGGAGGUCUACAUAUACCCGAGCUUGUGAUCGCGACAUCUUGAUACCUUUGGUGGCAAUGUAGACAGCUAAUAAAGAGUGCAUCAGUACUGCCAGCAGAUAGAACAACAACAUCCAUCAGAGCAAUUGGCACAAAUUUCUGGAGAGCAAUUGAAAAGGACGAAAGGAAGAAGGAACCGAAAAAGUGGUGCAAACCAUUGCAUGGCUUUAUGAAAAUUAAUGUAGAUGCUUUAUUCCACGUAAAAGACCGAUUAGGAGCAAGUGAGGCAGUCAUCAAACAUGAAUUGGGUUAUUUUGCAGUUGCUGCAGCAUGUUCGUUCCACAUGUUUCUGAUGCGGCCUCUCGGGAACGGUAUUAAUUUGGCAGCUCAUGAGGGAUGCUUGAGGAUAGAAGCUGAGUCAGAUUGUGAACUUGUGAUUGAUGCAGUAAAAGAUACUUAUAGAUUCAAUGGUUCCCAAGCAGCUACAAUUAUUGAAUGCAUUCAAUUCUCUUGUGACUUCGGACAGGUGAAAUUUUCAUUACGCAACCGAGAAGCAAACAGUGUAGCAGAUGCUUUGGCUAAAUAAAUAUGCUGAGGAAUUCUUCUGUUUGGCAAGAUGACCCGCCUGAUUUCAAUUCUUCUUGAUUGUAAAUGCCAUUGCUAUUGUCCGAGAAACAAAAUCUUUACCCUGUCAAAAAAAAUAUUAUUUUUCCCCAAUUAUUUGCUCAUCAUUGGAAUUGUUCUCAAAGUUGAUAAAUCUACCCCAUGCAAAAAACAAAAAUAUUGAUCCGUGUGCACCUUCAAUUAGUAAUUUGGACCAAAGUGUCUAGUGUGAACUAAAGUGCCUCUUUCUAGGGACUUAAGAAAUGACACUUCAGAAUAUGACCGACCGUUUCGUGAAGAAAACAUGAUCGACCAUGAUCUAGAAGCCUCUAAACCAAACCAAGUUCACCAAUUGGGACUGGAAAAAUGAUGCAAAAGAAUGAACGCACCAGAAAGGGAACGCAGAUCCAAGCUGUAUUUUGCGGCCAUAGAAUAAAUCAAACAAUGACCCAACUCAUGUUCUUCAAGGUACCCAUUUAGAAAUUUCUUAACACUAUCAAAUAGCUGCUAAUCUGAAUACUAAGAAUUAAUGUGAUUUGUAUCCCUACUCUAAUGUGUAUUUGAUCCUUUGAAUCUACUUAACUAUAGCGGUUGCGGUAGAGGAAUGGUAUUAGGAAGACAUCUAGGAAAAAAAGUGAUUGAUUAAAUUAUUAAAUGACUACAUGGCAUUACGUUUUUCUUCCCACUCUUUUGUUUGUUUUUCUUAUCUUUCAAACUAACUAGAUACUUGCUUCCCUUCGAUCUUCACUGGUGAGCCCGUGGAUUCGCCUCCUCUCCGCCUGCUGCUCCGGCGGCUGCUGGCGGGGGCGGGUAUUCCUGGUGCCUCGUCUUAGUUAGGUAGGGUUUUAGUUCUCACAUGGGCGGCACUUGGACGGAUGGCGGCGCUCCUUCUUCAAGUCAGUCUUCUGGGCUCCGAUCCUCCUCAAGUUCAUCCUUCAGAACAGAUUUCACAGAGCUCAGAUGUAGAUUCCUGCCAGCUCCUCGGAACGGCAAGGUUAGGGUUUCUCAACAUGCGUACACAACAGCGAGAUUUGGUGUGAGGUUCUUUAGAUCGAUUCACGGAUUCAAUGGCGACGACUGCGGCUCCAGAAUGCUGGUCCUUAGGGGCACGCGCAUGAAGACCUCCCGGCUGUCAUCGACAAGGUCAUGUCGGAUGCGGUAUGAGAGCGGCGACAGCGAUGCGAGGCGGCUUGUUCAACCAGCGGCAAUGGUCGUACGGUUGUCCAUGGACCUCGAUGUAAUUUUUAUUAUGUUUGGGUGCUUUGUAUUUCUGAUGAAUCUUUAUAAUAAAUCUGUUUUUUUCGCAAAAAUAAAAACCUAACUAGAUACUUAAUUUCUGUUUAUGUAUUUGGAUUGCUAAAUUUCAGUCGACUAAGACUUAGCAAAAUCUCAGUCGAUGCUCUAUUCACGAGAUCUUAUGUGGUGAUUCAUGCAAAAUUUCCUUUUUCAUGUUUUUUUCUUUUUAUAUGUUAUACAUCAUUUGACUGAGACUUGGUUAAGUCUCAAUCGACUGAGAUCUAGCCACACCCUUUAUAUAUUUUUAGGCUAAGGACAUUUUUUUUCAUUGCAGCGCACAAGCAUUUUUACUGGUUGGUAAAAGAGGAAUUAUAGAAACCGUGGGACAUCUUGACGUAUGAAGUUCUUAGCCACGGCUAGCUCCUCAAGGCACACGCACGGCUUGAGCUUGACUGAGCUAUGGACCGAACAGGCGGGCCUGGCUUGCCAAUGGACGAGCGGGCUGGCGUUUUUAUAGCCGGCGCGAGAGUGCGGGAAGCGGUCAUAUAGAGAAAAAUUCACUAUAGGUCAUUAAACUUAAGCCGGUUGACAGUUUGGUAUCACUAUUUUAAAAUACUAAACUACGGUUCAAGUACUUGCGUAAGGGGUUUAUUUUGGUCCAUUUGUACGUUAUCGUGUACGUAUUUGCUGACUUGGCCGUGUCAGCGGCCGCCAGCCCGCUUUGACCGCGACGUAGUCGAUUCAAGGGUGAAUACUACUCGAUACGGUUUUUUUUUUACUAAAACGCCAUGACCAGCUCCCUGUCCGUCUUCUUCCGCAUGGUAGGAUUCCUCAGGAACAGCUUGACCUUCCUGUCGAGCCAGCCCACGGUGGUGGUGCUGUCCAUCCACCACGGAGAUUCGCUCCUCCUCUCCGCCGUGGAUUCGCUCCUCCUCCUAUCCCGCGGCACUGUCCUCCACCACGGAUCACUCGCCUCCCUCGACGCUGCCCUCCUCUCACACGGCUUCGCCGUCCCCGCGCAGCUCAACCCGCUAGAGUACGCCCUCGAGGUCAUCCACCAGAUACCCCAUCCCUCGCCCUCCUCCCCUGAACCCAAGUCAGCGCAAGAUCUCACAACCAAGGCAUCGGAUUCGGACCAAAGUUUUAAAUAGCGCGCUAAGACUUUUAGCGAUGGACCUCUUCUAAAUGCUAUAGCGUGCGAUAGCGGUGCUAUAGCGCGCUAUUUAAAAUGUUUGCUCUUGAGUUUGGACAAAAGAACCUUAGCGCAGGACCUUUUCUAAAUGCUAUAGCGUGCUAUAGCGAAGCUAUAGCGUGCUAUUUAAAACAGGGAUUCCGACCGCCGCAGGCCGGCCUUGUCGUGUACUUCGCCGUGCUCACGGAUACAUGAGUUCGUGGUUCUGUACAAGAGGGCGUGGAAGGUGGUGUAUCGCAGCAAGCAGCUGCUAUUGACCAACUUCCUCGAGGCUGUGAUCGUCGGGACGCUGCUGGGCACCAUCUACAUCAACGCCGGCUAUGGCAAGGCCGGCGCACACAAGCGACUGGGGCUCUUCGCCUUCACGCUGAUGUUCCUGCUCACCUCCACCACCGAGACGCUGCCAACGUUCGUCACGGAGCGAGUAAAUUGCUCAAAGCCACCAUGUUUGUGCUAGGAUACUUCAAAACUACCACUUUUGCCAAAAAUCACAAAAACCACCACUUCUGUGGUAAAUGAGUCACAAAACGCACUGAUUCGAAACUCAGCAACGCUUAAUAACAAAACUGACAGGGUUGACCCAUCUGUCAGGCUGACUUGGCAUGCACAUCUGUACAAUAAAGUGAGGUGGAAGGGGGGCCCACCUGUCAUACUCCCAUCUCUCCUCCGUUGACUCCGGCCCUGCCCCGACUCUUGGUGCCCGGCGAGGUAGGCAUGCGAUGGCGAGCAGCGCCGCUUCAGCUCCGGCAAGUGCCCCUCCCAUCGAGGCGAACGGCACCCACGUGCGCACGAAGCUGGCGGUCUCGGCGAGCGCGUCGAAGGUGAGGAGCGCGCCGCCGUCGUCACAGAGGUAGCAGGCGAGCUUCUCGACCGGGUAGUCGGCGGCUAGGAUGGAGAUGAUGGUGUUCGCGGUGACAAGCGGCGGCUCCUUCUCCGGGUUAGCGCUGGAGACGAAAACGUCAAUGCCGGGGAGGUCGGAGCGGCCCUUGGGGUUGCGUGCAGUGGGCAACUCGAAGCGGUCGGCGGCGGCUCCUUCUUCUCCAUGCAUGCGAUCACACACACUCGUAUACGCACUACGUAGUGUAGUAAAGGAAGGAGAAGAAAUUCGUGGAUUGAUCAAUGGUCACCUCUUGGCUCUGGACGCUCUCCGGCUGAGCACGACCCAGUAGAGCACCCGGUAGAGGAGGAAAAAUCCAAACAGCACCUGCACUCCCGUCCACCGCUCCUCCGCCGUGAGGCCCCUCGCCGCUGUUAGGUUUAAUCUUAAUUCAUGUAUCUGCAUAUUUACUUUGCUUUCGUUAUGCAUGUUGCAUAGGUUAGAGAGUAGCUAGUCUGGUGAAGUUUCAGUGGAGACAUGCGAAGACGGCGAGAUGCCGGGCUGUCGUGCGAUACGGCGAGCACAACGAGAUGCCGAUGGCAGCGUGAAGGGCAGUGCAGUGUGAUACGACGCAAGGCUUGAGGCCGAGAGGGCUGGUGAGGAAAAGAUGUAGCAUAUGUGUGUCUCACCGGGAGAACAAAGCAAAGCUGGUUCCUCCACGGUGAGGUGUGUGUGUUCCCUCCAUGUGUGCGUUCUUGUUCUCUUGAGAAAAAAGAGAGUUGUGAGAGACAACGAGAGGUAGAAGAAGAAGUGGCGCUGCGAGGAGGCGGCGCCAACAAUUGGUAUCAGAGCCUUGUUGAUCCGAGGUGGCGACGACGGUGCCGGCAGCUUUGAUGGCUGGCGUGGCGGUGGCGGAGGCAAUGGCGACGCGGCGGACUCCAUGUGACGUGGAGGACGUCGGCGCGAGGUGGAGGCCAUUGGCGGCGCGAUGCCGCUGGUGGCCGGUUGCGGUGCGAUGCUGCAAGUUGACGAUGGUGGUGUGAUGCCAUCAUCUCAAGGAAAGUCGGUGUGAUGCCGACGGCGGUGGUGCGAUGCCAUCGCCAUCAUGAAGAGUUGGUGUGAAGCCAAUAAAAGUUGCAGCGUGAUGUUGUGGCAAGACGGCAUGGUGAUCGGCGUUGCGACAGCGUCGUCCACGUCAAGAGGUGGCCGCUGCGUGAGGCAAGAGUACAGGGUGUUGGACACCCGCGCUGCGAUGGAGUCGGUCCACGGCAAGGUGUGCAACGCCGUGAUGGCAUCGUCAAGUGGCAGCGGGUGAAGCCGCGUGGAGACUGGAGAAUCAAGAUUAGGUGGAAAAUGUUAGGUUUAAUCUUAAUUCAUGUAUCUGCAUAUUUACUUUGCUUUCGUUAUGCAUGUUGCAUAGCUUAGAGAGUAGCUAGUCUGGUGAAGUUUCAGUGGAGACAUGCGAAGACGGCGAGAUGCCGGGCUGUCGUGCGAUACGGCGAGCACAACGAGAUGCCGAUGGCAGCGUGAAGGCGCGGUGCAGUGUGAUACGACGCAAGGCUUGAGGCCGAGAGGGCUGGUGAGGAAAAGAUGUAGCAUAUGUGUGUCUCACCGGGAGAACAAAGUAAAGCUGGUUCCUCCACGGUGAGGUGUGUGUGUUCCCUCCAUGUGUGCGUUCUUCUUCUCUUGAGAAAAGAGAGAGUUGUGAGAGACAACGAGAGGUAGAAGAAGAAGUGGCGCUGCCAGGAGGCGGCGCCAACAGCCGCCAGCACGUCGCGCCCCAUCUCCGAGCACUCCUCUCCGGCGCCGGCCACCCCGCAGCACCGGUUCGCCGCGCACAAGUACUCGUUGGCGAGCAUGGCGUCUAGAGCGUACUUGUAGGGAGAGGCGUAGUGCAUGAACACCCAGUACACCGGCGCCCCUCCUCCUCAGCUGCGGGGCGCGUCCGUGGACGCGGAUGCCCGUGGUUCUGUUCGGCGUGGGCGGGUUGUGCACGGUGUAGUGCACGAACUCGGCGCUCGCGUCGGCACCGUCCCUCGACGUGUACCGGCUCUCCCCGCUCCGGCGCACCGGCGAGACCUGCAGCGUCGCGGUGGAGGAGCCGAUAGAGUGCCUGGGCACGGGGCUGGUGAGCCCGGGCCCCCUCCUCACGACCCCAUCCCCGGGGCUCCCGCAGCCAGCACCCUUCCCUCUCGUCGGCGACAUGGUCACCGUCACCGGCGAGCCCGCCGGCAACGACAGCCGCCGCGACAUCCCUCCACCGGUUCACCCCCGCCUCCUCCAAAUCAGCUCAAAACUCCAGACGAUCAAAGAACCAGCAGCAAGCAGGGCGAUCAGCAGCUCUAACUGAUUCCUCGCGCUCAAAGAAGAGAAAAGAAGUGUAGUCAUGGCGUUUUUGCCAAAAAAAAAUCCGAUCGAGUAGUAUUCACCCUAGGAUCGGCUAAGUGGUGAUCAAAGCAGGCUGGCGGCCACUGACUCGGCCAAGUCAGCAAAUACGUAUACGAAAUCGUAUAAAUGGACCAAAAUGAAUCCUUGCGCAAGUAUUUGGAUCGUAGUUUGGGUAUUUUGAAGUAGUUGUAAAAAUCUGUCACCCGGCUCAAGUUUGGUGAUCUACGGUGAAUUUUUCUCGGUCACAUAAACCUGACUGUGUAGGUACUGCACCGUCGAAUCAGAUGCCGAUCGUCGUGCACGAGAGCGUGUGGCGCUGUUGAGGUCGUGGGCGAUCAGGGCACAGCUCUACUGUUUACGCCCGUACCUUAGUGCAACCAUGGUCAUUGAAUGCUAUUGCUGUCUGAUGGUAGCACCACGUUACCGUGCUGUACCUGGAUGGUUACAAGUCUCGCUGGACUUCUCGACGUGGAUGCACAUAUGAACGGCGUACGUUCAGUCGUGCAUCCUUGGAUUUAAAAUAUUUUUUCGGAGUGUGACACACACUUACGGCGCAGAAAAUCAAAUAGCAUUUCAGCUUAUAAUUUGAGAGGGGGAGGCAGAUAGGCACCGGGGAACAACAAGGUCGCUGUCCAGAACGAAAAGACGAUGCAUGUCUUGUUGUGCGCGCGUGCCCUGUCGCUCAUGGCAUCGCCAGGUGGUCGCGGUCGACGUACCAUUUCCGGAUAGACGAGGCCACGUGCACGCAGAUGGUCGUCCGGCCACCAAGAAUUUCUGUGCACCCGGGUUAACGGCGUCACGGGCCAAGCCGCCCAGAGUAGCAUGGCAGGCACAUGUAUGACCGGUCGUGUUAAUCAAUCCGCUGCCGCGCGCCUUUUCGUGGAGGCAUGCAUACGAACGUAGAUGCCCUCGCCAAUGUAUAUCGUUUCGGUGAUAGACAUGUUCCUAUUCUGGAAUUGUGCCAUCCACCUCUGAUCUUCGUUAUAAGAAAAGGGCAAUGCCAGCAAGCCUUUUUUUUCACUGCUAUCCUACCCUGUCACUCAUUUCCUGGACGCGCACGGUUCUCUUCCGUUCGCUACUCAUUCCAUGGACGAGCACCGUUCGCUUCCGUUCGCUUAAUGAUGACGUGGCCGUAACAUCCGUGUCCCGCUACAUGAUCACCGAGUCCGUCCUCACCUCCGAGCCCGUCCAGAUGCAACCAGUUCUAAGCCAGCUUUGGUGUAGCUCCAUUUACACAAUCCUCUCCACACGUUGAUCCACUUUCGUGCACACCGCCACAGCAAGGUAGAUCGUAGUGCCGGAGUUCUAGCGAGAUUUGUGUGCUUAAACAUGUGUGCAUAUUGUUUUGAGUAGCAGUAAAAUGUGAUGUUGCUUGUAUGUAAUCUUAAUGUCUCGCGUGUUUUUGUUUAAGUCAUUUUUUUGCUUCAUUCUUUGGGUGUUCGGUUUCACCUUAUUUCCCCUUAUGUGCUCCCAUAGCCGUGAAUAUCUAUAAAUGUUCCUAGACAGUAAUAGUGAUUAACCUCUUUAUGUAAUGUCUAUACGUAUGUUCAUUUCUGUAGAGUCGAGAUCUGGUGUACCCAUUUUUUGUCCUGAUUUCUAUGUUUUCUAGAUGGAUUUCUUUGUUUCUUGAUCAUGUAAGAUCAAUGAGGACAUUCCUUCGCAUAUUGGAAGCCUAUUUUUUUUCUAUUUCUAUGUCUGUUAAAAUCCUAUGAAUCAAUGAGAACCAGUUAUCAUAUCAAUGCAAACAACAAGUGACGAGGCUAUGCCCAAUUUUUUUCAAUACACACAGAAAAGGUCAAGUACACAGCAAAUACCAUUCAUCUGACAUCAUUCUUUGCUUUAUUUAAUUAUUUCUCCAUUAUGAAAAUGGUCUUACACUUAAGGCCUAGGUACUUGACGCGGGUGGAGGUGGUAGCUUUAUUUCCGGAACACGAUAACCUGCAAAAUUUCAUUCUUCACAUCAUAAUGAUGAACAUGAGAAAUUAUAUAAAGUGUAUAUAUAUAUAUUUGUGUGUGUUUGUGUGUUUGUGUGUGCACGCGCAAAUAUGACAAUAUACCAACCUGCACAGUGAGUGUCUGUGUGCAACCCAUUGCCGCAUACAUGUGUAGCCAUGGCAAACUUGGCUAGACUGAGCAAAGUCAGUUCGUGAGCGGUGAACCGAUCACAGACGCAGUGGAUGUCUUUUGCAUCCCUUAUUGUAUUGCAACAUGCGCUAUGGAGUGGCGGGUACUGGUCACCAAGUUUCUUUUCGAUGUGAUGCCAACAGUCUCGCAUCACCUUUUUUUUAUCAAGGAGGCAGUGAUCUAUAUUGUUGGCUUCUUGUGCAUGGAGCGAACAAGAAGAAAGAGCCACAAUGACUAGGAAGCAUAACACUCCAGCUACUUUUGCGUUGUUCAUGUUCUAUGUUGUGUAGCACUAUUGGUAUGUGUUUAUGCAGGACUUCUGUGCCACUCAAUCUCUAUAUAUAGUGGUCAUAGUGAAGUUUUUAGACUCCAUUCGCUCAUCAAUCGCUUAAUUGGACUCUUUUAACUAGGUGAGAGAUAUAUGACUUAGAUAUGUUAUAAUUUAAUGUUUGCACAUCUAGAUCUUGUAUAAAGUUGUUGGCAAUGGAUGUGGAUGCAAGCCAUUAAUUAUUGGCAAUGGAGUAGUUGAUUUGGAACUCUUAACAGAUAUAUGUACAUAACUUGGGUAUGUUGAUAAUUAAUGUAGGGACAUGUGUGGUCCUUGUAGUAUCACAUCGAUGGUAAAGGAUACUUCUAAUUAAAUAUAGCUAGGUGCAUCCAUUUCUUGUAUCAAAUUGAUGGUAGCGGAUAUGUAGAUAAGCCUAUUUAUUUGUCUGUCUAUCUAUAUCUCUAUCUCUAUCACUAUCUCUAUCUCCAUCUCUCUCUCUCUCUCUCUCUCUCUCUCUAUCUCUAUCUCUAUCUCUAUCUCCAUCUAUCCAUCUAUCUAUCUAUAUAUCUAUCUAUGUAUGUAUGUAUGUAUGUAUGUAUGUAUGUAUGUAUGUAUGUAUCUAUAUCUAUAUCUAUAUCUAUAUCUAUAUCUAUAUCCAUCUCUAUCUCUAUCUAUCUAUCUACCUAUCUCUAUCUCUAUCUCUAUCUCCAUCUAUCUAUCUAUCUAUCUAUCUACCUAUCCAUAUCUAUAUCUAUCUCUAUCUCUAUCUCUAUCUCUAUCUAUCUAUCUACCUAUCUAUCUAUCUAUGUCUAUAUCUAUCUGAUACUAAUAACGGACUCCCAACAUAUUAAAACUUCAAUCAGUGAAAACAAGAAAUAGAAACCACUGAUUUUAGCGGGCCUGAAUUACUAUGAUUACGAUCUAUUAAUAAAUCCCUUGGAUAUUUCAAAUGAAAAAUGGAACUUGGAUCUCUCAACCAGGGAAAAAAAGUAAAAGAUAUGAUGCAAUGUAAACAACCGUUCAGAUUUGACACGGUAGCUGAGACGUCAUGCAAUUGUCAAAAUCAUGACUAUGUUUCUUUGUGACUAACCUAGAUACGACCUGAUUCGUAUAUCUCCAGCCAAUUUGAAGUCCAUCGAUAAUUCCAUUGCCAUCUCAUGGCCUUGGCUUGGAGGAACUAUGCCACAUGGUAAAGCAGUCCCGAUAUAAUCUCUCUGACCUUCUCAACAUUCGUCAUGCCUGUUCCUAGCCAUGGAUAUCUGCCGGCACCAACCAGCACACAAACUAUAAGUAGAAAAAGACGAUCGGGGGUUAUGAUUAUAGGGAUUUAGACAUAGUUUUCUUAUCUUUUAGAUCCGCUGAGGAUGUUGUUACAGUGAUGGAACAUACAUCUGGUUACCUAUAUGCUCAACAUAGGGUGGUGCAUAUUUGAUUCCAUCAAUAAUUUAACGCACUAACCGACAUGGAAUCUUUCUUUGUCUUUUUGUUAUUUUUUACAUCCUCCGCUAGUUCUUGCAAUCUUCUAAAUAAGUCACGUUCAGUUGGUCACUGUUGGUUCAUAGAGUUCUUUCAUGACCAGUAGAAAGUUUAUGUGUGUUGACAUUGGGAUUGGCGGCCCAAAAUAAGGAUAUGAAUAUGUUGCAUUAGACUUCUCUCCUUGCCAUCGAUCCUCAUAUUUGCGCCUUGGGGGUGAUCUUGAUUUCUUUGCAUGAUUUGGCCGAUAAGUAUUCUUGUCUUCACUCUUUUGAUAUUUACCCAAUAGUUCAGCGAAGAUUAUUUUAAAUCUCUUACACUUGCGCUUAUUUCGGCCUUUGUUUUCUUUUUGUUUGCUUUCAUCAAUCAUUGGAGUUUCUUGUUGCCCCACAGUCCUUAGCGUCUUCAUUGUAGCUUCGAUAGAAUUUUCACCCUCAAGAAUAUUAUCAUUGUGAUCUUAAAAGAUUUUCUUACCUGAAAGCUUAAUCCCAUUUUCUGCAGUUUUUCUUUCUCAUGUUUAAAUAGACCAGCAUGAAGCAGCCGAUGCAAAAACUGUUUACCAUCAGAACCAAUCGGAAUAGACUGGUCAUCUCUUGGUGUCUCAACAAAUUUGAACCGUCCUUACACUAGUAGAAAAAGGACCUAAUAUGGGACACAUUGUGCUCUUGGUGUUUGCACUUUAGCGCCGGUUCGUGAUGAACCNNNNNNNNNNNNNNNNNNNNNNNNNNNNNNNNNNNNNNNNNNNNNNNNNNNNNNNNNNNNNNNNNNNNNNNNNNNNNNNNNNNNNNNNNNNNNNNNNNNNNNNNNNNNNNNNNNNNNNNNNNNNNNNNNNNNNNNNNNNNNNNCAACCGGCACUAAAGGCCAUCACGAACCGGCACUAAAGCCCGGUUCUGCACUAGUGUUAUCAAUGUCCGAUUUAACUAUUUGACGAAACAUAUUGCAAUCCUCGAAAUUAUGUUUCAACGAAUGAUGCAUUCUAAAUCACAUUCAUCCUUGGUUUGAUGACUUGACAUGGUGAUCAAGAAUUCCAAUGUAAUUAUUUUUCAGCGACAAGUCAAAUAUUUGAUCACACAUACCUGAAUUGAAGGUAAACCUUUUAUUUUCUAGACGAGCUUGUUGUGAGAAUGGCUUUAGAGGUAAGCACACGAAUGGUUCAGAUUUGGAAUCUCCCCAUUCGGCUAUGAAUUUUCUUUUGCAUUAUUUUUCUGGUGUCAUUGGAUAACAUAUUAUACUAGCAUCAAUUUUUCUCAAAAGAAUCUAAACUUGACAUUAUGUUUCUGAAACAAAAAUAGUUAGAACACACAUGUCUCAAUUGAGACGAAAAGCAUGCCAAGUAAGAAAUAAGGAAAGCUACCCAACUAGAUAUGAACUUUACAUAAAGCAAUGGGGAAAGCCUUGGCUGUAACAAUAAGUCACUCUCGGUCUCUAUAAAUGGCGCAAUGGGUUGACCGAUAUGCUCUAUAACAAUUUUAUCGCUUACAAGUAAAUUACCCUUCUUCACUGGUCUUUAAAAAUUACUUAUUAGGAUUUUUUCUAACAGAUGCAUCAACAGUAAAGUUGUCACCAAAUAUGAGAGCAAGUAAAUUACUUGAUAGACAUACCUCUUCAAAUUUGUUGGGAGAGCAUGAUGGUGGUGUGACUUGAACAAUAUCUUGCUAUGUCUUUGGAUGGCUCCCCAACGCCUUUUCAUCAUAUUCUUUAUUCUUGAUUUUGUGCAUUAUUAUAUCGAAGAUCUUUGUCAACCGAGCUUUUUCGGCUACUUGUUCUUGUCCUCGAGGCUUGUCAAUUUCUACGGCACAGAACUCAUAGGGCACGAAGUAGGUUCCAUUAACUUUUAAAAAAAUCAGGCACGACUGUUUUCCUAUGCUUGCCAUGACCUUUCUCAAUAAUGCUUGCCUAUUUGGAUUUGAUGGAUUCAGAAUAUACACUACUUGAUUCGGGGUUUUCAACCGAAGCAUUUUCAUGUUAUGAAUCAUCCUUCUUUUCAUUGACUCUACCAAUUGGCGAUGCUUCUUUUAUCUGAGUCAAUUCUUUUUCUGUUUGUUUCUGGCGGUGUGCGGAAAAAUUGGCUUUAAGAUGUUUCUCAAUUUCAGCCCACUCCGGAUAUGAUUGCUUCCCAAUGCUUUUAGAUUCCUUUGGCAAUCACACAUGAGUGUUGCCAAAACUUCGCAAUUGCAUAGGGGGUGUUUAAUAUUUGGGCAGUAUAACUGCACCUAAUCCCUGCUCUCUCACGCCAUUAGGCUUUGUGGCUGUUCGUUUUGCUGAUUUAACCAUUCUUGGCUGUCAAAUCUACGUGAUGUAGCGUCAUUGCCCAAUUCCUACAGCAUCCAGGCCCAACUGUCCUAAGGGGAUGCUACUCUGGAAGAAAAAACCGAGGCCUCUUGUUAAUUGGGCCACUUGAGGCAGCCCAUUUAACAAUCCCGACUCCAAUCUGUCGAUGGCUCGCUGCAGCUGUCCCUUGUACCGAAAAAACAAAUGUGCCGUCAAUAGGAUGUGUUGGACUCGAAUAGAGGAGGCGCUCAAGGGAGCCAGUCGCGCGAGGGGCUCGAGCGGUGGCGAAACAAGAUGAGUUGAGCGACAGGAGCCGAGGCGCGCUAGUGGAUCCACCCUCACGCGGUUCAGCCGAUGCGUGUGAGGGGAACCGAUCCAACCUAAGAGGGGAUCCAGCGGAUGCGCGGGAUGCGGAUGAAUCAGGAGCAAGUGAGGCAGUCAUCAGAGAUGAAUUGGGUUAUUUCAUAGCUGCUGCAACAUGUUCUGCCACAUGUUUCUAAUGCGGCUACUGCUGAAGCAAUUGCUCUCAGGAAUGGUAUUAAUUUGGCAGCUCAUUUGGGAUGCUUGAGGAUAGAUGCUGAGUCAGAUUAUGAACUUGUGAUUGAUGCAGUAAAAGAUACUUAUAGAUUCAAUGGUUCCCAAGCAACAACAAUUAUUGAAUCCGUUCAACUCUCUUGUGACUUCGGACAGGUGAAAUGUUCUUUACGCAACCGAGAAGCAAACAGUGUAGCAGAUGGUUUGGCUAAGCAAGCAUAUAUGCUGAAGAAUUCUUCUGUUUGGAAAGAUGACCCACCUAAUUUUAUUUCUUCUUUGAUUGUAAAUGACAUUGCUAUUGUCUGAGAAACGAAAUCUUCACCCUGUCAAAAAAAUUAUUUCUCCCCAAUUAUUUGCUCAUCAUUGGAAUUGUUCUCAAAAUUGAUAAAAUUUACCCCAUGCAAAAAAUAUUGAUCUGCUUGCACUUUCAGUCAGUAAUUUGGACCAGAGUGUCUGGUCUGAACCAAAGUGCCUCUUUCUAGAUGCUUAAGAAAUGACACUUCAAAAUAUGACUCACCGUUUCAUAAAGAAAAUAUGAUCGAUCAUGAUCUAGAAGCCUCUAAACAAAACCAAGUUUGCCAAUUGAAACUGGAAAAAUGAUGCAAAAGAAUGAACGCACCAGAAGGGGAACUCAAAUCCAAGUUGUAUUUUGCGCCCAUCUUAUACUAUUUACUAAUUGGAGGCACCAUGCGAGGUUCCAUGUUAAUCCCGGUAGUUAGAAAAUUUGGACCAUUAGAUUUACUAAUGAUACGUCGAUGACCGUCAGAUAAUGUCUUGAUGCGCCUCUUCACGUGCGGGAGACAAACUCUUCUAUUUGCACCUCCUUACGUGAUAAAAAAAUUGAAAUAAAAAUCAGCGGGGAAGCACCUCUUCACGUGGAGGAGACAGACUCCUCUCUUUCCACGUCCUUACGCAUCAUAAAAAAACUGAAAUAGAAACCAGCACAAAAACACGAUUAUGUAAUCCUCGCCUCCUACCCUCCUGCCUCCCAUCGCCGCUUCUUCUCCGCAAGCAGGACUGAUCCCUCGAUCUGCUGACCACCAAUCUCCCUCAUCUGGUCUUCAAGGCAGCUCCCGCACCAUCUAUCUCCUUCCUCGGGCUACCUUAGAGAUUGCCUCCCCAAUUUAUUGAGGUAUUAGCCCCCCUCCAUGCUCGCCACGUACUUAAGUAGGUCAAAAAAAUUGGCCACAUGUACAGUAGAAUUCAGCAGCAUGUGUUGCAUUGGAGAUGCAUGAGGAGAAUCAAGCUCCCUGCCCCUUUUUGCUGCAGGUAGGUAUAUGGUUUCUAUCUAAUCAACUAUUUGGUAUCUAUAUAACAUGGGACACUAGCAACCAAGUAGAGGUAAAUCAUAUAGUUUUUACAAAUUCAACUAUUAUCCAUACAAUUGUCCAUCCUUAGAUUUGAGUGGAACCCAAAAUUAAUACCAACCUGGCUGCUAGAGUAUGCAAUUUACUAAGGUUAGAUGGCAGUGGAAUUAAUUAGGUUUUUAUUCAAUCUGAUUUCUACUAUGUAUAGCCAGUUUGGUUUCAAUGUCAAUGGAAUAAAAUACUGGACAAAUGAAUGUCAGAAUAAUUUUAUACGAAGACUAAAAAUUAUUCUCUCCUUGAUUUUAUUAUUUUGUUUCCAUAUCACACUGCACUGAAGAAAAAGAGCGGUGUGGGGACAUUUUAAUAACUCGGGGGGUUCUGGCUGAGGGCGAGAGAUCUUGAUGGAGAAUGUGUGCUAGAGCUCAAAAAUAGAGGGGUCUGCAUCAAUGAACACUUGCAACAUACAAUAUACAGCCGUGUGGAGUUUGUUCCAGACGAAGUAGCAUUUACACACGUAAAUGUUGCUCUGUUGUAUAAGCAGUAGAAAAAGUGCUGCGACCGCCAUGUAUGGCUGUUUAAGGUAGACUGCUAGAUUAUGCAAUGAUUGGAAAUUGUUAAGCCUGAAUGACUGGAAGAGGGAUUCUAAUCCUACGGGAAACCAUUAGGAAUAAUAACAAAUAUCCAGUAACAGAUGUUGAUUUUCAUUAUAACAUACCUAAAAUUCAUUAAAAAAGGAUGUGUAAUUUCUACCUAAUCACUAAGUGCAUAGUUUUAUCACCAAGUUAUCCUAGACAUACAUCCUCGCGAACAACAUCACCAAGUUGCUUGCAUACUGCACUGCAAGUUUAGAACAUUUGAAUGCUUAUGAUACAAACCAAUGCUCAAAUUUGAAGAAUUAUACUUUUUGGAUUAUGGUUCAAUUUAUUAUUUGACAAUCGAGGACACGUUGCUUCACUUCAAUUUCACAUGUGUAGGAUACGAGAAUGCCUUGGCCCAGGAUUCCUGGGCGGGGAGGUUGAGGUACAAAACCUUUCACUGAGUGGAGAUAUCAAACGUUGCCAUGGAAGGAGCACGAUCCAAGAUCUCAUAGGCAGGUAGCAGAAUCGCAUGGAGUGAAGCUCGCUUCCCCAAUGUCCUCUUGGCUGACUUAAAAACAAAUCGGAAAUCUCGUACGUGAGCACGUCCUCAAGAACGCAUCCGUCACCUGUAGCGUUCAACUGGGCUUCGUCAACACAUCAGCAGUCUCGGAGUUCAAACUUGCUCAUGCAUGCAGCCUUGUAGCAAGAAGCAAAGUAUAUACGAUCGUAUUGAAGACUUGGCUCAUAGUAGCAAUGUCUAAUCCACGGAACCCAGAGCUAUGCACUACUUCACUAGCACAUGAUAGCUAGGUAUAUACAUUUUUCACUACUCCAUCUGUAUAAUACAACACACCCUCUACAUUUUAUCAGUAUCGACUGCAACUUAUGGACUAUGGGUGAAAAUUGUACUACAACAUAGUUUUGGAGUGUACAUUUGUGAAUUUAGGAUAUUUUUUUGUAACAAAACAGAUCCAAAUGGUAUACAUAUUUUAGAUGACCAAUUUAUUUGCUCGAUGUUCACACAGAGGGAUGCCUAUGUGGAUAAAUUAGUUUUAUUUGUCACCCAAACAUUGCUACACAAUUUGACAUUUGCUUGCAGUUACGGGUUCGAUCCUUCAAGCCAUUUCUUCAUGGGAUGUGGCAUUAAUUGUGCGAGUGACUAGAAAUAAGUUCUUCGCGAAUUAGGCACUGAAUAUGCAUCUGUACAGGCUACGUUGCUACAUAAAUAAAAGAGGCGGCCAUGCACAAUACGAUAGUUCAAACAACAGAUAGUUGAAAAGAUAAAAUAAUUGAUAGGGUGUGCUAAUGGAGGGGUAGAUAUUAAUAGUAUAUGUGGACUAUCCAGUUACCCAUGACACUCAGAAUUACAAAUUGACAUGUGGGUUGUUACUCAACUUACUGCACAUAUGUAUUAUUAAAUUUCAUAUAACCUUGGGAAUAUAAAAAAGUUCUUUUGCAACUAGCCAUCAAAUUGGAUAUUUGUAUCAAGAUUAUGUUUUCCAUCUAUGGGAACUUGCAGCUUUUAUUCUAUUUCUUUAUUGAAACCAAAAUAUACAAUUGAAAAACAUGAACAAGUAUAUUAUAGCAUGUGCCCUUUAAACAUGCUACCAUUAUUUACACAAAACAAAACAAUAUGAUGUCAUUACUAAAUUGUCUAAAGAUCUAGCCAGCGCAUCGAGCGGGCCACUUUGCUAGUUCAAGAAAAGGUCAUGUCUUUACAGAAAUGUUCAAUUCCCCCUCAGUUUGAACUUGUAAGGUGUACUGAUUUUGAACAAGUUUAUAGAAUAAAACAUAAAUAUCUACUAUAGAAAAUCAGUAUCAUUAGAUUCAUGAUGAAGUAUAUUUCCAUAUUUGAUUUAUUUAGGGGCUGUUCGGAAAGCCUCCACGCCCUCGCCACGGAGCAGAGCGGACGGAGCGACCUUCUGGCCACUCCGUAGAUUAUAGUUGCAUGCCACUCCGCUCCGGAGCGGAGCCGCGGAGUGGGAGUGAGUCCGAGCAGGCCUUUAGUAUCGUAGGUGUUAGAUGUAUUUUGCUACAGAUUUGAUCAAACAUAGGAAACUUUGACUUUUGGAAAUUUAAUUCACCUUAUAUUUUGACAGACAUGGAGUAGUAUGAUGGGACCAGAUCCAUGAACCAUCAUCUCAAACCCAUGUAUUCAUGAGGUGUGAUGUUAAUUUUAACAAAUCUGCCCAUGGACAGAACCUCGAUACCAUGAUUCACAGACCAACCCACACAUAAUUUCUGUAGACUGACAUAUACGCCGAUUUCAUCUUGUGGUAUAUCCCUGAACUUUUCUGAUGAAAAUGCUCUUAGUUGGGAUGCCAUCAGGCUCCAAACCAAACCCAAGAAAACCUGGGAGCACUUUACUUACCAAUAAAUUAAGAUUACUUUUGCAUAAGGUUUUGUCGUAAUUCGUUACCAAGAUGGGUUGCACUGUAUAGUUUCCUAGCAGCAACAUUUGGCCAGCUUCUUAGAUUUUAUCUAUAUGAAUAGUAGAUUUGUUCAUUUCGAUUUAUAACAUUGUAAAUGUUUACCUCAGCUGCCAGAUUAACAUAAUGGAACGUUGUCAGGUGUGUUUGAAGGUUGCCAGUUUAGGUGGGCCAAACAACUAGUGCGCUGAGGUCAAAAUAAGCAUAACACCAGUUUGAUUCUUUUAGGGGUCACCUACAUGAUGAAAGAUGCUCAGGCACACAUCAUUGUUCUGUUUUCCCAUGUCAGGUCAUACUUGGUCUGUAACUGAAUCUUGAGAAUUCAUUUGUAUGACUUGAUGUACAAACGUGUUAUUCAUAAUGAAAAUAAUAUCAUUGUAUGUGCUUAAAAUAGUAUGUCAUAAUUCUGUAAAAAAAUGGCAUCUUCUACUAGGUAAAGAAGUAAUAACGGUAACAAAAAUCUUUGGGCAGUCUCCAUGUGUAGAAGGUUGGAACGUUUAGAUAUUAGGAAGUGUGCAUUAAUUCUCCCGAUGGAAAAUCGCCCAGCUAGGGAAUGAGAAUAGCGACACGAAAUAAAGAUUUUUGAUGUGUUUGUAUUUAAAACAAGAUAAUAAAAAUUGAUGUAUGUUUUGAUAAAUCUUUAAAGAACUACAGAUAACAAUGCCUGCACACCAUCGAUACACACUUGCACUCACAUACAUGGAUGGGUAUCAUCACUAUCCUAACCAUUCAACUAUUGGCUGGUUUCAAUAACAUUUGGUUUAUCAGCCAAUAACAUAUUAUUGCGUUCAAUAGUAUGAUUUAUGUUAGUUGAUUGUAAAAAAAGAGACGCGUGUUUUUUUAGACGACAUUGUUCUCGGCUAUUUUAGCUUUAUGAAUUGCAUCUUAAAUUUUUGUAAAAGCACGUGGCAACGCACGGGCGUUAUACUAGUCAAUGCAAUGACAUACAAAUUUACUAUUUAUCUCUGUUACUCAAGUGAAGUCCUCUUGGUGUUAAUAAUUUUACGUAAUGCAUGAUGUGCUUCUAUGUUAUUGGUUUCCACAAUAUAUCGGUGUCAGUUUUCUUUCUCUAAUAUGUUGAAAAGUAUAUAAUUAUUUAUAAUAUUACGUUGUACUAUAGUCACUAGUAUAAAAAGCCUCAUUCUUCCCGGUUCGUCAGGGCCAUUUGUCCCGGUUGCCAAACCGGGACCAAAGGGUCGGUACUAAAGCCCUAUACCUUUAGUCCCGGUUCGCCCAGAAACCGGAAUAGAUGUGGCUCCACAUGGCCGUUGUCGCUUGCCAGGAAGGAGGACCGUACCUUUUGUCCCGGUUCGUUCCACUAACCAGGACCAAAAGGCUUCCACGCAUCAGCAAUUUUUGAUUUUUUUNNNNNNNNNNNNNNNNNNNNNNNNNNNNNNNNNNNNNNNNNNNNNNNNNNNNNNNNNNNNNNNNNNNNNNNNNNNNNNNNNNNNNNNNNNNNNNNNNNNNNNNNNNNNNNNNNNNNNNNNNNNNNNNNNNNNNNNNNNNNNNNNNNNNNNNNNNNNNNNNNNNNNNNNNNNNNNNNNNNNNNNNNNNNNNNNNNNNNNNNNNNNNNNNNNNNNNNNNNNNNNNNNNNNNNNNNNNNNNNNNNNNNNNNNNNNNNGUAGGGUUAAUUUAGGGAUUUCAUAUAUUGUGUUAGCUAGCUAAUAGAGAGAAUUGUCCUCUCUUAUCUCCACGCUUGGUCGACGCUACGUAUAGAGAGGACUCGACACGCUAGCUAGCUAGUAAGCAAAUGAAGGAAACCAUUAAGUACAAAAGACCGUCAUGAACAUAUAUACACAGAGAGAAGUGAUUAACCUCUCCUUCUCCGAUAAAUUUGUUGAACAACAAGUUUUCGUAUAUCUAUCCGAUGCUACUGGCUACAUAUACAUAUAUAUAUAUAUAUACAAUGGUCUCAACUUCCACAUGGUAUUCUCCGUGUUUGUCGAUGACGUGGUCAAGAAAGAAUCCCGCCAAUUCCUCUAUGCGAUCUUGUGGUAGGAGUUCAUCCCGCAUCUGCCAAUUUCAAGAAGAGGGUCAAUACAUAUAUAUGAAUGAAACUGAAGACAAAUGAUGGUAAUAGAAUAAAAUUGUGAAUAUUAUUGCUUACACACUUCAUAUUGUUGUUUAGAGUAGCCCCGCUCACAGGUGGUGUGGUGGAUGAACUCGCAAAUGUAGUAUCCACAGAAAUCCUUCCCGGGUUCUUGCCACAACCACUUUCCAAGAAAUAGAGGUCAAUCAAACUGAUAAGAAAGCAUUCUAAAUGGUAUUGAUGAAACUAGCUAGAAUCAAUGGGAGAUGCGCGGAACUAGCUAGUAGCUAGUUACUUUUGGGUGGUCAAAUCAUAGUUGCGCCGGCAGUCCCGGAGCUUGUGCAGUGAAAUUUUUCCAAACCCUGCCAGACAAAGAAAACAAUUACUUGAUAUCAAGAAAUGAACAAAGUUGUCGAUAUGGUGCGAUAAUGAUCGAUUGAACUUACUUCUCGAGCAUUUUAGUCAUGGUCGCAUACUCCUCUGGAUUUUUUCAUUUGGAGUCUAUGACGGUUACUAGUCCCUGCUCAAGCUUAAUCUCUAGCAGAAUAAAGUGGAAGCUGUGCGCGCAUGCAUAACUCAUCAAUUACAUUACUAUAACCACGAGUAAUAAGGGAAACCGAAUAUGCACAAGACAGUAACACUCACUUGUAUUCGUAAGGAAAGAGUAUUGUAGCUUUGUUUUGAUUUCGAAGUAACGAUGCGAGCAAGUUGGCCUCGGUUUGUCUGGCAUCAUGUUUAACACUCAAUUCAUCCAUGGGAUUUAUGUUAAUGAACCCAAUAUCACCUACAUGUCUUUUCUUCAAUUCGGCGAUCUUCAAUCUGCAUAAUAUAGUGAGGAUAACUAUAUAUACAUGCAAUGAAAGAGCUGAGCUAUAUAUAGACACUUAAUUAAUUACAGAGAAGUAGUACUUAUAGACAGUAGCUGUUGGGGAACAUAGUAAUUUCAAAAAAAAUCCUACGCACAUGCAAGAUCAUGGUGAUGCAUAGCAACAAGAUGGGAGAGUGUUGUCCACGUACCCUCGUAGACCGAAAGUGGAAGCGUUAGCACAACGCGGUUGAUGUAGUCGUACGUCUUCACGAUCCGACCGAUCAAGUACCGAAAGCACGACACCUCCGAGUUCAGCACACAUUCAGCUCGACGACGUUCCUCGAACUCCGAUCCAACCGAGCUUUGAGGGAGAGUUCCGUCAGCAUGACGGCGUGGUGACGAUGAUGAUGUUCUACCGUCACAGGGCUUCGCCUAAGCACUGCUGCGAUAUUAUCGAGGUGGAUUAUGGUGGAGGAGGGCACCGCACAUGGCUAUAGAUCUCAAGCAUCAAUUGUUGUGUCUAGAGGUGCCCCCCUGCCCCCGUAUAUAAAGGAGCAAGGGGGAGGGGGCGGCCGGCAAGGAGGGGCGCGCCAGGAGGAGUUACUCCCACCGGGAAUAGGACUCCCUCCUUUCCUUGUCCAAGUAGGAGAGAGGGAAGGAAGGGGAGAGAGGAGAGGAAGGAAAGGGGGGCGCCGCCCCCCUCCUUGUCCUAUUCGAACUACAGGGAAAUGGGGCGCGCGGCCUGCCCGGGCCGCCCCUCCUCUGCUCCACUUUGGGCCCAUGAGGCCCAUUAACCCCCCGGGGGGUUCCGGUAACCCCCGGUACUCCGGUAUACAUCCGAUAACCUCUGGAACCAUUCUGGUGUCCGAAUAUAGUCGUCCAAUAUAUCAAUCUUCAUGUCUCGACCAUUUCGAGACGCCUCGUCAUCUCCGUGAUCACAUCUGGGACUCCGAACUAUCUUCGGUACAUCAAAACAUAUAAAGUCAUAAUAUAACCAUCAUCUAACUUUAAGCAUGCGGAAGCUACGGGUUCGAGAACUAUGUAGACAUGACCGAGACACGUCUCCGGUCAAAAACCAAUAGCGGAACCUGGAUGCUCAUAUUGCCUCCCACAUAUUCUAUGAAGAUAUUUAUCGGUCAAACCGCAUAACAACAUACAUUGUUCCCUUUGUCAUCGGUAUGUUACUUGCCCGAGAUUCGAUCGUCGGUAUCUCAAUACCUAGUUCAAUCUCGUUACCGGCAAGUCUCUUUACUCGUUACAUAAUGCAUCAUCUCGUAAUUAACUCAUUAGCUACAUUUCUUGCAAGGCUUAUAUGAUGUGCAUUACCGAGAGGGCCAAGAGAUACCUCUCCGAUUAUCGGAGUGACAAAUCCUAAUCUCAAAAUACGCCAACUCAACAUGUACCAUCGGAGACACCUGUAGAGCUCCUUUAUGAUCACCCAGUUACGUUGUGACAUUUGGUAGCACACAAAGUGUUCCUCUGGUAAACGGGAGUUGCAUAAUCUCAUUGUUGUAGGAACAUGUAUAAGUCAUGAAGAAAGCAAUAGCAACAUACUAAACAAUCAAGUGCUAAGCUAACGGAAUGGGUCAAGUCAAUCACAUCAUUUUUCUAAUGAUGUGAUCCCGUUAAUCAAAUGACAACUCAUGUCUAUGGUGAGGAAACAUAACCAUCUUUGAUUAACGAGCUUGUCAAGUAGAGGCAUACUAGUGAUAUUGUGUUUGUCUAUGUAUUCACACAUGUAUUAUGUUUCCGGUCAAUACAAUUCUAGCAUGAAUAAUAAACAUUUAUCAUGAUAUAAGGAAAUAAAUAAUAACUUUAUUAUUGCCUGUAGGGCAUAUUUCCUUCAUUUUCCCACUUGCACUAGAGUCAAUAAUCAAGAUUACAUAGUAAUGAUUCUAACAUCCAUGGAUCCUUGGUGCUGAUCAUGUUUUUGCUCGUGGAAGAGGCUUAGUCAAUGGGUCUGCAACAUUCAGAUCCGUAUGUAUGUCGCUAAUCUCUAUGUCUCCCACCUGGACUUGGUCCUGGAUGGAAUUGAAGCGUCUCUUGAUGUGCUUGGUCCUCUUGUGAAAUCUGGAUUCCUUUGCCAAGGCAAUUGCACCAGUAUUGUCACAGAAGAAUUUCAUCGGUCCCGAAGCAUUAUGUAUGCCACCUAGAUUGGAUAUGAACUCCUUCAUCCAGACUCCUUCAUUUGCUGCUUCUGAAGCAGCUAUGUACUCCGCUUCGCAUGUAGAUCCCGCCAUGACGCUUUGUUUAGAACUGCACCAUUUGACAACUACACCGUUUAAUAUAAACACGUAUCCGGUUUGCGAUUUAGAAUCGUCUGGAUCAGUGUUAAAGCUUGCAUCAACGUAACCAUUUACGACUAGCUCUUUGCACCUCCAUAAAAGAGAAACAUAUCCUUAGUCCUUUUCAGGUAUUUCAGGAUAUUCUUAACCGCUAUCCAGUGAUCCACUCCUGGAUUACUUUGGUACCUCCCUGCUAAACUUAUUGCUAAGCAUGCAUCAGGUCUGGCACACAGCAUUGCAUACAUGAUAGAGCCUAUGGCUGAAGCAUAGGGAACAUCUUUCAUUUUCUCUCUAUCUUCUGCUGUGGUCCGGCAUUGAGUCUGACUCAACUUCACAGGCAAGAACCCUUUAUUUGCUUGAUCCAUUUUGAACUUUUUCAAAACUUUAUCAAGGUAUGUGCUUUGUGAAAGUCCAAUUAAGCGUCUUGAUCUAUCUCUAUAGAUCUUGAUGCCUAAUAUAUAAGCAGCUUCACCAAGGUCUUUCAUUGAAAAACUUUUAUUCAAGUAUCCUUUUAUGCUAUCCAGAAAUUUUAUAUCAUUUCCAAUUAACAAUAUGUCGUCUACAUAUAAUAUCAGAAUUGCUAUAGAGCUUCCACUCACUUUCUUGUAAAUACAGACUUCUCCAGAAGUAUGUAUAAAACCAUAUGCUUUGAUCACACUAUCAAAGCAUUUAUUCCAACUCCGAGAGGCUUGCACCAGUCCAUAAAUGGAUCGCUCGAGCUUUCACACUUUGUUAGCACCUUUUGGAUCGACAAAACCUUCUGGUUGCAUCAUAUAAAACUCUUCUUCUAGAGAUCCAUUCAGGAAUGCAGUUUUGACAUCCAGUUGCCAUAUUUCAUAAUCAUAAAAUGCGGCAAUUGCUAACAUGAUUCGGACAGACUUAAGCAUCACUACGGGUGAGAAAGUCUCAUCGUAGUCAACCCCUUGAACUUGUCAAAAACCUUUCGCAACAAGUAGACAGUAACAUUACCAUUAGUGUGAGUCUUCUUCUUGAAGAUCUAUUUAUUCUUGAUGGCUUGCCGAUCAUCGGGCAAGUCAACCAAACUCCAUACUUUGUUCUCAUACAUGGAUCCCAUCUCAGAUUUCAUGGCCUCAAGCUAUUUUGCAAAAUCUGGGCUCAUCAUCGCUUCCUCAUAGUUCAUAGGUUCGCCAUGGUCAAGUAACAUGACUUCCAGAAUAGGAUUACCGUACCACUUUGGUGCGGAUCUUACUCUCACUACUAGGAAAAGGUCUAUAGAUAGGAUUGAUACUAAUGGCGCACCAGGUAAGUAGUGCGCCACUACUAUAUACUAAUGGCGCACCGGUUGGAGGUGCGCCAUUAGUGUGGAAGACACUAAUGGCGCACCAGACACAUGGUGCGCCACUAGUAUUGAAUUUUUUUUCCGUUUUUCCAUACAUACUAAUGGCGCAUGAUGUCAAAGUGCGCCAUUACUAGUUCUAACUAGUAAUGGCGCACCGUGCAGACAGUGCGCCAUUAGUAUUUUUUUUUACUUUUUUGCAAAACUACUAAUGGCGCACCGUGUCAAAGUGCGCCAUUACUAGUUUAAACUACUAAUGGUGCACUUUUCCACAGUGCGCCAUUAGUAUAUAUUUUUUUACUUUUCUGCAAAAACUACUAAUGGAGCACCACCUGCAGGUGCGCCAUUAGUAACCAGGGUUACUAAUGGCGCAUUUGCUGGUGGUGUGCCAUUAGUAACCCGGGACCAACAAGAUAUUUUGGACAGCCCACCUACCCACUCACUUUCCCCACUUCAUUCUCUCCACCUCCUCCUCCAAGCUUGUCUCGGAUGCCUCCUCGUCCUCACCUCAUUUCCACCAUAGAUUCAUCAAAAUUAAGUGGUGAAAUUACCUUUUUUUGAUAGGUAAGUAAGGGGAAAGCUAUCUUCAUGAUGUAGAUCUACUUUUUUCUCCCUAGCUCGCUCCAACAACGUGCACAUGCACUUUUUGUGGCCUAGCUAGAUCUAUGUAUGUUUGUGGUGUUGCUUGUGUUUUUGGUGUUGCAUAUAUGUUUGUGUUUGCAGGUACCGGUAUUUGGAAUGCGAUAGUUGCCAAUAUUUUGCCGGAAUGUUGAUUCAUUUCCGUUUCGGCGAGAAUUUUGGCACUAUGCAUUCUUUUUGGUCCUAUUUUUAGGGAAGGUCAUGCCAAAAAUUUUCUUGGUUCUAAAAUAUGGUUUUGCUCUACCCCGCAGGCGACCAUGGUCCGCACGACGACCGAAGGCAUCGUUAAUAGGUUUUUGUGCUCCGCGAAGGCCGAGAUACUUCAAAAGAACGAGAAGGAGAUAAGAUGUCCGUGUCAAAGAUGCAAGCUGAAGAGCCUUAUUGUGGACGCGGAUUCCGGGCAGGUGCGGGACCACUUGCUCUUGCGUGGUUUCAUGGAUGUCUAUCGGUGGCAAGGUGAUGAAGAUGACUAUGAAGUCGUCCAUGGGGGCCGGGCAAGAAAUGAGGAAGGGCAACAAGACAAGUACCACCGCGGUGAGGGCGGACGAGAAGACGAAGAAUCUCCAGGACAUGAUCACGGCGGUGAUGUUGUACACAGUCAUCAUGUAGAAGAUGUCGUACAUGAUGAUGAGGAAGAUCAAGACGAAGGGCAUGAUCAUGAAGAUGAAGAUGCCGGAGUAGACAAUGAUGGAGGCUGGGUGCAGGACCCUCAUAUUCAAGAGCCGCUACUCAAGCAGAUGGAUAAUGCAAGAGCUGCCGCCCGAGAGAAAGCCAAGCUGGAUCAACUGGAGAUAGACGCGGUUACUCCAUUGUAUGAAGGAUGCAUGCCCGAGGAUACCCGCCUGAAAGUAACGCUCAUGGCUCUGGAGAUGAAGGUAAAACACAAAAUGACCGACGCAUGCUUCGAUGAGAACAUGUCAUUCUGGCACGAACGUCUUCCCAAGGGGAACAAGUGCCCAGCCAGUUUCGAGGAGGCGAAGAAAAUCGUGUGUCCUCUGGAUUUACCGCACGUGAAAUACCAUGUGUCCAUGAACAAUUGCAUCAUUUAUCGGGACGAGCACGCGGAGUCUACCAUAUGUCCGGUGUGCGGCGUCACUCGAUACAAGAAGAGGAAGAAAGCUCCUCGAAAAUCGGUGUGGUACUUUCCGAUCACUCCUCGUCUGCAGCGGUAUUUUGCGGACCCUAAGGUAGCCAAGCUCCUGCGUUGGCACACAGAUAGGGAGGAGAAGAAGCAGGAAAAUGAUGGAAAUGAUCCGGAGAUAAAUAAAAAAGACAAGAUGCUGAGUCACCCUAAGGAUGCGAGCCAGUGGCAAGCAUUGAACUUCGAAUACCCAGAAUUUAGAAAGGAUCCAAGGAACAUCGUGCUGGGUGCGAGCACCGAUGGAGUCAAUCCGUUUGGCAGCCAGAGAAGCACACAUAGCACCUGGCCUGUGUUUGUGUGGAUGUACAACCUUCCCCCCUGGUUGUGCAUAAAGAGGAAGUACAUUCACAUGAGUAUGCUAAUUGAAGGGCCGAAACAACCAGGGAACAACAUCAAUCUAUAUCUGGGGCUGCUGAAGGAGGAGCUAGACACGCUGUGGAAAACGCCAGCCAAUACGUGGGACGCCGCAGAGAAAGAAUAUUUCCCUAUGAGAGCCGCACUGCUCACGACAGUGCACGACUAUCUCGGUUACGGAUAUCUCGCGGGGCAGGUAGUCCACGGAUUUCCUGGAUGCGUAAGGUGCAUGGAUGACACAACGUAUCGCCAGCUAGAUAGAGAUCCCGGGUCUUCGAAAACUGUGUUCAUGGGACAUCGAAGUUGGCUUCGCGAUGAUGACCCGUGGAGGAAACGCAAGGAUCUGUUCGAUGGUGAAACCGAACCCCGAAAACGCCCCUGUACGAGGAGCGGCGAGGAAAUAGACGAGCUGUUGAAAAAUUGGAAAGACUGCCCACUACCGGGAAAGAAGAAAAAGGCGCCAGAGCCGGGAAAGAAGCUAAAGGCGCCAGAGCUGCUGCUGAAGGUAUGGAAAACGAGGUCUGUUUUCUGGGACUUGCCGUACUGGAAGAUCCACCGUGUGCCUCACAGCCUUGAUGUCAUGCAUAUCACGAAGAACGUGUGCGAGAGUCUGCUUGGUACCCUGCUCAACAUGUCAGAGAGGACCAAAGAUGGGCCGAAAGCAAGGGCAGACUUUACAUCAAUGGGCAUCAGGCAGGAGCUUCACGCUAAUGAUGAUGAUGAGGCAAAGCAGGACACAAAAAGUCGUCGCAAAGGCAAAAAGGCCAAGAAGACCGGAAAUGACUACCCUCCCGCGUGCUUCACUCUAAGUCAGGAGGAGAUCAAGCAGUUUUUCACCUGCCUCCUAGGAGGAAAACUUCCUUACGGUUACGCGGGGGAGAUAAGCAAAUACCUAGACCUAGCGAGGCAGAAGUUCAGCGGGAUGAAGUCUCACGACUGUCACAUAAUGAUUACGCAGAUACUUCCAGUUGCAAUCCGUGGGAUCAUGGACGCGCACGUCCGUGAAACGCUAUUUGGCAUAUGCAACUUUUUCGACGUCAUCUCUCAGAAGUCGAUUGGCGUGAGGCAACUCAGAAGGCUACAGGAAGAUAUCUGGUGAUACUAUGCGAGCUUGAGAUGUACUUCCUGCCCGCAUUCUUCGACGUUAUGGUGCAUCUACUGGUCCAUAUCAUGGAGGAUAUCAUCCAACUCGGGCCGACGUUCCUGCACAGCAUGAUGUUGUUCGAAAGGAUGAAUGGUGUCAUCAAAGGAUACGUUUGCAACUUGUCACGUCCAGAGGGAAGUAUAGCCAGGGGCUUUCUGACCGAAGAGUGCAUCUCCUACUGCACGAAUUAUCUAGGCAUCGAGAACCCCGUUGGUCUGCCCGUCAACAGGCACCUCGGCAGGCUCGCUGGAUGGGGUCACCGUGAGGGUCGCCGAAAUGCAUGUCAACAUCGAGGGUCGACUCGCCGACUUUGAAAGAGCAAACCUAGUCACGCUACAACGCAUAGACGUGGUCGAUCCUUGGGUGGUAGAGAACAAAACCUUUAUUGAGAAGACGUACAAUGACCGAGGCCAACAGAGGACGGACGGAGAUAUAAUCAAAGAGCACAACUCAUGUUUCACGCGUUGGUUCAAGCAGAAGCUUCUGUCGUACCCUUUACAUGAGGAUUCUAUCGCGGAAGAACAACUCAUAUUCGCCUUGUCACAGGGUGCCGAGCACAACUUGAUGACCUAUGAGGCGUACGAUAUCAACGGAUACACAUUCUACAUCGAGAACAAGGACAUGAAGAGCGAUGGUUAUCAGAACUCCGGGGUAACGAUGGAAUCCUACACCGGCAACGACAAGGACAGAUACUACGGAAGGAUCGAGGAGAUCUGGGAGCUGAGCUACGCUGGAGAGAAGGUCCCGAUGUUCCGUGUCAGAUGGGCCAAGAGCGUCCUAAAAGAAGACCGGUAUUUCACCACCAUGGUUAUACCCGAAGCCAAAUCCAAGACCACGGGCACAAACGUCACCGCGAAAAAUGAGCCAUGGGUACUAGCUUCCCAAGUGGACCAAUGCUUCUUCAUUACCGACCCGUCAAAGCCCAGUCGUGUUGUCGUGAGGGGAGGCAAAAGGAAGAUCAUCGGAAUGGAUGGAGUAGCCAAUGAGCAAGACUUCGACAAGUACGGCGACCCGAAGAUCGAACAUGACGACGACGAUGAAGUAGCAGCACACACCACAAGAAGAAGCAGGACCACACUACCUAAAGGACGUCCAUUCCACAGAAGAACUCCAUUUGUGAAAAAGAAGGGAAAGAAGAUUGUGAACAGAUAGCUAGCUAAGAUCGAUUGUAUUUAAAUUGUAGUCUUCAUUUCUCGAUUGUAUUUCAUGGGCACUUUUUGAUAUCAUGAAUAUUUUUAAAUUUCAUGGACUCUUUUUGAAUUCAUGAGGACACUUGAUCUCGAUCCCCCUCCAUCUCGAUCUCGAUUCCCCCUCCAUCUCGAUCUCGAUUCCCCCUCCAUCUCGAUCUCGAUCCCACCCGCACCCUCCCCCGCUAGCUCCACCGNNNNNNNNNNNNNNNNNNNNNNNNNNNNNNNNNNNNNNNNNNNNNNNNNNNNNNNNNNNNNNNNNNNNNNNNNNNNNNNNNNNNNNNNNNNNNNNNNNNNNNNNNNNNNNNNNNNNNNNNNNNNNNNNNNNNNNNNNNNNNNNNNNNNNNNNNNNNNNNNNNNNNNNNNNNNNNNNNNNNNNNNNNNNNNNNNNNNNNNNNNNNNNNNNNNNNNNNNNNNNNNNNNNNNNNNNNNNNNNNNNNNNNNNNNNNNNNNNNNNNNNNNNNNNNNNNNNNNNNNNNNNNNNNNNNNNNNNNNNNNNNNNNNNNNNNNNNNNNNNNNNNNNNNNNNNNNNNNNNNNNNNNNNNNNNNCUCCACCGCCGCCAACGGGCAGCCCCCGCACCCUCCCCCGCUCCACCGCCGCCGCGAUGAUAUUUUCAAGUAACAAAUUGGAACAUAUUUUUUAAAAAAUUAUUAUUGUUUUUCUAAAAAAAUAUUACUGUUAUGAUUUAAACAAGUUUGAACAUAUUUAAACACAAAUAAAUAUCAAACAUGAUUUAAAAUGCAUAAAAAACAAUAUUGGGGAGCCUGGGAAUCAAACCCAGGACCUCCUGGUGUGUGUGCUGCGUACUGACCAGUCGGGCUAGUGGGCGGGUUCUGUUGUAGAUAGGGUUAGGUGGUAUAUAACCUGACAAGUCGGGCUAGAUUAAAUUACUUAUGGUGCACCCCUCGGUGGUGCGCCAUUGCUAUGGAUGUACUUAUGGCGCAUCCCUGGGUGGUGCGCAAUUGCUAAGCCUCCCCCAAACUAAAAUCCUUAAUCUCUCAAAUUUCUCUCUAAUCCCUCCCCUGCCUCAUCUCACCCGCCGACCACCACUUCCCCCGUGCUCGCCGUCCCCGGCCGUGCACCCGACCACCCUCCGCCGCCGACCACCUCCCUCACCGUCCCCCCUCCGCCCGCGCCCACGCCCUCGCCGUCGCCUGCGUCAACCUCCCUCCCGAGCACGAUAGCUAGGGUUCCUAGCCGCCGCCACCGCUGCCAGCCCGCCGCCGCCGCGUGCCCAGCCGGCCGAACCCUCCGCUGCCCCGCCUCCGAUACAGGACCCUAGCAGCGCCUCCCCCCAUCAAGCAUGUAGCCACCACUCCUUCGUCCUUCCUCCCUCUUUCCUCAUCCCCCUCCCUCCUUCCUCUUGCUUGCGGCGUGAUUUUUCCAGAGCAUGCUCAUGUUUACAUGUGAAAGGAUUGUGCUUGAUAGGUGUUUGUGAUAAUGCCUCUAAGGGCAAAUGUUUACAAAUUGUAGGUUGAAUAUUUUUCAUGAGCAAUUUUUUUGGUUUAAACAUGUUAGCUGUGGUAAUUGUAGGUUUCAUGAUCAGUGCUGAAGUUGGCACUCUUUAAAUUCAGAAAGAAAAAGCACCACAUAAUAUUGAUGGACAGGGGAAAGCUUUGCAAUUGCACUCACAAGUGUCAAGCACCAACUAAAUAGCCACUCCUAAUAAAUCCCUUCCAUGACAGUACGAUGCUCACCUUCGUUCGACACAUGAUAUCCCCCCGCAUUAGCUAAAAUGACGAAAACCGAAUGCGAUAAUCCUAGUGUUCUCUUGUGGUAGUGGUGGUGAGAUGCCCAUAUCAUGCAUAUGGUGGGCAAUGAUGAUGAUUAGAUCCCUGUUUUAGGAUCUGAGCUCUCUCUUCUCUGAAUUCAACUAAGGCAUGAGGAACAAUGGGGGAGAUAGCUAUUAGAUCCAUGUCUUAGUAGUGGUAAACAAUCGUGUAGGUCAAUUGUUGCUUACUUGUUUGGUUUGUGCUAACAAUCUCUAAGUGAAAUCAACUAGUGAAAGCAACUAGUUAUGUUUGUUAGCAGCAAGAUAUGUAAAUGAAGCUUGUUCUUUUUCAACUGUUCAACUGAUGCGAUGAAACUAAAUAUAGUAGUUGAAAACCCUGUUUUUCUUCCUGAUCGUGAAAAUUUGAAGUCCUGUUUGUGUUUUGGUUUUGUUGGUUGACAAUUAUGUUUAGUUUUUCAUUUCAUGGGUGCUGUAAAAUGUGCUGGUGGUGAGUUGAGUCUCAGCAUACAGCUUGUUUGGACUAACCAAGAGGACAAGGUAUGUUGCUUGCCCAAGCUAAGUGACACGUAUGCGCCAAGUUUUCUGUUAUAUAAUUACCUGUUAGUGCUUAGUUAAACUGCAUGAUACGGCCAUAGCAGAUGGAUGGUACUAGGUGUUGUUUUGUUUCUUGCUAAUGUAUUCAGAGAGCAGAUGUGCCACUGCAGAUUUCUUUUCUUGAAGGCAGCUCACAUAAAUUGAGCUACAAGUGAACAACUUGCUACUAUUAGAUCUGGAAUGGAAGCUCACAUAAGUUGAGCUGAUUUUUGUCCAUAUGAAAGCAGAGGACCAUAUGGUCUGUGGCCUUUUCUUCCAUAUGAAAGUAGAGGCACAUUGUGGUGCUAGUUUGCUGGGUUUUGUCUCCGACCAUCGUGUCGUGAUGAAUUUGCAGGUACCCCGAGAGGCCCUUGAGUUUGCCGAAAUGUUGAUUAACUUCCGUUCUGGCAAAUUCGGGUACUCCAUAUGUCCUAUUUUCAGUAAAGGUCAUGCUGAAAUUUUCUGUGAAUUUUAGCAUGACUUUGCUAAAAAUAGGACAUAUGGGGUACUUGCGACUAAUGCAUGGGCCGGGGUAUCUUAGUACUUAAUUAAGUAGGAUCAACUACCCCUUUAUUCUUGCUGCAUUAAACCAUAGGUGGCAAUAGAACCAAGUGAUUAGGCCCAACUUAGAAUUCUCGUUAGCAUCGAUAAACCCUAGAUGAUAACCCAACAUAGGUGGCAAUAGAGCCAAGUGAUUAGUGCCAAGUGAUUAGGCCCAACCUAGGGUGCCUUGGCAUCGAUAAACCCUAAAUGAUGAUAACUUAACUUGGCUGCCCCGGAUGCCUCGGUGUCGAUGAGAACCUAAAUGAUGUACGCUUAGGCUUUUAGGGUGCCUCGGCGUCGACAAACCAUAAAUGAUGAAAGCUUAGGCUUUUAGGGUGCCUCAGCAUCGACAAACCCUAAAUGAUGAGACCAUGAUCCUGUUCCUUGACAAUAACCAACUUUUCGACCAAACUUUUUUCCUAUUUAGAGUGAAACAUGGCCCACAACGAUGAGGCCGGUGGUUCGGGCGGCAAGCAAUUCUGGGAGCUGUCCCAGGAGAUGGAGGAACAACAUCAUCGCUAUGAGGACGCCGCGGAAGACACGGAUCCUGACUACACAACCCCUAGUGGCAUCGGGGAUGACACCACUGAUGGUGCCUCCGAGGAUGCCACCACUGAUGAUGGCGGCGCACACACAGAUGGCAGCCAACCUAAGAAGCAAAGGAAGCACUGGCGCCCGAAUGCGCUCCGCACCCUCAAGGAGGAAUUCGCUCAAUUGGACUCCGAUGGGAAUCCAACGGAGCCCAAACAUAUAGUCAAGGGGUACUCACUUCAGCUCGGGUGCAUUCUCCGGAGCAACGUCUCGAUCAACACCGAUAACCUUAGGAAUAAGGACCACGGGAAUUUGCGCAACCUCCUCUUCACGAAGCUGCACGAACGAUACAAGUUCCCCGCCGAAUUUGAAAACACACGCCUCUCAGGGAAUAAAGUGAACAGUGCCGCUCUCACGAAGAUGAGCAUGGCCCUGUCUACUUGGAGAAGCGCGGUGAAGAGAAUGAUUGAUAAAGGUGAUAGUUAUGAGAAGAUAAAGGCGAAAUAUCCUUUGAUGAGCGAAGAUGAGUACAAGGAGUUCAAGAUCAAGUGCGAGAGCAGCGCAACCUCCGAAUCAAGUCAGUGGGGGAAAGAAAUGCGGGAGUUGAACUUAGGGGAACACAAACUCGGUCCCGACGGUUACAGAGUGGCGGAGACUAUAUGGGACAAGGAGGACGCGGAGCAUGCCGAGCAAGGCCUACCACCCCGCUUCGAGAAAUACAGCGGUGACAAGCAGACCAGGAACUAUGUCAGGGCCCGGUACAAGGAGGACCCGAUAACAAAGGAGCUUAGCACGGAUCCGAAGACCAGGGCGCUUGAGCUUGUUCUGGUAAGGAAUACACCCCCGCGUAAUUAGCUCCAUAUGGUUGCACUCUAAUUAAUCCCCAAUAUAUCUAAAUGGUUCACAUUCCUUUCGCAGGACACUGCGGGGUCAUCUCAGAGCUCCCCUUUUGACACCCCUUUAAAUAGGGCGUUGAACAUAAUGAAAAGCAAGGAUAAUCUCACUAAGCCGACGUCAGCUGGUUGUGUGGCCGGCAAAGGCUUGUCCACAAAAUGGGGGUCAUACUAUACCACUGGUGUGCGGAAGGAGAAGAAGGCCAGCUCGGAAAGCCAGACGCGCGAGGUUGAAGCACUCAAGGCACAAGUGGCGCGGAUUCCGGAGCUUGUCCAAGAGCAAGUGGAACUACAACUGGGAAUGAAGCUCAACGCCAUGGUGUCUACGUUGAUUCAUGGGCUGACGACGUGGAUUGCAGGCGGCCAAUAGGGGCCUCCCUCGGUUCCCAGCUUCAUAGCCAGCAACUCGCACAGCGCGCAGGCGGCGCCAUUGGUGUCUCCGGUGGCGCCAUUGAUGUCUCCGGCGGCGGCGCCAUUGGUGUCUCCGGCGGUGGCGCCAUUAGUGUCUCCGGCGGAGGCGGUAUUCGUGUCUCCGGCGCCGGCACGGGCAUUGGAGCUUAAUGCACCCGGGUGUACGCCGUCCGGCACCUCGCAAGCAAGCGCCCCCUCCGUCAGUUUCACGCCUGCCGUUGGCGGUGCCUCGACAUUAGCCGAGCUCGACGGCAUAACGGUAACUAAGCCUCUCAGCCGAUGACUUCAUCUCCUUGCCUUUGACUGGGCAUCCCUGACGCCCUGUACAUGUUUUUGCAGGGCACCGCCGACAUUCCUUGCACUCUUCUACACUUCGUGGGCGCCGAGUUGGUCGAUGUCGCCAAGGGCAGAAUCGUUCAACUGUGCAACCCCAUGUUCCACGGUAAUCCGAUGCCACCCAUAGUGUAUAGGGUUGAAGUGGUUCGGGUGCUGCCAGGCUGCGACGAGCUGUUACCUCCGGUUCGACCCGUUGGGGCCGACGAAGAAGAUGAGAUGACCCUCAGCGCUUGCGUAAACUGGCCCCUGCUUUGGCCGAACAUCCAGAUUCGUUUGGGGGAGGGGGACACCACCCCACAGACAAGACCGCCAGUCGUGUCGGCGCCAAGCCAUGGCAGGAACGCCGCAACGCUACCAGACCUACCGGACAUCCCUAUGGCACAAGAUCCGGAACGCCCUAUGGCACAGGAUCCGGAUGACGACAACAACGACGAUGGUACAUUUACCAAAGUCGAUAAGUACUUUGCCGAACAUGGGUAUGCUGACGAGUUCUGCGAGCCUCGUUCUCAAGAACCCAACCAAGACGACCGCAAUCUAGCUGGUACGGCGGAGAAAUCCAAUUGCAAAAGGAGUCGUCUGGCGUUCAGUUCUCAGGAGACGCCUCCAGCUCCCGCCUUCACCAAGCCUCAGAUAGCUGAGGUGCAAAAUAUUAUCAGCCCCAACACGCUCAAGAAGGCGGUCUGUGAGCAGAACUCGGUCCCAUUACAGGAGAUCAAGAAGAAGGGACGGAAACGGAAGACUAACAAGGGCGCCGGUGCGAGCCAGCCGGCACCAAGUUCGAUCCGUGCUCAGGACGGGCCACCUUCACCUAAGGAUAUCUCGAGGAGGGUGCAUGUGGCGGGUAGGGCGAUGCUACCGCCAAAUAUGCUGAAUGCUACAACCAGUGCUAUACGGAGUCUGCACGACAGUGUUCUUUCUUUGGAGAAGUGGCGUCUCAGAGAGAAUGAUGUGGCAUACCCGGUUUUCGUGGCCAAAGUGCCAGAGGGAAAGGGCUUUGUGGAUGGCGACAUCGGGGGUACGAUCGUCCUGCGGUUUGAUGACAUCUUUGCUAUGUUUAACCUUCAUCCGUUGCACUACACCUUCGUUCGGCUGUUUUCGCUGAGUAUGGAGAUGCGGAUCAUUAGAGACAAGGCCCCGGACAUCAUGAUAGUCGACCCCUUCUACAUGCGUGCCAAGCACUUGAGCAGCGCUGGGGACCGCCAAGUUGCGAGUUCACACCUCGAAGGCGUCAUUCUGGCAAACCCAGAUAAGGAUAACUUCCUUGUGGCUUACUUUCCCGAGUAAGUCAUCCCUUAACCGCCCCGUAACAUAUGGUUUCUUAGAUUUCGAUCAUUUUUUUUCUAACAUUCCGUGUUCUGUGCAGUGACACACAUUGUACACUCAUCCUCUUAAGCCCGAAAUAUUCCAUGGCCACGUAUUUCGACCCGAACCGUAACUCCAAGAUAGACUACACAAAUGUCAAGAAAGUUCUUGAUGAUGUUCUCCCCGACUACGCCAAAUCUGGAGGCACCUUCACCAGGGCGUCUCGUAAUUACGGCAAGCACAUGUUCUCACACAAUACGAAUUUCUUCUGCGUCAAGCAGCCGCCUGGCGGUCAGAAGGAUGCCUACUACGCCCUCCAUCACAUGCGGGCGAUCGUAAGGGACCAUCAUCAACUUCUGCUACUAGAUAAUCUCAAAGGUUGGGCCGCGAACUUGUCGGCAAUCCAGGACGCGGACCUCAGACAAGAAUUCUUUCGCAUCCAGUCAGAGUUUGCGGACAUCAUCCAUCAAGAUGACCUUCAUACCUCGGGGCAGUUCUACCUCAGAUAUCAACCAUCCAACAAUGAGAUAGAUGGAACGCUACAAAUGCAGGGUGACAACGACUGCGAUUUCAUGACCAUCACGACAGACGGCGGCUUCAUCCACGCUCAUGUCCGAUGAGUCGAGUCGAAAGUAGUGAUGUGUAGUUCUGAAACAUUGAUUGGCUCAUGUUGUAAUUAAACUUUAAUGAAUUCGUAUGUCUCUUUGGUUUGUACAGUCGUUCAACUUAGAUGUAAUCAAUGCUAUUUAUUAGUAGGACCAUGAAUCGUGCGAUUAAUGUCUUGCUUUUCUCUUCCGAUCCUUUUGUUGCAUACUUACAUAUUGCUUAUGUAUUGUCUGUUGUUUGGCUUGUGCAUAGAGAUGCCGUCGUAUGUCGUAUACAAGGGUAAGGUUCCCGGAGUCUACGACUACUGGGAGGAGUGUCGGAGACAGGUUCACCGUUUGAGCGGUAACAGUUACAAAGGGUACACCACUAGGGCGGAGGCCGAAUCUAGAUACGCCCGCUAUCUAGCGGGAGAGAGGAGGGAGCGUUGGAGGAACCGGAUGAAGACCAGUUUGAUCGCGAUGAUGCUCAUCGUGAUGACCACAACUCUCUUUUAUGUGAUGGUAGUUUAGAUGAUCGAUAUCGACUUGUAAUGUGAAGACAAACUCGAUACUCGCGGUCUUGAGACUUGUAAUGUUUUAUCUUUGUUCGGUCUUUUGAAUUCGGAGACUAAUAUGAUGAAUUGUAUUCGGAGACUAAUCUUCUAUUGUAUUCGAUGAAUCUGAUGUUGCUGUGUGCUGUUGUGUAUAUUCUGUCCAAUAAUAUAUUUUGUAACCUGUGCAAAAAUCAGAAAAGCAAAAAAAAACCAAAUAUUCAUACUAAUGGCACAUCACCACAAGGUGCACCAUUAGUAUGCCAAAAGGAUACUAAUGGCGCAUCAAGGCAGGGUGCGCCAUUAGUAUGACAAAGCACAUGGUUACAUAUGGGCCCCCGUGAGGCAUACUAAUGGCGCACGGUGUUACAUACUAAUGGCGCACUGCCUGGUGCGCCAUUUGUACACCAGAUACUAAUGGCGCUCCAGAGGUGCGCCAUUAGUAAAAAAUACUAGUGGCGUGCUACUAAUGGCGCACCGGUAGUGCGCCAUUAGUAGGCAAAACCGGUGCGCCAUUAGUAGGCCUUUUCCUAAUAGUGUCCUCUUGACCUACGAGGUUUGGUAGUAACUUGAUCUAAAGUUUCAUGAUCAAUAUCAUUAGCUUCCUCACUAAUUGGUGUAGUCGUCACAGGAACCGGUUUCUGUGAUGAACUAUUUUUCUAUAACAGAGCAGGUACAGUUACCUCAUCAAGUUCUACUUCCCUCCCACUCACUUCGAGAGAAACUCCUUCUCUAGAAAGGAUCCAAAUUUAGCAACAAAAGUCUUGCCUUUAGAUCUGUGAUAGAAGGUGUACCCAAUAGUCUCUUUUGGGUAUCCUAUGAAGACACAUUUCUUCGAUUUGGGUUCAAGCUUAUCUAGUUGAAGUUUCUUCACAUAAGCAUCGCCGCCCCAAACUUUAAGAAACGACAACUUUGGUUUCUUGCCAAACCACAGUUCAUAAGGCGUCGUCUCAAUGGAUUUUAAUAGUGCCCUAUUUAACGUGAAUGCGACCGUCUCUAAAGCAUAACCCCAAAACGAUAGCGGUAAAUCAAUAAGAGACAUCAUAGAUCACACCAUAUCUAGUAAAGUACGAUUACGACGUUCGGACACACCAUUACGUUGUGGUGUUCCAGGUGGCGUGAGUUGCGAAACUAUUCUGCAUUGUUUCAAAUGUAAACCAAACUCGUAACUCAAAUAUUCUCCUCCACGAUCAGAUCGUAGGAAUUUUAUUUUCUUGUUACGAUGAUUUUCCACUUAACUCUAAAAUUCUUUGAACUUUUCAAAUGUUUCAGACUUAUGUUUCAUUAAACAGAUAUACCCAUAUCUUCUUAAAUCAUCUGUGAAGGUGAGAAAAUAAUGAUACCCGCCGCGAGCCUCAAUGUUCACUGGACCACAUACAUCAGUAUGGAUGAUUUCCAACAAAUCUGUUGCUCGCUCCAUAGUUCCGGAGAACUGCAUUUUAGUCAUCUUGCCCAUGAGGCAUGGUUCGCAAGUACCAAGUGAUUCAUAACCAAGUGAUUCCAGAAGUCCAUCAGUAUGGAGUUUCUUCAUGCGUUUUACACCAAUAUGACCCAAAAGGCAGUGCCACAAAUAAGUAGCACUAUCAUUAUCAACUCUACAUCUUUUAACUUCAACAUUAUGAAUAUGUGUAUCACUACUAUCGAGAUUCAAUAAAAAUAGACCAUUCUUCAAGGGUGCAUGACCAUAAAAGAUAUUACUCAUAUAAAUAGUACAACCAUUAUUCUCUAAUUUAAAUGAAUAACCGUCUCGCAUCAAACAAGAUCCAGAUAUAGUGUUCAUGCUUAACGCUGGCACCAAAUAACAAUUAUUCAGGUCUAAAACUAAUCCCGAAGGUAGAUGUAGAGGUAGCGUGCCGACCGUGAUCACAUCACUUUGGAACCAUUUCCCACGCACAUGGUCACCUCGUACUUAGCCAAUCUUCGCUUAAUUUGUAGUCCCUGUUUCGAGUUGCAAAUAUUAGCAACAGAACCAGUAUCAAAUACCCAGGUGCUACUGCGAGCAUUAGUAAGGUAAACAUCAAUAACAUGUAUAUCACAUAUACCUUUGUUCACCUUGCCAUCCUUCUUAUCCGCCAAAUACUUGGGGCAGUUCCGCUUCCAGUGACGAGUUUGCUUGCAGUAGAAGCACUCAGUCUCAGGCUUAGGUCCAGAUUUGGGUUUCUUCUCUUGAGCAGCAACUUUUUUGCCAUUCUUCUUGAAGUUCCCCUUCUUCUUCCCUUUACCCUUUUUCUUGAAACUUGGUGGUCUUAUUGACCAUCAACACUUGAUGCUCCUUUUUGAUUUCUACCUCCACAACUUUUAGCAUUGCGAAGAGCUCGGGAAUAGUCUUAUUCAUCCCUUGCAUAUUAUAGUUCGUCACGAAGCUCUUCUAGCUUGGUGGCAGUGAUUGAAGAAUUUUGUCAAUGAAACUAUCAUCAGGAAGAUUAACUCCCAGUUGAAUCAAGUGAUUAUUAUACCCAGACAUUUUGAGUAUAUGUUCACUGCCAAAACUAUUCUCUUCCAUCUUGUAGCUAUAGAACUUAUUGGAGACUUCAUAUCUCUCAAUCUGGGCAUUUGCUUGAAAUAUUAACUUCAACUCCUGGAACAUCUCAUAUGCUCCAUGACGUUCAAAACAUCGUUGAAGUCCUGGUUCUAAGCCGUAAAGCAUGGCACACUAAACUAUCGAGUACUCAUCAGCUUUGCUCUGCCAGACGUUCUUAACGUCGCCAGUUGCAUCUGCAGUAGGCCUGGCACCCAGUGGUGCUUCCAGGACGUAAUUCUUCUGUGUAGCAAUGAGGAUGAUCCUCAAGUUAUGGACCCAGUCCGUGUAAUUGCUACCAUCAUCUUUCAACUUAGCUUUCUCAAGGAACGCAUUAAAAUUCAACGGAACAACAGCAUGAGCCAUCUAUCUACAACAAACAUAGACAAGCAAAAUACUAUCAGGUACUAAGUUCAUGAUAAAUUUAAGUUCAAUUUAAUCAUAUUACUAAGAACUCCCACUUAGAUAGACACCCGUCUAAUUAUCUAAGCGAUCACGUGAUCCAAAUCAACUAAACCAUGUCCGAUCAUCACGUGAGAUGGAGUAGUUUUCAAUGGUGAACAUCACUAUGUUGAUCAUAUCUACUAUAUGAUUCACACUCGAACUUUCAGUCUCAGUGUUCUGAGGCCAUAUCUGUAUAUGCUAGGCUCGUCAAGUUUAACCUGAGUAUUCCGCGUGUGCAACUAUUUUGCACCCGUUGUAUUUGAACGUAGAUCCUAUCACACCCGAUCAUCACGUGGUGUCUCAGCACGAAGAACUUUCGCAACGGUGCAUACUCAGGGAGAACACUUAUACCUUGAAAUUUAGUGAGAGAUCAUCUUAUAAUGCUACCGUCAAUCAAAGCAAAAUAAAAUGCAUAAAGGAUAAACAUCACAUGCAAUCAAUAUAAGUGAUAUGAUAUGGCCAUCAUCAUCUUGUGCUUGUGAUCUCCAUCUUCGAAGCACCGUCAUGAUCACCAUCGUCACCGGCGCGACACCUUGAUCUCCAUCAUAGCAUCGUUGUCGUUUCGCCACCUAUUUCUUCUACGACUAUCGCUACCACUUAGUGAUAAAGUAAAGCAAUUACAGGGUGAUUGCAUUGCAUACAAUAAAGCGACAACCAUAUGGCUCCUGCCAGUUGCCGACAACUCGGUUACAAAACAUGAUCAUCUUAUACAAUAAAAUAUAGCAUCACGUCUAGACCAUAUCACAUCACAACAUACCCUGCAAAAACAACUUAGGCAUCCUCUACUUUGUUGUUGUAAGUUUUACGUGGCUGCUACGGGCUGAGCAAGAAUCGUUCUUACCUACGCAUCAAAACCACAACGAUAGUUCAUCAAGUUAGUGUUGUUUUAACCUUCUCAAGGACCGGGCGUAGCCACACUCGUUUCAACUAAAGUUGGAGAAACUAACACCCGCCAGCAACCUAUGUGCAAAGCCCCUCGGUAGAACCAGUCUCGCGUAAGCGUACGUAUAAUGUCGGUCCGGGCCGCUUCAUCCAACAAUACCGCCAAACCAAAGUAUGACAUGCUGGUAAGCAGUAUGACUUGUAUCGCCCACAACUCACUUGUGUUCUACUCGUUCAUAUAACAUCCAUAAAACCAGGCUCUGGUACCACUGUUGGGGAACAUAGUAAUUUCAAAAAAAUUCCUACGCACACGCAAGAUCAUGGUGAUGCAUAGCAACGAGAGGGAAGAGUGUUGUCCACGUACCCUCGUAGACCGAAAGCGGAAGCGUUAGCACAACACGGUUGAUGUAGUCGUACGUCUUCACGAUCUGACUGAUCAAGUACCAAACGCACGGCACCUCUGAGUUCAGCACAUGUUCAGCUCGAUGACGUCCCUUGAACUCCGAUCCAACCAAGCUUUGAGGGAGAGUUCCGUCAGCACGACGGCGUGGUGACGAUGAUGAAGUUCUACCGUUGCAGGGCUUCGCAUAAGCACCGUUAUGAUAUUAUCGAGGUGGAUUAUGGUGGAGGGGGCACCUUACACGGCUAAUAGAUCUCAAGGAUCAAUUGUUGUGUCUAGAGGUGCCCCCUGAUAUGUCUCCAAUGUAUCUAUAGUUUUUGAUUGUUCCAUGCUAUUAUAUUACCCCUUUUGGAUGUUUAUGGGCUUUAUUUUACACAUUUAUAUCAUUUUUGGGACUAACCUACUAACCGGAGGCCCAGCCCGUAUUGCUGUUUUUUUGCCUAUUUCAGUAUUUCGAAGAAAAGGAAUAUCAAACGGAGUCCAAACGGAAUGAAACCUUCGGGAGCGUAAUUUUUGGAAUGAAUGUGAUCCAGAGGACUUGGAGUGCAUGUCAAGAAGCAAUCGAGGCGGCCAGGAGAUAGGAGGGCGUGCCCACCCCUCCUGGGCGCGCCCCUAUCUCCUGGGCCCCUCGGGCGGCCACCCACCUACUUCUUCCUCCUAUAUAUACCCACGUACCCCGAAAACAUCCAGGGAGCCAACGAAAAACAAUUUCCACCACCGUAACCUUCUGUAUACGCGAGAUCCCAUCUUGGAGCCUUCGUUGACGCUCCGCUGGAGGGGCGAAUCGACCAUGGAGGGCUUCUACAUCAACACCAAAGCCCUUCUGAUGAGUUGUGAGUAGUUUACCAUAGACCUUCGGGUCCAUAGUUAUUUGCUAGAUGGCUUCUUCUCUCUUUUUGGAUCUCAAUACAAUGUUCUCCCCCUCUCUUCUGGAAUUCUAUUCGAUGUAACUCUUUGCGGUGUGUUUGUCGAGAUCCGAUGAAUUGUGGGUUUAUGAUCAAGUUUAUCUAUGAGAUAUAUUUGAAUCUCCUCUGAAUUCUUUUAUGUAUGAUUGAGUUAUCUUUGCAAGUCUCUUCGAAUUACCAGUUUGGUUUGGCCUACUAGAUUGUUCUUUCUUGCCAUGGGAGAAGUGCUUAGCUUUGGGUUCAAUCUUGCGGUGUCCUUACCCAGUGACAAAAAGAGUUGCAAGGCACGUAUUUUAUUGUUGCCAUCGAGGAUAAAAAGAUGGGGGUUAUAUCAUAUUUCUUGAGUUUAUCCCUCUACAUCAUGUCAUCUUUCUUAAUGCGUUACUCUGUUCUUAUGAACUUAAUACUCUAGAUGCAUGCUGGAUAGCGGUCGAUGUGUGGAGUAAGAGUAGUAGAUGCAGGCAGGAGUCGGUCUACUUGUCAUGGACGUGAUGCCUAUAUACAUGAUCAUGCCUAGAUAAUCUCAUAAUUAUUCGCCUUUCUAUCAAUUGCUCGACAGUAAUUUGUUCACCCACCGUAAUACUUAUGCUAUCUUGAGAGAAGCCACCAGUUAAACCUAUGGCCCCCGGGUCUAUCUUUUAUCAUAUAAGCUUUCAAUCUACUUUUAUUUGCAUCUUUACUUUUUGCAUCUAUAUUAUAAAAUACCAAAAAUAUAUUUAUCUUAUCAUACUAUCUCUAUCAUAUCUCACUUUCGCAAGUGGUCGUAAAGGUUUUGACAACCCCUUUAUUGCGUUGGUUGCGAGUUCUUUGUUUGUUUGUGUAGGUGCGUGGGACUUUUGAGGAGCCUCCUACUGGAUUGAUAACUUGGUUCUCAAAAACUGAGGGAAAUAAUUACGCUACUAUUGCUGCAUCACCCUUUCCUCUUCAAGGAAAACCAACGCAAGCUCAAGACGUAGCAAGAAGGAUUUCUGGCGCCGUUGUCAGGGAGGUCUUCGCUCAAGUCAAGACAUACCAAGUACCCAUCAAAAACUCAUCUCCCUCACAUUUACAUUAUUUGCCAUUUGCCUCUCGUUUUCCUCUCCCCCACUUUACCCUUGCCGUUUUAUUCGCCCUCUCUUUCCCAAGCUUCUCCUCUCUUUUUCGCUUGCCUUUUUCUGUUUGCUUGUGUGCCUGUUUGACCUUGUGGCUUUGCCUAAGAGUACAUACCACCUUCUUAGAAGGUUGGAAGAGAUUGAAUCAAAUAUUAGAAGCUUUAUGACUUUGAAAUUUGAGCAUAAUAGUUUCUUCAGAAAAGAGCUUAAAGAACAAAAAGGUUUUUUUGGUUUAUGAAUAAGGAGCUUGAUGAUAUGAAUAAAGAAUUUUAUGGUGUGAACUCUCAAAUUAACCAGCUUGAGAAUGCUAUAGCCCAAAUUUUUGAUAAGCAAGCUACCUUAGUCAAUAAGAUGGCUUCCAAACCAGAAAAGUUAGAUGAAAAUAAUGAUGAAGAUCUUAAAGUUAUUGAUGUGUCUCCUAUUAGAUCUUUGUUUUGCAAUAUGAAUCUUGAUAAUAAUGGGACUGGAGAUGAGUAACCUUUAGUUAGAAGGCGUCCCAAUAAUUCGGAGUUUUUAGAUCUUGAUACUAAAUUUGGUAAAAGUGGGAUUGGAGAGGUCAUGACUUUAAAUAGCAUUGAACCCACUAUCUCGGAUUUCAAGGAAUUUGAUUAUGAUAAUUGUUCUUUAGAAGGUUGUAUUUCCUUGUUACAAUCCAUUGUUAAUUCUCCUCAUGCUUAUAGUCAAAAUAAAGCUUUUACCAAACAUAUCGUUGAUGCCUUGAUGCAAUCUUAUGAUGAAAAAAUUAAUUUGGAAGUUUCUAUACCUAGAAAACUUAAUAAUGAGUGGGAACCCACUAUAAAGAUUAAAAUUAAAGAUCAUGAGUGUUUUGCUUUGUGUGAUUUGGGUGCUAGUGUUUCCACGAUUUCGAAAACUUUAUGUGAUAUUCUAGGUUUACAUGAUCUUGAUGAUUGCUCUUUAAAUUUGCACCUUGCGGAUUCCACCAUUAAAAAGCCAAUGGGAAGGAUCAAUGAUGUUCUCAUUGUUGAAAAUAGAAAUUUGGUGCCCGUAGAUUUUAUCGUUCUUGAUAUUGAUUGCAAUCUUUCUUGCCCUAUUAUUCUUGGUAGACCUUUCCUUAGAACGAUUGGCGCGAUUAUUGAUAUGAAGGGAAUAUUAGAUUACAAUUUCCAUUAAGGAAAGGCAUGGAGCACUUUCCAAGAAAGAAAGUCAAAUUACCUUAUGAAUCUAUUAUGCGGGCUACUUAUGUAUUGAGUGCCAAAGAUGGCACUACUUAGAUCUAUCUUCGCUUUUAUGCCUAGCUAGGGGCGUUAAACGACAGUGCUAGUUGGGAGGCAACCCAAUUUUAUUUGUGUUUUUUGUUUUUGUUUCUGUUGAGUAAUAAAUUUUGCAUCUACCUUCUGUUUAGAUGUGUUUUUAUGUUUUAGUUAGUGUUUGUGCCAAGUAGAACCUAUAGGAUAACCUAUGAUGAUAGUUAAUUUGAUUCUACUGAAAAACAGAAACUUUGCACGCAUGAAACUAGUUUUGUUAAAUCACAGAAACGUGAUUUUGCGUUGAUUCUUUUUGCUGAUGAUCAAUAUACAAAUUGUCCAGGACUUCCUAUUUUUGUAGGAUGUUUAGAGUUCCAGAAGUUUGCGUUAGUUACAUAUUUCUACAGACUGUUCUGUUUUUGACAGAUUGUGUUUUUUGUGUGUUGUUUGCUUAUUUUGAUGGAACUACAGCUAGUAAAAUAGUUUAUAAACCAUAGAGAAGUUGGAAUACAGUAUGUUUAACACCAAAAUAAAUAAAGAAUGAGUUCAUUACAGUACCUUAUGUGGUGGUUUUGUUUUCUUUCACUAACGGAGCUUAUAAAAUUUCCUGUUGAGUUUUGUGUGUGAAGUUUUCAAGUUUUGGGUAAAGAUUUGAUGGACUAUGGAAUAAGGAGUGGCAAAAGCCUAAGCUUGGGGAUGCCCAUGGCACACCAAGAUAUUAAAGAGUAGCCAAAAGCCUAAGCUUGGGGAUGCCCCCGGAAGGCAUCCCCUGUUUCGUCUUUGUUCAUUGGUAACUUUACUUGGAGCUAUAUUUAAAUAAAUAAAGAAUGAGUUCAUUACAGUACCUUAUGUGGUGGUUUUGUUUUCUUUCAUUAACGGAGCUUAUAAAAUUUCCUGUUGAGUUUUGUGUUGUGAAGUUUUCAAGUUUUGGGUAAAGAUUUGAUGGACUAUGGUAUAAGGAGUGGCAAAAGCCUAAGCUUGGGGAUGCCCAUAGCACCCCAAGAUAUUGAAGAGUAGCCAAAAGCCUAAGCUUGGGGAUGCCCCCGGAAGGCAUCCCCUCUUUCGUCUUCGUUCAUUGGUAACUUUACUUGAAGCUAUAUUUUUAUUCUCCACAUGAUAUGUGUUUUGCUUGGAGCGUCGUGUAUGAUAUUAGUAUUUGCUUUUUAGUUUAACACAAUCAUCCUUGCAGUACACACCUUUUGGGAGAAGCCUACCUUAUUAGAAUUUGCUAGAAUUCUCUAUGUGCUUCACUUAUAUCUUUUCAGCUAGAUAGUUUUUGCUCUAGUGCUUCACUUAUAUCUUUUAGAGCACGACGGUGGCUUAAUUUUGUAGAAAUUGCUAGUCUCUCAUGCCUCACUUAUUUUAUUUUGAGAGUCUUUUAGAGCAGCAUGGUAUUUGCUAUGGUUAUAAAAUUGGUCCUAGAAUGGUAGGCAUCCAAGUUGGGUAUAAUAAAAACUAUCAUAGGAAGUGAAUUGGAUGCUAUUAUUAAUUUGAUACUUGAUAAUUGUUUUGAGAUAUGGAGGUAGUGAUAUUAAAGUCAUGCUAGUUGGGUUAUUAUGAAUUUAAAAAUGCUUGUGUUGAAGUUAGCAAGUCCCGUUGCAUGCACGUACGGUUAAAGUUGUGUAACAAAUUUGAAACAUGAAGUGUACUUGGAUUGUGCAUCCUUAUGAGUGGCGGUCGGGGACGAGCGAUGGUCUUUUCCUACCAAUCUAUCCCUCUAGGAGUAUGCACGUAGUGCUUCAUUUUUGAUGACUUCUAAAUUUUUGCAAUAAGUAUAUGAGUUCUUUUGACUAAUGUUGAGUCCAUGGAUUAUGCGCACUUUUACCUUUCCACCAUUGCUAGCCUCUUUGGUACCGUGCAUUGCCCUUUCUCACCUUGAGAGUUGGUGCAAACUUUGCCGAUGCAUCCAAACCCCGUGAUACGAUACGCUCUAUCACACAUAAACCUCCUUAUAUCUUCCUAAAAACAACCACCAUACCUACCAAUUAUGGCAUUUCCAUAGCCAUUCCGAGAUAUAUUGCCAUGCAACUUUCCACCGUUCCGUUCAUCAUCAUGACAUACAUUACUUUUGUCAUAUUGCCAUUGCAUGAUCAUGUACUUGACAUCGUAUUUGUGGCAAAGCCACCAUGCAUAAUUUUUCAUACAUGUCACUCUUGAUUCAUUGAACCAUCCCGGUACACCGCCGGAGGCAUUCAUAUAGAGUCAUACCUUGUUCUAGUUUCGAGUUGUAAUUCCUGUGUUGUAAUCAAUAAAAGUGUGAUGAUCAUCAUUAUUAGAGCAUUGUCCCAAAGAACAAAAAUGGAGGCCAAAAAAAGAAAGGCCAAAGUAAAAAAAGAGAAAAAAAAGAAAAAGAAAAAGAAAAAAAGAAAAGAAAAGAAAAGGGGCAAUGUUACUAUCUCUUUUCCACACUAGUGCUUCAAAGUAGCACCAUGUUCUUCAUAUAGUGAGUCUCAUAUCUUGUGCUUCAAAGUAGCACCAUGUUUUUCAUAUAGUGAGUCUCAUAUGUUGUCACUUUCAUAUACUAGUGGGAAUUUUUCAUUAUAGAACUUGGCUUGUAUGUUCCUACGACGGGCUUCCUCAAAUGCCCUAGGUCUUCGUGAGCAAGCAAGUUGGAUGCACACCACUAGUUUUCUUUUGUUGAGCAUUCAUUUAUUGCUCUAGUGCAUCCGUUGCAUGGCAAUCCCUACUCCUCAUGUUGACAUCAAUUGAUGGGCAUCUCCAUAGCCCGUUGAUUAUCCGCGUCAAUGUGAGACUUCCUCCUUUUUUUGUCUUCUCCACACAAUCCCCAUCAUCAUAUUCUAUUCCACCCAUACUGUUGUAUCCAUGGCUCACGCUCAUGUAUUGCGUGAAGGUUGAAAAAGUUUGAGAUUAUUUAAGUACGAAACAAUUGCUUGGCUUGUCAUAGGGGGUGUAGAAUUUGGGAACAUCUUUGUGUGACAAAAAUGAAGCAUAUCCUAACUAUAUGAUUUUGUAGGGACGAACUUUCUUUAGCCAUGUUAUUUUGUGAAUACAUGAUUGCUUUGAUUAGUAUGCUUGAAGUAUUACUAUUUCUUUUAUCAAUAUGAACUUUUAUUUUGAAUCAUUUGGAUCUGAACAUUCAUGCCACAAUAAAGAAAAUUACGUUAAGAAUUAUGCUAGGUAGCAUUCCACAUCAAAAAUUCUGUUUUUAUCAUUUACCUACUCGAGGACGAGCAAGAAUUAAACUUGGGGAUGCUUGAUACGUCUACAACGUAUCUAUCAUUUUUGAUUGCUCCAUGCUAUUAUAUUACCCUUUUUGGAUGUUUAUGGGCUGUAUUUUACACAUUUAUAUCAUUUUCGGGACUAACCUACUAACUAGAGGCCCAGCCCGUACUGCUGUGUUUUUGCCUAUUUUUGUAUUUCGAAGAAAAGGAAUAUCAAACGGAAUGAAACCUUCGGGAGAGUGAUUUUUGGAAUGAACGUGAUCCAGAGGACUUGGAGUGCAAUUCAAGAAGCAAUCGAGGUAGACAGGAGAUAGGAGGGCGCGCCCACCCCUCCUGGGCGCGCCCCCUGUCUCCUGGUCCCCUCGGGCGGCCACCGACCUACUUCUUCCUCCUAUAUAUACCCACGUACCCCGAAAACAUCCAGGGAGCCAACGAAAAACAAUUUCCACCACCGUAACCUUCUGUAUCCGCGAGAUCCCAUCUUGGAGCCUUCGUCGGUGCUCCGCCGAAGGGGGAAUCGACCACGGAGGGCUUCUACAUCAACACCAAAGCCCUUCCGAUGAGUUGUGAGUAGUUUACCACAGACCAUCGGGUCCAUAGUUAUUAGCUAGAUGGCUUCUUCUCUCUUUUUGGAUCUCAUUACAAUGUUCUCCCCCUCUCUUGUGGAGAUCUAUUCGAUGUAACACUUUUUGCGGUGUGUUUGUCGAGAUCCGAUGAAUUGUGGGUUUAUGAUCAAGUUUAUCUAUGAGAAAUAUUUGAAUCUCCUCUGAAUUCUUUUAUGUAUGAUUGAGUUAUGUUUGCAAGUCUCUUCGAAUUAUCAUUUUGGUUUGGCCUACUAGAUUGAUCUUUCUUGCCAUGGGAGAAGUGCUUAGCUUUGGGUUCAAUCUUGCGGCGUCCUUACCCCGUGAUAUAAAGGGUUGCAAGGCACGUAUUGUAUUGUUGCCAUCGAAAAUAAAAAGAUGGGGUUUAUAUCAUAUUGUUUGAGUUUAUCCCUCUACAUCAUGUCAUCUUUCUUAAUGCGUUACUCUGUUCUUAUGAACUUAAUACUCUAGAUGCAUGCUGCAUAGCGGUCGAUGUGUGGAGUAAUAGUAGUAGAUGCAAGCAGGAGUCGGUCUACUUGUCACGGACGUGAUGCCUAUAUACAUGAUCAUGCCUAGAUAAUCUCAUAAUUAUUCGCUUUUCUAUCAAUUGCUCAACAGUAAUUUGUUCACCCACCGUAAUACUUAUGCUAUCAUGAGAGAAGCCACUAGUGAAACCUAUGGCCCACGUGGCUAUCUUUUAUCAUAUAAGCUUUCAAUCUACUUUUAUUUGCAUCUUUACUUUUUGCAUCUAUAUUAUAAAUACCAAAAAUAUAUUUAUCUUAUCAUACUAUCUCUAUCAGAUCUCACUUUCGCAAGUGGCUGUGAAGGGAUUGACAACCCCUUCAUUGCGUUGGUUGCGAGUUCUUUGUUUGUUUGUGUAGGUGCGUGGGACUUUUGAGGAGCCUCCUACUGGAUUGAUACCUUGGUUCUCAAAAACUGAGGGAAAUACUUACGCUACUAUUGCUGCAUCACCCUUUCCUCUUCAAGGAAAACCAACGCAAGCUCAAGACGUAGCACCCCCUUCCCCCGUAUGUAAAGGAGCAAGGGGGAGGGGGCGGCCAGCCAGGAGGGGGCGCACCAGGAGGAGUCCUACUCCCACCGGGAGUAGGACUCCCUCCUUUCCUUGUCCAAGUAGGAGAGGGGGAAGGAAGGGGAGAGAGGAGAGGAAGGAAAUGGGGGCGCUGCCCACCCCCCUCCUUGUCCUAUUCAGACUAGAGGGGGAGGGGGCGCGCGACCUGCCCUGGCCGCCCCUCCUCUGCUGCUCUUUGGGCCCAUGAGGCCCAUUAACCGCCGGGGAGUUCCGGUAACCCCACGGCACUCUGGUAUACAUCCGAUAACCUCCGGAACCAUUGCGGUGUCCGUAUAUAGUCGUCCAAUAUAUCAAUCUUCAUGUCUCGACCAUUUCGAGACUCCUCGUCAUGUCCGUGAUCACAUCCGGGACUCCGAACUAUCUUCAGUACAUCAAAACAUAUAAACUCAUAAUAUAACCGUCAUCUAACUUUAAGCGUGCGGACCCUACAGGUUCGAGAACUAUAUAGACAUGACCGAGACACGUCUCCAGUCAAUAACCAAUAGCGGAACCAGGAUGAUCAUAUUGGAUCCCACAUAUUCUAUGAAGAUCUUUAUCGGUCAAACCACAUAACAACAUACGUUGUUCCCUUUGUCAUCGGUAUGUUACUUACCCGAGAUUCGAUCAUCGGUAUGUUACUUACCCGAGAUUCAAUCUCGUUAUUGGCAAGUCUCUUUACUCGUUACAUAAUGCAUCAUGUCAUAACUAACUCAUUAGCUACAUUGCUUGCACGGCUUAUAGUGAUGUGCAUUACCGAGAGGGCCCAGAGAUACCUCUCCGAUAAUCGGAGUGACAAAUCCUAAUCUCGAAAUACACCAACUCAACAUGUACCUUCGGAGACACCUGUAGAGCUCCUUUAUAAUCACCUAGUUACGUUGUGACAUUUGGUAGAAAACAAAGUGUUCCUUCGGUAAACGGGAGUUGCAUAAUCUCAUAGUUGUAGGAACAUGUAUAAGUCAUGAAGAAAGCAAUAGCAACAUACUAAACGAUCAAGUGCUAAGCUAACAGAAUGGGUCAAGUCAAUCACAUGAUUCUCCUAAUGAUGUGAUCCCGUUAAUCAAAUGACAACUCAUGUUUAUGGUCAGGAAACAUAACCAUCUUUUAUUAACGAGCUAGACAAGUAGAGGCAUACUAGUGACAUUGUGUUUGUCUAUGUAUUCACACAUGUAUUAUGUUUCUGGUCAAUACAAUUCUAGCAUGAAUAAUAAAAAUUUAUCAUGAUAUAAGGAAAUAAAUAAUAACUUUAUUAUUGCCUCUAGGGCAUAUUUCCUUUAGUAGCAAGUGAUGAUUGUUUUAUCGAGCGUCUUUUGAUUGAAAAACUGGAAGAACUCCUCGUAUGGAACUAACAACAUCAAUUCCAACGAGGUCGUGCUCCUCUUUAACUCUCAGCGACAAAAUACUUUUCCCAGACUUCCUCCAGAUGUCCAUGUACCAAUCAUGGAAUCUUCGCAUCAUCGUUGUUAGGGAAGUACCAGGUCUGACGAGAGGCUUCCCGUGCUCGAAUCUUAAUGUGUCCACCUCCAUUAUUUCAAAAAUUGUUGCAUCAUCGUCGGUUAUGUAAUCUCCAAGAUUGGUAGCGGGCAGCAUCCCCGGAAGAUUAGCGACGAUAUCGCUAGACACAUUGAGCGGGGGGCACGAUUGCUUCGCUUGUUCACCGAGCUAGGGAUUUUCCCCCAUUUUGUUCAUUCUGCUAGCCUUUGAUCAAUGCAAGUACUUCCCGACCGCUCCGCUUCCUUAUAUGUCCUUUCAAUGAUGCGGUCAUAGUUGGAUUGCGGGGGAGGCAGUGAUGGUCGUUGUAGGGCAUCGAAAGUGUGCUUCGCUUUCAUCGGAUCUAUCUCCAGCGGAGGUGGAUGUUUCUUAGCUUUUACCGGUUGAAAGAAUUCUCUGGUCGUGUUUCUUCAGUCUGUGAUCUUCCUGCUCCAGCCGCCCAAACCAGUGUCGGUGGAACCGCCUGCUCCCGCCUCCCGUUGCCGACUGUUCUGUCGGGAAGGCCUCACGGCCCCACCGUACUCGCAUACCUAGCCUGUCUAUCCAUCUACUCACCCACACCUCAUGUUAUUUUCCGGCGACGGCAGCCGAACCAGUCAACCUUCGUACUCCCCACCGCGUGAGCAGCCACUGCCGUGUCUUCUAUGGCUCCGUGUUGUUCCCUUUGUAUGCCUCGCCGUCGUCCACUGCCCUGGUGCUCUCGGUGCGGCGUGGUCAAUGUGGUCAACGAACGACUUCCAUCGGAAGUGGACUGUACAUGGAGAUGCUGGCAGCUGGGUCCAUGGCCGCACAAAAGGAAAUGCCUCCUUAUUACGCGCAAAAUAAUGAUUCCUUCCCAUGACAUCUGAGACCCACCAGAAGGGCCUCCGUAUUUUUCGCAAAAAAAACGACCCCCCCAUGCUGACAGGUCGGACCCACCAGCUAUAUCUUCGCAUGCAAGGAAUGUUGGAAAUAUGCCCUAGAGGCAAUAAUGAAAUGGUUAUUAUUAUAUUUCCUUGUUCAUGAUAAUUGUCUAUUGUUCAUGCUAUAAUUGUAUUAACUGGAAACCGUAAUACAUGUGUGAUUACAUAGACCACAACAUGUCCCUAGUGAGCCUCUAGUUGGCUAGCUCGUUGAUCAACAGAUGUUCAUGGUUUCCAGACCAUGGACAUUAGAUGUCAUUGAUAGCGGGAUCACAUCAUUAGGAGAAUGAUGUGAUGGACAAGACCCAAUCCUAAGCAUACCACAAGAUCGUGUAGUUCGUUUGCUAAGAGCUUUUCUAAUGUCAAGUAUCAUUUCCUUAGUCCAUGAGAUUGUGCAACUCACGGAUACCAUAGGAAUGCUUUGGGUGUACCAAACGUCACAAUUUAACUGGGUGGCUAUAAAGGUGCAGUACAGGUAUCUCCGAAAGUGUCUGUUGGCUUGGCACGAAACGUGACUUGGAUUUGUCACUCCAUAUGAUGGAGUGGUAUCUGUGGGCCCACUCGGUAAUGCAUCAUCAUAAUGAGCUCAAUGUGACUAAGUAGUUAGUCACGGAUCAUGCAUUGUGGAACGAGUAAAGUGACUUGCCGGUAACGAGAUUGAACGAGGUAUUGUGAUACCAACGAUCGAUUCUCGGGCAAAUAACAUACCAAUUGACAAAGGGAAUUGUAUACGGGAUUGAUUGAAUCCCCGACAUCGUGGUUCAUCUGAUGAGAUCGUCGUGGAACAUGUGGGAGCCAACAUGGGUAUCCAGAUCCCGUUGUUGGUUAUUAGCCGGAGAACGUCUCGGUCAUGUCUGGAUGGUUCCCAAACCCGUAGGGUCUACACACUUAAGGUUCGGUGACGCUAGAGUUGUUAUGGGAAAUAGUAUGCGGUUACCUAAGGUUGUUCGGAAGCCGGGAUGAGAUCCCAGACAUGACAAGGAACUCCGGAAUGGUCCGGAGGUGAAGAUCGAUAUAUUGGACGAAGAGUAUUCGAGUCCGGAAUUGUUCUGGGAGUACCGGUUGACGACCAGCGUGACCGAAAGGUGUUUCGAACGCCCCGGAAAGCGUUGGGGGCCUUAUGGGCCAAGGGGAGGGGGCACACCAGACCACUAAGGGGCUGUGCGCCCCUCCCAACCCCUCUCACGUAACCUGGGGAGGUGGGGCCGCCUCCCCUAGGGCAGCCGCCCCUCCCAGCUUGGGGGGCAAGUUUCAUAGGGGUGGCGGCGCCCAAACCCAUCUAGGGUUUCCACUGUGGCCACCACCCCUCCACUAGGGAACCCUAGGGCGCCUCCUCCACCCCCUUCCCCCUAUAUAUAGUGAGGGAGAGAGAGGGCAACCUCACCCCUUGCCCCUGGCACAGCCCUCCCCCUCUCCAACUCCACCUCCUCCUCAGUAGUGCUUGGCGAAGCCCUGCCAGAGAACUGCAAGCUCCACCACCACGCCGUCGUGCUGCCGGAGAUCUCCGUCAACUUCUCCUCUCCCCUUGCUGGAUCAAGAAGGAGGAGACGUCCCCGGGCUGUACGUGUGUUGAACGAGGAGGCGCCGUUCGUUCGGUGCUUAGACCGGAAUCGACCGCGAUCUGAAUCGCUGCGUGUACGACUCCACCAACCUCGUUCUUGUAAUGCUUCCGCAUCGUGAUCUUCAAGGGUAUGAAUAUACACUCAUACUCUCCCUCUCUUGUUCCUAGAAUCUCCAUAGAUUGAUCUUUGUGACACGUAGGAAAAUUUUGAAUUAUUGCUACGUUCCCCAACAAUGGCAUCAUGAGCUAGGUCUAUGCGUAGUUUCUAUGCACGAGUAAAACACAAGUUGUUGUGGGCAUCGAUUUUGUCAAUUUACUUCCUGUUACUAGUCUUAUCUUGAUUCGGCGGCAUCGUGGGGUGAAGCGGCCCGGACCGACCUUACAUGUACGCUUACGUGAGACAGGUUCCACCGACUGACAUGCACUAGUUGCAUAAGGUGGCUAGCGGGUGUCUGUCUCUCCCACUUUAGUCGGAUCAGAUUCGAUGAAAAUGGUCCUUAUGAAGGGUAAAUAGAAAUUGGCAUAUCACGUUCUAGUUUUGGCGUAGGUAAGAAACGUUCUUGCUAGAAACCUAUAGUAGCCACAUAAAAACUUGUAACAACAAUUAGAGGACGUCUAACUUGUUCUUGCAGCAUAUGCCGUGUGAUGUGAUAUGGCCAAAAGGAUGUGAUGAAUGAUAUAUAUGUGAUGUAUGAGAUUGAUCAUGUUCUUGUAAUAUGAAUCACGACUUGCAUGUCGAUGAGUAUGACAACCGGUAGGAGCCAUAGGAGUUGUCUUAAUUUAUUGUAUGACCCGCGUGUCAUUGAAUAACACCAUGUAAUUACUUUACUUUAUUGCAAAACUGUUAGCCAUAGUAGUAGAAGUAAUAGUUGGCGUGACAACUUCAUGCAGACACGAUGAUGGAGAUCAUGGUGUCAUGCCGGUGACGAUGAUGAUCAUGGCACCCCGAAGAUGGAGAUCAAAAGGAGAAAAAUGAUAUUGGCCACAUCAUGUCACUAUUUGAUUGCAUGUGAUGUUUAUCAUGUUUUUACAUCCUAUUUGCUUAGAACGACGGUAGCAUCAAUAAGAUGAUCCAUCGCUAAAAUUUCAAGAAAGUGUUCCCCUAACUGUGCACCAUUGAGAACGUUCAUUGUUUCGAAGCACCACGUGAUGAUCGGGUGUGAUAGAUUCUAAUGUUCGAAUACAACGGGUGUAAGCCAGAUUUACACAAGCAGAACACUUAGGUUGACUUGACGAGCCUAGCAUGUACAGACAUUGCCUCAGAACACAAUAUACUGAAAGGUCGAACACUAGUCCGUCUCAUGUGAUGAUCGGACACGGCCUAGUUGACUCGGAUCAUGUAUCACUUAGAUGACUAGAGGGAUGUCCAUCUGAGUGGGAGUUCAUUAAAUUAGAUGAACUUAAUUAUCAUGAACAUAUUCAAAAGGUCUUUGCAAAUUAUGUCGUAACUUGCGCUUCAGUUCUACUGUUUUAGAUAUGUUCCUAGAGAAAAUUUAGUUGAAAGUUGAUAGUAGCAAUUAUGCGGACUAGGUCUGUAAACUGAGGAAUGUCCUCAUUGCUACGCAGAAGGCUUAUGUCCUUAAUGCACCGCUCGGUGUGCUAAACCUCGAACAUCGUCUGUGGAUGUUGUGAACAUCUGACAUACACGUUUUGAUGACUACAUGAUAGUUCAGUAAUGUCAAACGGUUUAGAAUUGAGGCGGCGAAGACGAUUUUGAAACAUCGCGGAACAUAUGAGAUGUUCAAAGGGCUGAAAUUGGGAUUUCAGGCUCGUGCCCAUGUCAAGAGGUAUGAGACCUCUGACGAGUUUCUUAAGCCUGCAAUCUAAGGGAGAAAAGCUCAAUUGUUGAGCAUGUGCUCAGAUUGUCUGAGUACUACAAUCACUUGAAUUGAGUGGGAGUCACUAGUAGAAAAGGGGGCAAUGGUCCAGGCCGGGUCAGCCAUUAGUCCAGGUUCAGUCCAGAACCGGGACUCAUGGUGGCAUUGGACCCGGUUCGUGAGCCCCGGGGGCCGGCCGGGCCACGUGGGCCAUUGGUCCCAGUUCGUCUGGACCUUUUGGUCCCGGUUGGUCGGACGAACCGGGACCAAUGGGCCUCGCUCCUGGCCCACCACCAUUGGUCCCGGUUGGUGGCUUGAACCGGGACCAAAGGCUGCCUUUAGUCCCGGUUCAUGCCACAAACCGGGACCAAUGAAUUGCCUAUAUAUUCCCCUCGCCCGCGAGCAGAGCACUCCCACUGCUCUGUUUUUCCUGGCCGGCGAGGGGAGAGCUUUGUGGUGCUCUAGCUCACCUCCUAUGCACACGAGGUGUUCGAUGGAAUGCACGGGCUACACUACUUAUGCUUUCUCCUCUCCAAACUCGACCUCCAAGCUCCAUUUUACUCAAUAUUUGUCUAGGUCUAGCGGUCCGUCACGUCCCGUCCCCGUCUUCACCGCCUUCGAUCGCCCGUGCUGAUCUCAUCGCCGGCACCACCGUGGUGAGCCUCUUGUUCUUAUCUUCUUUCUGAAAGGAAAAAUAUUCUUACUUGUAUGUUUAGAUAGAUACUUGUAUUAUUUUCUUACUUUUAUUAUUGCAUCGUAUAUAGUGCGAUGGUUUUGGUAUCCGCCCCUGUCGGCCCGCGUCCUGUCUAUGAUUCGGAUGUGGUAUAUAUUAUCUUUUCAUAACUAUUGGUUCAUUUAUUGUUUAUGAAAAUUAUGCUGACCAACGUGACAUAGAUUUUAUUUAUCUAUGAGGUUGUUGAACCGGAAAUUCCAACCGACCCUAUUGUCGAGAGGUUAAAUUUAGUUGAAGAAGAAAACAAUUUCUUGAAGGAAAAAAUAAGAAAAAUUGAGGAGGAGAAGAUGAUAUUGGAGUUGCAUGUUGCGGAUGUCGUCGAUGAUCACAAGAUCAAGAUGGAUGCAAUGCGCUUGAAGAUGAGAAAGAUUAGAAAAUAUGCCAUUCAUAUCGAGGCUUGCUAUCAUUAUGCCGUUGGAUCAGUUGUUACCUUGGUUGCGAUUAUGAUCACAUUUGUUUUCGCAUUGAAAUGUUUGACAUAGUUUCAAUGUAGGGUUUAAUUAAUUUAGAUGCUCUGCAGAGCUUUAUGUUGUUAGAUGAGAACUAUGUAUGUACUUUGGUUUUAAUGUGAUGAUGAACUUCUAUUAAUUUGGUCACUUAAUUAUCUAUUCAUGAUGUUCUGUAAUGAUUUUUGACACACUUAAUUAUAUAUAAUGCAUGCAGAUGAACCGGCAAUGGUUGUACGGUGAAAGACACACCUCCGAGUACAUUAAGGGCGUGCAUGAUUUUCUCAAAGUGGCUGAGGCAAACAAGCAGAAUGGUUUUAUGUGUUGUCCAUGCCCUAUAUGUGGGAAUACGAAGUCUUAAUCUGACUGGAAAAUCCUUCACACCCACCUGCUUUACAAGGGUUUCAUGCCACACUAUAAUGUUUGGACGAGGCAUGGAGAAAUAGGGGUUAUGAUGGAAGACGGCGAGGAAGAAGAGUACGAUGACAACUAUGUGCCCCCUGAAUAUGGUGAUGCUAUUGAAGAUCAAGAGGUACCAGACGAUGUGCACAAUGAUGCUGCAACGGGCGAAGCUGCUGAAGAUCAAGAGGAACCAGACGAUGUGCCCGAUGAUGAUGAUCUCCGACGGAUCAUUGUCGAUGCAAGGACGCAAUGCGAAAGUCAAAAGGAGAAGCUGAAGUUCGAUCGCAUGUUAGAGGAUCACAAAAAAGGGUUGUACCCCAAUUGCGAAGAUGGCAACACAAAGCUCGGUACCAUACUGGAAUUGCUGCAGUGGAAGGCAGAGAAUGUUGUUCCUGACAAAGGAUUUGAGAAGCUACUGAAAAUAUUGAAAAAGAAGCUUCCAAAGGAUAAGGAAUUGCCCGACAGUACAUACGCAGCAAAGAAGGUCGUAUGCCCUCUAGGAUUGGAGGUUCAGAAGAUACAUGCAUGCCCUAAUGACUGCAUCCUCUACGGAGGUGCGUACAAGGAUCUGAACACAUGCCCGGUAUGCGGUGCAUUACGGUAUAAGAUCAGACGAGAUGACCCUGGUGAUGUUGACGGCGAGCCCCCCAGGAAGAGGGUUCCUGCUAAGGUGAUGUGGUAUGCUCCUAUAAUACCACGGUUGAAAUGUCUGUUCAGAAACGGAGAGCAUGCCAAGUUGAUGCGAUGGCACAGUGAGGACCGUAAGAAAGACGGGAAGUUGAGAGCACCCGCUGAUGGGUCGCAGUGGGGAAAAAUCGAGAGAAAGUACUGGGCUGAGUUUGCAGGUGACCCAAGGAACGUAUGGUUUUCUUUAAGCGCGGAUGGCAUUAAUCCUUUCAGGGAGCAGAGCAGCAAUCACAGCACCUGGCCCGUGACUCUAUGUAUGUAUAACCUUCCUCCUUGGAUGUGCAUGAAGCGGAAGUUCAUUAUGAUGCCAGUUCUCAUCCAAGGCCCUAAGCAACCCGGCAAUGACAUUUAUGUGUACCUAAGGCCAUUAGUUGAAGAACUUUUACGGCUGUGGAAUGGAAACGGUGUACAUACAUGGGAUGAGCACAAACACGAGGAAUUUAACCUAAAGGCGUUGCUGUUCGUGACCAUCAACGAUUGGCCCGCUCUCAGUAACCUUUCAGGACAGACAAACACGGGAUACCACGCAUGCACGCACUGUUUACUUGACACCGAUAGUAUAUACCUGGGAAGCUGCAGGAAGAAUGUGUACCUAGGCCAUCGUUGAUUUCUUCCGACCAACCAUCAAUGUCGAAAGAAAGGCAAGAAUUUCAAAGGCAAGGCAGAUCACCAGAAGAAGCCCGCCAUGCGUAUCGGUGAUCACGUACUUGCUAUGGUCAAUGAUUUACACGUAAUCUUUGGAAAGGGUCCCGACGCACUAGCUGUUCCGAAUGACGCUGAGGAACACGCACCCAUGUGGAAGAAGAAUUCUAUAUUUUGGGACCUACCCUACUGGAAAGACCUAGAGGUCCGCUCUUCAAUUGACGUGCACCUUUGCGUGAACCUGCUAGGCUUCUUGGGUGUGUAUGGAAAGACAAAAGAUACAGCUGAGGCACGGGAGGACCUGCAACGUUUGCACGAAAAAGACGGCAUGCCUCCAAAGUAGUAUGAAGGUCCUGCCAGCUAUGCUCUUACCAAAGAAGAGAAGGAAAUCUUCUUUGAAUGCCUGCUUAGUAUGAAGGUCCCGACUGGCUUCUCGUCGAAUAUAAAGGGAAUAAUAAAUAUGGCAGAGAAAAAGUUUCAGAACCUAAAGUCUCAUGACUGCCACGUGAUUAUGACGCAACUGCUUCUGGUUGCAUUGAGGGGGCUUCUACCGGAAAACGUCCGAUUAGCCAUUGUGAAGCUAUGUGCAUUCCUCAAUGCAAUCUCUCAGAAGGCGAUCGAUCCAGAAAUCAUACCAAGGCUAAGGAGUGAUGUGGUGCAAUGUCUUGUCAGUUUCGAGCUGGUGUUCCCACCAUCCUUCUUCAAUAUCAUGACGCACGUCCUAGUUCAUCUAGUUGACGAGAUUGUCAUUCUGGGCCCCGUAUUUCUACACAAUACGUACCCCUUUGAGAGGUUCAUGGGAGUCCUAAAGAAAUAUGUCUGUAACCAUGCUAGGCCAGAAGGAAGCAUCUCCAUGGGCCAUCAAACAGAGGAUGUCAUCGGGUUUUGUGUAGACUUCAUUCCUGGCCUUAAGAAGAUAGGUCUCCCUAAAUCGCGGUAUGAGGGGAGACUGACUGGAAAAGGCACGCUUGGAAGGGACUCAAUAAUAUGCAGGGACGGAUAUUCUUGGUCUCAAGCACACUACACAGUUCUACAGAACUCUACCUUGGUGACCCCUAUGUCGAUGAACACAAGAACAGUCUGCGCUCCAAACACCCGGAGCAGUGCGACGACUGGAUUACAUGUGAACACAUCAGGACUUUCAGCAGUUGGUUGGAAACACGUCUCAGAGGUGACAACACAUCAGGACCAUCUUUGACUAUAUUGAUUUACAAAGGAUACGGGAUAAAUGGGAAUACAUUUUACAUGAUUGACCAAGAUCAAAAGAGCACCAACCAAAACAGCGGUGUCCGCUUUGAUGCAACAACCGAGAGGGGAAAGGACACAUAUUAUGGUUACAUAGUGGACAUAUGGGAAUUUGACUACGGACAUGAUUUUAAGGUCCCUUUAAUUAAGUGCAAAUGGGUCAAUCUGCCAGGAGGCGGGGUACAGGUAGACCCACAGUACGGAAUGACAACAGUGGAUCUGAAAAGUCUUGGGUACACUGACGAACCGUUCGUCCUAGCCAAUGAUGUGGCACAUGUUAUCUAUGUGAAGGACAUGUCUACCAAGCCGAGAAAAAGAAAAGAUAAGGAAGCGAAUACAUCAUACGAUGAGCCAAAGCGCCACAUAGUUCUUUCAGGAAAAAGGGACAUCGUGGGAGUGGACGGCAAGACAGAAAUGUCUGAAGAUUAUGAAAAGUUUCAUGAAAUUCCUCCCUUCAAAGUCAAGGCUGACCCUAGCAUCCUGAUAAACGAUGAAGAUUAUCCAUGGUUACGGCGCAAUAAGCAAAUGACACAAGCGAAGGAAAAGUGAAGACUUUCUCCCGCAACUAUUAUGAUGAUACCAUGCCAACUUUGUAACAGACGAGUAUGAUACCAUGCCAACUGUUAUGAAUUUAGGUUGAAUUUUCUCUAUAGGCGCAUCUAUGUUCAUUUUUUUAGUAAAGUUAAUCACAAACUUGUGAUCCACACAAAUUUCAAAGAAUUCAAGUUUUAACUAUUCAAAUUUGAAAACUAAUGGCACUAACAGAAAGUUUAUAAUUUCUCUAAAACUAAUGGCACUAACAGAAAGUUUAUAAUUUUGCUGACCUAAAAGCAAAAAGAAUUAAAAAAUAAAGCAAAAAACAAAAGAAAAUAAAUAAUGCAGAAAACAAAACAAAAAAACUGGAAACAAAAUAAAAAUAGUAACAAUAAGUAUUUUGUUGUAAGUAGAAACAAAACAAAAUAAAUAAAGCAGCAAAGAAAACAAAAAAACAAAAAAAAGUGUUUUCAAAUUUGAAAACUAAUGGCACUAACAAAAAGUUUAUAAUUUUUCUAAAACUAAAAGCAANNNNNNNNNNNNNNNNNNNNNNNNNNNNNNNNNNNNNNNNNNNNNNNNNNNNNNNNNNNNNNNNNNNNNNNNNNNNNNNNNNNNNNNNNNNNNNNNNNNNNNNNNNNNNNNNNNNNNNNNNNNNNNNNNNNNNNNNNNNNNNNNNNNNNNNNNNNNNNNNNNNNNNNNNNNNNNNNNNNNNNNNNNNNNNNNNNNNNNNNNNNNNNNNNNNNNNNNNNNNNNNNNNNNNNNNNNNNNNNNNNNNNNNNNNNNNNNNNNNNNNNNNNNNNNNNNNNNNNNNNNNNNNNNNNNNNNNNNNNNNNNNNNNNNNNNGCUGUAAGUAGAAACAAAAUAAAAUAAAUAAAGCAAGAAAGAAAACAAAAAAAAACAAAAAAAAGUGUUUUCAAAUUUGAAAACUAAUGGCACUAAUAGAAAGUUUAUAAUUUUUCUAAAACUAAAAGCAAAAGGAAAAAAUAAAGCAAAAAACUAAAGAAAAUAAAUAAUGCAAAAAACAAAACAAAAAACUGGAAAAAAACUAAAAAAAACUGCCACCUAUUGGGCUAGCACGGCCUGAAUACGACUAGAAACCCAACCUGGGCCAGGAUUCGGGUCCGUAGAAGGCCCAAUAGGCCUACAGCAGCAUACUGUGAAAUUAGGCCCGAUAGCCUGCAGUUGAGAGGAGCUCGAGAGGGUGGGCGCAUUAGCGCUUAUAAACCACUCUCGAGCCCUCUCAACUAGCGAGGUGGGACUAAACUUUGGCUGCGACGCGGGCAGCAUACGGGCCUUUGGUCCCGGUUGGUGGCACCAACCAGGACUAAAGGGGGACANNNNNNNNNNNNNNNNNNNNNNNNNNNNNNNNNNNNNNNNNNNNNNNNNNNNNNNNNNNNNNNNNNNNNNNNNNNNNNNNNNNNNNNNNNNNNNNNNNNNNNNNNNNNNNNNNNNNNNNNNNNNNNNNNNNNNNNNNNNNNNNNNNNNNNNNNNNNNNNNNNNNNNNNNNNNNNNNNNNNNNNNNNNNNNNNNNNNNNNNNNNNNNNNNNNNNNNNNNNNNNNNNNNNNNNNNNNNNNNNNNNNNNNNNNNNNNNNNNNNNNNNNNNNNNNNNNNNNNNNNNNNNNNNNNNNNNNNNNNNNNNNNNNNNNNNNNNNNNNNNNNNNNNNNNNNNNNNNNNNNNNNNNNNNNNNNNNNNNNNNNNNNNNNNNNNNNNNNNNNNNNNNNNNNNNNNNNNNNNNNNNNNNNNNNNNNNNNNNNNNNNNNNNNNNNNNNNNNNNNNNNNNNNNNNNNNNNNNNNNNNNNNNNNNNNNNNNNNNNNNNNNNNNNNNNNNNNNNNNNNNNNNNNNNNNNNNNNNNNNNNNNNNNNNNNNNNNNNNNNNNNNNNNNNNNNNNNNNNNNNNNNNNNNNNNNNNNNNNNNNNNNNNNNNNNNNNNNNNNNNNNNNNNNNNNNNNNNNNNNNNNNNNNNNNNNNNNNNNNNNNNNNNNNNNNNNNNNNNNNNNNNNNNNNNNNNNNNNNNNNNNNNNNNNNNNNNNNNNNNNNNNNNNNNNNNNNNNNNNNNNNNNNNNNNNNNNNNNNNNNNNNNNNNNNNNNNNNNNNNNNNNNNNNNNNNNNNNNNNNNNNNNNNNNNNNNNNNNNNNNNNNNNNNNNNNNNNNNNNNNNNNNNNNNNNNNNNNNNNNNNNNNNNNNNNNNNNNNNNNNNNNNNNNNNNNNNNNNNNNNNNNNNNNNNNNNNNNNNNNNNNNNNNNNNNNNNNNNNNNNNNNNNNNNNNNNNNNNNNNNNNNNNNNNNNNNNNNNNNNNNNNNNNNNNNNNNNNNNNNNNNNNNNNNNNNNNNNNNNNNNNNNNNNNNNNNNNNNNNNNNNNNNNNNNNNNNNNNNNNNNNNNNNNNNNNNNNNNNNNNNNNNNNNNNNNNNNNNNNNNNNNNNNNNNNNNNNNNNNNNNNNNNNNNNNNNNNNNNNNNNNNNNNNNNNNNNNNNNNNNNNGAAAUAGUUUUAUAUAUGCAAAAGUUGCAUUUUUAGAGAAGUUUUUUAUAUGUAGCUAGAAAGAAGGAAGAAGAAGAAAAAGAAGGAGAGGAAAAAGGAAAAUAAGAAGAGGAAGAAAGGAGAAGAAGAGGAGAAAUAAAUAAGAAGAGGAAAAAAGAAGAAAAAGAAGAGGAGAAGAAGAAGAAAAGAAUAGAGGAGAAAGAAGUUCUAUUUUUUUCUUCUUUCUCCUCUAUUCCUUUCUUCUUCUCCUUUUUUUUCUUUUUUUUCUUCGAUUGCUUCUCUUCUAUUCCUUUCUUCUUCUCCUCUUUUUAUUUCUUCUUUUGUCUUGUUAUUUUUUAUCGGGUAUGUCGUUGUCAAUUUACCCCCUCCCGUAAAACUUCAACACGAGGGGGGGUACCGAUACCCCCUCCCCGAUAACAUUAUUUUCCCAUGUAUAUGUAUGUCACGUCGUUGUCCAUAUAACCCCCUCCCGGAUAACUUCGACAUGAGGGGCAGUCGAUAUAUAUACCCCCUCUCGACUGUGAUAACUUAUACAACAGCAGCACCCCCCUUGGCCCUCUCGCUCGACCAAAACUCUCGAGGACACCCAAACCCUAGAGAAAAAACGAUGUUGGUCUCCUACCCCCUCCCGUCGCGCCCCUACCCGACAAACUCUCUCGAGGCCACCCAAAUUUACCAAGUUAAAAGAGCGUUGUCGUUGAGGCCACCCCAAACCCUUGAAGCGUUGUGUCGAGGCCUCCCCAAACCCUUGAAGCGUUGUCUAGGCCACCCCAAACCCUAGAGAAGCAGCAUCGAGGCCACUAACAUGAUUCCUUAUUGUGAUUAGCUAGCUAGUUCUAUGUUUGCCACUAAUAUAUAUCCAUCUAUACCAUGUUUGAAUAAUAAUUGACAUGUUGUAAAUAUUUGCAGAAACUAUGGAGCACUCCCGAGACGGAGCAACAGAAGCGAUGUUGGGGGACAUAAUCGCACCAGGAAGUGAUGUCGUUGCGUCAUUUCUCAAUGACACCGAUGGUCAGGAAGGACUGGGUGAAGAAGAGGGCUAUGUUCAUGAUGGCUCUGGCCCAUUAAUGCCGGUACAAGAAGAGGGCUAUGUUCAUGAUGGCUCCGGUGACCCAAUGGAGGUACAAGAAGGAGACCAUGCUGACUGCUCCAGUGACCGAACCGAGUCCGGCCAGGUAUAUAUAUAUUAGUUAAGCCUAUGCUGACUAGUUAAUUGAUGCAUUCAUUGUUUUGGUAUAUGUACACAUAUUAAUUAACUCUCAUCUUUCUUCCUUUUUAUAGCCCUCCGGAUCGAGCACAACUUCGGUAAGGAGACGAGGCCCGAAGAAAAAGUUGAGCUCGGAUGAAAGGUUUGGGAUCACAGCAAUUGCGCCCAACGGCGAACCGGUUGAACCCAUCCAGACAAAGAAUGCAUUUUCUGCUCAGUGCGGGGUUCUUAUUAGGAACAAGAUCCCGAUCAGCAUCCACCAAUGGUAUAAGCCUAAGGAGGAAGACCCUGAGGUGUCUUAUGUCAAUGAUAUGCAGAAAGAUGAUCUUUGGACUCAGCUGAAGGCAAAUUUCACCCUACCGCCAUUGGAGGAUCCGGGGAAGCCAGUUAAAGAGAAAUUAAACAAGUCUUGUGCUCUUAAGAAGAUGGCAAGCCUAUUCAGGAGGUGGAGGAAAGAGCUGAAGAGGUUUGUUGACAAAAAAGAGACACCAAAAUUCAUCGUCAAAUAUGAGAAGAUCAAAGAUCACUUGCCCGCAUUUGUGGCCCACAAGACAUCGGAAAAGAGUAAGAAGAUGUCGGUGACAAACAAGAAAAAUGCUGUGAAGAAGCAGUUUCACCAUCGCACGGGGUCAGGUGGCUACCUCAAAGCCCGGCCUAAGUGGUCCAACGCUGAGAAUGAUCUGCUUGAUAAAGGGAUCAAACCAGAGACAAUGAACUGGCCAGACCGUUGCCGGACUUGGUUCUUAGGGGCUGGCGGAACCUUGGACCCUGCAUCAGGGAAGUGCCGUUGGACUGACGAGCAACUGUAAAUACCAGUCAAGAGGCUUCGGCACUAUAUCGAUGCAGCGCAGCAAGGGACGUUUGUUCCAGACAGGGAGAAGGACGAGCUCACAAUGGCCCUCGGGAAUCCUGAGCACCCUGGACGGACACGAGGCACGCCAGGCUCCAUUCCAUGGAAGGUUGGUUUUCCGGACGUAGGGGGUUACAAAACCCAGGAGAGGAGGAAGAAACUGGAGUAGGGCCAACUGCAUGCACUGCACAAAAGGGUAAUGGGGCUAGAGGAACGAGAAGCAGAUCGCAGCAAACGACCUGCCGAAGCUUCCCCCGAAGCUACCCCGCCAUCUCAACAGAGAAGCAGGGUGGCUUCCACCGAGCUGCUUCAGCCGGAGCAUUUCUUGACGGCUCCUGCUAGCUAUCCCGUGGAUGCUAUCACGGAGUCUCAAAAUUGCCACAUUAUGACGCGAUGGAUGAAUUUGAAGGUCAAGGCGGCUGUUGGCUCUGGUUAUCCUACUGAACCCGGCGCAAAUUUUCACUGCCGGCCGAUUCCAGAAGGAUAUGCUAGGGUGAUGGUGGAUGAAAUAACUGAGGGAUUUGAGGACGUCCAGCUUGACCACCCUACAGGUGAAGGGGAGACUAGGCUGGGUUCCGCUCUGAAGACUCCAUGCCUAUGGCGGAAGGAGCUCAUCAACCUUCCAAACUGGACGCCUCCGCCUCCUCCUCCUCCUCCGACGAGUCAGGGCACUCCUCCUCCUCCACCGCCUCCUCCUCCGGUGAGUGAUGAUCAGGGCACUGGGCCUCCUUCUCCGGCGUGUGGCGGCACUCCGCCUCCUUCUCCGCGUGUGCCGGCCCACCCGAGCAGCCAACAGCCUCCUCCUUCUCCGCCUCGCCAGCACAGGCGGAAGAGACCCGCCGCCGCCCCGGCUGCUCCAGCGCGUCGUAGUCCUUCUCCUCUGCCUCGUAAGCAAGCACGAAAGAAGAUAGACGCCGCAGCCGCUCUGUCUGCUCCGGCGUCUAGUAGUACAGCCAGAGGAGGGAGGCAUACAGAUAUGGUCCUCCUCUCAAGCCUCUAGAGAAGUUACCAUACGAGAGGACCGUGGAGGAAAACGCGAAGAUCGUGCGGGCCGAAGUGGACGACUUCUUUGAAGGUUGAAAGCAAAGAGACAUCCACCUCCGGAGGAGAAGGUAGAUCUGGUGAAUGCAAAGCGCACUCUCGAUGCCCUGAGGAAACCAGCAAAGUCUCCGCCGAGAACCAACUAUGAGCGCAUUACUGAACAGACAUAUCUCCAAGCGGAGCGGUCGGGAAGUACUGUUAGACAUCAAAGGUCAAGAGAACAAGCAGCUGCGAAAAAAAUUCACCAGCUCGGCGAACAAGCAAAUCAAUCGUGCCCCCCGCUCAAUGUGUCUAGCGGCGACAUCGUCGCUAAUGCUCCAGGGACGGUGGCCGGUUAUUGCAAUCUUGCAGCUUACCUGCCUGACGAUCAACUUCCUGAUUUCAUGGAGGUGGACGAACAUAGAUACGAGUACGGGAAGCCUCUCGUCAAAGAUGAAAAAUCUCUACCAACGAUGAUGCGAAGAUUCCAUAAUUGGUACAUGAAAAGCUGCAGAGAGUCUGGGGGGAUGAAUAGUUUGUAUCUGAACAUUAAAGAGGAGAAUGACCUCGUUGGAACUGAUCUGUUGCCUAUUCCAUUUGAGGAGUUCUUUGCAUUCUUCUAUCAAAAGUCCCGCGAUAAAUUAACGGUCUUUUGCUACUAUCUGUAAGUUCUAUUUCUGUCAUUAAGUCUCUAUAUACAGCUCGGCUCUUUCAUUCCAUGUAUUUAUAAUUAAUUAUCCUCACUAUAUUAUGCAGAUUGAAGAUCAUCGAAUGCAGAAAACAAGAAAUGUAUGAUAUUGGGUUCAUUAACACAAAUAUCAUAGAUGAAAUUGAGGUUAAAAAGCACGCCGAAGAGGCCGAGGCCAACUUGCUACAAUCGUUGAUCAAAAAUCAAAGCAAAGAUACCAUGCUCUUUCCUCACAACUUCAAGUGAGUGUUACUGUCGUGUGCAUAUUCGGUUUCCCUUAUUACUCGAGCAAGGUUAUAGUAAUGUAAUUGAUGAGUUAUGCAUGCGUGCGCAGCUUCCACUAUGUUCUUCUGGAGAUUAAGCUUGAGCGUGGACUAGUAACCGUCUUAGACUCGAGACGAAAAGAUCGUGAAACCUAUGCGGACAUGACUAAAUUUCUCAACAAGUAAGUUCAAUCGAUCAUUAUCGCACCAUAUCAGCAACUUUUUGUUCAUUUCUUGAUAUCUCAUGUAAUAAUAAUUAUUUUCUUUGUCUUGCAGGGUUUGGAAAUAGUUCACCGAAGAAGCUCCAGGACUGCCGAAGGAGCUGCGAUAUACAUACCCGAAAGUAAGUACUACUGGCUAGCUAGUUGCGCGCAUCUCCCGUUGAUUCUAUAGCUAUACUUUCAUCAAUGCCAUUUAUAAUGCUUCAUUAUCAGUUUGUUGACCUCUAUUUCUCGUAAAGUGCUUGUGGCGGGAACAAGGGAAUGAUUUCUGUGGAUACUACGUGUGCGAGUUCAUCUACAACGCGACUUUGAAGAAUAAGCGGGGUACUCUAAAAGAUAAUAUGAAGUGCGUAAGCAAUAAUAUUCACAAUUUCAUUUUAUUACACCAUCAUUUCUUUUGAGUUUCAUUCAUAUAUAUGUAUUAAUUAACCCCCUUCUUCAAAUUAGACGUGGCAGAUGCGGAAUGAACUCCUAGAACAAGAUCGCAUGAAAGCAACUCAAGAGGAAUUGGCGGGAUUCUUUCUUGACCACGUCAUCAAUAAAGCCGGAGAAUACCAUGUGGAAGUUGAUUUCAAUUGCUAGGGGAUUGUAAUUAAGAGAUCUUACAUAUUGGAUAUGUAUGUAGCCAGUAGCGUCGGAUAGAUAAUACGAAAACUUGUUGUUCGACCAAUCUCUCGGAGAAGGAGAGGUCGAUCGAUCACUUCUCUUGGUAUGCAUGACGAACUUCUGUACUUAAUGGUUCCCUUCAUUUUAUUACUAGCUAGCAUGUCGAGGGCCUCUCUAUGUAUAGUACAUAGCGUCGACCAAGCAUGGACAUAAGAUAGGACACUUCUCUCUAUUAAUUAGCUAGCUAACACAAUAUAUGAAACACCUAAAUUAACCCCCCAAAACNNNNNNNNNNNNNNNNNNNNNNNNNNNNNNNNNNNNNNNNNNNNNNNNNNNNNNNNNNNNNNNNNNNNNNNNNNNNNNNNNNNNNNNNNNNNNNNNNNNNNNNNNNNNNNNNNNNNNNNNNNNNNNNNNNNNNNNNNNNNNNNNNNNNNNNNNNNNNNNNNNNNNNNNNNNNNNNNNNNNNNNNNNNNNNNNNNNNNNNNNNNNNNNNNNNNNNNNNNNNNNNNNNNNNNNNNNNNNNNNNNNNNNNNNNNNNNNNNNNNNNNNNNNNNNNNNNNNNNNNNNNNNNNNNNNNNNNNNNNNNNNNNNNNNNNNNNNNNNNNNNNNNNNNNNNNNNNNNNNNNNNNNNNNNNNNNNNNNNNNNNNNNNNNNNNNNNNNNNNNNNNNNNNNNNNNNNNNNNNNNNNNNNNNNNNNNNNNNNNNNNNNNNNNNNNNNNNNNNNNNNNNNNNNNNNNNNNNNNNNNNNNNNNNNAAAACCCCAACCACUGAAAUGCUGACGCGUGGAUGCCUUUUGGUCCCGGUUGGUGCCACCAACUGGGACCAAAGGCCCUCUUGCCUGGGCCCGGCUCACCGGCCACGUGGAGGCCCAUCUGUCCCAGUUCGUGUUAGAACCGGGACUAAAGGUCUAGGGAAUUAGUAACGGCCCUUUAGUCCUGGUUAAUGAACCAGGACAAAAGGCCCUCACCAACCGGGACUAAUAGGUGUUUUUCUACUAGUGAGUUAAUCUUCCUUAAGAGAUAGUGAUGGUUCUCCAAAGUCAUUGCCACCAAGCUACCAGAUCUUCGUGAUGAACUAUAACCUAUCAGGGAUAGAUAUGAUGAUCCUUGAGCUAUUCGCGAUGUUUGACACCGCGGAAGUAGAAAUCAAGAAGGAGCAUCAAUUUUUGAUGGUUAGUGAAACCACUAGUUUCAAGAAGGGCAAGGACAAGAAGGGAUACUUCACGAAAUGGCAAAUCAGUUGCUGCUGUAGUGAAGAAACCCAAAGUUUGAACCCAAACCUGAGACUAAGUGCUUCUGUAAUGAGGGGAACGGUCACUGAAGCAGAACUACCCUAGAUACUUGGUAGAUGAGAAGGCCGGCAAGGUCGACAGAAGUAUAUUGGAUAUACAUUAUAUUACUGUGUACUUUACUAGUACUCCUAGUAGCACCAGGGUAAUAGAUACAGGUUCGGUUGCUAAGUGUUAGUAACUCGAAAUAAAAGGCUACGGAAUAAACAGAGACUAACCGAAGGUGAGAUGACGAUAUGUGUUGGAAAUGUUUCCAAGGUUGAUGUGAUCAAACAUCGUACGCUCCCUCUACCAUCGAGAUUGGUGUUAAACCUAAAUAAUUAUUUGGUGUUUGCGUUGAGCAUAGACAUGAUUGGAUUAUGUUUAUCACAAUACGGUUGUUCAUUUAAGGAGAAUAAUGGUUACUCUGUUUAUUUGAAUAAUACCUUCAAUGGUCUUGCACCUAAAAUGAAUGGUUUAUUGAAUCUCGAUCGUAGUGAUACACAUGUUCAUGCCAAAAGAUAUAAGAUAGUAAUGAUAGUACCACCUACUUGUGGCACUGCCAUUUGAGUCAUAUUGGUAUAAAAUGAAUGAAGAAGCUCCAUGUUGAUGGAUCUUUUGGACUCACUCAUUUUUUGAAAAGUUUGAGACAUGCGAACCAUGUCUAUUAGUAUGUACGCAUGAAGAAACUCCAUGCAGAUGGAUCACUUGGACUCACUUGAUUUUGAAUCACUUGAGACAUGCAAAUCAUACCACAUGGGCAAGAUGACUGAAAAGCCUCGUUUUCAGUAAGAUGGAACAAGAAAGCAACUUGUUGGAAGUAAUACAUUUUGAUGUGUACAGUUCAAUGAGUGCUGAGGCACGCAGUGGAUAUUGUUAUGUUCUUACUUCACAUAUCAUUUGAGUAGAUGCUGAGUAUAUUUACUUGAUGAAACACAAGUCUAAAUUAUUGAAAGGUUCAAGUAAUUUCAGAGUGAAGUUGAGGAUCAUCGUGACAAGAGGAUAAAAUGUCUAUGAUAUAAUCAUAGAGAUGAGUAUCUGAGUUAUGAGUUGGUAUACAAUUAAGACAUUGUGAAAAUUGUUUCACAACUAAUACCGCCUGGAACACCAUAGUGUGAUGGUGUGUCCGAACAUCAUAGUUGCGCCCUAUUGGAUAUAUAUGGUUCGUACCAUGAUGUCUCUUAUCGAAUUACCACUAUCAUUUAUGCGUUAGGCAUUAGAGACAACCACAUUCACUUCAAAUAGGGCACCACGUAAUUCCGUUGAGAUGACAACGUAUGAACUAUGGUUUAGAGAAACCUAAGUUGUCAUUUCUUAAAAGUUUGGGGCUCCGAAGCUUAUGUGGAAAAGUUUUAGCCUGAUAAGCUCGAACCCAAAGCGGAUAAAUGCAUCUUCAUAGGACACCCAAAAUAGUUGGGUAUACCUCCUAAUUCAGAUCCGGAAGCAAAAGUGAUUAUCUCUAUAAACUGGUCCUUUCUCGAGGAAAAGUUUCUCUCGAAAGAAUUGAGUGGGAGGAUGGUGGAGACUUGAUGAGGUUAUUGAACCGUCACUUCAACUAGUGUGUAGCAGGGCACAGGAAGUUGUUCAUGUGGCGCCUACACCAAUUGAAGUGGAAGCUGAUGAUAGUGAUCAUGAAACUUCAGAUCAAGUCACUACCAAACCUCGUAGGUCGACAAGGAUCCGUACUACUUUAGAGUGGUAUGUAAUCCUGCCUUGGAGGUCAUGUUGCUAGACAACAAUGAACCUACGAGCUAUGGAGAAGAGAUAGUGGGCCCGGAUUCCGACGAAUGGCUCGAGGCCAUAAAAUCCGAGACGAUCCAUGUAUGAAAACAAAGUAUAGACUUUGGAAGAACCACUUGAUGGUUGUAAGGUUGUUGGGUAGAGAUGGAUUUUAAAAGGAAGACGGACAAUGAUGGUAAGUACCACCAUUAAGAAAGCUCGACUUGUCGUUAACAUAUUUUCCGACAAGUUCAAGGAGUUGACUACGAUAAGACUUUCUCACUCAUAGCGAUGCUAAGAGUCUGUUGGAAUUAUAUUAGCAAUUACUGCAUUAUUUAUGAAAUCUUGCAGAUAGGAUGUCAAAACAUUGUUUCCUCCAUGAUUUUCUUGAGGAAAGAUUUUAUGUGAUACAACCAGAAGGUUUUGUCAAUCUUGAAAGAUGCUAACAAGUAUGCAAAGCUCCAGCAAUCCUGCUAAGGACUGGAGUAAGCAUCUCGGAGUUGGAAUAUACGCUUUGAUGAGAUGAUCAAAGAUUUUGGGUUUAUACAAAGUUUAUGAGAAACUUGUAUUUGAAAAGAAGUGAGUGGGACCACUAUAGAAUUUCUGAUGAGUAUAUGUUGUUGCAUAUUGUUGAUCAGAAAUGAUGUAGAAUUUCUGGAAAGCAUAUAGGGUUAUUUGAAAAGUGUUUUUAAAUGGAAAACCUGGAUUAAGCUACUUGAACAUUGAGCAUCAAGAUCUACAAGGAUAGAACAAAAGAUGCUUAAUAGUAGUUUCAAAUGAACACAUACCAUGACAAGAUUUUGAAGGAGUUCGAAAUAGAUCGGCAGAGAAGGAGUUCUUGGCUGUGUUAUAAGGUGUGAGUAUUGAGUAAGACUCAAGACCUGACCAUGGCAAAAGAGAGAGAAAGGACGAAGGUCGUCCUCUAAGCUUUAGACGUAGGCUCCAUAGUAUGCUAUGUCGUGUACCACACCUAAAGUGUGCCUUGCCAUGAGUCAGUCAAGGGGUACAAGUGUGAUCCCGGAAUGGAUCACAGGACAAUGGUCAAGGUUAUCCUUAGUAACUAGUGGACUAAGGAAUUUUCUCGAUUAUGGAGGUGGUAAAAGAGUUUUCCAUAAAGGGUUACGUCGAUGCAAACUUUGACACUAAUCUGGAUGACUCUGAGUAGUAGACCGGAUUCGUAUAGUAGAGCAGUUAUUUGGAAUAGUUCCAAAUACUGUGUGGUAGAUGCAUCUAGGAGAUGACAUAGAGAUUUGUAAAGCACACACGGAUCUAAAAGAUUCAGACCCAUUGACUAAUAACCUCUCUCACAAGCGAGAUAUGAUCAAACCCAAUGGGUGUUGGAUUCAUUACAAUCACAUAGUGAUGUGAACUAAAUUAUUGACUCUAGUGCAAGUGGGAGACUAUUGGAAAAUAUGCCCUAGAUCCUAAGCUUAGCACAAGAUCAUGUAGUUCGUUUGCUAAGAGCUUUUCUAAUGUCAAGUAUCAUUUCCUUAGACCAUGAGAUUGUGCAACUCCCUGAUACCAUAGGAAUGCUUUGGGUGUACCAAACGUCACAACAUAACUGGGUGGCUAUAAAGGUGCAGUACAGGUAUCUCCGAAAGUGUAUGUUAGGUUGGCACGAAUCGAGACCGGGAUUUGUCACUCUAUAUGACGGAGAGGUAUCUCUGGGCUCACUCGGUAAUGCAUCAUCAUAAUGAGCUCAAUGUGACUAAGUAGUUAGUCACGGGAUCAUGCAUUACGGAACGAGUAAAGUGACUUGCCGGUAACGAGACUGAACGAGGUAUUGGGAUACCGAUGAUCCAAUCUCAGGCAAGUAACAUACCGAUUGACAAAGGGAAUUGUAUACGGUAUUGAUUGAAUCCCCAACAUCAUGGUUCAUCCGAUGAGAUCAUCAUGGAACAUGUGGGAUCCAACAUGGGUAUCCAGAUCCUGCUGUUGGUUAUUAGCCGGAGAACGUCUCGAUCAUGUCUGCAUGGUUCCCGAACCCGUAGGGUCUACACACUAAGGUUCGGUGACGCUAGAGUUGUUAUGGGAAAUAGUAUGUGGUUACCGAAGGUUAUUCGGAGUCUCGGAUGAGAUCCCGGACAUGACGAGGAACCCCGGAAUGGUCCGAAGGUGAAGAUCGAUAUAUUGGAUGAAGGGUAUUGGUGUUCAGAAUUGUUCUGGGAGUACCGGGUUACGACCAGCGUGACCGAAAGGUGUUUCGGAGGCACCGACAAGCGUUGGGGGGCCUUAUGGGUCAAGGGGAGGGGGCACACCAGCGCACUAAGGGGCCGUGCGCCCCUCGCAACCCCUCUCAUGUAACCUGGAGAGGUGGGGGCGCCUCCUCUAGGGCAGCCGCCCCUCCCAGCUUGGGGGCAAGUUUCCUAGGGGUGGGGGCGCCCAAACCCAUCUAGGGUUUCCCCUGUGGCUGCCACCCCUCCCCUAGGGAACUCUAGGGCGCCUCCUCCACCCCCUUCCCCCUAUAUAUAGUGAGGGAGAGAGAGGGCAGCCGCACCCCUUGCCCCUGGCGCAGCCCUCCCCCUCUCCAACUCCACCUCCUCCUUAGUAGUGUUGGGCGAAGCCCUGUCAGAGAACUGCAAGCUCCACCACCAUGUCGUCGUGCCGCCGGAGAUCUCCCUCAACUUCUCAUCUCCCCUUGCUGGAUCAAGAAGGAGGAGACAUCCCCGGGCUGUACGUGUGUUGAACGCGGAGGCGCCGUCCGUUCGGCGCUUAGAUCGGAAUCGACCGCGAUCUGAAUCGCUGCGUGUACGACUCCACCCACCGCGUUCUUGUAACGCUUCCACAUCGUGAUCUUCAAGGGUAUGAAGACACACUCAUCCUAUCCCUCUAUUGUUUCUAGAAUCUCCAUAGAUUGAUCUUGGUGACACGUAGGAAAAUUUUCAAUUAUAGCUACGUUCCCCAACAAGGAAGUGCCUCCUUAUUGCGCACAAAAAAAUGAAUACCCCCUGCCAGCUGGGACCCACCAUAGUGGGAGGCUGACUUGUGGGCCUACUAAGUUUACGGGGAUGGAGGGCUUUGUCAACAUAGUCAAUAUGAACGAUUCUUGCUCCAGUGACCGUACGAUGUCCAUCCAAUGGCCAUAGUGCUUCUUCAACCUCUGGUCUUCUUGCUCCAGCCGCCCAAACCAGCACCGGUCGUGCAGCGUGCUCCAGCCUCCCGUGGCCGGCUGUGAUGCCGUGGAGUACUCACUCACACCCCUUGUUAUUCUAAGGCGACGGCAGCCUCACAUCACAGCUGAACUAGUGAACCCUCGUACUCCACUCCGCGUGGACUUCUACUGCCGCGUCUUCCCCGGAUCCAUGUCGUCCCCUUCCUAGGCCUCGUCGUCGUCCACUGCCCUGGUGCUCUCGGCGUGGCGUGGUCGACGCGUCAAGGAACGACUUCCAUCGAAAGAGUACUCUACGUGGAGAGGCUCGCAGCUGAGUCCAUGGCAGCCGCAAGGAAGUGCCUCCUUAUUAUGCGCAAAAUAAUUAUUCCUCUACCUGACAGCAGGGACCCACCGGACGGGCCACGGUAUUUCGCGAAAAAAAGUUUCCCCCUGACUGUUGGGACCCACCAGCUACAUCUUCGCACGCAAGGAAGUGCCUCCGGGCAAGAAAAAAACGAUUCGGCCCCUUGACUGCUGGGACCCACCAGCUAUAUCUUCGCAUGCAAGGAAGUGCCUGGCAGUCAGGACCCACCUGGUCAAAGUGUACGUAGCAUUGUCAUUCUGGUCAAGAACGUGUACGUACAUACUGGUCGAUCGGUCUGUUUGCAGGCUGCAGCGAUGAACCGUGACCGUGCAACAAAGGAAGGGCACGUGUUGUAGUAGAGGCGUGCAUGUAGCAUGUACACGUAUGUACAGCGGCCAGGGUGCAAGAAAUUAAAUACGGCCACGUAUGUACAUACACUACUAGGGAAAACGCUAUACACAGAGGUAUAGCAGUAGCGUUGGUCAAAACUCGGCGCUAGCGCUACUUAGUAGUAGCGCUUGUUGUAAAACCACACUACAACCAUUAUUUUAGCAGUAGCGCGUCUUCACAGAAAAGCGCUACUACUAAAAUUCCCUCACUAGUGCCGGUAGGAUAGGAAUAGUAGUAGCGGUUCUCCCAGAAGCACAAUACUGCUAAAAACAUUGUAGCAGCGCGUUUCUGUUGUAGAGCGCUACUGCUAUGUAAAAGAAAAUAAAUAGAAAAAUAAGUAGAAAAGUAAAUGAAAAUGAAAGAAAUAGAAAAGGAGAAAUGAAAAAAAGAAAAUGUAAAGAAAACAAAAGAAAAAGAAAAAGAAAACAGAAAGGGUUAGCUGUAGCGCGUUUCUCGGGAACACGCUAUAGCUAUCUUAGCUAUAGCGCGUAUCGGCAAAACGCGCUACUGCUAGUUUGACUCAAAUCCCAGCAGCCCGGGCUCAAAAUUUCGCUAAGUCCUUUCCCCCCCCUCUCUACUCCCCCUAUCCCCCAACUGCUCCAUCGCCGUCGUUGCCCUGCCGCCUUCGACCACACCACCACCGCCCGAGGCCGCCUUCGACCACACCGCCGUCGCCCGCCGCCUUCGACCACAUCGCCGUCGCCCGCCACCUUUGACCAUACCGCCGCCGCCCGAGGCCGCCCCCUUGACCUCACAGCCGCCGCCCGAGGCCGUCAUCGACCUCACUGUCGCCUCCCUCGAGCUCAUCACCGCCGCCCUCGACCUCACCGCCGCUGCCCGAGCUAGAGCCUACCCUCGCUGCCGAGCGUAAGGCUAUGCCUCUCCUGUCCCUACCCUCCUAUUUCUCUCUGCUAGGGCAAUUAUAUAAAUGUUGAUACUGUAUUGAUGUUCGUAUGAACCCUAGGUGUUCAUAUGAACCCUAGAUUUUUUUAGGGCAGUAGGCAUUUUAUAGCAUUUAGGAAAAAUGAUUAGCAAUUUUUUUAGGAAAUUAGCUAGGGCAAUUUUUAUGAAAAUUCCUAAACAGUAAUUCCAUUUAGCUUUAAACAAAUAGAGGGUAUAUAAAUAAUAGUAGCAUUUAGAUUUAAAUUAACGGAGGGUAUAAACAAAAAACACUUAGCUAUAAAAAAAUAUUUUGACUACGGACCUGAAUUUGUUCCAAAUUUCAUUCAAAUGAAAUUUGACUUAUUUGGACUAUGGACCUGAAUAUUUUUGAAGAAAUUGGGUGUAGGUACUAAGGUCUUGCUGUGGAAAUUUUGGUGAGGUCAAAAGGGUUAGAGAAAAUGUAGUUCCUAGACAUUUAGCUUUAGACAAAAAACAAAAGUAUUUAGCUAUAAAUAAAAAACAGUAGCUAUGGCAUUUAGCUAUAAACAAAAAAUAGAAUUGUUUUUCUUUUCAAAAACUUAGUCAAAUAGAACAGUAGCUAUGACAUUUAGAUAUAUGUCCUUGAUGUUCAUUUGCAUAUUCCAUUAUUGUUGAUUAUAUCUUUUCAUUGAGGUGGACAUGUUAUAUGCAAAUUCCUCAAUAGUGUUUGCUCAUGUUAUAUCUUUUCAUUGAAGUUGUUCGAUUGUGCCCAAGUGGCUUUGUUGUUUCCAGGGAAUGAUGCUGAGUGGCCUAUGUUUUGCCAGAAUGUUGAUUCGUUUUUGUUCCGGAAAAUUUUAGGUUCUCGAAUUGUCCACUUUUUAGCAAAGGUCAUGCCGAAAUUUUCCGUGAAUUUCGGCAUGACUUGUGCUACGAACUAGGACAUAUCGAGUGCCCAGGAUUUGCCGCACUAGGAAGGAGUCAACAUUCCUACAAAACAAUAGUCCUUUUUUAUGUCAUUAUUCAUUUUAUUAGGUCUAGAAUUAAUUGACUAGAUUUAAUCAUAGGAAACAUGGCUAGCAACGAUGAAGGAUAGGGUUCUGGUGAUUGCGACGACGUCUACCGGGCGGCAGACGAAUUUUUUAGCCUUACCGACGAUCAACCGAUGUUGUUGCUAGCCCCACCGGUGGGAUCGGGGACUAAGACCAACACGCAGACCGGUGCUGAGACUGAGACCGGCGCUGAGAUUCAGACCGGCAUCGAGACCGGCGCUGAGACCGGUGCUGCCUCGGGGAGCGGAGCCGGUGUAGAACCGAAAACAAAGAGGCAACGGGUUCCUAACAAACUCAGGACUACUAGACUGGUGGUCACGGAGGUGGACGACGGCAAUUUUGAGCCAAAGGCGCCCGAGGAAGCGCGCGCGUGCUACGACAAUCAAAUAGGCUGCAUCGUACGGACAACUGCCGCAAUCAACGAUGAGAAACUAUAGAAGAUAGAAAAUAUGAGGAGCUCCCUCCUAAAGAAGUUUCACCAGAUAUUCUUGUUCCCAGGCCGGAAUGAGAAGGAUUAUGAAGAUCCAGACGAGGACCCGGCAAUGAAGAAGAUAAACAAACACGCCAUGACCAAGUUUAGCGACGCGUUGGCCGCCUGGAAAAAUUGAGUGAAAGCAAAGAUCAACGACAAGGAACCCUACUCCGAGAUUGUAAAGGAUAAUUGGACAAUCACGGAAGAGCAGUUUGAAAUAUUCAAGGAGGCUUGCGAGGCCGAAGCUGCCAAAAAAGUCUAAGUACAUGAAGGGGCUUCAAAAGAGGAACAUUGGGAGCCACCACCUCGGAAGUCGUGGUUAUGGCAGAAAGAGGUCCAAAUGGGCCAAGGAGGACGCGGAAGCCGCGAGUCUAGGCAUCCCAGACCCCUUGGCGGAUUUCACCUUCCCGCAGGAGCGUGACGUCCUGAGGGCCCGACACCGUUGGGACCCAGUGAAGAAGGUUUACGAGAAAACACCGGUCAUUACGGAGUUCAUGAGACUGUUGGUAAUUUUAGUUUCUGAUCAAUUCGACUGCACACGUUAGUCAUAUUUGUAAACGAUCCUUGUGCCUUUUGCAAAGAGAGUAGCACCGAAUUGCGGCCGAAAGCGACUCGUCGUAUGAGGCAUUGGUGAGGCCCAAGUGGGACACUCAAUUCAAGCGGGCGUUGAACAUAUUGAAACGACAACCGGUGGAUACUCGACCGUCGUAUGGACGCGUGCACGAUGUCGGAGACGGCGCCACGUGGAAGAAGUACUACCGUGAGACCACGGAGGAGAGAAAGGAAAGACGGAGAUUAACUGAACAAAACAUCGACAAGAAGGUUGAGAUUGCGGUUGAGAAGAAAUCAUCUCAGACAGUCGCAACAGCGGUAGCUGCCGCAAAACAGGCGAUUGCAGAUAUGUCUACUUCCUUGGUGACUGGCGUUUUCACUUGGACAAGGCAAAAUCCAGAAAAAAAUGCAGAUGACUUUCCCCUUGCUGACUUCUUGGGAGCACCUGCUCCCGCACCGGCUCCCGCACCUGCUCCCGCACCGGCUCCCGCACCUACUCCCGCACCGGCUCUCGCACCGGACGUGCUCGGUGGUGCCUCCUCUUUGGCUGAGCUCGACGCCCUCACGUUAUCUGUCACACAGGCCCCUUCAAUAUAAAUGUAUAAUCUCCUGUUUUCAUUGCCUUUCGGAUGUCUCACAUCGCAGACUUUUCUUUGCAGGCCGACGAAACCCCGUGCACCAUAUUAUACACCAUCGGCGAACAGAAGGUGGACGUGGGGAAGGCAACGAUAAUGGAGCCGAAGGAACCAUUGUUCCACAGCCGGCCGAUCCCCCCGAACGUCUUCAAGGUUUCCGUGGCCAGUGUCAAACCGGGCCACGAGAAUUUGCCUCCUCUUAUACUAGUGGGGGAUGACGACGAGACCCCGUGGCGGCUUGGUAAUUGUUGCAAUGGGUGGGUCCUGUUGUGGCCAAAGAGUCUGCUUCGUCUGGAGGCGGCCGGGAGCACACCCACGAGCAUGCAGCCUCAGCAAGGUAUGAACAUCAACACCCCACCUACGCAAUUAGCGUCGAGUGUCGGGUUGGGUGAUAGCGGACGGGGUAAGGAGGAGGCUCCAUUAGUCGCUGGUAACGUCGCCAUGGAUGAGGAUGAGGAUGACGAUGGCGCUAAACAAUAUGUCUAUACUGGCGCCUCCUCAGGGUUUGAGCGUCAUGAGUUGGUGCCUGAAUUACCGUCUCAACGUAUUAUUGACGACCUUCCGGUAGUAAAGAAGUCUAGGAAGAGAGCGAGGAAAGGCAAAAAAUCUGAUUCUAUGAUCCAGCCGCCUCAGCAGCCUCGGCUUCAGGACCGUAUAGAUAUCCCCGAUGCGGAUAAAUGGCAUAUCCCCGGUCAACCAAUCCUACCUGCAACAGCGCUACGGGCCAGAUUCGGGAUCUAAGGAGACUUCAUGAUGAUGUGCUGCGGGUAGAGAAAGGCCUCAUCGCCUCGAAAGAUCCAGGAUACCCACUCUACGUGGUUAACGUUCUGCGGCAAAUGUCGUACGUCGACAGCUUCCCUGCGGAUAAGUUCUUCCUCCGAUUCAAUUACAUAUUCGACAUGUUUCACGUGAAGAAGCUGGAUUUUACGUUUGUCCGCCUUUAUGCCUUGCACAUGAACUACAUCAUUGGGGUUGAGCAGAUACGUCAUAUCUGUGUCGCUGACCCGUACUACAUGCACGAGGGCUUCUUGGGAGUCUGUGCAGAGCAGCGUGAAUACGCGAGGGAUUACAUCGUCAGUUUCAUGCUCUCUAAUAAGGACAAGGAGGCAAUUCUCGUGCCUUAUCAUCCCAUGUAAGUCAUCCGUGCUGCUAUCCUUCCUUUGAUUUCAAUAAUUCAUUUGCACGGUGGAGGCUAAUUAAUUUGAGGUGUACUUAUUUUGCACAGCGGCGGACGUGCCGUUCUCAUCAUCCUCUACCCCCGAUUCUCCCACGCUCUUUACUUGGACUCAUCGAAGAACAUUCACAAAAAGGAUUACACCCACAUCAAAGAUGUUCUCGACAGUGCUAUGUUUUAUUACCAAGCAAGGGGUGGAGAGAUUAGGGACAAGAAGAGAAGGGGCGGCAGGGCCGCCUUCAGCCAUAAGACCAACUUCUGCUGCAUCCAGCAACCGAACGAUUCUCUUAAUGAUGGAUUCUAUGUCCUACACCACAUGCUGGAGUACAGACGGGAUCACCAGAACCUUCACAUGUAACCUAGAUCUGGUGAUGCCCAUAUUCUGCAAUGGGCAAAGGACAUAGGAGAUAUCGAGGAUCAUCGACUUCGAACUGAGUUCUAUAACAUCCAGCCCGAACUUGCCCAAAUCAUCAUGAAGGAGGUCACCGGAAAAACAGGGAUGUUCUACGGAGAAGGACAAAUGUCGCAGGAAGACGUCCAAACAUGGAUAGCCUCUCAGCGUCUCGACAUGAAGCCUUUCACUAAGCUCGAGGACUAUCUCCCUGACAUGGAUGGAUGGCACGACAUGAUGGAGUGAUUGUCGAUAUAUGACAAUGUGUCCGUUUAGUCCAUACUAUCUGUAUGACAAAACUUUGAGUUAUGCACAGUGAAACUUUAUUUGUGAUAUAAUUAAACCGUCCUCCUCCUCGACUAGCGAAAAUCACUCUAGUUAGGGCUUUUGGGGUACGAUGAACUUUGUUAUUUAUGCUUAUGAUAUGUUGUUUCUAUUUUUGCCAAGUCUGUCUCUUUCUGUUGCUCAACUAUAUAUGUUGCAUAUCAUCGACUCAUGUGAUGAUGCAGGUGCAUAGAUCAUAGACAGCGAAGAAGUGCUACGCCAGGAGUAUAUAUAUGACAAGUGGCCGGAGUGUCAGGCCCAGGUGUACCGGUUUCCGGUUUCCGAGCGAUAGGCAGUAGUUAGUUUAGGUUCACGCUAAUGCGAGAGAGGGAUACGAACUCAUGUACUCCAAAGUGAUAGCUCUUCUCGCGUAUAUCAUUGUUUAGAUGGAUGAUGGUGUAUUUGCAAGUAAUCGAGACUUGUAUCACCAUUUUCGAGAUUUAUGACGAGACACCACUUUGUGUUGGAUGAUGAUUAUGAUGAUGACAUGAUUUGAUGAGACUAAUUGUAUGUAUAUGCUAUGAUUUCAUUUGUAUGUGUAUGAUAUGCUAAAGAUUAUUCUAUAAAGCCUAUUCAAAUACAAAACAAAUACAAAACAAAAAAGCAGGAAAAAAACUAAUAAAACUAGUAGUAGCGAGGGGGAAAAUUUAGCAGUAGCGCCGCCUUACCAGUAGCGCUUCCAUGUAAACAGCGCUGCAGAUAAUAUCAGUAGUGCACUUUUCUAAAGAGCGCUACAGCUAUUCAUGUAUAGCAGUAGCGUGGGACAACAGGCGCUACUGCUAUACGUUAGCUGUAGCGCCUUAUUAGUAGCACCGGUACCCGCGCUACUGAGAGGCCCAAAACACGCGCUGCUGCUAGGCUUUUCCCUAGUAGUGAUACGGGCUGGGUCUCAAACGCCUACUUGUGCAUACGUACGGUUAGGGCUCGUGUACAUGGCUGUUUCGGAAUGGAGAAACUGCAUCUUCGUCGUGUUCAUGGGGAGGCAACCGGCUGGGUCGGGAUGGAAUGCGUCAUCGUGUUCAUCGGGAGGGCUUGGAUGGAACAGCCGAUGGAAACGCGGCCUGGCGUACCACAGAACAGAGAAAACGGCCUUGUGUUUGACUGGCCACGGUCGAAACAGGAUCAUGUUCAUCAAGAGGGGUCUGGCGUACCGCAAAACAGAGGAAACGGACUUAUGUUGGACCUCCCACGGUCGAAACGGGGUCCUGUUGAUCGGGAGGGGUGUGGCGUACCGCAAAAUGGAGGAAACGGACUUGUGUUGGAGCACUACGGUCGAAACAGGGGUCCUGUUCAUUGGGAGGGGUGUGGCGUACCGUAAAACGGGACUCCACAGGAUACUGUUCAUCUCCAUCGUCGUCCUCCUCCAGCAUCCACGGGCUAAUGUUCAUCCACUGUCGACCUCCUAAAGCCUCCACCUGCGACUGUUCAUCCACGGGAUCUUGUUCAUCCAACCUCCACCGCGCUCCUCCACCGGCUACUGUUCGACCAGCCUCUCCAUGGGGUCCUUUUCAACCACCCCUUCACGGGCUACUAUUCAUCCAGCCCUGCACCGGCUACUGUUCAACCAGCCCUCCACGGGGUCGUCCUGUUCAUCCAGCCCUCCACGGGGUCCUGUUCAUCCACCCCAACCGGCUCGACCGGGGUCCUGUUCACCAGAGGCAACACCACAGGGUCCUGUUCAUCCACCCCCACCGGGAUCUGUUCAUCCAAACCAUCCCCCAACAACGCUCACUGUUCAUCACGGGAAGGAGGCAGUGUCGCGACCGGUUUUUCAAUAAAAGCUUAUUGAGCAACCGACCUUUAUAUAGACCAGUAUAGGAAAAUCCUCCUUACUGGUAGACAAAUCCUUGAUACAGAAAUCCAGUAGUACUAAAUAUUAUACAGGGUUGAGCUGAGGUUGCUCAACAAUUUAUUACAAGCACGCCAAUAUUUUACAUACGGGCGGAUAUGACACAAGGGUGUGGUGGCAUACUACUGACUCGCAACAAAAGUGGGGGGGGGAUAUGUCACAGUGGUUUGGAGAACAAGACUCCUAAUCUUGCAGCUCAUCGAGCGUCGAAGUGAGGCCCGAUGAAUUUAUUUGGGUAGCGGAAGCGGAUAUAAUACAAUUGACCAAAUCCAGGAUCGCACGAGACUGACUGGGACUCCUCUAGGCGUCGGACUCGCUAUCAUACUCUUCAUCCAUGAGAUCGCCUUCGUCAACAUCUGGCCAAAUCAACAAGCCAGGUGAGUACUUUGAAUGUACUCGCAAGACAGUUCGGACAUAAGAUAUAACAAAUGCAAACAUGAUGCACGAUGAGCAGUUAGCAAUGCACACUCAAACAAUAAAUUUGCACGGCAUGUAGAAUAAAAAGGAGGUCAGGCGGUAGUCCUCCCGAAAUCCCCAUAAAAUAACUGAAACCCGGUCGGGUGUCUGAAGCGACGCCUCGAAAGGUGAAGUAAAUAAAUUAACAUGUCGCAGUCGGGCGUCUGGGCGACACCACAAAAAGGGCUUAUAUUGAAAAGUAAAUGACAGUGCGUGCCACAGUCGGACGUCUAUGCGACAUCUCGAAAAGGGCUUAUAAUGAAAGUAAAUAACAGAGAUGCCACAGUCGGACGUCUGAGCGACAUCUCGUAAAGGGAUUAUAAUGAAAAUAAAUAACAAAGAUGCCACAGUCGGACGUCUGAGCAACAUCACAUAAAGGGCUUUUACUGAAAGUAAAUAACGAGAGUGCCAUAGUCAGACGUCUGAGCGACAUCACAGAACGGAAUUAUAUUGAAAGUAAAUAACAAGAGCGCCACAGUCGGACGUCUGUGCGACAUCACAGAAAGGGCUUAUAUUUCAUCAUUCAUAUUCAAUAAAUCCAUGAAGAUAUAUCACUCACAGGAAAUACUCAGCACAUAAUAAUAAACGGGUUAGUCCAUCCACAGGAAUAAUCAUUUAGCCGGACUUAACACUCAUGUUUGUACACCAGAGUUUUGUCACUGAGACUGACACUGACGAAGAUAAGUUGAACACAGUCGAUGACCAAGAUACGGUUACUUGAAUGAUUUUGACUCUGCAGAGUUUGUACUAUUUAACCACAGCCAACGGAUUUCAGUAGUCACGAAGGACUAGUUCCGUUUAUGGUACUUCAGCAGAAACAUAUCUAACCAGUACACACCCAUUUUCCACCUCACGAUGCCAGGAAUCACCCUAGGCAACGUUCAAGAAAAACUUUGAGACGGGGAGGCUACAGCCUCGAAUAGCAUGGGAUCAAAUUUAUAUACGCGCGCUCUAAGGGGUGCCCCCCUCUCGGUCCCAACCGGAAACACCCAUGCUCCCUGACCGGAUGACUGGAUUUAAUCCAGGGCCAUGGAACCCUCAUCACGGCCUCUCUAUUUGGUGUGUACAAGGAAAGUGGUUUGCAACUUACUAAACCAUAUUCUUUUCAGAAAACAUGUGGCAGCACAAAAAGAAAUGGAUGGUAACGUGACUUUAUCCACGUUGACACUGGAGUUAAAUGGUCUGGCAUAAGACUGGCAUGCUUCAACACUGCCAUCUUACCACCUCUCAUGUCACCACAUGAUCAUGUAAACUCACAUCAAAAUGAUAUGGAGUUUCGAAGCUCACUUGCAUUAGCUCUACAAGCAAUAUAACACUUACUGCAAUGCAUAUAAACAUGCCAUGAACUAACUACCCAAUGUAAACAUGCAAAACACUCAUCAUAUCAAAGGUUCAAACAUGCUUGCCUGGUUCAGAGGAGUCAGAGUCUAGCUCGGUGAAGUUUGUGGUUCCGUCACCUCCUCCGGUAUCUAUGGUAUAAAGAAAAAUACGUACUAUCGUAAAUACCGUGUGUGCACAAAAAGUGCUCCAAAUAUUUUUCAAAUAAAUCUGAUAAAAAACUAGACAGAAAAAUAAAAGUGACAGAAAAAGAACCAAUCAAAAACUUUUUUCUAUUUGAAACUUAUUAGGGUUUUAGCCCAGGGACUUGUCUAUAAUGAAACAGAAAGUUUCCAGGGGGCAUAACAAAAAAAGACAGAAAAACUUUUCAGAUCAAAAGCGUAUUUUGCCCGAAGGCACUAUCCAAAAAAACGGUUCGAAUAGAAAUAAAUGGCUGACGAGGGGGUCCCACUCAUCAGGUUUAAAAGUUGGAGGGAGAAAACAGAGCGCGCCGGUGCCCGAAGGCUGCGGUGGUCGCCGGCGGCGAUCCACGGCGAGUUAGGAAGAGUGGAUGGUACCUACGGGUUCCUAGGGCUCUUCUGCACCUGUGGGUGGUGAAGUUGGUCGUCGGUGAGCUCCACGUCGACGGUGGCCUUCACUCCGAUAGAUGGCGGCUCGGGCGUUGAUGGAUCUCGCCGGGGAGGGCUGCAAGCUUCAAAUUGGGGCGUGGGUCAGUGUACUGGGUGCACCAGAGGGCUGCUGAUGUGGUUUGGGAGGCGGGGGUGGCCUCACCUGAGUGGAUUGAGCUAGAGCACGAGGCGGAUCGGGGCGGCCGGAGACGGAGGAGAAGACCUCUUCGGGGUCCUCCUGGUGUCUUGGCGGGGCUCUCGUGAGGUGGUGGGAGUAGUGCUGGUCGAAGGAGAGCUCGGGGUGGCUAUUUAUAGCUGGCCCGUGGCAGUUCCUGCGAACGGGAUAACGCCGGUGAAGAUUACGGUGAGGCAGUGGGUGGUCAGGUGGUUUAGGUGGCUGGGCAUCAGCGUGUUGAUCCACUACUUUCAUUCAGACGCUAACCUCGGUUGAAUUAGGCUUGCUUUGUGGUUUCUACAGAACGGCGCUUCACAGGCCCGCUGGUGGCAGAGAGCGCGCCCUAUGCUCGCCAGGCCACGGCGAUGGUGCUGCGGUGCGCGAAGAGGAGCAGACGGCCACGCGGAGGCCUCUGGUGGUUUGGGCGGUGCUGGACGGCGCAGAAAGCUGCAGCUGCAGCCUGCCGGCCGCCAUGGGUGGCUCUGCCACCGCAGAAGUUGCCGGCGUCGGUGAGGCACGCCGCCACCGACACCUGCGCCCGUCCAAGAGAGCGUGCGACACUCUGGAUAAGAAGGAGAAGUAGUGCGCAAGGCGCCAGCGUGCACUGGUGAGAUCGACACCAAGUCUCUGAAGAAAACAACACUAACUGUCGAACUGAAUCAUUGGAUUUCUGAACCCGUAUAGUAACAGUGCAGGCCAGGUGUUCGAUGAAAUGAUUUUGGCAUGUGGGUAAUUUAUCUGGAGCUGAUCUUUGGUGAGGUGGCCUCUCAUUGCACCUAGGGGCUUCCUGAUUUUUGGUAGAAUUUUUGGAGAAGAGAAAAUAUGAAUUUCACCAAAAAUGAUGAAUCUGGUCCAAACUUGCAGUGAGCAAAACUUGAAAAUUUUGAAUUGUGGAAGAGUGGAUCUUGAUGGAUCUAGGUUGAGGGUGCUAAGGACCAGCUAGAGGAGUUGUCUUGAGAUCAAAACUCACAAUAAAUUUGGUACUUCCUUUGUAAAUCACCUAUGUCCAAAAUAAAAGGCAGAAAUAGUUUUAGGGUAAAAAUAAAUGAAAUAAAAAUCAAAAGUGAGUUGAACAUGCCGGGGUUGGCUACUUGUCUUGACCCAAAGUGGAGGGAGGUGUUUUGGAGGAAAAUUUUAACAAGAGGCAUGGUGAAAGAGGAUGGUUGAAAUAAAAGGAAUAAAUCCAAAACCCUAAGGAUUUCUUUUUAAAAGAAAAACUUUCAAAAUAAAUUGUGAUGAGUCCACACCAAUGAAAAGCCUUCAAAACCAAACAUCAAGGUUGAGGAUGAUCAAAAAUAAAAGUUUUGACAUCAGAGAAAAUAUUUGAGAAGGAGAGUCUUUUUAAAGGAUUUUGAGUGGCCUCCUUCAAAUCAAAUAAAGAGUUUGCUGAAAACCAAAUGAAAGUUUUUGGAGUGUCACAACAACUACCCCCUUAGGAAAAAUCUCGUCCCCGAGAUUUCAGCUGAUCGUCAAAUAGGUGUGGGUGCUCUAUCCGAAGAAAAUCCUCUCUUUCCCAUGUUGCUUCAUUCUCGGAGUGAUUGCUCCACUGAACUCUGAAAAACUUGAUUGUUUUUUGACGGGUUCUCCUUUCAGACUCUUCCAAUAUUUUUAUUGGACGUUCCCUGUAGGUGAAGUCUGGUUGCACGUCAAUGUCUUCAUGGGAUACAUGCUUCUCUGGGUGCUUACGCACUUCCUCAACUGUGAUACGUGGAACACGUCGUGGACGUCUGACAAUUCUUCGGGUACGUCUAGCUGGUAGGCUACUCUGCCUCUUCGUGCAACUACACAGAAUGGUCCGAUGAAUCUUGGUGCUAGCUUUCCCUUAACCUUGAAUCGUUGUAGGCCCCUCAUAGGGGAUACACGCAAGUACACAUACUCACCGGGUUCAAAACUGACUCCAUGAUGUUUUCGAUCAUAAUAACUCGUUUGUCGGCUUUGAGCUAUCUUGAGUCGGUCCCUGAUUAGCCUGACAUUCUCCUCGGCUUCUUUGAGCAUGUCUGGGCCGAAGAUACGGCUGUCUCCGGUCUCUGACCAAUUUAGUGGGGUACGACAUCUAUGCCCGUACAAGGCUUCAAAGGGUGCCAUUUGUAGGCUGGCUUGUUAACUGUUGUUGCAUGCAGACUCUGCAUAUGGCAAGCUUUCUUCCCAACUGGUUCCAUAAGUGAGGACACAUGCCCUCAGUAUGUCUUCUAGAAUUUGGUUCACCCGUUCAGUUUAUCCAUCUGUCUGGGGGUGGUAUGCUGUACUGAAUGCUAGUUGGGUCCCCAGAGCCUGUUGUAGGUGAUCCCAAAAUCUAGAGACGAAUUGUGUGCCUCUGUCAGAAAUUAUAGUCUUUGGAACUCCAUGAAGACAGACGAUACGGGAGAAGUAAAGCCUGGCAAGCUUCUGAGUGGUGUGGGUUGUCUUCACCGGGAUAAAGUGUGACACCUUAGUCAGUCUAUCUGUGAUGACCCAUAUGGCAUCAUUUCCGUGUCGUGACCGAGGUAGUCCAACAAUAAAGUCCAUUCCAAUCUCGUCCCAUUUCCACUCGGGUAUCUUGUUUGGCUGUAAUAGUCCGGCUGGUUUCUGUUGCUCGGCCUUGAUGGGUUGACAUGAAUCACAAUAUGCAAUGAACGUGGCUAUGUCCCUCUUCAUACCGUGCCACCAAAAUUUUUCCUGAAGGUCCUUGUACAUUUUUGUUCCUCCAGGGUGGAUUGAAUAAAGAGCGGUGUGGCCCUCAGCUAGAAUUUGUUGUUUAAGGUCUUCUAUAUUUGGAAUGCAAAUCCUAUCUCCGUACCACAAUAUUCCCUUAUCAUCCAUGACGAAUUCUGAGGCCUUGCCCAUACUCACUUUUCUUCUUAUUCCUUCGAUGCUGGGGUGUCCAUGCUGAGCCUCCUUGAUCUGCUCUAUCAGGUUGGGCUGUACUUCCAAAUUUGACAUACUGCCUUCAGUGACCAUUACCAAGUUGAGUUUGGCAAACUCCUGCUGAAAUUCUGGUCCCAAAUAUGGUAGGAUGUCGUUGCCCGAGCUGGGGUUUCGACUCAGAGCUUCCGCCACUACAUUUGCUUUUCCUGGAUGGUAGUAAAUGCCAACAUCAUAAUCCUUCACUAAUUCCAACCAGCGUCGCUGCCGCAAAUUGAGUUCUGGUUGUGUGAAAAUAUACUUGAGGCUUUUAUGGUCCGUAUAUAUUUCACAGCGGUUUCCAAGCAAGAAGUGUCUCCACUCCUUGAGUGCAUGGAUGACUGCUACCAAUUCCAGGUCAUGAGUGGGAUAAUUCUCUUCAUGCAUCCGUAGUUGCCUGGAAGCGUAGGCAACUACCUUGCCUUCUUGUAUUAAUACGCAUCUGAGGCCCUUUUAGGAUGCGUCACAAUACACUUCAAAGCUUUUGUGUAUGUCGGGCACAACCAAUACUGGUGCUAUUGUCAGUUUCCUUUUGAGUUCUUGGAAACUUUUCUCGCAGGCUUCGGUCCAUACAAAUUUUUUAUCCUUCUUGAGCAACUGGGUCAUUAGUUUUGCUAUGGUGGAGAAUCCUUCAAUAAAUCUUCGGUAAUAUCCUGCCAUUCCCAAGAAACUUCGUACAUCCGUUACGUUGGCUGGUGGUUUCCAGCCAAGUACGGCCUUGACCUUUUCCGGGUCUACGGCAACACCUUCGUGGGUAAGUACGUAGCCUAGAAAUCCGACCUGUCUUAACCAAAAUACACAUUUGCUGAACUUGGCGUACAACUGAUGUUUCCUUAGUUCUCCCAGUACAAUCCUGAGAUGCUCAGCAUGCUCUUCUGGUGUCUUGGAGUAUACCAGAAUAUCGUCAAUGAAUACCACAACAAAUUUGUCCAUAAAUUUCAUAAAUACUUUGUUCAUGAGGUGGACAAAAUAUGCCGGGGCAUUCGUCAGUCCAAACGGCAUUACUGUAAACUCAUAUAAUCUGUAUCUUGAGGUAAAUGAUGUCUUGGGAAUAUCCUCUGUCCGUACUUUUAAUUGAUGAUAUCCCGACCGCAAAUCAAUUUUUGAGAAGACUUUGGCUUGUGCGAGCUGGUCAAAUAAGUCAUUUAUCCUUGGCAUGGGAUAUUUGUUUUUGAUGCUGACCAUGUUGAGUGCUCGAUAGUCUAUACACAAUCUUAGUGUCCCAUCCUUUUUCUUGGCAAAUAAUACUGGUGAACCCCAAGGUGAGGAGCUGGCUCGUAUAAAUCCUUUGUCCAGUAAUUCCUUUAUUUGCUUCUUUAAUUCUAUCAACUCGGAGGGUGCCAUUCUAUAGGGAUUCUUGUAAAUGGGGGUGGUUCCAGGUGCUAGCUCAAUGAUAAAUUCUAUUUCCUGGUCUGGCGACAUGCCUGGUAGUUCCUCGGGAAAUACGUCAGGAAACUCACAUACCACUAGAACUUUGCUUAUCUCUGAGAUGUCGACCUUGUUCAACCUUGGUUGUCGUGACAUUUGCCUUUCUUGAGCUGAAAUCUUUAUUGUCUUCCCGUGAUGAUGGGUGAGAAUCACAGUCCGAUUGAAGCAGUCAAUAAAUCCUUUGUUGGUGGUUAACCAGUCCAUUCCUAGGAUAACAUCCAGUCCCUUAUUUUCCAACACAAUGAGGUUUGCAUGAAACUUUAGUCCUUCAAGAUCAAUAACCACACCUUGGCAGUAAUUCUGAGUAACUUACUUAAUCCUAGGGGACUUGAUGAUCUUGGAUUUUUCCAAGUGAAGCAUCGAAAAAUCAUUUUGCAAAGCAAAUCUCUUUGAAAUGAACGAGUGAGAAGCUCCAGAAUCAAACAAAACCGUGGCAGGUAUUGUGUUGACAGGGAACGUACCGAGUACGAUAUCCAGGGCAUUCUGUGCUUCCUCUCUGGUCACGUGGUUCAAGUGACCCUUCUUGUGAUUGUUACUGGGGUUGAAAUUGUUCCGCUUGGGCAUUGAAUUGUUGCCACCGUUGUUCGGCUUGGGGGGCGAGUUUCUUGGCUUGGGACACUGCUUGGCAUAGUGUCCUUCUUCUCCACAAGCGUAGCAAGAAGUAACGCCUAGACGAUAUGUGAACUCCUUGUCCCUUGCAUGGAAAUUCUUGAUUGGGCGUGAAACAUUGGUCGUGGGUUUGGAUGCCCCACCCUUCUGAAAUUCCGUCUUGCUCCGGUGGUUGCGAGCAAGUGUAGUCUGGUCUCUUUUGCGCUUGCGAAAAUCCUCCAAGCUGCGGCGUUCAUUUUCCAAUGUAAUAGCCUUAUCCACCAGUGUUUUGAAAUCUGGGAAGGUGUGUACGACCAACUGGCAUUUAAGCAUGGGUGCCAGACCAUCCAGGAAUUUUUCCAUCUUCUUGUUUUCAGUCAUACGUUCUUCGUCGGUGUAGCGAGACAAUAGAGUAAACUGACUGUUGUAUUCGGUCACCAUCAUGGUCCUCUGCUUGAGGUCAUCAAACUCCCUCUUGUUGAGCUUCAUAAUACUUCUGGGGAUGUGUGCCCCAUGAAAACCUUCUUUGAAUUCCUCCUAGGUUAUCCCAUUUUCAUUGGGGUGCAUGUGUAGGAAAUUUUCCCACCAUGAGGCAGCCGCUCUAGUGAGAUAGUGCAGUGCAUAUAGUACUUUCUCGCGGUGUAAACACUGUGCAAUAAUUAAUUUCCUCUCCAUGUCUCGAAGCCAAUCAUCGGCCUCAAGAGGUUUGUCAGUGUGCGAGAACGUUGGGGGACGUGUCUUUUGUAGUUCUGAUAACUUGGAUUGCUGCUGAUACGGUCCGCGGUGAUUUCCCAUAUUAAUGACUUGGUUCAUCAUUUCUUGAUGUUGUUACUGGCUUUGUUCAAAAAGGCGGCAUACUUGAGAAAAUGCGACAUCACUACCUUGCUGACUUGAUUGUCCUUGUGCAAAGUUGUUGCUUCUCUACGUACCAUAAUUCUCUUCUGGCGGACUUGGCAUGGAGCGAGUCCACGGACGAGGCAUUUUCCACUCUAGGUAUUCUUUUUGUAAAAAUUUGUGAGAAAAGCUGUGAGGCAGAAUAAAUAAUUUUUGCAAAACAAAGAAAAAAUUAAGAACUCCAACAUUUUUCAAAAAAAGAUUUGAUUGCACACGGAGAAGGACCGCUCAGUACAUAUCUUACACGCAAGCAUAAUUAUACAAUACAUCACUCAGGAUGUGCGUACACAUUCCUGACAUGUUAUUAAGGCUAGUGCACUUCUCCCAGUUCCUACAUGAUGCGCAUACAGACUACUUCUCACAACCUAUAUACAUAUAAACAUAUCAUACAAGCGGACACACUGCACGGCUGCUAGGCGCACUCAGUCGAAGAUGGUGAGGAUUUCCCUUGGCCUGUGAAGGGUAAGGUCCAGUGGCGGUGGAGACUCAACCUCUUCCUCAAUAAUAGGCUCCAGACGUGAAGCACUGAGCUGUGGAGCUGGAACGGGUGCGGUAGGUGGUGCAGCUCUGACUGGAGUAGGGGUGAUGACUCGGUCAAAUUCUUCAGGAGUAGGCAGGCGGCGAGAUGUGGCGAGGGUGGCAGGUGUGUGGGAUGCCGAGGACGAGAUGUAAUCCAGUGGUGGAGAUGUAUGGAGAAGCUCCCUCCUGUUGGCGAAAUAGCUGUGCACAACGGACAUGCGAGCAACCACGAGAUCGUCCACAAGGUUAUCAAAAGCGGCCUCAAGCGCCUUGAGAUAUUCAACCAGCAUCUCAAUAACCUCAUCCGUUUCUCCUCUAGGGCAAGCAAAAUGCAUAGUGGCAUGUGUAUGACACGUGGCAGGGGGUAGCGGUAGCGACGAGUCUUCAUAGAAGGAAGAAAAUCCCGAAGACGAGCUAUUGCCUCACGGGCAGCCAUCUGCAUAGCAUGCCUCUCCGUAGGCAUGGCUCUUCCCACAAACCGGAAGCGGCGAAACUCAACACGCCCUCCCUUCAAUUGCACCGUGGCCUGGUGCAUGGACAGACCAUCGUUGAUCUUGUGCUAGUAGAGUGUGAACUCUGGACGACUCGAUGGCCCGAUCGUGAUUUUGACGAUGAAGGUGAGGAGCUUGACGAACCCCUCAUGUACGUUGGCGAACACCUGCGACUCAUAGUCGUUGCCAGCCAUGUACAAAACUAGGCAAAAAUUCUGAAUGGUCAGAUCAUAAAUUUAUGCUGACUGUCAGAAAAUGACUACAUUUGCAAAAUAUUAAAAUAGCACUAAUUAUGCUAAUAACCGAUUAGCGAUCGCACCUAGUGGCUUCCUAUAAACAGCCUGGCUCUGGUACCAAGUUUGUCAAUAAAAGAUUAUUGAGCAACCGACCUUUAUAUAGACCAGUAUAGGAAAAUCCUCCUUACUGGUAGACAAAUCCUUGAUACAGAAAUCUAGUAGUACUAAAUAUUAUACAGGGUUGAGCUGAGGUUGCUCAACAAUUUAUUACAAGCACGCCAAUAUUUUACAUACGGGCGGAUAUGACACAAGGGUGUGGUGGCAUACUACUGACUCGCAAUAAAAGUGGGGUUGGAUAUGUCACAGUGGUGUGGAUGACAAGACUCCUAAUCUUGCAGCUCAUCGAGCGUCGAAGUGAGGCCCGAUGAAUUUAUUCGGGUAACAAAAGUGGAUAUAAUACAAGUGACCAAAUCGAGGAUCGCACGAGACUGACUAGGACUCCUCUAGGUGUCGGACUCGCUAUCGGACUCUUCAUCCAUGAGAUCGCCUUCGUCAACAUCUGGCCAAAUCAACAAGCCAGGUGAGUACUUCGAAUGUACUCGCAAGCCAGUUCGGACAUAAGAUAUAACAAAUGCAAACACGAUGCACGAUGAGCAGUUAGCAAUGCACACUCAAACAAUAAAUUUGCACGGCAUGUAGAAUAAAAUGGAAGACAGGCGGUAGUCCUCCCGAAAUCCCCAUAAAAUAACUGAAAACCGAUCGGGUGUCUGAAGUGACGCCUCGAAAGGUGAAGUAAAUAAAUUAACAUGCCGCAGUCGGGCGUCUGGGCGACACCACAAAAAGGGCUUAUAUUGAAAAGUAAAUGACAGUGCGUGCCACAGUCGGACUUCUAUGCGACAUCUCGAAAAGGGCUUAUAAUGAAAGUAAAUAACAGAGAUGCCACAGUCGGACGUUUGAGCGACAUCUCGUAAAGGGCUUAUAAUGAAAAUAAAUAAUAGAGAUGCCACAGUCGGACGUCUGAGCGACAUCACAUAAAGGGCUUUUAUUGAAAGUAAAUAAUGAGAGUGCCACAGUCGGACGUUUGAGCGACAUCACAGAAAGGGCUUAUAUUGAAAGUAAAUAACAAGAGUGACACAGUCGGACGUCUGUGCGACAUCACAAAAAGGGCUUAUAUUUCAUCAUUCAUAUUCAAUAAAUCCAUGAAGAUAGAUCACUCACAGGAAAUACUCAGCACAUAAUAAUAAACGGGUUAGUCCAUCCACAGGAAUGAUCAUUUAGCCGGACUUAACACUCAUGUUUGUAUACCAGAGAUUUGUCACUGAGACUGACACUGCCGAAGAUAAGUUGAACACAGUCCAUGACCAAGAUACGGUUACUUGAAUGAUUUUGACUCUGCAGAGUUUGUACUAUUUAACCACAGCCAACGGAUUUCAGUAGUCACGAAGGACUAGUUCCGUUUACGGUAUUUUAGCAGAAACACAUCUAACCAGUGCACACCCAUUUUCCACCUCACGAUGCCAGGAAUCACCCUAGGCAACGUUCAAGAAAAACUUUGAGACGGGGAGGCUACAACCUCGAAUAGCAUGGGAUCAAAUUUACAUACGCGCGCUCUAAGGGGUGCCCCCCUCUUGGUCCCAACCGGAAACACCCAUGCUCCCUGACCGGAUGACUGGCUUUAAUCCAGGUCCAUGGAACCCUCAUCAGGGCCUCUCUAUUUGGUGUGUACGAGGAAAGUGGUUUGCAACUUACUAAACCAUAUUCUUUUCAGAAAACAUGUGGCAGCACAAAAAGAAAUGGAUGGUAACGCGACUUGAUCCACAUUGACACUGGAGUUAAAUGGUCUGCCAUAAGACUGGCAUGCAUCAACACUGCCCUCUUACCACCUCUCAUGUCACCACAUGAUCAUGUAAACUCACAUCAAAAUCAUAUGGAGUUUCGAAGCUCACUUUCAUUAGCUCUGCAUGCAACAUAACACUUACUUCAAUGCAUAUAAACAUGCCAUGAACUAACUACCCAAUGCAAACAUGCAAAAAACUCGUCAUAUCAAAGGUUCAAACAUGCUUGCCUGGUUCGGAGUAGUCGGAGUCUAGCUCGGUGAAGUUUGCGGUUCCGUCACCUCCUUCGGUAUCUAUGGUAUAAAGAAAAAUACGUACUAUCAUAAAUACCGUGUGUGCACAAAAAGUGCUAGAAAUAUUUUUCAAAUAAAUCUGAUAAAAAACUAGACAGAAAAAUAAAAGUGACAGAAAAAGAAUCAAUCAAAAAUCAUUUUCUGUUUGAAAGUUAUUAGGGUUUUAGCCCAGGGACUUGUGUGUAAUGAAAUAGAAAGUUUCCAGGGGGCAUAACAGAAAAAGACAAAAAAACGUUUCAGAUCGAAAGCGUAUUUUGCCCGAAGGCGCUUUCCAAAAAAAAUAGUUCAAAUAGAAAUGAGGGGCUCACGACGGGGUCCCACUCGUCCGGUUUGAAAGUUGGAGGGAGAAAACAGAGCGCGCCGGUGCCCAAAGGCUGCGGUGGUCGCCGGCGGCGAUCCACGGCGAGUUAGGAAGAGUGGAUGGUACCUACGGGUUCCUAGGGCUCUUCCGCACCUGUGGGUGGUGGAUUUGGUCGUCGGCGAGCUCCACGUCGAUGGUGGCCUUCACUCCGACGGACGGCAGCUCGGGCGUUGAUGGAUCUCGCCGGGGAGGGCUGCAAGCUUCAAAUUGGGGCGUGGGUCAGUGUACUGGGUGCACCAGAGGGCUGCUGAUGUGGUUUGGGAGGCGGGGGUGGCCUCACCUGAGUGGAUCAAGCUGGAGCCCGAGGCGGAUCGGGGCGGCCGGAGACGGAGGAGAAGACCUCUUCGUGUCCUCCUGGUGUCUUGGCGGGGCUCUGGUGAGGUGGUGGGAGUAGUGCUGGUCGAAGGAGAGCUCGGGGUGGCUAUUUACAACUGGCCCGUGGCGGUUCCUGCGAAUGGGAUAAUGCCGGCGAAGAUUACGGCCAGGCAGUGGGUGGUCAGGUGGUUUAGGUGGCUGGGCAUUAGCAUGGUGAUCCACUGGUUUCAUUCAGACGCUAACCUCGGUUGAAUUAGGCUUGCUUUGUGGUUUCGACAGAACGGCGCUUCGCGGGCCCACCGGCGGCAGAGAGCGCGCCCUGUGCUCGCCAGGCCACGGCAACGGUGCUGCGGUGUUCGCAGAGGAGCAGAUGGCCACGCGAAGGCCUCGGGUGGUUUGGGCGGUGCUGGACGCCGCAGAAAGCUGCAGCUGCACCCUGCCCGCCGCCACGGGUGGCUCUGCCACCGCAGAAGUUGCCGGCGUCGGUGAGGCACGCCGCCACCGACACAUGCACCCGUCAAAGAGAGCGUGCGAAGCUCUGGAUAAGAAGGAGAAGAAGUGCGCAAGGCGCCAACAUGCACUGGUGAGAACGACGCCAAGUCUCUGAAGAAAAUGACACUAACUAUCGAACUGAAUCACUGGAUUUUUGAACAUGUACAGUAACAGUGCAGGCCAGGUGUUCGAUGAAAUGAUUUUGGCAUGUGGGUAAUUUAUCUGGAGCUGAUCUUUGGGGAGGUGGCCUCUCAUUGCACCUGGGGGCUGCCUGAUAUUUGGUAGAAUUUUUGGAGAAGAGAAAAUAUGAAUUUCACAGAAAAUGAUGAAUCUGGUCCAAACUUUCAGUGAGCAAAACUUGAAAAUUUUGAAUUGUGGAAGGGUGGAUCUUGAUGGAUCUAGGUUGAGGGUGCUAAGGACUAGCCAGAGGAGUUGGCUUGAGAUCAAAACUCACAAGAAAUUUGGUACUUCCUUUGUAAAUCACCUAAGUCCAAAAUAAAAGGCAGAAAUAGUUUUGGGGUAAAAAUAAAUGAAAUAAAAAUCAAAAGUGAGUUGAACUUGCUGGGGUUGGCUACUUGUCUUGACCCAAAGUGGAGGGGGUGUUUUGGAUGAAAAUUUUAACAAGAGGCAUGGUGAAAUAGGAUGGUUGGAAUAAAAGGAAUAAAUCCAAAACCCUAAGGAUUUCUUUUUAAAAGAAAAACUUUCAAAAUAAAUUGGGAUGAGUCCACACUAAUGAAAAGCCUUCAAAACCAAACAUCAAGGUUGAGGAUGAUCAAAAAUAAAAGUUUUGACAUCAGAGAAAAUAUUUGAGAAGGAGAGUCUUUUUGAAGGAUUUUGAGUGGCCUCCUUCAAAUCAAACAAAGAGUUUGCUGAAAACCAAAUGAAAGUUUUUGGAGUGUCACAGGAAGCUGGGUUCGAUCAACUUCAGUUAGCAGCUAUAGCGAAGAAAUCACUCGGGUUCAGUUAACAGUAACGGAUCAAUCGCUCGGGUUCAGUAUCGUAGCUAGUGCGAUCACUCGGGUUUAGUUAGAGCCCAACGCCUUGCUCGGGUUUAGUUAGAGCCCAAUGCCUCACACACACGCGCAUACAUGUAUGAGAGAAAUGCACAUCACUCGGCCCCCGACCACCCACCGUAACCGGGAACUCCCCAAAAUUUUCCUCGCCCUUGCUUCUACCACGGUUUUUUCCGUCAUGGACGGCCCAAAGAAUGUCAUGCAGCUGCGUCUCCGGCCCGCCCAGGACGAAAAGCCAAUUUUGUGUCAUGAUUUUUUGUCAUAGAAGUAGGAGCCCACCACAUCUAUGAUGAUACCGGGUUUUGUCACAAUUAUCGCCAUAGAAGUGUCAUAAGCAUGAAAAAAAAUUGUUCGGCCCAAAAUAUCACGGAUGUGUCUUUUUUUUGUAGUGAAAGUCUGGUACAUUCUCAGUUUGAUCUGCUUAUCAUAGGGAAUGGGAGCAUAAAUUUGGACAACAUAUGCAUGGGGAGGAUGGCCAAGGUCGAGCAAAUCCUAUCCCCAUUUGGGAUGACAUCUAGAAACUUAAGGUGUCAGCUAGUAUAACAUGGGAUCCUUCCCUGUAAAGGUGUACUAGCAAACAGACAUGUUUUAACACAAGCACAAUGUCCGGUCUGCUUGAGGGGAACUGAUGAUAUUCAACAUUGUCUUUUCAGCUGUAAGAGGGUUAUAUUUAUUUGGUACUAGUUGGAUCUAACAGAGACGAUCAGCAAGGCCAUAUGUCGAGACCGAUCAUGUUUUUUAAACUUGAAUCAAAUUACGGAUGAGAACUCAGGGAAGAGUAUUGGAGGUCUACAUAUACCCGAGCUUGUGAUCGCGGCAUCUUCGUACCUUUGGUGGCAAUCUCGACAGCUAAUAAAGAGUGCAUCAGUACUACCAGCAGAUAGAACAACAACAUCCAUCAGAGCAAUUGCCACAAAUUUCUGGAGAGCAAUUGAAAAGAAGGACAAAAGGAAGAAGGACCAAAAAAGUGGUGCAAACCAUUGCAUGGCUUUAUGAAAAUUAAUGUAGAUGCUUUAUUCCACGUAAAAGACCGAUCAGGAGCAAGUGAGGCAGUCAUCAAAGAUGAAUUGGGUUAUUUUGUAGAUGCUGCAGCAAGUUCAUUCCACAUGUUUCUGAUGCGGCCUCUCAGGAAUGGUAUUAAUUUGGCAGCUCAUGUGGGAUGCUUGAGGAUAGAAGCUGAGUCAGAUUGUGGACUUGUGAUUGAUGCAGUAAAAGAUACUUAUAGAUUCAAUGGUUCCCAAGCAGCAACAAUUAUUGAAUGCACUCAACUCUCUUGUGACUUCGGACAGGUGAAAUUUCAUUUACGCAACCGAGAAGCAAACAAUGUAGCAGAUGCUUUGGCUAAACAAAUAUGCUGAAGAUUUCUUCUGUUUGGGAAGAUGACCCGCUUGAUUUCAUUUCUUCUUUGAUUGCAAAUGCCAUUGCUAUUGCCCGUGAAACAAAAUCUUUACCCUGUCAAAAAAAUAUUAUUUCUCCCCAAUUAUUUGCUCAUCAUUGGAAUUGUUCUCAUAGUUGAUAAAUCUACUCCAUGCAAAAAAAAUAUUGAUCCGCUUGCACCUUCAAUUAGUAAUUUCGACCAAAGUGUCUGGUCUGAACUAAAGUGCCUCUUUCUAGAUGCUUAAGAAAUGACACUUCAGAAUAUGACUGACCGUUUCAUAAAGAAAACAUGAUCGACCAUGAUCUAGAAGCCCCUAAACAAAACCAAGUUCGCCAAUUGGGACUGAAAAAAUGAUGCAAUAGAAAGAACACACUAGAAGGGGAACUCAGAUCCAAGCUGUAUUUUGCGGCCAUAGAAUAAAUCAAACUAUGCUCCAACUCAUGUUCUUCAAGGUACCCAUUUAGAAAUUUCUUAACACUAUCAAAUAGCUCCUAAUCUGAAUACUAAGAAUGUGAUUUGUAUCCCUAAUCUAAUGUGUAUUUGAUCCUUUGAAUCUACUUAACUAUAGCAGUUGCGGUAGAGGAAUGGUAUUAGGAAGACAUCUAGGAAAAAAUGAUUAAUUAAAUUAUUAAAUGACUACAUGGCAUUAUGUUUUUCUUCCCACUCUUUUGUUUGUUUUUCUUAUCUUUCAAACUAACUAUCUACUUGCUUCCCUUCGAUCUCCAUUAGUGAGCCCAUGGAUUCGCCUCCUCUCCGCCUGCUGCUCCAGCGGCUGGUAGCGGGUGAGGGAGUCCUGGAUUAGGGGGUAUCCUGACAGUCGGACUAUAUACUUUGUCCGGACUGUUGGACCGUGAAGAUACAAGACUCAAGACUUUGUCCCGUGUUCGGAUGGGACUCCUUUGCGUGGAAGACAAGCUUGACGAUCCAGAUAUUAGAUCUCCUUCUUUGUAACCGACUCUGUGUAAACCCUAGCCCCCUCCGGUGUCUAUAUAAACCGGAGGGUUUGGUCCACAUAGGGACAAUCAUAAUCAUCAUAGGCUAGGUUCUAGGGUUUAGCCUCUACGAUCUCGUGGUAGAUCAACUCCUGUAAUACUCAUAUCAUCAAGAUCAAUCAAGCAGGAAGUAGGGUUUUACCUCCAUCGAGAGGGCCCGAACCAGGGUAAAACAUUGUGUCCCUUGCCUCCUGUUACCAUUAGCCUUAGACGCACAGAUCGGAACCCUUUACCCGAGAUCCGCUGGUUUUGACACCGACAUUGGUGCUUCCAUUGAGAGUUCCUCCGUGUCGUCACUGCAAGGCUCGAUGGCUCCUUUAGUCAUCAACAAUAACGCUGUCCAGGGUGAGACUUUUCUCCCCGGACAGACCUUCGUGUUCGGCGGCUUCGCACUGUGGGCCAAUUCGCUUGGCCAUCUGGAGCAGAUCGACAGCUACGCCCCUGGCCAGCAGGUCAGGUUCAGAAACUUGAACUACACGGCCGAUAUCCGCGGAGACUUGAUCUUCGGCGGAUUCAGACCUACGCCAGGAGCGCCGAACAGUCACGACGAGCACGGCUUAGACCUGCUAUCGGAAAAUACUCGGGAUAUCACACCCUCAGGAGCUCCGGACUUAAAUCUGGGGCAGAGCGCGUCGUCCGAGGACGGGUGGACGGACCCCACCCCGGAGGCCGCACACUCAUCGGCGGUAGAGCCGAACACAGACUCCACCCCCAAGGAAGCCUGUGUCAUCAGACCCCCGAACUCGUGUCCGGAUGUAGAUUCCAGACCGUGCGCCCCUGAGCCCACCGAAUUUGGUUGGGCUCCGGUAAUGGAAUUCACCACUGUGGACAUUUUCUAACACUCGCCUUAUGGCGACAUGCUGAACUCAUUAAAGUCUCUCUCUUUGUCAGGAGACUCUCGGCCGAACUAUGUCCGGCUCGAGUGGGAAACAGGCAAUGAGGGAAUUUAUUGACCACCCACCACCCACUUCAUUGCCACUAUCGAUGAUUUGACCGACGUGCUCGACUUCGACUUUGAAGACAUCAACAGUGUGGACGACGAUGUAGGAGAAGAACAGGAACCACCGCCCGGGCGCUGGACAGCCACCUCCGCGUACGAUAUAUAUAGGGUGGACACUCCAAAAGAAACAAAUGGCGAUGAGGCAAUGGAGGAUAACCCUGAUAACCCACAAGUGUAGGGGAUCGCAACAGCUUUCGAGGGUAAAGUAUUCAACCCAAAUUUAUUGAUUCGACACAAGGGGAGCCAAAGAAUAUUCUUGAGUAUUAGCAGUUGAGUUAUCAAUUCAACCACACCUAGAUAACUUAGUAUCUGCAGCAAUGUAUUUAGUAGCAAAGUAGUAUGAUAAUAAAGGUAACGGUAGCAAAAGUAAAGAUAAUAGUUUUUGGGUUUUUGUAGUAGUUGUAACAAUAGCAACGGAAAAGUAAAUAAGCGAAGAACAAUAUGUGAAAAGCUCGUAGGCAAUAGAUCAGUGAUGGAUAAUUAUGCCGGAUGCGAUUCCUCAUGUAAUACCUAUAACAUAGGGUGACACAGAACUAGCUCCAAUUCAUCAAUGUAAUGCAGGCAUGUAUUCCGUAAAUAGUCAUACGUGCUUAUGGAAAAGAACUUGCAUGACAUCUUUUGUCCUACCCUCCCGUGGCAGCGGGGUCCUAGCAGAAACUAAGGGAUAUUAAGGCCUCCUUUUAAUAGAGAACCGGAACAAAGCAUUAACACAUAGUGAAUACAUGAACUCCUCAAACUACGGUCAUCACCGAAAAAUAUCCCGAUUAUUGUCACUUCGGGGUUGUCGGAUCAUAAACAUAAGAGGUGACUAUAGACUUGCAAGAUAGGAUCAAGAACACACAUAUAAUCAUGAAAACAUAAUAGGUUCAGAUCUGAAAUCAUGGCACUCGGGCCCUAGUGACAAGUAUUAAGCAUAGCAAAGUCAUAGCAACAUCAAUCUCAGAACAAAGUGGAUACUAGGGAUCAAACCCUAACAAAACUAACUUGAUUACAUGGUAAAUCUCAUCCAACCCAUCACCGUCCAGCAACCCUACGAUGGUAUUACUCAUGCACGGCGGUGAGCAUCAUGAAAUUGGUGAUGGAGGAUGGUUGAUGAUGACGACGGCGACGAAUCCCCCUCUCCGGGGCCCCGAAGGGACUCCAGAUCAGCCCUCCCGAGAGAGAUUAGGGCUUGGCGGCGGCUCCGUGUCGUAAAACGCGAUGAAACUUUCUCUCUGAUUCUUUUCUCCCCGAACGUGAAUAUAUGGAGUUGGAGUUGAGGUCGGUGGAGGUCCAGGGGGCCCACGAGAUAGGGGGGCGCGCCCUACAGGGGGGGUGCCCCCCUGUCUCGUGGACAGGCCCUGGGCCCCCUGGUGUAUUUCUUUCGACCAGAAAUUCUUAUUAAUUCCAAAAAGUGCCUCCGUGGAUUUUUAGGACAUUCUGAUAAAUUUUCGUUUCUACACAUAAAACAACAUCAUGGCAGUUCUGCUGAAAACAACGUCAGUCCGGGUUAGUUUCAUUCAAAUCAUGCAAGUUAAAGUCCAAAACAAGGGCAAAAGUGUUUGGAAAAGUAGAUACGUUGGAGACGUAUCAACUCCCCCAAGCUUAAACCUUUGCUUGUCCUCAAGCAAUUCAGUUGAUAAACUGAAAGUGAUAAAGAAAAACUUUUACAAACUGUGUUUGCUCUUGUUGUUGUAACAUGAAAAGUGAGCAUUCAAGUUUCAACAAAUAUUAUGAACUAACCAUACUCACAAUAACACUUAGGUCUCACAAUUACUCAUAUCAAUAGCAUAAUCAGCUAGCGAGCCAUAAUAACAAAACUCGGAUGACAACACUUUCUCAAAAUAAUCAUAACAUGAUAUAACAAAAUGGUAUCUCGCUAGCCCUUUCUAAGACCGCAAAACAUAAAUGCAGAGCACGUUUAAAGAUCAAGGACUGACUAAACAUUGUAAUUCAUGGUAAAAGAGAUCCAGUCAAGUCAUGCACAAUAUAAACCAAUAAUAAUGAAUGCAAAUGACAGUGUGCUCUCCAGCGGGUGCUUUUAAUAAGAAGGGUGAUGACUCAACAUAAAGUAAAUAGAUAGGCCGUUCGCAGAGGGAAGCAGGGAUUUGUAGAGGUGCCAGAGCUUGAUUUUAAAAUAGAGAUUGAAUAACAUUUUGAGCGGCAUACUUUUGCUGUCAACGCAAAAACUAUGAGAUGGUUGUAUCUUCCAUACUACAUGCAUUAUAGGCAGUUCCCAAAUAGAAUGGUAAAGGUUAAUACUCCCCCAACCACCAACAAGCAUCAAUCCAUGGUUUGCUCGAAACAACGAGUGCCUCCAACUAACAACAGCCCUGGGGGACUUUUGUUUAAUUAUUUUGAUUUUCUUUCAUCUGUUUGGAUCAUGGGACUGGGCAUCCCGGUUACCGGCCCUUUCUCGUGAAUGAGGAGCGGAGUCCACUCCUCUUGAGAAUAACCCACCUAGAAUGGAAGAUAUAGGAAGCCCUAGUUGUAACAUGAGCUGCUCGAGCAUACAAUACAGAAUUUCAUUUGAAGGUUUAGAGUUCGGCACAUACAAAUUUACUUGGAACGGCAGGUAAAUACCAUAUCUAGGAAGGUAUAGUGGACUCAUAUGGAACAACUUUGGGGUUUAAGGAGUUUGGAUGCACAAGCAGUAUUCCCGCUUAGUACAGGUGAAGGCUAGCAAAAGACUGUGAAGCGACCAACUAAGAGAGCGACGACAGUCAUAAACAUGCAUCAAAAUUAAUUCACACCGAAUACAAGCAUGAGUAGGAUAUAAUCCACCAUGAACAUAAAUAUCAUGAAGGCUAUGUUGAUUUGAUUCAACUACAUGCGUGAACAUGUGCCAAGUCGAGUCACUCAAUACAUUCAAAGGAGGAUACCAUCCCAUCAUACCACAUCAUAAUCAUUCUAAUAGCAUGUUGGCACGCAAGGUAAACCAUUAUAACUCAUAGUUAAUCAAGCAUGGCACAAGCAACUAUAAUCUCUAAAUGUCAUUGCAAAUGUGUUUACUUCAUAAUAGCUGACUCAGAAACGAUGAACUCAUCAUAUUUACAAAAACAAGAGAGGUCGAGUUCAUACCAGCUUUUCUCAUCCCAAUAAGUCCAUCAUAUAUCGUCAUUAUUACCUUUCACUUGCACAACCGAACGAUGUGUAUAAUAAUAAGAGUGCACCUGCAUUGGACUAAGCUGGAAUCUGCAAGCAUUCAACUCAAGAGAGAAGACAAAUAAUAUGGGCUCUAAGUUAAAUAAACAAUCAUGCAUAUGAGAUCACUAAACUUUUUCAAUAUGGUCUACUCGACCCCCCAAGGAAAGAAAAUAAAAUAAAACUAUUUACACGGGAAAGCUCCCAACAAGUAAAAAUAAGAACUAGAAAUCUUUUGGGGUUUUCAUUUUAAUUUCUACUACAAGCAUGGAAAUUAAACUAAUUUUUUUUGGUUUUCUUAAGAUUUAUCAAACACACAAGAAGAAACCAGAAAAAGAAAUUUAAACUAGCAUGGAUAAUACAAUGAAAGAGUAUGAGCACCGACGACUAGUGUGUGAACAUGAAUGUAAAGUCGGUGAGAAAUACGUACUCCCCUAAGUUGGUCUAGUACCCAGGACCGUCUGGCUGAUAUCCAUAAGUGAAACCAGGGUCGUACUGAGAUGUAGCGGCAACCGCCUCCUGAGCUGCAGCAUGUUGGCGAGCUGCCUCCGCUCUCCUCUCAUGUUCAGCUGCUUCUUCCCUGGUGACAACAUAUCUUCCUUUUUCCUGAUAAUCAAAAAGGUAGGGAGUAGGAAGUGUAACAGGGAGGACGUUGCGUCUGUCAUAGGUUAGUCGAUAAUGGAGGAAUUGUUCAUUCCUUGCAAGAAAUUGAUGAUUGAACAAAGCUUCUUUAUCCAAAUAAACAGGAGGUAAAAUCAUAUCCCCCUCUCAUAGGGCUAUAUUAAGAUAAUUAGCCACACAGGUUGCAUAAAUUCAUCAAAAUAAAUUUCCCUUUCGACUAUUAUUCUGCAACCUGCGUGCAACUAUUGCCCCCAAGUUAUAACCUUUAUAACCUAACACAGUACUCUUGAGGACACACAGAUCAGCGACACAUAUGUGACAUGCUUCAUCCUUAUCGUUAAUGCAUCUACCAAUAAAGAGAGCAAAAUAAUGCAUAGCAGGAAAAUGAAUGCUCCCUAUGGUAGCUUGUGCUAUGUCCCUAUAUUCUCCCACAGUAAUACUAGCAAGAAAAUCUCUAAAUUCAGAUUUGCAAGGAUCAUUAAUAUUACCCCACUGCGGGAGUUUGCAAGAAGUUGUGAAAUCCUCUAAAUCCAUGGUAUAAGAUGUAUCAUAAAUAUCAAACAUGACACUAGGAGAAUUACAUGCACAGUUAUAUUGGAACCUCCGCACAAAGGAAUCACUCAAUUGAUAGUACUGCGGACACUUAUCUUGUAAGAAGUCCUCCAGCCCGGCAUUACGCACAUACGCGUCAAAUUCUUCCUUGAAGCCUGCUUCGACCAUAAAAUCAUCGGAUGGCCACUCACAAGCUCGUACAUCCGCGUCCCUCGACAAUUCAACAUCUUGCUCACGUAUAGCAAUCCUUGGCCCUUUCUUUACCGAGGAACCACCUUGGUACAUUCUUCUAAGCAUAAUUAUUUUUCUGAAAAUUUCUGAAAUUUUAGUAACUUCAAAAUAAAAGUGAAUAAAACUAAACAAGAUUGGUAGCAACUACUCCUACAAGUGCCUAGAGCCUAUAUCAUGCAUUAGAAUUGCUUGGGACCUCAUAAAUUUGACAUGCCAGCUCAAGAACAUGGUCACCUAUGCAGCAAAAAAUUGCAAUGAAUAAAGCACUAGAACAAAAACUAAUUGGACCAAUGGAGGAGUCACAUACCAAGCAACAAUCUCCCAAAGCGGUUUUGUGAAUGGAACUUUGAGCAAGGAGAUCGAAAUUCACAGCAAAAUGAGCUAUAACUCGUACUUAAGCUGGAUGGGGAUUUUUUUGGGAAGAAGAUGAAGUGUGUGGGUGCGGGCAUAAGUGGAGGGGGGCCACCAGUGGCCCACGAGACAGGGGGCUAUAGGGGGGGCACGCACUCCACUCUCGUGGUCUGGUGCUUUCCCCUCCUGCAGUGAUUUCAGUGCCUAAAAUCCUCAAAUAUUCCAGAAAAAUCAUACUAAAUUUGCAAGGCAUUCGGAGCACUUUUAUUUUUGGACUAUUUUUUAAUGCACAAAUAAUUCAGAAAACAGACAGAUAAUACUAUUUUUGCUUUACUUAUUCUAAAUAACAGAAAGUAAAAAGAGGGUACAGAAAGUUGUGCCUUCUAGUUUCAUCCAUCUCCUGCUCAUCAAAACGAAUCCACUAACAAGGUUGAUCAAGUCUUGUUAACAAACUCAUUCCGAAUAACAUGGAACCAGAGAAAUUUCAAAUAACACUAAGUUAUCUCAACGGGGAUAUGAAAAUCCCCAACAAUAAGAAUAUCAUACUUUUCCUUGACAGUAGGGAUAGCAAAUUCAAAACCUCCAAUAAUAAUAGUUGGAACUUUUCCAAUAGAAUUGAUGCUAUGAACUUGAGAUUGUUUCCUCGGAAAGUGUACCGUAUGCUCAUUACCAUUAACAUGAAAAGUGACAUUGCCUUUGUUGCAAUCAAUAAUAGCCCCUGCAGUGUUAAGAAAAGGUCUACCAAGGAUAAUAGACAGACUAUCGUCCUCGGGAAUAUCAAGAAUAACAAUGUCCGUUAAGAUAGUGACAUUUGCAACCACAACAGGCACAUCCUCACAAAUACCGACAGGUAUAUCAGUUGAUUUAUCAGCAAUUUGCAAAGAUAUUUCAGUAGGUGUCAACUUAUUCAAUUCAUGUCUACGAUAUAAAGAGAGAGGCAUAACACUAACACCGGCUCCAAGAUCACAUAAAGCAGUUCUAACAUAAUUUCUUUUAAUGGAGCAUGGUAUAGUUGUUACCUCGGGAUCUCCAAGUUUCUUUGGUAUUCCACCCUUAAAUUGUAAUUAGCAAGCAUGGUGGAAAUUUCAGCUUCUGGUAUCUUUCUUUUAUUUGUGAUGGUAUCCUUCAUAUACUUAGCAUCAGGGUUUACUUUCAUCAUAUCAGUUAAGCGCAUACGUAAGAAAAAAGGUCUAAUCAUUUCAGCAAAGCGCUCAAAAUCCUCAUCAUCCUUUGUCUUGGAUGGUUUAGGAGGAAAGGGCAUGGGUUUCUGAACCCAUGGUUCCUUUCUCUAACGUGCUUCCUAGCAACAAAAUCUCUCUUAUCAUAACGUUGAUUCUUUGAUUGUGGGUUAUCAAGAUCUACAGCAGGUUCAAUCACUACUUCAUUGUUUUUGCUAGGUUGAGCAUCCACAUUAUCAUUAACAUUAUCACCAGGUUCAUGUUCAUCACCUGAUUGUGUUUCAGGAACAGAGAUAGAAAUAUCAUUGGGAUUCUUAGGUGUGUCUACAGUAGGUUCACUAGAAGCAUGCAGAGUUCUAUCGUCUUUCUUUUUCUUCUUUUUAGAAGAACUAGGUGCCUCUAAAUUAUUUCUCUGAGAAUCUUGCUCGAUUCUCUUAGGGUGGCCUUCAGGAUACAAAGGUUCCUGAGUCAUUCUACCAGUUCUAGUAGCCACUCUAACAGCAAGUCAUUUUUAUUAUUUAAUUCAUCAAGCAAAUCAUUCUGAGCUUUAUGUACUUGCUCAGCUUGAGUAGCAACCAUAGAAGCAUAUUUGCUAAUGAGUUUGAGUUCAUCUUUAACUCUAGCUAGAUUAUCGCUUACACGUCCUAUCUCGAAAGCAUUAUUCUUUAACUCUCUAGCAACAUAAGCAUUAAAACUUUCUUGCCUAGCCAUAAAGUCAUCAAAUUCAUCUAAGCAUGGUCUAUGAAAUUUAGUAGAGGGGAUUUCAACUUUAUCAUAUCUAUGGACAGAAUUUACCUUUACUACCUGUGUCGGGUUAUCAAGACAAUGUGGUUCUUCAACAGGCGGUAUAUUAAGACCAUGUAUUUCUUCAAUGGGAGGUAAAUGCUUAACAUCUUCAGCUUUAAUACCUUUUUCUUUCAUUGAUUUCUUUGCCUCUUGCAUAUCUUCAGGACUGAGAAAUAAAACACCUCUCUUCUUCGGAGUGGGUUUAGGAAUAGGCUCAGGAGUUGGCUCAAUUGGUUCAGGAAUUGCCUCAGGAAUUGGCUCAGGAAGAGUCCAAUUAUUUUCGUUAGUCAACAUAUUAUUCAAUAGUAAUUCAGCUUCGUCAGUUGUUCUUUCCCUGAAAACACAACCAUCACAACUAUACAAGUAGUCCUUGGAAGCAUCGGUUAGUCCAUUAUAAAAGAUAUCAAGUAUUUCAUUUUUCUUAAGAGGAUUAUGAGGCAAAGCAUUAAGUAACCGGAGAAGCCUCCCCCAAGCUUGUGGGAGACUCUCUUCUUUGAUUUGCACAAAAUUAUAUAUUUCCCGCAAGGCAACUUGUUUCUUAUGAGCAGGGAAAAAUUUAGUAGAGAAGUAAUAAAUCAUAUCCUAGGGACUACGCACACAACCAGGAGCAAGAGAAUUAUACCAAGUCUUAGCAUCACCCUUUAAUGAGAACGGAAAUAUCUUAAGGAUAAAAAAAUAGCGAGACUUCUCAUCAUUAGUAAAUAGGGUAGCUAUAUCAUUCAACUUGGUAAUAUGUGCCACAACAGUUUCAGAUUCAAGGCCAUAAAAAGGAUCAGAUUCAACUAAAGUAAUAAUCUCAGGAUCAACAGAGAAUUCAUAAUCCUUAUCAGUAACACAGAUAGGUGAAGUAGCAAAAGCAGGGUCAGGUUUCAUUCUAGCAUUAAGAGACUGCUGCUUCCAUUUAGCUAAUAAUUUAUUAAGAUCACAUCUAUCAUUGCAAGCAAAGAUCUCCCUAGCAGCUUCUUCAUUCAUAACAUAACCCUUAGGAACAACAGGCAAUACAUAAUCAUUGGGAGAACCUUCAUCAUCACUAUCAUCAAUAAUAGCAUCUUCAAUAAUUUCAUUCCCCCUAACUCUAGCAAGUUGUUCAUCAAGAAAUUCACCUAAUGGCAAAGUAGUAUCAUGUACAGAAGUAGUUUCAUCAUGCAUAGCAGAAGUGGCAUCAUCAAUAACAUGCGACAUAUUAGAAUUCAUAGCAGUAGCAGGUUUAGGUGUCACAAGAUUACUAAUAAUGGAAGGAGAAUCUAGUGCAGAGCUAGAUGGCAGUUCCUUACCUCCCCUCGUAGUUGAGGACAAAAUAGUAGUUCGGUCGUCUUUCAAGUUCUUCAUAGUGAUCAACAGAUAUAAAUCCAAAGUGACUCAGUGAAUAGAGCUAUGCUCCCCGGCAACAGCGCUAGAAAUUAUCUUGAUAACCCACAAGUGUAGGGGAUCGCAACAGCUUUCGAGGGUAAAGUAUUCAACCCAAAUUUAUUGAUUCGACACAAGGGGAGCCAAAGAAUAUUCUUGAGUAUUAGCAGUUGAGUUGUCAAUUCAACCACACCUGAAUAACUUAGUAUCUGCAGCAAAGUAUUUAGUAGCAAAGUAGUAUGAUAAUAAAGGUAACGAUAGAAAAAGUAAAGAUAAUAGUUUUUGGGUUUUUGUAGUAGUUGUAAUAGUAACAACGGAAAGGUAAAUAAGCGAAGAACAAUAUGUGAAAAGCUCGUAGGCAAUGGAUCAGUGAUGGAUAAUUAUGCCGGAUGUGAUUCCUCAUGUAAUAGCUACAACAUAGGGUGACACAGAACUAGCUCCAAUUCAUCAAUGUAAUGUAGGCAUGUAUUCCGUAAAUAGUCAUACGUGCUUAUGGAAAAGAACUUGCAUGACAUCUUUUGUCCUACCCUCCCGUGGCAGCGGGGUCCUAGCGGAAACUAAGGGAUAUUAAGGCCUCCUUUUAAUAGAGAACCAGAACAAAUCAUUAACACAUAGUGAAUACAUGAACUCCUCAAACUACGGUCAUCACCGAGAAGUAUCCUGAUUAUUGUCACUUCGGGGUUGUCGGAUCAUAACACAUAAUAGGUGACUAUAGACUUGCAGGAUAGGAUCAAGAACACACAUAUAUUCAUGAAAACAUAAUAGGUUCAGAUCUGAAAUCAUGGCACUCGGGCCCUAGUGACAAGCAUUAAGCAUAGCAAAGUCAUAGCAACAUCAAUCUCAGAACAAAGUGGAUACUAGGGAUCAAACCCUAACAAAACUAACUUGAUUACAUGGUAAAUCUCAUCCAACCCAUCACCGUCCAGCAAGCCUAUGAUGGAAUUACUCACGCACGGUGGUGAGCAUCAUGAAAUUUGUGAUGGAGGAUGGUUGAUGAUGAUGAUGACGAUGAAUCCCCCUCUCCGGAGACCCGAACGGACUCCAGAUCAGCCCUUCCGAGAGAGAUUAGGGCUUGGCGGCGGCUCCGUGUCGUAAAACGUGAUGAAACUUUCUCUCUUAUUUUUUCUCCCUGAACGUGAAUAUAUGGAGUUGGAGUUGAGGUCGGUGGAGGUCUAGGGGGCCCACGAGAUAGGGGGCAUGCCCUACAGGGGGGGGGGCGCCCCCCUGUCUCAUGGAUAGGCCCUGGGCCCCUAGUUUAUUUCUUUCGCCCAGAAAUUCUUAUUAAUUCCAAAAAGUGCCUCCGUGGAUUUUCAGGACAUUCCAAGAACUUUUCUUUUCUACACAUAAAACAACAUCAUGGCAGUUCUGCUAAAAACACUGUCAGUCCGGGUUAGUUUCAUUCAAAUCAGGCAAGUUAGAGUCCAAAACAAGGGCAAAAGUGUUUGGAAAAGUAGAUACAUUGGAAACGUAUCAAACCCCUCAAGGAAGAAGGCAAAUCAUGGGCGUCAUCGGCGCCGCUCCAAGCCUCGCCAUAGCAAUACCGGCACAGGAGACGAAAACAAUCCAGAUGGUGCCAAAGAAGAAUACAACCCAGAUCAACCUGCCUUCGAGCAGGCCAAAUAGGAAGACGGGACAAUUCAGCACAGACGAACAGGCGACAGACGGAUACCCGAAGGAGGACAACUACAAGCCCCCCUCCAAAGACGAGAUGAGCCUCGGCGACGAUGAAUUCGGCGUGCCUGAGGACCCCGUAGAGCAGGAGCGCUUAAAGCGCCGGCUCAUGGCCACUGCGAGGAGCCUGAAAAAGAAGUAGGAGCAGCUCCAAGCUGAUCAAGAUUUGCUCACAGACGGAUGGAAUGAAGUCCUGGCAGCCGAGGAAUAUGGACUCGAGCGCCACACCAAAGGCUACCCAAAGCACAAGUUGCUACCUCAACUCGAGGAGGAGCCUAUACUACCAGCACAGGACGAGGCUGACCGGCCACCUCAUGGACGGGAUAAAACAGCGUACCAGCCCGAAUACCAGCCUGCACCCCCACGCGAAUACACUACGGCCCGAGGCAAUAGGAAGGACCUGCAAGCCAUACUGGAAAACAAGGCAGGAUAGCCAAGAUCGAUCUAAGGAUCGCGGGUGUGCGCCCCAACAUGUGACGAUUAUCGUCAUGCCGGAUACACUAUCAACAAGUCCGGCCGGGCCGAACAUAGCCAACUAGACUUAUUUGAACUGCGUAGCCACAUAGCCCGACAUAGAGGCGCCGCACACCCCCUCUGCUUCACUGACGAAGUGAUGGAUCAUGAUUUCCAAGAAGUGCUUAAACCCGUAAACAUUGAAUCAUACGAUGGCACAACAGACCCCGCUGUAUGGAUCGAAGACUUCCUUCUCCACAUUCACAUGGCUCGUGGUGAUGAUCUACAUGCCAUCAAGUAGCUUCCCCUUAAACUCAGAGGACCGGCCCGACACUGGCUAAAUAGCCUGCCGGCAAAUUCCAUCAGCAGUUGGAAAAACCUAGAGGACGUGUUCCUUGACAACUUCCAGGGCACGUACGUGCGACCACCGGAUGCCGAUGACUUGAGUCACAUUACCCAACAGCCAGGAGAGUCAGCCAGGAAAUUCUGGACUCGGUUCCUAACUAAAAAUAACCAAAUUGUCGACUGUCCGGACACUGAUGCCUUGGUGGCCUUUAAGCAUAAUAUCCGCGACGAGUGGCUCGCCCGACACCUCGGCCAGGAAAAGCCAAAGUCCAUGGCGUCCCUCACGACACUGAUGACCCGCUUUUGCGCGGGCAAGGACAGCUGGUUGGCUCACAGUAGCACCAAGCCAAUAAACUCUGGCACUUCAUAUGUCUGUGACAGAAACGGCAAGCCACGGCACAACAGACAUAAGCGUCGGAAUAAUGGCGACAACACUGAAGACACGGCAGUCAACGCCGGAUUCAGUGGCUCAAAAUCCAGUCAGCGGAAAAAUCCUUACAAAUGAAAGAAUCAGGGAUCGUCCAAUCUGGACCGCAUACUCGAUCGCUCGUGCCAAAUUCACGGCACCCCUGAUAAACCAACAAACCACACUAACAAAGAUUGCUGGGUGUUCAAACAAGCCGACAAAAUAAAUGCUGAAAACAAGGACAAAGGGCUGCACAGCGACGAUUACGAGGAGCCCCGGUGUCCGAACAUGGGGGGACAGAAGAAAUUUCCUCCCCGGGUGAAAACGGUCAAUAUGAUCUAUGCCACCCACAUUCCCAAACGGGAACGAAAGCGAGCACUAAGGAACGUCUAUGCGAUGGAGCCAGUCGCCCCAAAGUUCAACCCAUGGUCUGCCUAUCCGAUCACUUUUGAUCGUAGGGAUCAUCCUACCAUCAUCCGUCAUGGCGGUUCAGCCACAUUGGUCCUAGACCCAAUCAUUGACGGAUUCCACCUCACACGAGUCCUUAUGGACGGUGGCAGUAGCCUGAACCUCCUCUAUCAGGACACAGUGCACAAAAUGGGCAUCGAUCCUUCAACGAUCAAGCCCACCAAAACCACCUUCAAAGGUGUAAUUCCAGGAGUACAGGCCCGUUGUAUGGGCUCCAUAACACUGGAAGUGGUCUUCAGAUCCCCGGAUAACUUCCGAAGCGAGGAGUUAAUCUUCGAUAUCGUCCCUUUCCGUAGUGGCUAUAAUGCACUGCUUGGACGAACCACAUUCGCUCGAUUCAAUGCGGCACCACACUACGCAUACCUCAAGCUCAAGAUAGGCACCAUGGAAUAACAAGGUCGCUGUCCGGAACGAAAAUAUGAUGCAUGUCUUAUUGUGCGCGCGUGCCCUCCCACUCAUGGCAUCGCCGGGUGGUCGCGGUCGACGUACCAUUUCCGAAUAAACGACGCCACAUGCCCGCAGAUGGUCGUCCGGCCGUCAAGAAUUUCUGUGCACCCGGGUUAACGGCGUCAUGGGCCAAGCCGCCCAGAGUAGCAUGGCAGGCACAUGUAUGACCAGUCAUGUUAAUCAAUCCACUGCCGCGCGCCCUUCCGUGGUGUCAUGCGUACGAACAUUGAUGCCCUCGCCAAUGUAUAUUGUUUUGGUGAUAGACAUAUUCCUAUUCUGGAAUUGUGCCAUCCAGCUCUCCACUUUAACAACCCUUACUGAUCUUCGUUAUAAGAAAAGGGCAAUGCCAGCAAGCCUUUUUCUCACCGCUAUCCUACUCUGUCACUCAUUCCCUGGACGAGCACGGUUCACUUCCGUUCACUACUCAUUCCCUGGAUGAGCACGGUUCGCUUCCGUUCGCUUAAUGAUGAUGUGGCCGUGACAUCCGUGUCCCGCUACAUGAUCAGCGAGUCCGUCCUCACCUCCGAGCCCAUCCAGAUGCAACCGGUGCUAAGCCAGCUUUGGUGUAGCUCCAUUUACACCAUCCUCUCCACACGGUGAUCCACUUUUGUGCACACCGCCACAGCAUGGUAGAUCGUAGUGCCGGAGUUCUAGCGAGAUUUGUUUGCUUAAACAUGUGUGCAUAUUGUUUUGAGUAGCAGUAAAAUGUGAUGUUGCUUGUAUGUAAUCUUAAUGUGUCGGUUGUUUUUGUUUAAGUCGUUUUUUGCUUCUUUCUUUUGGUGUUCGGUGUCACCUUAUUUCCCCUUAUGUGCUCCCAUAGCCAUAAAUAUCUAGUAAAUGUUCCUAGACAGUAAUAGUGAUUAAUUUAAUGUCUAUAUGUAUGUUCAUUUCUAUAGAGUCGAGAUCUGGUGUACCCAUUUUUUGUCCCGAUUUCUAUGUUUUCUAGAUGGAUUUCUUUGUUUCUUGAUCAUGUAAGAUCAACGAGGACAUUCCUUCGCAUAUUGGAAGCCUAUUUUUUUCUAUUUCUAUGUCUAUUAAAAUCCUAUGAAUCAAUGAGAACUAGUUAUCAUACCAAUGCAAACAACAAGUGACGAGGCUAUGCACAAUUUUUUAAUACACACAAAAAGGGUCAAAUACACAGCAAAUGCCAUUCAUCUGACAUCAUUCUUGCCGCGGGUACAAGGUACUUGCCGCGGGUGGAGGUGGUAGCUUUAUUUCCGGAACACGAUAACCUGCAAAAUUUCAUUCUUCACAU
Molecule: long non-coding RNA, 313959 nt
Filed under: Triticum aestivum (bread wheat)
Lineage: Eukaryota; Viridiplantae; Streptophyta; Magnoliopsida; Poales; Poaceae
Description: long non-coding RNA (TAES_LNC016812)
Source: RNAcentral